Molecule: long non-coding RNA, 303940 nt
Filed under: Vitis vinifera (wine grape)
Lineage: Eukaryota; Viridiplantae; Streptophyta; Magnoliopsida; Vitales; Vitaceae
Description: long non-coding RNA (VVIN_LNC001392)
Rfam family: tRNA (bases 31692-31763)
Source: RNAcentral
CCUAAGAGACUAUUUAAGCCAUAAAUGGCCUUCUAUAGCUUGCAGACCUCAUCAAACUGCACUUGUGAGACAUGCUGAGAAGAAGGUUGCUCCAUGUGAAUUUCUUCCUAGACAUCACCAUGAAGAACUGGAUCCAACCCAUAGGAGGAUUAUAAUUUGGAAACUAUGAGAGACAAACACAUAUGAAAAAUGUCAAACUGGUUGAGAACCCAAAAACAAAUUGAAUGGGAGAACAUCGGUGGGUCAGUGACAGAGCCAGACCCUAUGAUUUCAUACAGUUAAUACGAUUACAGAUACUACCUGUAUAAAUGCUAAAGUCAGUUACACUUAUAUAGAUCCCUUCCUUCCACUCAGCUGAUCAAAUCAAACAGGAAAACUUAAGAAAGCAAAGAUGAAGAUGAAGAUUGACAUUUGGGAAAAAGGAGAGCAACAUAAGUUGUAUCACUUUCAUGUUGUUGCAGUAUUACUGGGAAAAAGCUUCUUUAUUUCUUCUAGUCUUUUCUUUUUUGUUUUUUUUUUUUUUUUUUGGUUGGGCAGUAUCACACAAAACCAGACCCAGAAUCUCUUGUGGACUGCCUCUUGAACCAGUCCUCAAGAUGCCUAGAGAGUAAAACAAUAAAUCCUUUAACAUUCCCAAGAAAGGCAAGUAAUGACACACACUACCAAAUGAGACUGUAAAGUAAAUGGACGGUUGAAAAUUAAAUAAUACAUGCAUUUUGACCAUACAAAUUUUGUAGACACACGGUUAAUUAACCAACAAUUUGCACUGUGAAUUUAACAGACCUUACAUCCAUCUUAUAACUACAAUGUUAAUUGCAAUGACUUGAUGAUAUAUCAUACUAAAUCAAGUGUCCUAUGCAGCAUAUGAAGCAAAACGGAUGCUUGGACCCAGGUCCCAGGGUCACAUAAAACCACAAAGUGAAUGGAUAUAACUCCACAAUAAAUCAACUGUCUUAUAACACUAAUUUGGGAUGAGAAAUUGAAUCAAAUCCAAAAUUCUAGUAUCAACGAGCAGGCAUCUUAAUCAAUAAUAUAGGAAUACUAAAUAAAUCUAGGUGUCUACCCAUCCCUUUUAACCUCCCUUACCUAUUCUAGCACAACCAGUUUAUACCAAGCCCUCACCAGCACCAAUGACCUCCUUUGGACAGGACAAAACAAUCUUAAUUGAUUCCACACCAUCUUAUCAUAAAUUGUGGCCAGGAUAAUGUGAAGGAUACACAUCUUAGCAAUCUGAUCUACCAAUGCUUUUAUACAACCACCUUGGUUCCCACUUCAAUGAUACCUUAUAAGUUGUUUUCCACCCAACAUCUAUUAGCCAACCAAUUUUCUCCACAUCAACAACAAUGUUCCUUUUGCAGCAAAUCAAUAAAUUGCAAUUCUCACAAGUCAGAACAAAGGGGACACUUUUAAUGAUGAUUUUAAGCCAGGAAACCUACUGCAAAUUAUUCUAGUGAUAUUCAAAUUGAACAAACAAAUAACAAGAAGUGUACAAAGUCAGAGAAGCUCCAAUGAAGCAAGUCAAAGCAUGGUAGCUAAGUGAUUAUUGAAGAAGAUAAAUUGUCUUCAAAACAUUAAGCAGUAAGAAAUGCCAAACACAGCACAAGUUAGCAAGAGUCAAUCCACACAUAAUAUCGCACAAAUGCCUUGUCAAUCUAACCUUUAAACUUCUUAUCUCUUCUUGUAGCUUUUCAUUUGCAUCUUCAAGAUCCUUAGCUUCAUUUCUCAGCUGGUUCAGUACUCGGAUGGCAUCCCCAAGUAUGGCCAAUUUGUCAGUUUUGGCAGAUUUACCAGGUUCUAAAAUGGAACUCAAGUCUAGAAACCUAAAUCGGACAAACAAGAUUUUUCCUUUGAGACACCAUCCAUCACCUUAUAGAUUGAUCAAUGGAUAGAUACACAAAAAGACAUAGAGAGCACAUAAGAAAUCUGUACAAGUAUCAAACUACAAGAAAUCAAUAAAAGAUUUGGACUACUCAAAUGGUCACAUUUCCCGAUGACAGAUAACAUACGCAAUGAUGAUGAAUCCCAUACCAUUAAAGAUUGUGUUUUUUGAAAUAAUUUUUUGAUAGGUAAGCAACUUAUCAAAAACACCAAACAGGCUAUAAACCAGUACAUGUGAUAUGUGUUAGGCACACAAAGGAAAGGAAAAGGAAGAAGAGAGGAAGACACCCUCCCUUAGUUAUACAGCAGAAGCAAUAAAUAGAAUCCAAAAUUGAUGUAUCAUCAGCAUAUUUCACAGACAAAAAAAAAUAACAAGCUUAAGAAGCAUUUCCUUCAGCUCAAAAUUGGAGGUUCCUCAUCCCAAACAUGUUCCCUAUUUCUCUCUCCAUAUGAACCACAUAACACAUGAGGGUACAAAUCUCCAAAACUUCCACCCUCCCUCCCCAGCUUCCUCCCACACCUACAAUUACCAUUCUGGCCUUUGUGAAAUGCAUCAUCUGCUCCAAAGAGCGUAAAUGAAGGUUCACAAUUCUUGCUAUACUACAAUAAACAAAGAGAUGAUUGCAAGCAUCAUAUUCUUUUUACCUUACAUAACUCCUGCAACAGAUUAAAGGCACGUAGCUGGGAAGUGAAAGACCGUUAUUUUUUUAACCUUAGACAAAAUUAAUCUGAUCUAAUAUGCCUCACCUAUUCUUGAACAAAUGCAGUUGCACAUCAGUCAAAUAAAACCAUGACAUCAAAAAAAAAAAAAAAAGGAAUCUGAUCCAACAAAACACAUGCCUGUCAUUCAAUCUUUCCCUUCGCAAUUUCUCACGGCAAGCUUUGGUUCCAGGCCUGGUGGAUGAAUCAUUGCGUCCCCUACAAAUAGUCAACAUGAAAUUAUCAUGAAAAUCUAAUUACAAAAUGAAAAAUAUGGAUCAAGUUAUUCUACCAGAAAGACUUAUAAAAUGAUAAACAAGGAACCAGCUCAUUUGAUAGUUUUCUAUCUUUUUUCAACUCAUAGUGUAAAACGGUCAUGCAAAUGAAAGCAUUCAUAAAGAAUAUCACACUUCUAUUCUAGCAAGAUUAAAAUAAAAAAAUAAAAAAUAAAAAAUAAAAUAAAAAGAUUGCUAUGAUGGAGACAACUGACAGCCACCUUUACAAGUUUACAAGGAGUAAAGGAAUGGGCUUUAAGGCCAAUCUUUAAUUUGGCAUUCUCUAGAUGACAUUGAGCUUACUUGCGAUCUUAUAUAGUUCAACAUGGACUCAGCCUAGAAGUACUUUCCAGAAAUCAGAUAAUGGGCUUCAUCAAUGGUCUUAAGUUCUUACUUUCAGUCGUUUAUGUUGUCAUUUUCCAAGAGUCUUUUAAUAUGGUCAAGUAGUCAUUCAAAGUCUCUGAUAUUUUCAAUCUUCAUUGCUACUGUGUGAGUAUUUCUAAGAAGUUAUAACUCUUUAGAGAAGUUCUAUAUAGUAUUUGAUAAAAUCAAUGAAUGAAUGAUAAAAAUUUCCAACACCAUUAGUAAUAAAUGAUACCACCAUUAGCAAGCACCUAUUAUACAUUUAUUUUUUAGAAAUUUAGAAAAAACAUUAAAAUAAAAAACCAUGAGAAGAACAACUUGAAUCAACUCAAUGACUGGACAAGUGCAACAAUGUUUAGAACAUGAGAGCUCCACAUGUUCAAAAUAUAUAUCCCAUAUAGGUAAUGCUAAAUAGCACAAUUUUCCCUUUUCUACUUUCACCAGUUACAUGGAGAAUAAGAGCUUUAAAGAACAUAUUAAGAGGACACUUAUUCCCUAAAACUUGCUCUUUUGAUUGUCUCAUUUAAAGUAAGGUAAGAACAUUGAAAAACAAAUUUGUGACACUAUCCAACAAUUCAUGGAGCAAUGUUAUAUAGAUACCAGUAUGAGCAUCAAAUUUUCCAUGAGCCCUUAGAUUCAACACCAGAAGAACCUUAGGAUUUGACUAUGAGGCAGAAUAUUUAAAAAAUGUUUUACAACGCAAGUACAUUUAGAGAAUGUUUGGCCUUCAAUGUGUUACAUCUUCUUACCCAUCUACAUCUGAGAUCACAGAAUUCAAAAACUUAACAGUGUAAAGGUUAUGGGGUUGUUAAGCAUAUAAUUACAAACUACAGUCUAGAAGUGUAAACUUCACCAACUCAUGGAUGCAACAAUCAUCAUCCUUAAACCCUCAUGCGAACCAAAUACACUUAUCCAACCAUGUUCAAUAUCAAUCCCUCAAUAUUCUAUAAAAUCCCGAAAUAUAAAUAGCAAUUCAUAUUAAUUGCAUAAUUCUCUGACCACAUACACCAUUGAAUUCAAUCCCAAAGGCAAGAAAAUAAAAAGACAACAAGGGGAAGAAACACAUUGCUACAUGAUGUUACUCAAUCCCGAUAGCAUAGUUUUCCCACAUUUAAAAAAAAAAAAAAAAAAAAAAAAAAAAAAAAAAAAAGCUCGCAUAUUAUUCAAAUCAUACAGUUCAGCAUUGAUAAGAGAUUUCAUUCCAGCAUAUUGCACAUUAGAGUUACAAAUUACCUCUUCUGUCUGCCUUCAUUUUCUUGCGACGCAGCACAAAUACGCGAAAGAUCAAUAUCGACACCAGCACUGAAAUAGAACAAGCAUACCAAUCACAUUAACACGCCGAUCUAAAGUAUCCUCAUUUCAAUUUCACGAUUAAAACAAUUUCAAACAACUUUAGGUCAAAAUGACUCGGACCGAUAUUCUAAUUAUCCGAGGUGAAGCUGAGUCGCCAAGACAACAAUUAACUAUCAAACUUAUAAAAUCAAUCACACAAUUAUGUUUCGCCAAGCCGCUGAUUGGCUGCCGAGAAAGCAAAAGAAAGGAAGAGAAAAUUUAAACAUACAGGUACCCGUCGUUUAUCCAAGAGAGAUCGUUGGAUGUGACGUCGUCUAUCAAUUUAUGAUUAAGAAAAUCCCAAGUAUCAUCGUCGAAGGAAUCCAUGGAUUUGGGAUAGGCAACAGGAAUCCAGCACCUAGUUUGGAGGGGGAGAUGGAUAUUUUGAAAGAAAAUUGCCCAGCAAAGGCCCUAAAGUGGCACCACGUGGAACACGUUUGAAUAAGUAUGACGGCGAGUUGCCGCUUCCUGUUUUGACCAACACGUGUGUCUGCACCUACUCCUUUCCCACGCGCCUCUGUCGUCGUCGAUUCGGGUCCGGUGACCCUCUCAAUUUUAAUUAACUGGAAAAUACGCGAUUUACUGAUUUGAGUGAUUUCCAUUUUUAUUUUUGAAAAAUAAAAAUUAGGAUAAAAAAUAAGUUUCGACUUUAUCUUUUUUAUUUAUUUAAAAAUAAAUAAAAUAAAAAUUUUGGAAAAGGCUUGAUGUUUUAUUUUUCAAAAUUUCUUGAGACAAUUAAAAAUUAUCUUUUGUAAAUAAAAAAGAAUAAAAUUAUAUCUUAUAUUGGGUAUAAAAGGGAUACAUAUAUUAUAAAUAUGAAAUACAUGGAAAAGUAGGUUUUUAUUCACUAAUUUAAAAAAAUAUAGAAAAAUAACCUAAAUUUUUAUUAAUCAUAUUUAUCUUUACCUAUUUAAAAAAAUUUUAAAAUACAUGUAUUUUUAUAAUUUAAAUAAUUUUUUCUUAAAAUGAUCAUUUGACAUAUUUAUAACACUAAUUAACAACUUUUUAUUGUGAGAAAUGAUUUAAGAUUAAUAAAAUAAGAAAUUCAAAAAAUUAAAACUAUAAUACUUUAAUACGAAAAAUACAGCAUAAAAUAUUAAUUUUUACUUCAUUAAAACACUUUGAUAAAAAAUAUGAAUAUCAAAAAAGAGUUGGAAAUAGAAUGAGUAAAUAUUUUUAUUUUAAAAUUUUUAAGUUUUUUUGUUUUUAAUUAUAUUUAAUUUUAAUUGUAUUUUUAAUUUUAAAAUUUUGUAAAAAAAAAUUAUUUAAUUUUAUUAAAUAAAAUGAGAAAUUGAAAAGAUUUAUAUAAUAUAUGAUAUAAAAUCAUUAUUAAUUAGAAGAUUAAAAAGAUUAUAUUUAUCACUUAUGAAUUUUGAAAAAAAAAAUCCACAAAUCUCAUAUUAUAUAAUAAAAAAUUUAUAAUAUAUUUAUCAGUCAAACACCUUUAUUAAAUUAAAAUAAUAAAUUAAUUUUAAAUAAUUUUAUUUAAAGUAAAAUGAUAUUUCAAGAAAUAACUAUUUAAAUUAUGAAAAACUACGUUUAUUUUUAAAUGGGUGGAGAUAAAACUAAUUUUUUUUAAAAAAAAUUAAAGUUAUUUUUCCUAUAUUUUAUCAAAUUAAGGAAUUAAAACCCACUUUUCCUAGUAAAUAUUAGGAUAAAGAAAUAUUUAUAGACAUCAAUUUCAUUCAUUGUUUUGAAUGAAAUUGGAUAUGGGAAAUUCGAUAACAGGCUAAAAUGAAAAUUUUAUUAAACCAGGAUUUCCAUCAGUUGUAUACAUGGAUUUCUGUGUCAAUUUAUAGUUUCGAAACAGAAUCAUUUGAUGAGAAGCGGUCAGCAGAGAGGACUUCCAGCCAAAAAAAGUUGAAACAUAAUCAAAUGACAUGAGCUUCAUUCUUAAGCUGGUCGAUCAGCUCAUCCACGGAAGAAACAAUAACUCCUGCUUUUCUCUUGGGAGGCUCAGUGACCUGAACAACCUCCAAAUCGGAUUUGAUAUCUACAUUCAAUUCCUGUGGAGUGAACUUCUUUAUUACCUUCGAUUUUGCUUUCAUAAUGUUGGGGAGUGUUGCAUACCGAGGCUGGUUCAGUCUCAAAUCAGUGCUGCAUGAGGUACAAAAUAUCAGGUCAAGUAAUGAGAUGAAACACAGAGCCAAGUUGCAUUUAUGCUAGCCUAUGGCAAAUAAUUGCAGUCAGCUUUCUGAUAAUAGCUUUGUUCAUCUGAGAAACACUUCCUAUUCAUGUGUUAUCAGCAUUUCCACAUGUUGCCUACUGCCAUUGGGCAAAAGCUUGGAUGAAAAAGAAGCAUGUUUUUGUCUUAAUUCUCUUAAGCAGAAUCAAGGAAUAGGGUUUUUGAGCAGAACUUCAUGUUACGAGUAGAUCCUUCCAUCAUUUGAGCACUAGCUAGCUAGGAAUUCUUACAAGUACAGAAUAUAAAGCUUGUAAUGACCAUGAAUGGGCUGCAAAGAACACAUGAAUAACUUCAAGAGUUCAAAACAGACAACAAAUUUUGCCCAUAGCAUAUAUUUUUAUACAGAAAAAUCAGUUGCAUACUCUUAAAUGGUCAAUUAAAGCUCAUCAACCAAAUCUGAAGCGUCACAAUUUAACAUUUGCUUAAGCCCACAUGACUUGCAUCAGGUACUCAGUCAAUAACCACAAUAAUCCCACUAGGACCUCCUCCUCUGUUCAUCAUUGAAGACCUUGGAAUUAGGGGACAUCAUUUACAUGGAAUUAGGGGAAUUAGAAGACCUUGGAAUUAGGCAAUAAGCUCAUAUGCUCUCACACUUCCCAAAGACAGUCCUCAUAGAUGGGCAAUCCUCAUCUUAAAAGCACAUCAAUCCCUAUUACAUUUGGUUUCUAACUUUAUCAUAUGCAAACAAUAUGAGACCUUUGACGCUACUGAAAUAUUAAUCUAGACAGACAUUCAUUAACUACAUUUUUCCCUGUUAUACAGAGUAGUGAAAGGUUCUAGAAAGUUUUUAAGCCAAUACACCACUGCAUACACAUCGGAAUAAAAGUUCUGCUUACAGAAACAACGCUACAAUACAUCCUAUUAAGUCCCAUACGAUAUGAAUAUUAUUAACUAUUUUCUGAUAACCCAAGAAAGAAAAGACUAGAAUAGAAUAAAUAUAUUUUAAAGCAUAUUUUCAAACUGGAAGUUAAUUAUAAUCAGUAACACAAUUAAAUAAUGAAUUUAGAGUCACAUGUUUCUAAACCAAAAAAGACAAGUUGUUUAAUUAAUAUGAAUAUAAAUUUAAAAAUAAAACUUUAAAAAUAUGAUCUAUCUAUGUUUCAAAGGUUUGUUAUAGAGAUUUCAGAGAUUUCACGCUUUCUUUUAUAAGCACAGCCAACCAAAAUACAUUAACAAACAGUUUUUCCAAGAGAGAAGACGAAUAAAAACUUCAAGAAGAAAAUUUGUUUAAGUUCAGCAUAAGAAAAUAAUUUGAGUUUAAAUCCCCAAAUCUACAUCAUUCUGUACAUCACCUAGAAUUUUUUUGAUAGGUAACCCAUUUUCCUUUUAUUUAUUUUAUUUUAUUUUAUUUCAUUGUUAAAACUUGAACUUGGAACCUCCCACAUCCAAGCUACAACCCUUUCUCACUUGAGACAAGCAUGAAGGAGUAUAUUUCACCUAUAAUCCUUAGUUAUGUUUGGUUCCUAGAAAGUACCAAGGAAAGAAAAAAAAGGGAAAAUGGUUUCUUAUGUUUGGAUGCUACAGAAAAAGAUAAGGGAAAAAAUAUUGAGGGAAAAUGCUAUAGAAAAAAGAUUUUCCUCCUGAUUUUCCUUAAAAAAUGAUGAGGAAAGUUGGCACAAUGUGCAUUCCUCACAAUUUUACUUCCCUCAAUUUUUCAAUGCACAACCAAAUAAGAGAAUUUUUUUAAAAUUUCCUCAUAUUUUUCUUUCCUUCUAAUUUCUUUCCCACAAACUUUCCAAAACCAAGCAUAGCCUUGAUUUUUUGGUCGAUGGAUCCUAAUAUUUUUUUCCAUGCAAGAAGAACCGAUGGAUUAGUCUUCUCCAUUUAUGGUUCCAAAGGUUUAGAAUUUCUUUAGCAUUUUAUUUUGCUUAAUUGAAAAGACAGAGAACAAUAAAAGUAUUUCAAGAGCUUCAUCAAAAUUUUAAACCACAAAGCUCAAUGUAAGACAUGAUGGCAUGUAAGACAGAAAACAAAAACAAAGACAGAAAAACAGUAAAUAGCAUAAGAAGAACAAAUAGAAAACAGAGUGAGACAAUUACGUGAUUACUGCUGGUAAGUCCAAACAUAAAGUUUCAAGACCACCAUCCACCUCUCUCUCCACUGUUGCCACCUCUUUCUCCUUGUCCAGCACAACCUACUAGAAAGCAGCAGCCAGGUUGAACAAUUAUUAAAGGCAAAGAAGAAUAACUUUUAAAGAGAUCAUCUAAAUGUUCUAUCAACACCAAUUGCCAAUACAUCUCAAAUUCUCUAGGGAAAGUGGGGAGAGAUACAAAAACAUAAGCUAUGUUUGGUUCCUAGAAAAUUUGAAGGAAAAUGUAAGGGAAAUAAGAUAGAAAGGAAAAGUAGAAGGAAAGACAAAGCAAAGAAAAUGCAUAGGUUUCUAACUAAUUUUAAUUAUAUUUGAUUUUAUUUCUUAUUUUUUUAUAGUAAAACAAAACAUAAGAAAAUAAUUUUCCUUAACAUUUUUUUUCCUUAAUACUUUCCAAGAGCCAAAGGUAUCAAUGGUUUUAUUGAUGCACACAACAUAAUUCUUUCAGGUAUGCCCCUUGCAGCUGGAGAACAAAAAGAAUAUAGGUACAAAAUGAUUUAAGAAAACAAAGAUUACCACCAUAGAAAAGCUAAAGUUAAGUUGAAUUCUAUUGCAUACAGAAAUCCAUGAAUCAUGACAGAAAUCCUAAUAAUAUUUUCCAUGAGGAAAAACAUCCACAUUUAUAAUACUACUGAAGAACCACAGUAACAGCAAUUUUAGGGAAAAAAGGACCACUGGCAUAUGAUGGUACCAUAAGAACAAUCUCAGCCCAAAAAACCCUUCAUAGGGGGGGCAAAUUGCUCUAACUCUUGAAAUCUACCCAAAGAAGGGAAACUACCUCUUUAAUCCAUCUUGGUUAGGUACCAGUUCCACAAGGGGCCAUGGUCCCCAGAUCCUUAUUUUUCCUUGUCCACAGUGCUUUUUACAUUCGGAGUAAUUACAAUAUCAGAAACAAGAAGAACAUAACAUCGAUUGAUGUAUUUGGAAGCAAAAAAAAAAGGUUAAAAAAGCUGUCUUAAACCUUUUGGGGUAUCUGUUAUUUUGCUUUCAUCAACUCAAUUGAUGCUUUUUUCAGCCUUUCCCUCCUUUCAUGGCCUUUGAUAUACUCUAUGCAUGCCUUGCUGAUGCUCUUACCAUUCAGCCUAAGGCCACACAACUAGCCUUUCGCAAAGACAUGACUCCAGUUUUCAGCUUUCUCAUCUUUUCAUGGCACACUCGCUAACACUGUCUUCACCCUAAGUGAUAUGAUGUGUCUCACUCAUGCAACCAGUAUUCACCCAAAGAGAUAGAUCAGAGAAAAUUUCUCUGUGUUAAGUUUCUUUAAAAGCAAACAGAGUCUUUGAGAGUUUCUUGUUAUUCCAUCUAUGACCAAAAGGGUUGAGAUUCAUGGCCCCUUGCAAUGAAUUUUCCAUUAUCAUCUUCAAAUCUGACAUUUAAAUCUUGUUUUCUUGUUUUCCUGUUUUUACUCUCAAAAUAAUCCAAAAACAGUAUUUUGGAAACCCUCAAUUACUUCAAACGAUCAAUGAGAGGCAAAUUGGAAACCAUAAUUCACAAGCGCUGGCAAAUGGAAAUGGACUCUAAAAAGAUGUUAGCUGUAAACUAAUUGCUUGUUGGCUCUGGUGGCAUCCAUCAUCAAAGAAAAAAGAUAAAUAAACUGAGACAUGGAAUUUCACUAUCCUUUUUUUCUUAUAGGUAAGCGAAGCUUGUAUGAAAGGAAUAAAGAAAAUAUAUACAACAUAUACAAAGCAACCAAAAUGGAAUUUCACCAUCCUAGCUGAAAAGUGGCGCACUGUUACCCUACUUGAUGUUGUAAUAAGCUUUUUCAUCCUAAACUAGGGGAAAAUGCCACUAGCAUGCACCUUACAAGUCUUUCUAAACAUUUCUGCAUCUCAUCAUGAGAGUUUUAUGGCAGUGAAACCCCAUCCCAUGCCUCCGUCAGUGAGGAUUCUAUAACAACAGAUUCAUAUAUAUCAUUCUCUAAUCCUUUUCUCUUGUAUGUGAAUAGAACAUAGCUCUGUUUGGAUCCAAGAAAGAAUGACAGAGGAGACCAAAACACUCAAAACACUGAACAUAACUUUAGAAAGUUCAAAGUUAUUUUCAGGAUUUGCCUUUUAUUUCUCCCAUUCUCUCUGAUAUAAAGACAAAACCUAAUACUUGUAGAAAGACACAUGGUUAAAUUUUUGUUGUCAACGCCAACAAAUCCAUGUAAGGUGAUGCUUUUCACUAAGAAGAGACUCUAAGAUUAGAUUCCCAAUGUAUAGAGUGUUUGCGCAGUAAACAAAUCAAUCACUUAUCAUUUAUAUAACAGUAGAAGUGUAUGGAGAGUGGGACUAACCUUGGAAGCAAAGGUCCCCUGAGGCCAGUUGAGCAACCCGGCAACCAUUUGCCCUGUUUGAUUGCAAUCGUCAUCAAUGGCCUAGAAAACCCAUGCCCACAUCAGAAAACAACAAUCCACCAUAAAAAGAGUCUAGGAUUUUCACGGAAUCCGCAAAUUUAUUUUUAAAUCGUUACCAAAAACCCUAAUCUCUGGGCACGAAUUCACAGACCUGUUUGCCCAGAAUAAGGAGGCCAGGCUUCUCCACAUCGACGAGAGCUUUGAGAAGCUUAGCAACUGAAAGUGGGUACAGAGUGGCGGAAGCUUCGACGUGGAUGGCCCUAUCGGCGCCCAUGGCGAGACCCGUUCUGAGCGUGUCGACGCACUGGCUGGGACCCACACUGACAGCGAUAACCUCCGACGCCAGACCCGAUUCCUUGAUCCUCAGAGCCUCUUCCAAACCUAUCUCACAAAAGGGGUUCAUCGACAUCUUGACGUUGCUGGUCUCCACGCCGCUCUGAUCGUGGGUUGGCGAUUGUUAUUGGAUGAUGAUGAAAUUACAGAUACUGAAUAACUUGAGAGUUUGGAUUUGGGUUACCUUGUCGGAUUUGACUCUGAUCUUGACAGCGUAGUCCACAACACGCUUUAUCGCCACCAUUAUCUUCAUCUCGUAUAUGGGUGGUUAUCUUCUCCGGCACAAGGGUAUUGGCAAAUGACUGAUGAUGAAGGACGAGGAUAUUCGCCCGAGCCCUACUGCACGACACCACAUCCGCUUAUAAAAUCUUUUGAUACGGAUAAGUACAAGGGAAGUGGAAAAAAAGGAUUAUUAAGAAAAAUAAAUAUAUUACCAAAAAAAUUAUUUAAAAUUUUGUUCAUGUAGAAAGAACCCGUGAAUCAGAUCGAAAAAAUUAUAUUAAAACUGCUGUAUAGCCGAAAAUUGUGUACAGAAUUUAUUUUAACAUUGUAUUAUUGAAUUUUUUAUUCAAAAAUUGCUUAACGUGAGAUAGAAAUUAAAAAAUCAUUAGUAAUUUUGUCCGAAAGUUGUUAUAUUUCAUGUGUUUUAAAAAUAGAUGUAAUUUAUUCCUAUUUGCAUUUUUAACGUACAUUUAAUUAAAUAACCCAAAAAGUUAUUGAGUUCACAUCAUCUAUGGAGUCUACCUCUCUUUGCUUUUGUUGCUUCCAAAAAUACCAUACUCCCAUAUUUUUUUGGUUCUACUCAUUUUACUUUAUUUUUUUCAUUCCAUUCAUUCCACGUGAAGUCUUCAAUCCUAAUAACAUUUACUAUAUUACAAUUAAGUUUAAUUUUUAAAAAACUUAAUUAGGGUUAAAUUUCCUUUGAGAGAACUUCAUUACAAUUAUUUGAGUUGUACGUUAAGUUUCAUUUAAAAAUAACUUAUUUAAAAAGAUGUUAAGCUUCCCCUAUUUUAUUUAUAAAGUUUAAUAUCUAUUUGAUUUUAUAUUUGAAAUCCAACUAAAACCUAAUAACGAAUUGUUGUAAAAAAACUCCAAUCAAAAUACUAACAAAAAUUAAAACAUAAAACUCUGAUAAAAAAUUGUUAAAAAAUCCAACAAAAAAACAAUCAUAAAAAACCCUAAUCAAAAACAUCAUGGAAGUUUAAAUGAAAUUGCCAAAAAAUAAAAAGUAUAGAAAACCCUAACAAAAAAACAACACCAAAACACCUGACAAAAAACAAUUACAAAUUCUAGCACAAAAACCCCCAAUUAAAAAUAUCUAUAAAGAAAAACCUAAAAAAAACCAAUUAUAAAACCUCCAACAAAAAAUAAAGAGAAAGAUGAAGAAUAUGAAAAAUUUUGAAGAAGAAAGAAACAUGAGAGAACUAUCAUUGAUCUUUAUUUGUUAAUCUUUGUUAUAUGUUUGAACUUCACUAGAAAAUGAGAGAGAGAGCAUAAACCUAAAGAGAGAAAGAGCUGAAAAUGAGAGGAGAAAUGAAUCACAAUGAGGGGAAUGACAAUUUGAGGAAAUAUAGAAGGGUUAAAUCAUUUGAACUAGGUUAACGUUUUUAUUAAAAAAAAAGAGUAAUGAAGGUCCUUGUUCUAAUUUCAAGAGUAUGUCUGUUAAUUACCAAAUGUGGCAACUCUAAAUAAAAUCCUUUGUUAUCAACUAAAACUAAAAGUCCCAUUACAUCAUAUCCAACUUUCAUUUGUUAUCAACAAAGUAAAACUAUAUACAACUAUUAUCACCAUCUCUCCUAUUUUGAUGUUAUUUUCUUAGAUGAAUUUGUAAAUCAAAAUUUACACCACCCAUAAAUUUUUUGAGCUUCCUAUUUAACACAACUUCAAUUUGUUAUACUUUGAACAUCACAAAGAUAAAGUAAUCAACAUUUUGCUUGGACAAGUUUUUCUUCUCUAAAGUUUAGAGUCCUAUUUCACUUCCCGUUUAUGGGUUGUUAGUUCAUCUAAUAUCUCACCAUCAUCCAUUCCAUGUACUGUGUUUCCGAAAUGAGUUGAUUCCACAUCCUAAAUGUCUGUGCAAAUUAAUAAGGAAUGUCGAGUUACCAAUUUUCUUAAAAGCUUAAUCUUGCAAGAUUUGGAUUCAAAAUGCAUAUCAUGCUCUCUUUAACACCCCUCCCCCCUCUCACAUGUAGCCCUAUACCCACACGUAGAGAAAUAGACUUAUAGGAAAAUUGGUAGUUUAAUAUAGUAUCAGCACUUGGUUUGGUGGGAGGUCUCCUGUUUGAGUCACCUCUCCACAAUUUACAUUUCUCCUAUUUGUUUAAUUUACAGUUCUUCCCUUAAUCUGUAAUUCUUUGGAUAUAAAUUUUCCCCCUAAUUUGUAGUUUUGUGGAUAUGAAUCUCUCUUCCAUGUUCAGGUAUGGGGCCACACAUAAGAGAGGGUGUUAAAGAGCAUGAUAUGCAUAUUAAACCCAAAUCCUAUAAGUUAAAACUUUUAGGAAAAUUGGUAGUUUAACGCUUUUAGGAAAAUUGGUAGUUCAACAUGUGUACACCCCAUUUUGGGGACUGCUAUUGCUCCCACUUCUUUUUGUCAAAUGGUGGAGCUUUUUAGGAGCACAUGUUGUAUUUGGAAAGGCUAUUAGAAAAUGGCAACAUGACUGUUAAUGGAAGUAAUGAUUUUCUAAAAAGGCAACCAUGGGAAGACACAUAACAAAGAUGUUUGGGGAGGAGGGAGAGUGUGCAUCAAGACUACUCAUGAGGGGUAAGAAACAAAAAAAAAAAAGUGUCGAAGAUAACUAAAAAAUUGGAGAAACAUAAAGGAAUAAGGAUUUUAGGGCUAUGGAUGGUGAACAAGAGUGAAUUAUGGGUGUCUAGGACAGCUAGGAAUGGUGAGAGGAGUAGGGAGCUGUAGAAGGUGAUGAGCUAGGUAAGAUGUAUUUUCGAGAAAGAAAAGAACCAAAGAAAGAAGGUGGUGAAUUAAGUGAGACACGUCUCAGAGAAGCAGAGAAAGUUGGCUUGAAGCCAAGCAAACUUUUGCUUGAGAUGAGCAUUGCCUAGUAAGAUUGUUUCGAUUCAUCGAUUAUUACUGAUCAUCAUACUUCUCUUGUCUUAUAUUCAUGUGAUUAUUUUACAUUGAUUGUGGGGUUGCUUUGGUUUGGUUAUUAUGGCUUCAUCCUCUAUUUCUUUAGUUUUAUUCAAGGAUAAAUCUAAUUGUGCUUUGAUUAGUUAUUCCAUAUUUGAAAAUCUUUGUGUAUUUUGGGUUUUUUCUCUUUAGAUAUUUUCUAGAUUAAUCCACUGACCUUUAAACCCACAAAUAAAGAAAAAUGAAAUGAGUUUUUUCAUAUUUGUUGGGUGUUUGGCCCUUGUUUAUCUUUUUUUAAAGCUUUAUUCCUUUAUAUUCUCUAUUUCUCCCCAUUUUGUACAUGGGUGUUUCAAUCAGAGUCUCUAUUUUGGCUUCCACAUUUGAGAUUUCUUUUAUGAGCGAAGACCCAAAAAUGGAGACUGGCUUCUUGUAAUUGAUAAAAUAGUUAGUCACCCAUUAGCUUAGAUGAAGCAUAGAUGUUAACCGGAUUGUGAACAUGGAUACUCUAUUUUGGGCCUAUUAGGCCUUCCAAUCCUCUCUUAGUUUCAUUAUUCUUGAGGAUAGUGUUUGGUUGUGUCUGCUACUUAUUCUGUGGCUUCGGUGGUCUGUUUGUUUAUUCUUGGCUAUUAUCAAUGCUAACAAUGGGAAAGAGACUGGUUUUGGUUAUGCUCUUACGGAUUUGAAGGUGAUCAAAGGGUCCAGUGAAGAGAAGAUUAGUAGGUCAUAUUAGGUUAAUUAAUUAAUUAGGACAUGUUUUGAGUUAUAUUAAGUAAUACAAGCUCUUAGUGGGCUUAAGUAACUUAAGCCUAGUGGGGAAUGCCAUAAAUACCCCUUAGGGGUUAGCAUUUCCAUAGGUUUUUCUAGAGAGUCAUCUUUCACCUCCAAAGAAGGAGAGUCAUAGCCUUUACCAUUUUUUCCAUCAUUAUCGAAGUGUGUCAAGAUUAAGGUUUAAGUCAUUGAGCGGAAGACUCCAGGUUUAUGAGACUUCAUACAACUUCGUUUUUCAUUUUCAUCAAAUGGAAUUAAUUUGAAAACAUUUGAAUCUGAAGUAUGGUUUUUGUUAGCAUAUUUCGAAUCCCUUUAAAGUUUAAAAAUGCAAAUUUUCCACUAUGUAUAGGAUUUAAAAUCGCUUAAGAUAGUUAAACAUGUUCCCCACUUGAUCUGAAUUGGGAAACGGAGAAAUCUGAUAUUUUCCCAUCACAAGGUAGGAUAAGAACUUGUGAUUGAUCUUUAUGGAUUGGACUAAUUAAUUAAUUGGAACCUAAUUAGGCUAAUUAAUUAAUUAAGACCUAAGCAAACUAGUUUAAGUUACACAAGCCUAGGAUGGACUUAAGUGACUUAAGCCCAUGGGAAGCUUAUAUAAACUCCUUUAGGGGUUAGGGUUUCAAACUUUUAUCAUCUAGUCUUCAAUUCCUUAAAGAGAAUAGAACUCGAGCCAACAACUCUCCUAAAGGAUUCUAUUGCUCCGUGUCAAGAUUCGAAAAAAAACUAUUUGAUGGAAGGUUGUUAUGUUUAUGAGAUUCGUUAUGUUUUUUUACACCUUUUCACUAAAUGGAAUUGAUAUAGGAAUGUUCAUAUCUCAAGUGCAACACACUUAUUCUCUUUAGAUUUAUAUUGCUUAUGGUUUUUUUUUUUUUUGUCAUGGUUUUCCGUUAAGAUUAGAUUAAGAGAGCCCUAUGUCAUAGAAUGCUUCAAAUGAGCCUCCCCGGGGGUUUGUAUAGAGCCCAUGAAGCUUCUAGAGACUCCUAUACUUAGCCAUUGGUGGGAAGAGUGUGAAAGGUUCUACAGAUGUCUAGAGAUAUUUACACAUCUCUACACUAUGGUGGAAGGCAUGAGAGGAGUCUAAGGCAUUCUAAAGAAUUAUAAAGAUCUCUUAUAUAUUCUUGUACAUAGGCUUGUACAUAGAAUUGUGUAGGAAGUUAUAGAUUAUUCUUGAGCUGUAAGGAACCCUCCAAGGUUCCAGAGAGUUCCAUUGGUGCCUAUAAAUAGGUGAAUGCCUCAUUUGGCCAAGACACUAAGCAAGUGAAUUCCAAAACACUUGUAAAGCUUCCUUUGAAUAAUAAAAGUUUCAAUUCUUCAAGAGUUGCCUAUUAUGCCUUCUAAAACUUCUAAGUCAUGAGCAUCUUAACCUAACAAGUUAAGCAUUGGGAGUAAUGCUAACUUAGCAAGAUCAAGGAUCUUGACUUGUCUAAGUGUUGCACGAUCUUAGGAAAAGAUUAAGUUUGUGACAGUUGGUUUCAAAGUGUGACUACGAAGUGAGCAUAGUAAAGGAAACAUGUCGAGCUUCAACAUGGAGGAAACUAGUGAGCAAACCCGUGGGAAAGAAACCGAGCCUACUGCAUAGGACAGGGACAUGAAGGAUAAAUCUCGUAAUGCCAUAGCCAACGUGGAGGCAAGGCUAGCCAAGGUGGAGCUAGCCAUGGCAGACACCCGGGAAGGGGUGGACUUAAUCGAGCAAGGCAUGGAAAAUGGCUUAGAGGAUCUAAAUGAGCAUAUCCAAGACCUUCAUGAGAGAGUGCUAGGCUUACAAGUUCGGCCGAUGUCAUAUGAGGAGUUCAUGUCCUUCCAAAACGAGGUCAUGAGCAUGUUUGCUAGCAUGGAGUCGAAGGUGGAGGCCUUGGCUGCACGCAUAGAGGCCCAAGACCAAGAGGUUCAACAAGAGCUAGCUAUCUACAAGACUGUCUUAUCAGCACGAGUCAUGGCCACUCAUGAGGCACUAAGGGUGGAAGUGCCCAAACCACACACGUUCAAUGGCAAGAGGGAUGCCAAGGAGUUGGACAAUUUCUUGUGGCACAUGGAGCUCUACUUUGAGGUUAUAACACUAAUAGAUGAAGCCACUAAGGUAUGUACCACAACCCUCUACCUCACCAAUAAAGCUACUCUAUGGUGGCGUCAGAGGUUUGCCAAUAUAGAAAAAGAAAUGUGCACCAUAGACACAUGGGAUGCCUUUAAGCAAAAGAUCAAAAAACAAUUAUACCUUAAUGAUGUGGCUUACCUAGCAAGGAAAAACACAAAAUGUCUUAAGCACACAGACUCGAUCCGUGAGUAUGUCAAAGAAUUCUCUACACUUAUGCUUGAGAUACCCAACAUGUCUGAGGAAAAGCUACUAUUCAACUUCAUGGACAACUUGCAAAGCUGGGCCGAGCAAGAGUUAAGGAGAAGUGGUGUCCAAGACCUAGCCACGGCCAUGGCGGUAGCGAAGUCCUUGGUGGAAUACAAAAAGGGAGACUCUUUUAAGCCCAAGCCACAGUCUAAGGGUAAUCAUGCUAAAGGUGGGGAAACAAGGGAUCAAGGAGGUACACUCCUAAGGAAUGAUCAAGCAAGACCUCUGGUGGCAAGGAUGGUAAGGGUAAGGAUAAACGGAAAUAGUUCACGCCUAAGAUCAAUUGCUUCCUAUGUGAUGGUCCACAUUGGGCGCGAGACUACCUCAAAAGAAAAGCCCUAAAUGCCAUGAUCGAGGAAAAGUAGAAGGAAGACAAUGCUCAUGUGGGAUCAUUACAACUCUUAAAUGAUAUCAAGGCUAAGUCAGUGCUUAAGACACCUCAAAGUAAAAGUCUAAUGUACAUAGAAGCCCUUGUAAAUAGGAAGGCUACCAAGGCUUUGGUGGACACUAGUGUCACUCAUAACUUUGUCUCGAAGGAUAAGACAAAGAACUUAGAGCUCCAAGCAUCUAAGGAAGGAGGUUGGCUCAAGGCAAUUAAUUAAGUUUCCAAGCCAUCACACGAAGUAGCACGCAGGGUGGCAAUGCACAUUGGCUCAUGGGAAGGAAUGGUCGACUUCACAGUGGCACCCAUGGACUACUUCAAGAUGGUACUGGGAAUGAACUUCCUAUAGAAAGACAAGGUCAUGCCACUACACUUCCUACAUUUAAUGGUUAUCCUAGAGGAUGAAAAGUCAUGCAUAGUCCUUACGGUCACCGAAGGUUCACCCAAGACCCCUAUGAUAUCGGUUAUGCAAGUAAAGAAGGGAUCAAAGAGGAAAGAGGUGACCUACCUCACCACUCUUAAGGAGGAAAAUGAUGAUGAGUUGGGGGAGCCCAUGCCUAAGGAAAUCAAGAGAGUCUUUGAUGAGUUCAAGGACGUGAUGUUGCCUAAGUUGCCUAAAAGACUCCUUCCUAGAAGAGAGAAAGAUCAUAAGAUCGAGUUAGAUGCAGGAACUAAGCCCCUUGCUAUGGGGCCAUAUAGGAUGGCACAACCCAAGCUGAAAGAGCUAAGGAAACAACUUAAGGAGUUGUUGGAUGCAGGGUUUAUCCAACCAUCCAAGACUCCCUAUGGCGCACCGAUUUUAUUUCAAAAGAACCAUGAUGGGUCCCUACAGAUGUGCAUCGAUUACCAAGCACUCAAUAAGGUAACAAUAUAGAAUAAGUACCCCAUUCCACUCAUUGUUGAUCUAUUUGAUCAACUUGGUAAAGCAAGGUAUUUCACUAAGUUGGACUUGAGAUCAGGCUACUACCAAGUGAGGAUUGUGGAAGGAGACAAACUGAAGACUACAUGUGUGACCCGAUAUGGCUCAUAUGAGUUCUUAGUGAUGCUCUUCGAUCUCACCAAUGUACCAACAAUGUUUUGGACACUCAUGAAUAAGAUCUUCCAUCCCUAUUUAGACUAGUUUGUGGUGGUAUACUAAGAUGACAUAGUCAUCUACAAUAGCAUCUUAGAGGAGCACGUGGAGCAUUUAAGGAAGGUCUUCAAGAUCUUAAGGUAAAACGAGUUAUAUGUAAAGAAGAAGAAAUGCUCAUUUGUUAAAGAGGAUGUGAGCUUCCUAGGGCAUCGCAUCAAAGAUGGCAAGCUGAUGAUGGAUGACAACAAGAUGAAGGUCAUCUAGGAAUGGGAUCCACCUACUAAGGUACCUCAACUAAAGUCUUUCCUUGGCUUGGCUAACUAUUACCAGUGGUUCAUCAAGGGUUACUCUACAAAGACAGCUUCACUCACUAAUCUUCUUAAGAAGAACAAGGCAUGGGUGUGAGACAAAAGGUGGCAACAAGCCUUUGAAGAUCUAAAAAGUGUUGUGAUUGAGGAGCCAAUGUUGGCAUUACCCAACCACAUGAAGGUUUUUAAGAUACACACAGAUGCCUCAAACUUUGCUAUUAGGGAAGUUCUGAUAAGAUAGACAUCUAAUCGCCUUCAAGAGUUGCAAGCUAAAUGACAUAGAGAGACGCUACAUGGUACAAGAAAAUGAUAUGACUGUCAUUGUCUAUUACUUGCACACCUGAAGACACUAUCUUCUAGGGUCUCACUUCAUAGUGAAAACCGACAAUGUUGUCAUUAGUUACUUCUAAACACAGAAAAGUCCUAAGUAAGCUAGGUGGCAAGACUUUCUGGUUGAGUUUGACGAUGCGCUGGAGUAUAAGACAAAAAGUACUAAUCAUGUGAAUGACGCCCUAAGCCGUAAUGUAGAGCUAGCAUUCAUGACGAGCCAGCCCCAAUGAGACAUAAUAGAUCUUCUAAGAGAGGGGUUGCAACAUGAUCUAGUGGCUAAGAGCCUUAUUACCUUGGCCCAUGAGGGAAAAACUAAGUGUUUUUAGGUAGAGGACGACCUACUCUACACUAAGGGGAGACUACUCUACGUGCUUAAGUGGGGGAACAUAAGGUAGAACUUGAUUAAGGAGUGCCAUGACACCAAGUGGGUUGGGCACCUUGGGCAACGACGCAUAAAGAGCACUACUCGAGUCAGCUUACUACUGAUCUUAGAUACAAGAUGAAGUUGAGGCAUAUGUGAGGACUUGUCUUGUGUGCUAACAAGACAAGGUAAAACAACAACAACCUAGAGGCUUGUUGGAGCCACUACCUAUAGCAGAGCGUCCAUGGGAGAGCAUCACCAUGGACUUCAUCAUCGGGCUACCUAAGUUGGAGGGCUAUGGCUCGAUCAUAGUGGUAGUGGAUAUGUUCUCUAAGUAUGUGACCUUCAUAGUAGCCUCUACUGACUGUACUGCAAAGGAGACAGCAAGGCUAUUCUUGAAACACAUGGUCAAAUACUGGGGGUCGCCUAAUUACAUCAUCAGUGAUCGCGAUUUGCAUUUCACUAGGAAGUUUUGGACAAAGCUCUUUAAGCUUAUGGGUUUGAAGCUUCACUUCUUCACAAGCUUUUCACCCGUAAACAGAUAGGCAGAUUGAGAGGGUGAACGCCUUAUUAGAGUUAUACUUAUCCUUCAUGAGUGUCAACCAAAAGGAAUGGACUAAGUUGCUAGAUGUAAUCCAAUUUUCAUACAACUUGCAAAGAAGUGAGACAACCAACAAGAGCCCGUUCAAGCUAGCCAUAGGGCAGCAACCAUUGACUCCUCACACACUACCAAUAGGCUAUACGAAGAGAAGUUCAGCGGCUUUGAAGUUCACUAAGGGGUGACACGAGCCAACUGACAUAAUAGCUCAUACUUGGAUAGGGCCGCUAGAAAGAUGAAGAAGUGGGCUGACAAAAAGCGACAUCACACUGAGUACAAGGUCGGAGACAUGGUCUUUGUCAAGCUCCUUCCUAAAAAAUUCAAGUCACUAAGGCCGGUACAUAAAGGCCUUAUGAUGAGGUAUAAAGGACAUUUCCCCAUACUUGGAAAGGUCGGCAAGGUGUCCUAUAGAGUUGAGUUACCACCGAGGUUGAAGAUUCAUAUCGUCUUCCACGUAAGUUACAUAAAAUCAUAUCACGAAGACAAGAAUUAUCCAAGCCAAGGGAUGUCCUAGAUGACACCUACAUCGAUUAUGACCUUCUAUGACAAGGAAGUAGAACACAUCAUUGCAGGCUGAGUCAUCAAGAGAUGAGGCGUGCCUCCUGCUACGGAGUACUUGGUGAAAUGGAAGGGACUACCAGAGAACGAGACUAGCUGGGAGCCAAUAGAUGCACUAUGGCAAUUUCAGGAGCACAUUAAGUGGUUCUAGGUGGAAGGUGCGACAAGGACGUUUACGGUUUAGGUAGGGGAGAGUGUCAUAGAAUGCUUCAAAUGAGCCUCCCCAGGGGUUUAUAUAGAGCCUAAGAAGCUUUUGGAGACUCCUACACUUAGUCAUUGGUGGGAAAAUGGUGGAAGGUUCUAAAGAUGUCUAAAGAUAUCCACACAUCUCUACACUAUGGUGGAAGGUAUGAGAGAAGUCCAAGGCUUUCUAGAAAAUUCUAGAGAUCUCUUGUAUAUUCUUGUACAUAGGCUUGUACAUAGAAUUGUGUAGGAAGUUUUAGAUUAUUCUUGAGUUGUAAGGAACCCUCCAAGAUUCCAAAGAGUUUCAUUGGUGCCUAUAAAUAGGUGAAGGCCUCAUUUGGCCAAGGCACCAAGCAAGUGAGUUCCAAAGCACUUGUAAAGCUUCUUUUAAGUAAUAAAAGCUUCCAUCCUUCAAGAUUUAUCUACUACGCCUUAUAAAGCUUUCAAGUUGUGAGCAUCUUAACCUAGCAAGCUGAGCAUUGGGAGCAAAACUGACUUAGCAAGAUCAAGGGUCUUGACUUGUCUAAGUGUCGCACGAGCUUAGGAAAAGACUAAGUUCAUGACACCUAGGACUAGUAGCAUGCACCCUAAGUAAUCCAAGGCUAGAAAUGAAAUGAUACAAGGAUUCCCAACACUUGACUUAAUUCCUUAGAAAUUGAAACUCAAUAAAAAACAUUAGUGUCAUUAACCUCAUUUUUUUUAUUACCAAUACUUAAUUAGGGGAAACCUUGAGCUAACAACCUCCUCAUUUUUUAUGAUGAUAAAACUGUACCAUCUAAAGAAAGCUUUCCUUAAUGUAUGCAUAUUAUAAGCAAUUUAAACAUUCAUCAUAAAAGAUGGAAAACAUAAACUCAAAUGGAGACAUGGAUAUAUAGAUAUAAGAGACAUCAUAAAGGUUGCAACAUGAUCGUAUAUCCGAAAUAGCAUCCAAAAGCAUGUCAUCCAAAAAAAAAUCAACCAUAAUAACCAUGUUCAAAUUGUCCCAAAAAGGAAAAAAAUAUAUAUAUGAAACAAAAAGUAUUAAAUAGUUUACUAAAUGUUAUGCCCUAGAUACCUAAAGAUAUCUCCCCCUUAGGCAACAUCGAAACAAUGAGGGAACUAUAUGGCUCAAGGUUGAGGUGGUGGAAACAAGGAACAUAGGACAGCUAUUGAAGAAGCUAAAAUUCUUCAUAAAUGAUUGAAUUUUAUUUCACCAUGAGAAACAAUACAAAGAGGGAUUUUUUUUUUUUUUUUUUUUUUUUUAUCAAGGGGAAGACCCCUUUCUCUUUACUACUUAUCCCUUUUAAUAAAAAUUCUUCCACAUUUUUCCACUUUAUUUUGCCAACAUUCUUUCAACCCCUUUUGCACAAAAAUGCCAAAGAUAGUAUUAGGAUAACCUUUUACAACCAUUGCUAACUUUUGACACAAGUUGCUAAAAAUUGUUGAAGAUUUGCUUUUAAUGUCAGGUAGGAUAGCAGAUUGGUUCUAAUUGAAGGUCAUUUCUUGUGGAGGACCUUACUUAUAAGUGAGAUGAUUGUUCCUAUCUUCAUGGUUUUAUGUUGUAUAGUUAUAGAGACUUUUUAGAGGCUAUCAGCUUUAGAGCAAAUUUAUGUUGUUUGUUAGGGAUUAAGUAUUUUAUUCAAAUUGGGUGAAUGGUACUACCUCUUUACUUGAGAUGGCUUUGAGAUUGGGUGGUUGAAUAGUAGUACUUUGGAAUGGUCUAGUUUUUGUUCGCUUUAGCUAUCAUUUUCUUAUGCUGUGUCUAUAGACGAGUGGAGACGUCAUUUGGAAAUUGGUCAAAUUGCCCGUGAAAUUGAUCAAAUUGUCAAGUUGUCAUCCUAAAAUUGACUAAACCUAGUUUGUAAAAAUGAGAAACGACCGUCACUAGCGACUAACAUCUUCUCAAGCUAAGUAUUAAUAGAUCCAAUCUGAGCAUAAAGGGCAUCUUAAUGUUGCAGGUUCAAUGCUCAUGAAGCAUAAUAUUUUGGAUACUUGGUGUGAGACACCUCAGCAUAAGUCUAAUCCAUAAGGAUAGUCUCCUCAGGAGGUUGAGAUGUGGGCAAUUGAAUGGUGGCAUCCAUGCCCUUGGUUUGCAUCUCCUGUUGAACAUCCUCACCCCCUAAUCCUUUAUGGUCACCCUCAGUCUCUAUCUAUAGAAUCUCUGCCUCUUACUCAACCCGGUCUUCAUUCAUAGCAGGACCCUUUCUUUUUCUUUCCAAUGAUCCAUUAGGCAAUUUCUCAAACAGCAUUCGGUCUGGAUUUUACGUUAUAGGUAUCAUAGGAUGAGGCCUGAAUGUUUUUUUCUCUUCUUAUGUCCACAUUGAAUGCUUUCAGGAUUUUUGUGAUCAGUCUUCUUCCGUUGGCCACUACUUUAGAAUUGCUUUUACAACAGUUUUUCAUGUGUUGAAAGAUGAUAAGGAAACCUUAGAAUGGAUCGGAGUCAAUAGAAAAUGCUACAUAAUAGGACACCUUGUCUCUAUGUCCACCCUUAGGUAGAAAAAUAUGUUUGAUCAUGUGGUGGUGCACCCUAGAGAUAAUGCUCAAGGCAUGGGCAUGGAGCUUUGAAGUCACUGUGUCGAUGGGUAAGUUACAUAUCCUCUAGAAAGCCCUACCUAGGUUAAAACUAGACACUAUAGGCCAUCCCUUCGUCUCAAAUAAACAAAGUCCCCCACAAAGGAUCUCCAAAAUAUCACAAAGCAUAUCAAUAUUUAGUUUAAUUCAACUCCUCUAACAAAUGUGCUAAUUGGCCUUCAUAUAUUUUAGGUUCAAGUAAAAUACCUGAACAAGGUUGGGGUAUGUAGGCUCUCUUGAUGAGAUGGUAUUGGUGAGUAUUUUUUUUUCUUCAAUACAAAACUAUUACAACACUUGGUUUUUUUUUUUUCUAAAAAAAAAAGAAAAAUAAAAAUAGUUUUAUAUUAUACUUAGUUUCAAGAAAAAUAAUAAUCAAAGCAAAAUGAAAAAAAAAUUCUCAUAUUGGUUUCUCGUGAAAAAUAUAAAAGCAAAUAAAAUACAAUUAAAAUUAAUUAAAAUCUUAUGUAUUUUUAAAUUAUUAAUUUUUAUAUAAAAAAUGAAAAAUAGUAUAAUGAAUUUAGAAGAAUAUAUAAAAAUAAUGUAUUAACUUUAAAUCUUUUUUUCUUUAUAUAUAUAUUUUCCCUUCAAUUUUCUAAUACCAACACAUAAUAAGGUUAAUGUCUUCUAGCCAACCAAUUGUAAGUCAAUUUUCAUAGAGCUUUUUUUUUUUUUUUUUUUUACAUGCCACCAAGUAGUUAUAUAAGCAUUUUUGCAUGUUAUUGUUAUCCAACAUACAAUAACUAUAACAUCCAAUUAUUAUGAACAUGAACAAUAAAAUUAGAUGCAACUAACUAUUUAGUGUAUAACAAGAAGUUGGUGAAGUAAUUCAUCCUAACAUGAUUCAACAAUUUUUGUUUAUUUUUCAAGAUUAAUUAUAACAUACCCAUUCUAUUAAAGUUGUUGAGAUAUUUGAGCAAAACUAAAAAUCAACAUUAAUUCAUUUUAUACCCACAAGAGAAAUAAGAUUUGUUUUUUUGUUUGAUAAUAAAGUAGUUGUAGUUAUUAAUGAUAAUUUUGAUCCUAAUUUAAUAGGUAUCCAAAAAAAAAGGAAAAAUGCAAGUAAACCAAUUCUUAUCUAACACAAUUAUUACCACCUUAAAAUCCUGAGGGGUAGCUCAGUUGAUCAGUUCGAGUCCCUUUAGGACCAUGAAAAGCUUACCCGAUGGUUCACCUUAAGAAAAGCAAAGCAUUUAUAUAAUUCAACUGGUAGUUGAUAAGUCUUAGAAAGGGUUUUGCCAUCAUUGGCUUCUCAGUAAAGGGCAAAUUUGGGUUGUGGCUGACAAUUAUUGAAUUUGUGAAGAAAUAUGUGAAGAAAGGAAACAAAAAGAGUUGAGGACAGAAUUCUUCAAUUAAAAAAUGGUUAGCCCAUGAACCCAUUCUUCAAACAGUAAGCCAAUGAGCCAAUGAGCCAAAAAGAAAGAAGAACAGCUGGUUUCAUCUUUUUAUCUUAAUGACUUUGACAACCCAUCUUUCUUUUAAAUACUUGUGACUUUGGAAUAUAAUUAAAAUGAAACUUUGGAAUGCCCACAUCUGAUUCACGGCCUUUUUACCUGUUUUCUUGUUUAACAUUUUUUUAAAUAUUAUAACAGAUGGAAAAACAUGAUUCUAACAGGCUGGAAAAUAGUGGAAGUUGGAACACCAACCAUAACCAAACUAUACCUUCCAUCUUUCUCCAACACUCGGAAUUAUUGAUACAAGUUGGUGGUUUUAUGAUUGUUUCUAUUGAGGGGACCCCUCUCCAUUUCCAAUUUCAAUGGAAAGGUUCUUCUUUCCCUACUUUUUUUUUUUGUUUUUCAAAUUCUUGUAGUUUUGUCUGUCUCUCUCAACAAAGCAAACUGCAAUCACUAAUUCAAAGAAAAGGAAUCCUAAAUGAAAAGAAAAGAAAGGAAAGGAAUGGUAAUUUAGGCUAUGAUGAUGCUCCUAUAUAAUGGCUGUAAGUCAAUAACAACACACUGGACCCGCCUCCUAUCUCAAAAGAUCACAAACCCAAAUAUCAUAUACUUCCAAAUUUCAAUUUGGUUCCCUGUUUAUAUCACAAUCUGUCCUAUAUCCUCUUAAUACAUCUAAAAUCUCUCUAUAUCAUAAAAAUAAUGAUGGAAAAAAAAAUUAAAAAGAAAGAAGGAAAAAAUGACAAAAAAAAAAAAACCUUGGUGCUGCUAUGGGUCCAUAGGAAUUGGCAGGACUGCACUUCUGGAUCCCCUUCCAUGGCCAAAAGAAAAGAAUGAUCUUCGGAAUCUGCUGCUGCAACCUUCACUAGGGCUGAAGUCACUGACAGGCCUGUUCUGUUGCAAAAUCUCUUGAAUUGCUAAAUACAGCUGCCUGUCGUUGGAUGAGUCCAUUGAAAAAGACCUCCUGAUGGGUUGGAUUGAGAACUGAUCAUCUUUGCCUCUAGUGUCAAUGCACUCAUCACCCAUGCUUGCAACAUGAUGAAACUUCCUUGCCUUUUUAGGCACAAUUCUCUGCUCUAGCUUCCUAGGUGAUGGACUAAUUGAUGGCGCAGAUAACUCUCUGGAAUUCAGUCUUUCUGGUGGCCUAAGCAGUGAUGAAUCAGCAGAACUAUCAUUUCCCAAUUCAAUUACUACAAAAUCUUCAUCCCCUCCUAUGUAAUUAUUGGCGUAGGGGCUUGGAUCUUGGGGGGAAGAGCUAGGAGCAAUGAUUUGGUGAACAGGAAACCGGGGUGUGGUUGAAAUGCUUGUUCUGCAAAGUGGGCAAUUAGCAUUGCUUUGAAGCCACACGUCUAUGCAAUCUAUAUGAAAUAUGUGACUGCAGUUUGGUAUGAUUCUUAGCUUCUCUUCUUCUUGAAACUCAUUCAAGCAAACCGCACACUCGCAAUGGCUUCUUUCUCCAAACUCUCUGCCACCUCCUUUCCUGAACUGGAAUAUUGGGAUUGAUCUGAUGACUGACUCGUCCAGGCCUCGACUCUCGAUUGCUGGGGAGUACACCAUUAAAGGGUCUUCCGGGUGCCGACUCCUUGAGAAAGAAAAUCGUCUCAGCAGAUCAAUCCGGUGCCAAUUGAGGCAGCAUUUGAUUACAAAGAUGUAGUAGCUCACCAGCAAGAAAGCAGUGGCCAGGAUUCCUAUUACGGCAAUGGCUAUAAUGGGGAAACUGGUGUCCGAGGAAUGAGAGGGAGAAGGAAGCACUGAGCUCGCCUGGCUUUUGAUGGGAGAAAAGGCUUGUGAUCCAUGGAUGGAGGAGUCUGUGCUCACAAGAUCCAUGAGAGAGGCUAUGAAAAACAUUUAGAAAUGAGUCUAUUCGGAUCUUCAAUUCACAGAAACAUGCAAAUGCUAGAAUAAAAUCGACAGACACUCAGAUAUAGACCCUACAGUUGUAAUGCAGCAUACCAUAAAUGUGAUUGAGUGAGUGAGGCUGAAACAGCAAAUGGGUCACUUCAAGAUCUCAACAAGACAGAAAACCCAUGUUGAAUUCACCAGGAGAGUAUUGAAAAGGGAAAAAUUAAGGACAUAUAGCUGUAUUGAAAGUUGAAACAAAUGCAGAAACAUAGAGAAGAGAGAGAGAGGGAGAAAACCCAGGAGGGUUGAAUGAGAGCGCUGCUGGGGAAGACAUCAAAACGCUUCAAAUUCAAUGAGAAUCUGUUGGGGACCUCUUUAAGAGGACUGCACAAAGCCUGAGCGUAGGGUACGUGGUUGGUUGGUGAAUUUCUCGGCUUCCAAAAGAGAAAUUUGGUGAGAAAAUUUUCAAGUCUCUUGAUUAUAGUAACGUAGCGUUUAUUUUAAUUUUAUGUAACCGAAACUAAUGGGCUGGUUCAAAAAAAUAAAAAAUAAAAAAAGGAACUUUCUAGGAUAGGCCAGCAGUCCACCGUUGGUCAUGUGGUUUCUUUUGCAUGUCCACAUCUUCCAACUAGUGGAGGUCCCUGUCACAACAGUAAGAAAACACCCAAUUGAAUAAAAGUAUGAACUUUUGGCUCCCAAUAUUACUUAUGCCCUCAUUCAAUACCUCAAAUAAAGCAGAGAUUUUGUGUCCCAACUUUUAUGAUUUCAUUUCAUCUUACUUCAAAUGCUAAUGACAAAAGUCCAAGUAUAUUCUGUAAUCACCCACACCCCAAUAGUUUUGAAUCACACUUGAAAUAGUUCCCAUGCUUUCUUAAUAAUUUAGAUAAUUAUUUACAGAAAAAAAAAUUCAGAACAGGAUGAUAAUCAUUUUGUGAUAGCAUGGAAGAAACUUUACUAGCCACUUUGGCCCCAUGAAGUUGAGUACUUGAUGCCAAUUAAUGGCAGGGUGGAAAAUAGAGAAAAGGGAUCAUAGUCAAAUCUAGAGUACAAGGCAUUGAAUCUUUGUUAAUAAUUAACAAAUGGGUAAAGCAUGGGUCACAGGGUCUACAGUUUGGAUUGCAAAAACCUCAGGCUUCUAUAAAAAGCUCAUCCAUUAUCAAUCAUCAAUCUGAAAGCCAGAAAGUCCAAGGCACAUGCAACCCACGACAGGGGUAAGAUUUCUGCAUCAUGUCCCUGAGUUGCAUUCACAUCAUAUGUUUCCCUCCGGGCCGUUCCAAUUUGAAAUCUCAUGGAAAUCUUCAAGAGCAAGGCUACAGAGUUUAAGAUAAUACUAGGGGUGGGUCCUGAUGGGAAAAGAGGUAGUGUAGGAUAGUCAAUAAAGGGCAUGUGUCUCUGGUGUGAAGUCAAAUCCAGUGUACCAUCCUCAAUGGAAAAUUUAGAAAUAGAACCGACACUCUACAGACUGCCGUGUUGACAGAUUAGAGAAAGACAAACCCACUUACACUUGCCUCAAAACCCAGUCCUGCCAUUUCAAAGGCAAAAAAAAAGGGUUUCUUUUUAUAGUCAAAGGUUGAGGCCUGGCCUGGCCUAGCAAAGAAACUUCACCUACUCUUUUCUUAUUUUUCAAAUUAAGGCCAUUCAACUUUUCCUGUUUGCAGGCUUGCUGCCAUAUCUUACUCCAAAAAAGGUGAAAACCCAAAAGAAAAAGAGUGUUUGCUUCAAUGGAAAACUCAUGUUUAAUAAAUUCACCGCACGAGUUUUGUUCCAGCUUUUCCUAUGAAAGCUGUGAUGCGUUUGGUAUGAAGUUGAUUUUGUUCCUAAAAAUUUUGAUCUUGGCGUGGAAGGCAACUUUUUCCUUUUCCCCCUUUUUCUUUUUGAAAAGUUCGGCAUUAGUUACCAAAUGUCCUUUUACUUGCAUGUAGGACAGCGGAAGCAUUACACAUCGCAGCAAAAUCCCAUUUACCCGAAUUUUCCACUAACUCUUUUUAUUUUUUACCAUCAUUUUUUAAUAGAAGUGAUGCACUCUUCAAAUUACAUGAAGCUUUUAAGAAGGUAAUAACCCGUUUCAAAGCGAACUUAACCUACAGAGUAUGUUUUAAAAAUAUUUAGGUAUUUGAUAAAAUUUAAAAAAUAUUUUUUAAAAUCUUUAAAAUGAUUUGUAAUAUUGAAAAUUUAUUUAUACUUUUUUUAAUAAAAAAACAUUUUAUAGGUAAUUUUUCUAAAAUACUUUUAGAGAAAAUGUCUUCCCUUCACUAUAAAUAUUAUAUACUAUCAAAUACACUUUAAAAAUCUGUUUAACAAUAAUUUUAUAAAGUGUUUUUAAUUUUAAAAAUAUUUUUAAAAACAAAUUAAAUUUUUGAUAAAAUUUAAAAAAUCUUUUUAAAAAUUUUGAAAAAUAUCUCGUAAUAUUAAAAAAUAUAUAUAUUUAUAAUGUUUUUUAUAUAAAUACUCAAAAUUCAUUUAAUAGUGAUUUUAGGAAAUGUUUUUAAUAUUUCUAAUACUUGAAAAUUUUUUAUCAUUUAAGUAUUAAAAAUAUUAAAAACACUUUAUAAAAUCACUUUCAAAUGGACUCUUAAUGAUUUUACUAAAAACACUUUUCAUAGAAAACAUUUAUAAAAAAUAAUUAUGAAAUACACUCUAAAUUAAGUAAAAGUUGUUUUUAACAUUACCACUAUUUAUUAAUAGUGCAUUUGUUUAAAAUAUUUAUAUGAAAAAUUCAUUAGGGUGGGAUAUAAAUAUAGAAGUGUUUUUCUUUAUAUAUUUUUUAUAAUAAAAAAUGAUUUUUGAAAUUAUAAAAUUUGAAUUUAAGAAUCAUUUGAUAAUAAUUUUUGUUAAAGCACCUUUAAUACGUGGUGCUUCUAUUGAUAGCGCUUUCAUUUCUAUGAAUGGCUAUAAAUUAUAUUUGAAUAAAUUUUUUAUAAUGUAUUAUAUAAUAAAAAAAAAGUCAUUUUUAAAAAAAUUAUACAUUAAAUGAUUAUUCAAAUAGUAUUUCCUAAAUUUUAUUAAACAUUUUUUUCAAAAAAAAAAAAAAAGUUUUCAAAUACUAGAAAACGUUUUUAAUCUCUCACACGAUCACAUCCAAACAAGUCCUAAUGCUACUCCUAGAAACACUCCAAAACAAAAGUCUUCCUCUAUUAAUGUUCAUAAAAUCCACAUAUAUUCUUCCAUCGUUUUUUCAAAAUUCAAAAUCAUUUCUAAAACAUCAAAUCAUGUUCUUUGGAUUGGCUGACUUGUUUUUUGAAAAUAGAAGGCUCAUUAUUGACGUCCGUUGACUUCAUAACCCAGUCUUGAUCUCUUGAUGGAGGGCAUAAAUGUAAAUUGGACGAAACCCUAGGGUGCGCUAGAGUGUAGAGGAUGAAAGGUUGGAAAAAGGAUGAGGUGGGGGUGUAAUAAAGAGGAGGGUUGGGAGAAUGGGACAUGUGUAGGUGAAGCAUUAAAUUCAAGACUAUGCUUACCAACAACAUAUAAAUAAAUAAAUAAAUAAAUAUAGGAACAGCACAUGGGGUGAGUAGGAGACAUCAGAAGAUGUGAACAACCCCUUGUCAGUCCAAUUUGCGUCUUUUAUCUACUCUAUUAUCUAUAUCGAUUUUCGUAUUUAUUUAUUUAUUUAUUUAUUUUUACCAUUUGAUUUUGCAUGGAUGUCGAAGGGUUUAUUGGCUGCCACGUGUAGGGUUAUGGUCAAGAUCACGUGGGGUGCCUACAUGGGAGUCACGUGAGUGCAUGAGGCAGGCUUGAAUUGCAGGAGGAGCAGGAGCAGAGCAGUGGCUGUUGUCUUAAGACUUUGCUCUCUUGGUGGAACUGCAGCUUAAGCAGCAUCCACGUGUUGUCACGUGCAAUGCGAGCCAUCCACACCACCAGUUUCUUUUUAGUGAUUUUCUAAAGUCAGUUAAGGUUGCAGUCAAUACCUUCAAAUGUUGACAGAGUUAGGGAUCUUUGUUAAAUGGAUUUUAUUAAGAUAUUAGUAAGUUAAUUAAUUGAGGGUCAACAUAACAGAUGGGUCGGGUUGGGUUGAAUCUGAAUUUAAAACGAUUUAAUUUAUGUUUAAUCAAAUUUAACAUUUAACUCGAAGCACUCAACUUAAGUUUAAUUGAAUCUUAGUUUUCAAAACAUUAUUUAAAUUUGGGUCAUUUGGAUUAAAGUCAAAUGGGUUAGAUUAAUCGGGUUAUAUGGUUCAAAAUCCACUUACCUUAUUUUUUAUACAUUAAUAUUAAAAUUUAAAUAAAAAAUAUUAGAAGAAAUUUCAAACUUGGGAUUAGUUGAUUGUAGCCAUGCAUUUGGAUGUUGGUAUUCUUGUUUCUUGUCUUGUUUCCAAAUACCCUUUCAAAUCGCUUUGUUAUUCAAUAGCAUCCUCCCGAUCAUUUAAAAAUUUAAAGAGCAUUGGUAUGAUGGAGGAAUUCAGAAAUUUUAGUUGAAUAAGUAAAAUUUUUCUCUCAUAAAACCAAAUAGCCUCUAUAGCUCAGUGGUAGAGCGUCAGUCUUGUAAACUGAAGGUCUGUAGUUCGAUCCUGCAUGGAGGCAACUUUUUAUAUUUCAUGAUCCAUUAUGCUCUAGUGAUUUAGUUUUCAUUAUAAUUUUAGAUUAAAAAAUUACAUCAACAUUUGAUAAGUUGGUUAUGACUUUGAUAUAAGGAUGAAACUAUCAAUAAUAUAUAUAAAUAUUUUGACACAAAAUAUCUAAUAUAUUAAAAAAUUAAAAAAAAACUCUAAAAAACAUUAUAAAAUUAUAUAUAUAAUUUAUCAUAUUUAAUAAUAAUAUCUUCUACCCUAAUAAAAAAUAUAAAUUUUAUAAGCAUACAUUUAUUAUUACAUUGUAUUAUAUAUUAUUUUACAAGAAUAUUAUGAUAACAUGUCUAAUUUUAAAAUAUAUUUAAUAUUAAAAUUAUCAUCAAUUUUAAUUUAAAUGUAUUUAAUGAUAUCAAAUAAUAUAUAUAUAUAUAAUUUUUUAAUAUUUAUAUAUUUUUAUAUUUAAUAAAUAUAUAAAUUAUGUAAAAAAAAAAGACCUAUUAAGAAGAUUAUGUUUUUAUAUUUGGAUCAAAAUUAAGUUUUUCCGAUAAAAUAUAUGAAACUAUUGAUAAAUUAUUGAUUGAAACGUGAAAAAAAAAAUUCAAAAAAUAGAUGAGAUAUUAGUAAAAUAUCCGAAAAUAUUGAUUGAUGAAUAUAUCAUUUCAAAUUUUGCAUCAACAUCCACAUAUGUUGGAUAUAUUGGCCAAAUAUAUUUAAACCUUGUUUCCAUGAGAAGUCUUUCCUUCAACAAUUUCAAAAGGUUAAUGAGGUGGUUUCCAAGAGAUGUGUGUAGGGGUCUCCAACGGGCGGGCCGGGCCAGCGGGCUUUUUGAAAUAAGCCAAAAUGGCUUUCAAAAAAGGGAAGGGAGAGGAUUUAAACCCCUUCCUUCAUGCUUAAAUUUCAAGGUUCUAACCAAUUGAACUACAUUCCUUUAAUGUUUAUUAAUUGAGUUAGUUAUAUAUAUAUAUAAAAAUAAAGUAUAUUAUUUUUUAAAGGGGCGGGCCUACGGGCUGGGCCGGGCCGAAAGCGGGCCACGGGCCACGGGCUUUUUGGAGACCCUUGGAUGUGUGCAAUCACAUUUGGUAUUAUAGGUGACAAAGUUUGAUAAAUGAGUAAUUAUUAGGUUAACUUAUAAAAUCCGAAUUUGAUUUAAAUUGAUUCAUUUAAUAAUCCCAUUUAUUUACCCAAUUAAAACUUUAAAUUAUUUAACUUAUAUUUAAUUUAAUUAAAAUUUGUUUUUAAAUAAAUAGAUCAAUUAAAACAUAAACAUAUUUGAUUGAAACAUUAAUAAUAUAGAUUUAAAUAAGACCUAAUUCAACCUAACGAUCAAAUAGAAAUAUCUAAUUAUUAAAUAAAUUAAACAUGUUACUUGCUUAAUAAUUAUGUGACAUUUGAAUUUAUGCUUUUGAUAUAAUUAUUAUUUAUAUCAGGUUUAUAUAAUGAAAUAUCUAGACUUUGACACCAGUCAACAUUGUCCACCAAUACAGAUUGCAACUCUUAUAUGCUACAUCACAUCAUGUUGAAGGAAGAGGAUGACGUUCAUUGGCAGCAGAGCCUCCAAUCAUAAGGAGCUUGAGCAAAUUCAAUCUCAACACUGAAAUUCACUAGAAAAAAAGUUUAUUAUUGAUACUUCAUUUGUGUAAAAGCAUUAUAUUUCUUGCAUCAAUCGUAAAGCAUGACAUUCCAGUAGGUACGGAAGAGAAAAUUUGUUAUGAAUUGAAAAAUCUGUCAAGCUUAAUUUGGAGGGCCCAAAAUUGACACGUUUAAGAGCUCUAUCAUUAGCCCAAUGAUAAGAGUCCAUUUCUUGAGUUUCAAGGAAGGCCCAAGUUUAACUUAGAGGGCCCAAUCUUGGUACCUUCUAAAAGGUGCAAACUUUGGCCCAAUUAUAAAAGCUUAUCCUUGCUUCCUAAGCAUCAAUGAUAUAUUUGAUCGAAGUAUUCACAUAACUAUCACGAAAUGAAAUGAAAUGAAAAUGUAUAAGUAAAUGAUGAUUUUGAGUUAUUUACUGACAAUAAAGAAUUAGGUGGUGUUUGUUUUUUUUUUUUUGGCUUUUUACUAAAAGCAAUUUGUUUUCAGAAUUUAGGUUAUUUAUUUUUCUAUUUUUUCAUGACUUAUUAUAAACUUUUUACUAAAUAAGAAAAUCCAAAAUAUAUAGUUUUUUCUAAAUAGAAAAAAUAACAUAUUGGUUUUCUUUUUUUUUUACUUUUUAAUAUUUAAUAGAAAUAAAAUAUUAUAAAAACAAACAACCUAAUAUUUAACACUAUUAAGUAUUAAGGUUUUAUUUAGAAUUAAGUAAAAAAACAAACACUACCUUAAAAUGAAAAGUAUGUAUAAUGACCUUAUACAAAAAAAGUCUCAUUAUUUUCUUCCAAAGAACUCAUACUUUUGUUUUUCAACUAUUACUUUGUUUUUAUUUUUUAAAUAAUAUUUCAAGUUUUUUUUAAUAAUACCUUUCUCUUUAUUAGAUAAUUUUAAUGACUUUAAAAGUAUUUUAAUAUAUUAAUUUAUUAUAUAAUUUUAAUGAUUUAAAAAUAUUUAAAUGUUGAAAUAUUUAUUUUCAAGUCUAAUUUUAAUUAUUUAUUUUUUGAAGUAUUUAAAUAUAUAAUAAAUGUGGGAUUAUGUAAAUCUAGUUGUAAUUAUUUAUUUCAUUCUAUUCAUGUUUUUAGUUGAAUUUGCUCAAAAUUUACACCUCUUUAUUUAAAGAUCAUGGAUUAGUUAGGUGUCUUGAGAUUUUUUUUCUCUCAAGACACUACUUGUUACACUAGAAAAUAAUUUGUGGCUAUAUUUUUUAGGCAAAAAGAAUUAUAUGUUAAAACUUCCUUUAUUGACUAGUUUAUCAUAGGGUGUAGAGGAAAGUUUGUGAUGUCUUUUUAUGUCAACUUUGGGAGAAAAAUAUCACUUUAGCAUUUUCCUUAGAAAAUUUUCAUACAUAAUUGAUUUUGGAACUAUGGAGGAGCAUAAGUAGGGAUAGAUAAUUCGAUUUUGGAAAAAUUAUAAUAGCUUUUCAACUUGGUGUUAAUGAUAUAUUGUUUAUUUCUUAUUUUUUUUCCAUUUUAAUAUAUAAUUGGGGAUUUUAAACUUGUAGAACAAGGCUUUUUCAAUUGAAUUGACACGUACAUAUGAAAGUUCUCUUUGGUUGCUAAUCACAUUUUUUUUUCUUUUGCUUUUUGUUUUUAUCAUAAUGAAUAUUGAACUCGAAAUUCAGUUUUUAAAAUCUUAUGAUGUUUUAAAGUUUAUAAAUAUUAUUGAUUUUUAUAAAUGAUGUUAUUCAUAUCUUGGUAAAGACAAUAUUUUCAUAUCGGUCAAGAUGAUUAAUAACAUAUAAGUUCAUAAAGAAAAACCUAUUGAUUAAUGGAUAUUUAAUGAUUUUUAUUAGGAAUGUUUUUUAAUUAGUUUCAAUACUCAUCUUUUAGAGCAUACAUAUAGGGUUUUAGAUGCUACAUUGGUUUUCAGCUUGUGAUUUAAAUUAUUGAAGCAAAAAAUGAGGGUUUUGCUUUAUGGAACUAUCUAAAGGGAGGUGAAUUAGGCGGUCUUCCUUUUUAAAAUCCAAAAAUUAGAUUUUUAAUACUUAUAUUAGUUAUACAUGUGUUCAAUAAUUAAAACAAAGAACAAGUCCAUAAUUUACAUGUGAUGUGCAUGGAAAAACACCUACAAAUUCUCUCAAAUACUUUACAAAUGAAAAAAAAAUCAAGGAUCGAUCAAUCACAGAGCAACUUCACUAAAUAUGAAAACAUGACUAUACAAUUUUACUUGGAUGAGGUGCUACCUUCUCUUAAGGGUUUUUACACUAGCCAACAAUUACACUCACCUUCACUCUCACCAUGCACCUCUAUUGUGCUCCAUAGUAAACACUUUAAUGACUGUAGCAAGAUUGCGAUAAAUUACUGCGAUUAAUUUGAGAGUGUUGAUAAUGAACAAAAAAUAAUGAUAAUUAACUAGAGAGCAUAUGAUUUUGUAAAAACACCAAAAAGAGGCAUAGUUAUAAGUGAAAACUUUAAUGGAUUGGAUUGAAUAUAUAAUUGAAGUAUGAAUGAAAAAUUACCAAAACAAUGUUCAAAACCGUGCUAAUCAAAGCACAAUCACUUGAGUACUCUCAUGGGGCACUUGAAUGCUCCUUUUAAUCACCGUAAUGCUGAAAUUAAUAAUUUGUCUCAAAUUGUUUUUCCAAAACAUAAAGCAAAAUAUUAUAAAUUUAUAUAAUCAAACCCAAUUUCAUCUUAAAGCUAGCCUACUUAGUCUUAAUUCAUGUCCAAAAAUACUCAUACUUGUCAAAGAAUGAAUAUGGUAUAAACAAAUUCUUUAUUUUCAAUUAUAUUCAAUUAUUGAAAGAAUAAAUCGGUUUACAUACAUUUUGAACAAAGGUAUAUACACAUAGACUAAAUCAAGGAAAUGAGGAAAUCAAUCACAAUCAAAUCAAAAUCAAAUGAUAGGUUGAUAUCUAGGAGAAGGUUAAGUUAGAACCAACUCAUGUAUUCAAUAUUCCCCCUUAAGAUGGCAUAUGGAGAUCAUGAAUAUCAAACCUAGAAAGUAAGGGAUAUGAAAUAUCUAUACCAAGGGAUUUUAUGAAAUAUCAACCAAUUGUUGUUGUGAUUAAACAAAUUGAAUAAGAAUAAUUUCAUUUCGAAUCUUUUCAUAGAUCAAGUGACAAUCAAUUUCAACGUGUUUAUUCUGUUCAUGGAAAAUUAGAUUAAUAGCAAUGUAUAGAGUUGUAUUAUUGUCACAAUAUAGAUGCAUUGACCAAGGAUGAUGAACUCCAAAAUCUAUAAGUAAAUAUUGCAACCAAUGCAAGUAGUAAUCAUUAAAUAAUAUUUCACUUUUCUUCAUGAGUGUUAUAUCAUUGAUUGCUUUUUAGAUCUUCAAGAGAUUGAUAGGCCACCAAGUAAAAUACAAUACCCUAUAAUUGAACAUCAAGAUUAUGCACAAUAGGCAUGGAGGAAGGCAAAAGAAUUCCUUGACCUAGACGAUUUUUUAAAUAGUAUAACACUCAUGUACUUGUGAGAUAAUUGAGACUACAUUGGCUUGUCAAGAAUUUGAACAUAAUUAGCAAUAUUAAGCCCUAUCAUUAUGAGUCAAAGUAACUUCCCAAUCAAAUGCCUAUAAUAAGAAGCAUCCAACAAAGGUUCUCUAUCUAAUUUACUCAAUUCCAAAUUUUGUUUCCUAGGAGUUUUUAAAGUUACAUGUUCCAAGAAAACCAAAAUCUUUUAGUACUUCUAGAGCAUGUUUUCAAUAACUUAAAUAAAUCUCAUUCUUAAAAUAUGUCAUUUCAAUGAUGAUGAAGUACUUUAAUUUUCCAAUCUCUUAGUUAGUUUGAAAAUGCUAUAUAGGUUUUCCUUGACCACCUUAAUUCCUUUAAGAUCAUUCAUUGUAAUAAUUAUAUCAUAAAUGUAAACAAGAAUGAUUGUGAAAUAGUUAUUUGAGGCUUGAGCAAAUAAGAAGUAAUAUGUACGUCUUGGCUUGCUUGUAAACCAUAAACAUCAAUGUGAUAGAUAAUUUGGCAAACCAUCAACGUGAAGCUUGCUCAAGGCCAUAAAGGGAUUUUUUAACUUUGCAAAUCAUAUUUUUGGUUCUAGAUUUCCUACAAACUUGGUGGAAGCUGCAUGUAUACCUCUUUAUCUAAGUCUUCAUAAAGAAAAACAUCGUUGAUGUCAAGUUGGUGAAGAUGUCAAAUUCUAAUUAUACAAUAAUUAGGGGUGACAAUGUGUCUUAUCGUGUUGAGGUGAGAAAUAGUGAAAAUUUACUUAAUCCGACUAUGACCCGUUUGAUAAUCGUGUCAAAAUAACCUAACAUGAAUACAAUUAGUUUAUUUCAUGUAACAUGACCCUUUUAACAUGUUUAAUAAAUAUAUUAACUUGGAUUAUGUAUUAAUUGACAUGAAUAACUCAUUAACUUGAUUUCAACCCCUUAAACUCAUUAACACAAUUCCAACCCAAUAAACUCGUUAAUAUGAUUUAACUCAUUAAACUUGUUAAUAGGAUUAUAACCUCUUUAACCUAUUUAAAAUUUUAAAUUUAUAAAUAAUAAAAUACUUCUAGAAAGUUUAAUUUUUAAAAUUUGAACUAUAAUACAUGUAUGCACCAAUUUCAUGAAGUCCUGAAAAAUUAGCAAAAUUAUAGAAAAAUAAUAUAAACAAAAAUUUGUAUUAAAAUUAAUAAGUAUGGGCUACAAUAUUAGUCAUAGUACUGCUUAUUUCUGAAUGACUUUAUUAAAAAGCGAAGAAUACAUGUGUAGUUCUUAUGUGAUUUCUUAAACUUGUAAGGCGAUUUUAUAAAGUUUUUUUUUUCUUUGUGAAACCUCUUUUUCUAUGUGAAAUUGUUUUGCCGAUUUGAAAUCUUCAUUAAAGGAAGUUACUAUUAUUUAUAAUUGAAAUUAGAGAAUGAAAUGUGGAAUCCCCAUGAUUUAGUUGCUUAAUUCAAGGAAUUUGAUUAAUUGAUUUUGGUAACUUGUCUCAUAAAAUUUUCUAACAAGAAUAUUUAUUUUUAAUCUCUUUUAUUUCAAUUGGAAUAUUUGUUUCCUUUGUAAAUUUGUCAAUAGAAUAUUUAUUUAUUUAUUUAAUUCUCUUUUGACUACAAUGAGAAGAUUUGAUUUUGUUUGUAAGACUAAAUUUUAUAACCUUUCAAAUUUGGCCAAGUGACACCUUUUGAAUAUAUGUCACAUGUCAAAUGUGUGUGACUCAUUAGUUGUUGAACCUAAAUUUUCUUGAAUUAGAAAGCUAUACUUUUGAAGACUAAUUUAGUGAUAAUUUAAUUCAUUAAAUUUUUUUGGUGUCUACAGUAUAUUUAUAAUAUGAAAAGUAAAUUAAAAUUUUAAUUUUUUUACUUGUUUAUUAUUUUAUUUAUUAUUUAAUGAUAAAUAUUUUUAUUCUUUAUUGAAAUAUAUAAAAUUUUAAUUAAUAUUUUAAUUUUUUUAAUUUCUAUAUAUAAAAUAUAUAGAUUUAUAUGGUCUAAUUGAGUCAUUAAAAUAAAUAGGGUAAAUAACUCACACAUAAGUGAUGGAUCAUUCUAACAUGAUUAAAUUAACAAGUUAGAUGAAUUGAGUAGUCAAAUACAAACAUGAUUUGUUUAUUAAAUAAGUUAUAUGAAUUGAUACGAUUAUGACAUCAACUCAAUUAAACUUAACUCAAAUAAGCUUUGUCUUUUAUUUUAAGUUGUCUAGUUGUUCACACAAAUUUUCUCAAAAUAAAGAAAUUAUAUAUAAAAUUGUAAAUUUGAUUAUUUGAGGGGACCAUUUUCAAUACUCUUUUUUAAGUAAUCUGGUGUUUAAUUUUGAAUCAAAGGGGCUUUCAUUAACAAAUAAUAGACUGUAGUUUUCAUAUAAGAAGAAAUCUCAAGCCUUUUUUUCUUGAAGGAAUCUUUAAAUUUUCUUUGAUACUUUAAAAAAUCAAUCUUCUUUGAUUUUUUAAGAAAUCUUUGAAUUUUCUUAAAGUCUUCAAAAAAAAAAAAAAAAAAAAAACUGAGUUUAAGGAAUUUUUUUAAUAACUCUCCAAAUUUCUUUGAUAUUCCAAAGUGUCCUUUAGAAGGGGACAAAUCCUCUAUUUACAGGAUUGAGAGUUUUAUUUUAAUAUUAUCUCUUAAUUUUUAAGAAAUAACUCUCUUAUUUAUGAUAAUUACUAUUUAUUUUAUUUAUCAUAAUUAGUUGCCUAUGAUAAUUAUCAUAAUUAAUUUUUCUAGAGAUAAAUAAUUAUAUAUAUUUAAUUAAUCAUGAUAACUAUAAUAUUUAUUUAAUUUUUUAUUAAAUUAUUUUACAUAACAUAUCAAUAUAUAUUAUUAGUCAAUUAUUAACACCGAAAAUUAAUGAGUUGGCAUAAAAUUUAUCUCUCUAUAAUAGUAUCAAAGCGAGCCUUAAUAAUAACAUUGCUUAUAGUCAAUUUCACAUGCCAACUUUUUACUGGGCAUUGGCGAUUUCAAUUUUGAUAGUCCGGUUAGAAAAAGUAGGUAAAGAUUAUUUGAUGUGGUAGGUCAUUUCUUUCAUAAAGACGAUGGCGGUGAAUUCAUGAGACAGGUGAUAAAGGAGAGAUUCUUUCUUUUGGCUUUGGAAUUUUAAUGAGGUCCUCGAUCCUCAUCCAAAAUACACCUCUCCAAUUAUAAAAAUCUUAUUAAAAAAAAAAAGAUUUGACAUGUGCCUUUCGAACUGCUGGUUUUCUGUUCCAAAAAUGAGAAUGGUUUCAAGUGGAUGAAGGAAGGUGAAGAACCCUUGGUUUUGUUAAGCGAAAAGCCACAUGAUUAAAUAAACAUAAGGCGGCAAAGGCUGAAAAUUUAAAAUUAUACUAAGGAACCCACCCCACAGGGCGACUACACUUUUGGUGAAGCCACGAGAAUGAAAGAUAUCGAAGGUGACACCAAGACAUUAAGCAGCACCAAGGUUUCGAUAUAUUAUAAGAUGGGAUCUUAUGAAAGACGAUCUCUAAUCUCUCUCCAAUCUCUUCUUUAACCUUUUCUUACUUAAAUCCAUUUCCAUGGUAGGGCACAUGUCCAGCUGACCCUACCCCCUCACCUACCUAUACUGCUAUACCCUUUUGUAUAAUUUGAUAUGGAUUGGAAGCCACCCCAACAUCUUUCUAAUUGCUCGUAAAUGUUGAGGUGCCUUUCCAUUUUGAGGCUGCCCUAAUGUGUGGCUGAAGUACGUAGGAAAAAAAAAUUGUGAUACAUGCACUGACGAAUCAAAUCCCAAUGUCAAAUUAUUAGACUCACCUGGUUCUUAAAUUAUUGUGAAUGCCGCUGGCCAUGGAUAAAUGGAAUUAGUGCGUGGCUUAAUGAAAAUUUAUUUUGAAAGGGAUAUUAAUUUGAGAGAAUUUUGGCUGAUACUUGGAGUUGAACGUAAGCAUAUAUGACCUCAUUUCGGGUGUGAUAUUGUGCUUAUAACGAACCUUUCGUUCUUUCCAAUUCCAGUGGGUAUUAAAUAAUUAAAGAAUUCAUGGUUCGAAGGCGAAAGGUAGAAGACCAAAAAGGGAUUACAAAGCCAUCGGCUUGACCAUCCAGAUGCAAUGGAUACAAACUUUGGACUCUAUCGAAAGUUCUUUGGGCACGUGCCCAAGUGUCCUACCCAUAUGAUAAGUUACACGUGGCUAAUUGCGGACCGGUUGCUCGUGCUAAACAGGGUACUUUUUCUACGCAUAUAAGAUGUUUCACUAGUGGGGCUUCACCAUGCAAACUCAUGGAUGAAGACCCUGAGGCCAAGAUGAAGGAACAGAAAGAAGGCGGAGGAGAGGUUCGGUAUCGAGGCGUUCGGAGGCGGCCAUGGGGGAAGUUUGCUGCGGAGAUACGUGACUCGACUAGGCAUGGAGCGCGCGUCUGGCUCGGGACUUUCAAUUCUGCGGAGGAGGCUGCAAGAGCAUAUGACCGAGCUGCUUAUGCCAUGAGGGGUUCCUUGGCGAUUCUCAACUUCCCUAAUGAGUAUCAUACACCCGGCACGGCUAGCUCUUCAGCUUCAUCCUCAAUGCCCGAAGGUGAUCAGCAGGGAAAACAAGUCAUUGAAUUGGAGUACUUGGAUGAUAAGCUGCUAGAGGAUCUUCUCGACUCUGAAGACAAAAAGAACAAGAAAACCUGAAGUUUCUGCUGCCUCGAAUCCCCUGAAAUCUAGUGCUUCAUCGAAAAAAAAUCCCCUCGCUCCUGAUUAACAACAUUUUUAUUUUAGUCAAUGAAUGUGUUCUCGGAUCAUUAUAAGUAUUUCUGCCGAAGUCCAUUGAUUUUUGGAGACUGAAAAAUGUCAGAAAAAUUGGUGCGAACAGGUUUACUCCUUUCUAAAUUAUGCAAUUGAAGUAUUUGGAUUAGUGCGCAGUGUAAACAUCAAGGAAAGCAUGAUCCACUAUUUUAAGGAGCCUAAGUGCUUUCCCCUUUACUCUUUUAGGAUGUCUUUUCAGUGAAGAAAGUUGGGAGACCACCACUUACCCUUUUGAUUGGUAUAUAACUGCCAACUAAUAACUGGACUAACAUUUGGCCCGUCUGGCCCUACUUCUUUGACUUUGUUGUUAAUUUAUAACUUUAUGUGAAGUGGGGGCUGUUUGGGAAUGUGUGAAGCAAGGAUUUGAGCCGACUUCGCCUAAUCUGAUUCUCCAUAAGUGACUUCAUUUUAUCAUAUUGGUGUUUUUUUUCUUCUUCUUUUUAAAUGGCUGGGGAGGAGGGGAUUUGGGAGGGAUGCAAUGCCAUGGUUGCAUGCUGGAUUAUCCUUCCAAAUGAAACAUCCAUUUGGUUUCUAGUAACUAAUUGCAAACAAUUAAAGAGAAUAAAAUUUUAAGAUGAUUAAACAAUAAGUACCUAUGUCCAUGAAAAGGAGAGAAGUUCACUCAUGGGUGUUCAUGAAAGACAUCACAAAGAACCAUCAAUAUGAGAAGAAUCCUGAUACAAUUAACUUUCAUGCAUAAGAAAAGACGCUCAAAAAAGAAUAAUGCUUACAAGGAAAGAAUCUCACUACGAUCAACUGAAAAAAUAUUCCAAUUUAAUUGGAAAUCCUUACAUGGGAAGAAUAUCAAUAAAAUCAACUAAAAAAAUAUUUUAAUUUUAUAUCAAAAUAUUUGUGAUUUAACCCGUAUCAUUUCAUCAUGACUUCUUAUAAAUUUUGUUCCUUUUUAUCAACACCACCCCUUGAGUUGGAGCAUAAAUAUUUAUUAAGCUAACUUGAACAAGAUCUUGAGAAAUUUUGUCGCAGGAUUUGUUUGCACUUUUUUUUUUCAAAUAAAGUCAUAAUUAACUUUAAUAUGUUUAAUCAUUUCAUGAAAUACUAGAUUUUAAGCAAUGUUGAUAGCAUACUUAUGCCUGAAAGCUUUAUCCCAAAUCACAUGAGUACAUGAAGUGAUUGCAUCAUUAAUGGUAGUAUUAUUACUUUAUAUUCAACUUCUCCACUUGAUAGGAUGCAUGAAAGCAUUGUGCUUUCUUCUGUUUCAAGUAAUAAAGAUUAUCACCAAGAAAGGUGCAAUUAAUACCUAGUAACAGAGUACCUAGUGGUAGCAUGCACCUAUCCACUGAACUUGUACUCGACUCUAUGAGUGUACGUUACAUAGUCCUUUUUUCGAAGUCUAAAUGUCCCUUGAUAAAACCUUCUAAUAUUUGAGGUUUUGGUAACAUUCAUGUAUCAAUGAACAAAUUAAUUUACUAGCUAAACUUUAAAAUUAGGCAAUGUUUUUCAAUGGGUGAUCAAGAUCUUGGAAUUUUCAAUGUUGUUUGAAUAGCUUCCACACACAAGCAUAUUUUCUCCUAUUUAGGAAUAAUCCCUUUUUUGAAGGUGUGAUCUUUAUGCUCAAAAAAUAAAGAUACUCAAAAAUUUAAUAUUGACCUUCUCGUGAAGGAAAAGCUUUAUAACUAAUUUUUUUUGUGCAUUAUAUAUAUCCUCAAUAUAGACUUUAAAAAAAAAAGAAGUAACUCCCUCUACAAAGAGUGAAGAGUCAAUUAAACUUUUUUUUUUUUAAAAAAAAGGAACCAAUUACUCGUAAAAGUAAUGAUUAUUUUUACAUACCAAACUUGAGGAGAUUACUUAAGAUCACAAAAGUUUUUAUUAAAUUGCAAGCUAGAUGCAUUUGAAACGAUCGUUGAUGUCUUAGCAACACCUUAUGUAACUCAUCAAUCUUUAUGUAAAAAUGCAUUUUUAACACCCAUAUAAAAUAAUGAUCAAUCCUAAUUUAAUAGAAACAAAUGGUAAUACAUGAAUAUCAUUCAUAUUAAUGAGAAAAGUAAAUAUUGAUUUAUAAUCAACUUCUUAAGUUUGUGUCAAUGCCUUAAUCAUUAGUUUAACUUUGUCAUUCAAUGAUACCAUCAUUACGACAUUUAAUUAACUUAGAUUUGCGUAAAUCCCUUAAUCACUAGUCUAGCUUUAUGUCAUUCAAUGGUACCAUCAUUAUGGUAUUUAAUUGAUCUUAUACCCCCAAUUUGUAUACCCCAUGUUUUUCUUAAUUUACCAUACAUCACUUAACAAUGUUCCAUGCAUGGAUUUUGUUAAGUGCCUUAAGUUCCUUUUGCAUAGCCUUUCUCCAAAUUGGAUGAGGAUUGGCUUCAUUAAUGUCAUUAGACUCAUGAUAUAUGGAACUCAAACAAUUGUUAAGUGAUUUUGUAUAUAUAUAAAAAAAAAAUUGUAAUUAAUGUGGUAGGCAUAAAAAUCUCACAAAUGAGGAUUGAUUAAUUGUUAUAAUUGAGCAACAUGCUUGAGGCUUAGUCACAAUACUAGAACUUGAAGUCAGACAUUCUCUUCAAAUAAGGACGUAUAUACAUUAUAUUGGAUCUCCAUUAAACAAGUAAAGAACUAUUUAGUAGACAAUGAAACCUCAUUGAUCAAUGGUGGUAGAGAGACACAUGAUGACCAGACUAUUCCCCUGGAAAUGAGAAUAAAAAAUAUCAUUAGCCGCAAAAAUCUCAAAAAAAUUUAGAUAAUGGGAUAUAAAGAGUUUAUGAAUUUUACAAUCAUAACUCUUAUACUGGUUUAAGUGGUAGAGUAAUCAAGAACACAAAACGAGUUUGAUGAGUGGUUGAGAUAUGAACAAAGCAAAGAUUUCCAAAGACACCAAAAUCAGAAAUCUCAAUUUUUGGGCUAAGGAUUUCAAGAAGAAAUUUAAAAUUAACUACAUGACUAGAAAAUUUGUUCAUCAAGGAAAUAGAAGUAACGAUAUCAUAACAUCAUAAUUAAUCAAUAUUUUUAAUAACAUGCAUUUGGAACAUGAUAUACCGGCUUUCUAAUAAUCAAUGAUUUUUGGUUCAACCACACCAUUUUGUUUUGGGAUGCCAAUACAACAAGUUUAACGAANNNNNNNNNNNNNNNNNNNNNNNNNNNNNNNNNNNNNNNNNNNNNNNNNNNNNNNNNNNNNNNNNNNNNNNNNNNNNNNNNNNNNNNNNNNNNNNNNNNNAUGUAAGUGCCAAAUUAGGUAGUGUCGACAAUGAAAUGGAAAUUUUGGAAUAUAGAAACAACCUCAUUUUUAUGUUCUAAUAAGUAAACCUAUGUAGCAUAAGAAUAGUCAUUAAAAAAAAAGGUAACAAAAUGUUGAUUUCCAUCCUAUGGAUCAAUUAGGACACAACCCCAAGGUAAACUAAUUUGAAAGUUGCAACAAAAAUGGAAAGAGAUGAAAAAAUAAUAGAGGAAUUUAAGGUUGUUUCAAAAUUUCAAGACAUGCUAAGAAACACAUGAGAUUAUAGAUGAUUAGGUAACAACCUUGGUUAAGUAUAUUCAACAUAUAUAUCCCACGAGGAUAAAUAUCUUCACUAAACUUUUCCUAUUAUUCAAUCCCCUAAUACCAUACAAGUGAAAAAUUAAUGUCACGGUCAAAAAUUUUAAUAAGCUUCCAAAGAGAUAAUAAUUUUGGGGAAAAAAACAACCUAAGAAACCUAUGAAUUGAGAUAAUUUAGGAAAAAACUAAAUGUUCGUUAGCUCUAGAAGGGAAUUGAAGCUCAUCAUCAAUAAAGAUUGUUGCUAUCUCGAAUAAUAUCAAGUAAACCAUUAAGAUCGCUAUUAAUGGUAUGAUUAGCAGCACCAAUUAUCGACAAAAAAAUUAUUAAAAAUAUAAGAAAUGAGAGCUUUAAGAUUAUCUAAUUGAUUUGUAAACCUAGGUAAGUGAAUCAGUAUUACGUUUUGUUAAGGAAGCUUAGAUCCAAUUGGUAUCAUUCACCAAGUUAUUGGAUUAAAUUACACUAUCAAACUUUGGCUUUAAAUGAGAAUGAAGAAUCUAACCACAAUCCUUAUUGGGAUUAGAUAUGUUAUUGCAAUAAUGUUUACAAUCGGAUGAGUGCUAAUUUCUAUUGAAAUCAUGAAGCAAUCUCUGAUCAUUGGUCUUCUUUGUAGAAACAUGAGCAUUGAAUUUAAAAUUAAUAAUUGUUACUUGGGAUUCAACCUUCAUAAUCAUUGCCUGGGUUUCCUAAUCACUUUCAAGAAUUACUUAUAUAGUGAAGGCACUCGAAACUAAUCAAAUUUGUCCUCUUAUAAAGUUGUCAUAUUCAAGCUUCAGAAUAGCCAAUAAUUGAAAAACUUAUCAUACUCCGCAAUUUGUUGAAGAAUAUUUGGGUCUAUUGAAGGGGACAAUAUAGGGAAUAUUUGUCCCAUAUGCUCAAAAUGUUCAAUUAACAAAGUGUUCUGUAUGUUUAGGGAUUUGUUAGCUUUAAUUACACAAAACAUUAGCAGUUUUAGAGAAAAUUAAUUUUUUUUUGCAAUCUUAGGUUCCAUGAAAUUAAAAAGCCAAUAACAAGUCAAUAUGGCUUGAGACCCAGUCAUCAUAUUCAAAGUCAUCCAACUUAGAAGCAUUCAUUUUGCCACUAACAUGUGCUAAUUUCCAUUUUCUAUCUUUCAAGAGAAAAAGACUGCUCUUAACCAUGGCAAAUAAUUGAACCCAUUAAGAAGAUUGAGGAAAGUAUCAUAUGAGGGUUGUCAUUUUCCUCCAUGACAAAGAAAAAGCAACAGAGAAAAACUCAUAAUAUUAGAAAGAGAAUGAAAGAAAUUGAGUCAUAGAUACACACAGAAGAAUCCAAAAAUAAAGCAAUAAUACAACCACAAAUAUGAGAAGAAGCUCAAUUACAAAGAAAGGAACUCAAUACAAUCAACUAAAAAGCGUUCCGAAGUUCAUACGAAAAUAUUCAUAAUGUGAAGAUCAUUUCAUGAUUCCUACAAUUUCUUCCUUCUACCAGUCCACUCCAUACAAGGUUUGAUCAACAACUUCUUCAUUGAUUUUCUGGUCUCUCUCCGGUGUAUCAUAGAGCAUUUUUGACAUGUUUCUGCAAGAUACACUUGUUAACUUUAAGCGACAUAAGUGCAAAAAAAUAAGAUCAUGUUGUAUUGCCUGUGCUUCCACUCUGCCUUGUUUAGUACUAUUAUGGAGCAGUACUUCCAUAUAGAACCAGUGAUCUCCAGUUCAUUAUGUUGCCUUCUUUAAACUAACUUUAAUUAUCUAUACAUAUAAAACAAAGUGGUCCCAUCAAGGGGCUAAAUCAAGAAUCAAGUGGGGCGAACAGGAAACAGUGGCAUCAAUUUUUAAGUCCAUAAGCUUUAAUAAAAGGAAUAAAACCAAGGAUAUGAAUAUGUUAUUUUUUCAUUUGUUCAUGCACUGGAAGAUCUUUCCUCUUCAAGCAUUGAACCAGCAUCCUUCUGUGCAAGUUGCUGUCGGAACCUUCUAUAAUUGUCAGAAGUCUGUUUCUGAAAUAUACAGAUAAAACUUUUAGCAAGUCUUGACAUUGCUCAUCACUAGGACAUUGUACUAGGAUACCAAUUCAUCUAAUUAGGGUUAAGUUGGCAUCUCGUACACUAUUUUUUAUUUUUCCUUCAUCUUUUGUUCCCAUUUGCAGUGGAAGUGGCACUUAGAAUAUCUGAUCAUGAAGAAUUAGCUUUCGGUGAGAUGAUACUAGGUCAAUUGCCAUUAUCUUUUUGAGUUACUGUGCGAGCAAUCUUGAAAAUAUUUUGGGAUAAAUAGAAUUUGUGCUUAUCAUAAACAUGCUAAACAUCCAAAUCAAGUGCUUUUACUAUUGAUAUCAAAUCAGUAAUUGAUUUUAACCUUUAUGCUUAUCUUUCAGAUUCUCAAUUAUGUAUCUUGAAUAAUGAUAUUAAGCAGAAAUCAUGAAUUGAAUUGCUUUAAUUAACUGUGCCUUAUCAAGCUUGUCAGCAGUGCUAUUGCUACCGCGAAUCAAAUUCGCUGUGCUUCCCGCCUUCUCCAAAUAAGCCACAAGCCCAAUUAUAUCCGCCCUCCUCCCAUCUCCAAGGGAUCAAAAAAUAAAAUGACUUCAAUCAAUUUUCAAGUUUUCCAUCUUGAUCAGUAGACCACCCGGCAUGAAUGUUACCCUCAGUUUAGGAAUAGGAAUUCCUUUUACUAAUCAUUUGGCACUAAAAACUAUGACCCCUAGCAAUUCAUUCCCUCCAUUAGAUAUCUGGGGGCAUCUUGGCUCAGCCAAAAAUGAUAAGUCAUUGCAUUUCACAUUGCAUUCAUUUGUAUUAAUGAGCUAAUUUUUUUUCACAGAAUGUGAUGUGAAUCGAAUUACUUCCAACCAUGUGUCUCUAUAAGGGUUUAACAAAUGUAAUUUGCAUUGUCUGUACACUUUUUUUUCGGUUUCUUUUCUUUUUUAUGCAUGAUUCAUUAGUCCACGGAUCUUCUAUGCAAAGUGUGCAGGCCAAACACCUCCUUCAAUGCAUUAUUCUAGAAGUUAAGACUCAGUUUACUCCUUAAUUGAUCUGUUCCAUUUACUUCAAAUCAUUUGAUUACAUUAAAUGAAUCUUGAAAUUCAAAAAUGCAUCAAAGUUAAAAGACCUUCCAAUGCAUUAAGAAAUCAUCUGAUACAAAUAUAUGUGAACCUGCAACAACAAUAAUGUCAAAAUGGAAAACUUAGGUAGAAAAUAUUAGAACGGAAACUUACGACGAACUCAAUUUUUGGCGCCUUUCUUCUUCUCAUCUUCUGAUCCAAGAAGCUCUUCCAACACCGUGUCAUCCAAACACUCGAACUCAAUGACUUGCUUUUCUUGCCCAGAAGAGGAACCUCCCAUCUCUAAACUCCUACAAGGCCCAGAAGAUGACGAGGAAGACGAUGAGGAUGGUGAUGGUGGGGGGCGAUGGGAGCCCAUGAUUUCAGAAUAGUACUCAUUAGGAAAGUUAAGAAUGGCAAGAUGACCCCUUAAGUUAAAGGCCGCUCGAUCAUAGGCGCGAGCUGCAUCCUCCGCCCUGUCAAAUGUGCCUAGCCAUAGACGAGCACCUUGCCUAGACGGAUCCCUAAUCUCGGCUGCAAACUUCCCCCAUGGCCUCCUCCUCACCCCUCGGUAUCGAACUUCUUCCUUUUCCUUCCCUUCCUGCUCCUGCUUCUCAUUCCCUUUCGAAUGAUCUUCCAUGCUAAACGUGUCGAUUUGCUAGGCGCAAUUUUUUUGGUUUCAAAUGUGCUGGUUUACGAGAGGCAUGGAUGCUUAUGUAUAUAUAUGGUUGCCACAGUCAGGUCUGACGUCACCGCUCAAUGUAUGUUCCACAGCGUGGGUUGACGAGCUUUCUGAGGGGGUUUCCUCGAAUUCAAAGCAAGUAUAAAAAUUCGAUUCUCCGACCUUUCCAAUGAGGAUCGAACAGGCCUUUUAUUAGAACCGUAUGAUAACUCCACACUGUUUUCAAAUAGUCAAUGUGAUCUAGAUUCUUCGUUAAUUUUUUCCACCUGACUGAUUGUUUACAAUUUUAUUUUUCACCGUCCCAAAUUUAAACCAUUUACGCGAUUCCCUGGAUUGCAUUUUUCUUUAAUGUUGACUUUACGAGGCAAUAGGACCCCCCAGCAACCCCACUAGGGCGACUUCAUGGGAACCAGAUUACUUUUGGAUCCAGAUAUGGUCCAGAAGAAAUAAGACAAAUCAAUUAAUGUCCACUAAAGUUUUGAUGGAACCCUUAGUCCGUGUUUCCUGUGGAUGUAUGUAUUGUAUGCACCUCAAUUUUCACCAAUCCCUGCUACGAGUCCCUUUAAUUUUGACGUUAUAAAUGUUUUUCCUGACAUUAGCAGAGUGUUUUUCUGCCGUCUUUGAGGACCUUCCACGGCCCAUAAACUAAUAAGGAUCGUCCAGUGAAUUUAGUCUUCCCCAGUUAAUUAUCCUGCGAGGGAAACUUGGGCAGUAAGUUGCCUACAUGAGUGGCUCCCGCCUACAUGAGUCAAGGGACCAUACGUCAGGACGACAACCAGUGUGGUCACACCAAAGUGGGUUGCCUGGACUCCAGGGUGGUCGCUUCAAAGUUGUCAAAUGAAGGCUAGCUUGGCAAGUUUUGGAAAACAAUUAUUGAAAAACAUUUUUCAUGAAUAACAGUUUCUAUGAACAGAUUUUAAGAAAGUUUAUUUUGUGAUUUUUAGGAAUAUUUUUAAUUUAAAUUUUUAUAUUUUUAAUUUUUUAUUAAUUUAUUGAUUAUUUAAUAUUAGCUUAAUUAAUGGAUUUUUCUUGGUCCCAAAUUAUUAAUUUAUCAAGAUUUAAUCGCAUCCAUAAUUAGUCUAAUUUCUUUUGGAGUGAGUGUGACAAAGUGCAAAUUUCUAGAGUUUUAUUAAUGUUAUUCAAUGUCAUAAUUUAACUAAUUAUAUUAAUUAUUUAUUAAUCAAAAUAAAUCAUUCACUUGAAAUAUGAUAAUUUAAAUUAAAAGUUUCAAUUAUUUAUUAAUUAGCAAAGUAUGAACUUUUCUUCUUGUUUUAUUAUUGUUAUUCCAUGUAUAUAAUUUAAUUAACUGUUUCCAAUAUUAAUCAAUAAAAAUAGAAUAUAAGCAUGAGAAGAAUUAGUAAAAUUCAUUGAUUUGGAAUUAGAUAGCUAGAGGAAGAACUUCAUCAUCUUCCCAUUACUUAAAUUUGUAUAAAUUCUAAAUAUUUAAACCCCCCCCCCCCCCCCCCCCCCCAAAAAAAAAAAAAAUGGUAAAGAAAGACUCCCCAAGCUUUCUUGGUUGGUGUUACCCUAAAAUUUGUACAAUAAGAUGAACCAUUUGGCUUAAAGCUUGGUGCGAAACCCCUUAUCAAUUGAAAAUAUCAAUGAAGUUGUUGAAUGGUUUUAGAGGACUAUUCUUAUGCAGAGUGGCAUAAGAAGCGAGGAGAUGAAGAGCGGAGAGACGUUAACAUCGGAUGCUGCUACGAAGGUGGGAAUACGGUUAAUUAAUUAGAUUUUGUGAUGGCUUUGAGUUUGAAGGAGUUAGUUUAAUGGGUAUUAUUAGUGAACUGAUAAUUGGAUUUGAUGUAAAGAAGGUUGGUCCAUUGGAUUAGCAAUUGGUUUGGCCUUUUGGGGGCCCCAUUUCCAAAUGCAUUGCCUUUUACAAGCAUUCAACAUCGCUGGACGUAACCAGGCUUGGUUCACCUAAAAGUAUCGCAUGGAUUGAAUUGACUAAGUUUUCAUUGUAGACUAGCCUUGAUUUUCCCUUGACCUGCCCACCAAAUCCUGAUGCCCACGCGAGGGAAUACCUCAAUUUUCUAAUAAUUUAUGCAGUUUCUCUUCAAAGCUCGUGUGAUCACUUGGGUCGGUAAAAUAAUGCAUUCCUCUACUUUUUCUCCCUUCCUAGAUGCAUGUUAUACCAUUAAUUCAAAUGUGAACAUGGGCUUGGCUUUGAAACUUGGUUCAAGGCCCAACAUGUUGACCCACAAUUGAGGUGUAAUUGAAUUUGUACACUUUUCGACUUUGAUACCAUUUGUCAUUACCAUUGACAUUGGGUCAUUGUUGAUUUUGAGUCCACAACUUUUAAGGUUGUUAUUACAAUUUUAAAUUGCGCCCACCCAAUUUAUAUGCAUUAUCCCUUAUAAAUACCGAUAACCUCUCUUUCUUCGAUAAUAUAAAAUGUCACAUAUAUUAUAUAUCUCAAUGUUUUCUUUUACUUUUUUUUUUUUUAUCGAUCGACAUUCUCUCUCAGAUGAUAUGAGAUGUCACAUAUAUUAUAUGUUUCAAUGUUUCUUUUACUUUUUCUCUUUUUCCUCAUGAUUGACAUUGUCUUUCUCAAAUGAUAUGAGUUGUCACAUAUAUUUUAUGUCUCAAUGUUUUCUUUAACUUUUUUUCUCUCUUCUUUAAUGAUCGACGUUCCUUUUCUCAGAUGAUAUGAAAUGUCAUAUAUAUUAUAUGGCUUAAUGUUUUCUUUUACUUAUUCUUUCUUUAUUAAUAAUCGACAUUUUAAGCAAUAUGUGAAUAUAAAGCAUUAAAAUUAUCUCCAUCGUUUUUGGAUGUGGUAUAAAUACACAAUUCUUAUUUUUGUUUUAAAUAUUUCUAUUGCUAUCUAUUGAAAUUUUAUGCAUGAAGCUACCAAGUUAAUUAUACAUAUAUCUUAAGAUUUUUUUUUUUUUUUUUUAUAGGAUAUAUUGUCCAUGAAUAUUUUCUGCAAUGGUAUCUUGUUUGAUUACUAUAAGAAAUAAUAUAUAUAUAUAUAUAUAUAUAUAUAUAUAUAUAUAUAUAUAUAUAUAUAUAUAUUAUAUUUCAAUGUUUCAUAUUUGCUUAAAAUAAAAAUUAUAUUUUAUCACAAUAUUUGGUAUUAAAAAAAAUGAAAUCUCUCUCAUUUAUUAUUACAAAAAAAUUAUAAUUUAUAAUUUUCUAAAUAAGUUUUAUUUAUUUGCUAACUAUAUUCAUGAUUAAAAGAUUUAAAAUUUAUAAAUAAAAAAUAUUAUGUCAUGUCAUUAAAUAAAUAAAAAUAUAUGUAUAUAUUAAAAUUAUGUUUUAUUGUAGCUUUUAAUAUUUUUUUUUUUAUUCUUUUCUUUUUUGAACUACAAUUUUAAUUUUUUUUAAUCAAAAUUUUUUAAUUUACAAAACGAGUAACAUAAAACUUGCCUUUGAACUUUAUUGGAAUGUUAUAUACUACCAUUUGGCUUUCAAGACAUUAGAAAAGGCAUAAGUGUCCCUUUUAUUUUUCCGAAAGGCAUAUUAGACUAUAGUAGGAAGUGUUGUAUAGAGGCAACUAAAAGUUGCCUUUAACUUUAUGAAGUCAUAUACUCCUCUUUGGCUUUGAUGACAUCAACUAGCAAAUUGGAUUUUGUUUCCUUUGCAACAUUUUUCCAUCCAUUAGCCAGUUUUUUUAUACUGUUUGGUGCUUGCCAACAUGGCACACACUAUGGUUCUUAAAAAGUAUUUUUUUUUUUAAGAUACUACGAAAUAAAAUACACGAUUGAAAGAUGAGUCACAAUAAUUUUCAAAACUAAAUUUUUUAAUAUUGUUAAGAAAAUUUGACCACCAAAUGAUUGAUUUUAAAUUACAAAUACUUUUGUUAGCUAAGAAAUUUGUUGUUCUAUUUGUUUCCCUAUAAAUAUGACAACAAUCAUAAAUAUUUUCAUUUUAAGAUAAUUUUCAAAUAUCUUCCAUUAAUAAUAUAAUAGAAUUAGGAAUUUUUUUUUUAGUUAUAACAAUCUAUAAUUAUUUAAGAGUCUUCCUCAAUCUCUAGGUUUAAGAACUUAUUGUUCUUAACAACUAACAUGUCAUCUCUUAAAAUAAUACAUUCUGCAAUAAUUAUUGAAAUAUGAUAUAAUAUAUAUAUCUACUUACAACCAUUUUUGUAGUACCAUUAGAAUUUUUAAUUACCCAUUCUAAAGUAUUUUUAUUCUCUAUUCUUAAACCAUCAAAAUUUAAUUUAAAUCUUUCAUUAAUUGGAUAAAUCCAAUGAAUCUAACAAGUUAAAGGAUUAUGAAUCCGACAAAACAGUUGAUAAUAAAUUAAUAAUGCCAUUAAUAUGAUUUUAAUGUGAAACACAAUUAUCACAUUUAAUACAGUUAGUCCUUGUAUGAUUAAUGUUUUGGAAGCUAAAAUCAAUCUUUUGACUAUAAUAAGAGUUUCUACUAUUUCUAUUUUUGGAUGAUUUUAUAUUUUUCUUAUUGUUUUAGUUUAAUACAAAAAAUAAAAAUAAAAUUACAUUAGUAGAAUUUUUUUAACUUACUCAAAAACCUAUUUUAGUUGAAUGAUUUUUUUAAAAAAAAUAUAAAUAUUUUGUUAAAAGGGAUAAAAUAACCUUACCUUGUGAAAAAGACCUCUUCACCCAAGAUUACUUGUUCAUAAUCCUUUUAAGACGAAAAUGCCCCCUUCCUAAAAAAUAUUUCAUCUUAAACUUAUUUUUCUUUUUAUUGCCCUUUGUUCCAUCCUUCCGGCUUGGGAGAGAAAUUCAUUCUUCUUUUGCGAAGAAAAAUUCCUAUUGCGAUUUUUCAUUUCAAGUGGAAAAAAAAAUUCUUAUUUCAUUUUAAAGAAAUUGUACAUUUUCAAUCUUUCUCUUUGUUCCUAGUUGAGGGUUUUUUUUGUAAUUUUAUCUUAACACUACAAAUUUAAAGGUGAGAUUAAAUCUUAAUGGUUAUUAGUUAAAUCACAUAUCUAACUUUGUUUUUGUCAGGACCUAUAAUAUGAUUGGAACCACCAUCCAAACUUCAUUAGGUGGGAUACUCCCCACCCUCCCCCUCCCCCCGCGAAAUCCUUGGAUUUUAGUUUUGACUUGGAUUUCAAUUGCCCGUAUCAAUUUUUCUUUAUUUAUUAAUUUAUUAAUUUUCAACUUUAACAAAAGCCUUGAAUCAUAUUUAAAUUCAAAUAACUUAAUCCUAAUUAAGUUCUUUUUAAAUAAAAAUUAAUCAUUGAAAAGUUCAUGUGACUAUUAUAAUUGAGAAUUUAUCCCAAGUUGGGUUUUUUGCAAAUAAAAUUUUAUUAUAGGACAUCAUGAUGCAACAUAACAUAAGGUUGUUACUUAAGUUUGUUUUGACCUUGUAAUAUGUUAAAAUGAAAAUGAAGCCAUUGUAACAGGAGAGAAUGAUGAAGCUGUGGAGAGAGCUUAACAAAGCUUGGGUUGGAGAGACUUCACAGGAAGAGAGAGAGAGAAAUAAAGGGUAAAAUUAUCAAAAGAGAAAAGAAAAAAAAAAAAAAAAAAGAAGGUUAUGUCUUCAAAUAAUCAAUAAGAGAUGUCAUUUUUCUAAUUUUCAAAGUUCUUUUGGUCCUUCUCUACAAAUAUCCCUAUAAAAAUAUUAUAAUAUCAAGUUAAUUUGUCAAUACCAAAAUUUAUAUUUUAUAUUAGGGCGACUAAAUAACAUAUAGAAAGAAUUUUAAAUGAGUAAAUCAAAUCAAUUUUGAAACCAAAACUUAAUAAUUACCAAACUUGUAAUCUUAGUCAUUAAAAGUGUACGAUGAAAUCUAAAUUAUUAAGCAAUGAAACAAAAAAUUAAGAUUAAAAUACAAAACGUUAAAAUCAAGAUACAAACUAUUAAAAUGUAAGUGGGAUAUGAGAUGAUAUUAUAAAAAAUAGUGUGAUCCAACAAAAAGUCUAGUACAUCAUUAUCUUCACUUCCAACCAUGUUUAAAAGGUCACAAGUUCUAGCGGUUUCCAAGGACAAUGUUAAAAAUAAUAAAAAUAAAUCCAAUUAAAUAUUAAUUAAUUUAUUUGAAUUUGAGUCCGACAAAAUAGUUGGUAAUAAGUUAAUAAUGCCAUUAAUAUGAUUUUAAUGUGAAACACAAUUAUCACAUUUAAUACCCGUUAGUCCUUGUAUGAUUAACUUUUUAGAAAUUAAUAUCAAUCUUUUGAUUAUAAUAAGAGUUUCUACUAUUUAUAUUUUUGGAUGAUUUUAUAUUUUUCUUAUUGUUUUAGUUUAAUACAAAAAAAUAAAAAUAAAAUUACAUUAGUAGAAUUUUUUUUAACUUAUUCAAAAAACCUAUUGUAAGGUGAAUGGUUUUUUUAUUUUUUUUUUAAAUAUAAAUAUUUUCUUAAAAGGGAUAAAAUAACCUUACCUUGUGAAAAAAGGCCUCUUCACCCAAAUUUACUUGUGCAUAAUCCUUUUCAGACGAAAAUGCCCCCUUCCUAAAAAAUAUUUCAUCUUAAACUUAUUUUUCAUUUUUAUAACCCUUUGUUCCAUCCUUAUGAUUUGGGAGAGGAAGUCAUUCUUCUCUUGUGAAGAAAAAAUUCCUACUGCCAUUUUUCAUUUCAAGUGAAGAAAAAUAUUUAUAUUUCAUUUUAAACAAAUUGUACAUUUUCAAUCUCUCUUUGUUCCUAGUUGAGGUUUUUUUUUUUUUUUUUUUUUUUUGUAAUUUUAUCUUAAUUGUACAAAUUCGAAGAUGAGAUUAAAUCUAUAAUGGUUAUUGGUUAAAUCACUUAUCUAACUUUGUUCUUGACAGAUCGUAUAAUAUGAUUGGAACCACCAUCCUAACUUUAUUAGGUGGGAUCCCUUUUUUUUUUUCCCCAAACCCUUGGAUUUUAGUUUUGACUUAUAUUUCAAUUGUCUGUAUCACUUUUUCUUUAUUUAUUAAUUUUCAACAAGUUCUUUAACAAAAGCCUUGAAUCAUAUUUAAAUUCAAAUAACUUAAUCCCCAUUAAGUUCUUUUUAAAUGAAACUUAAUCAUGUGAAAGUUCAUGUGACUAUUAUAAUUGAGAAUUUAUUCUUAGUUGGGUUUUUUGUAAAUAAAAUUUAGUUAUAGGACUGUGAUGAUCCGUUCUCAACCGUAUAAAUAUUGUUCGUUUUGAAUUCAAAAUAACUUUUACGGCUUUAAAACAUGUUUACAAGAUUAAGAGGAGUCCAUAUUUAUAUAGCUUCACGAACUUUCCCCCCUAUUCGAUGUGGGAUGUCACAAGGACAUCAUGAUGCAACGUAUAACAUAAGAUUGUUUCUUAAGUUUGUCUAACCUUGUAAUGUGUUAAAAUGAAGAUGAAGCCAUUAUAACAGAAGAGAAUGAUGAAGUUGUAGAGAGAGCUUAACAAAGCUUGGGUUGGAGAGACUUCAUAGGAAGAGAGAGAGAGAGAGAGAGAGAAAUAAAGGGUAAAAUUAUCAAAAAAGAAAAAAGAAAAAAAAGAGGGUGAUGUCUCCAAAUAAUCAAUAAGAGAUGUCAUUUUUCUAAUUUCAAAGUUCUUCUGGCCCUUCUCUACAAAUAUCCCUAUAAAAACAUUAUAAUAUCAAGUUAAUUUGUUGAUACCAAAAUUUAUAUAUUAUAUUAGGAUGACUAAAUAACAUAUAGAAAGAAUUUUAAAUGAGUAAAUCAAAUCAAUUUUGAAAUCAAAACUUAAUACCUACCAAACUUGUAAUCUUAGUCAUUUAAAGUGUUCCAUGAAAUCUAAAUUAUUAAGCAGUGAAACAAAAAAUAUAAGAUUAAAAUACAAAACGUUGAAAUCAAGAUUCAAACUAUUAAAACGUAAGUGGAGACGUAAGAUGAUGUCAUAAAAAAUAGUGGGAUCCAACAAAAAGUCUAUUAAUCAUUAUCUUCACUUCCAAUCAUGUUUAAAAGGUCACAAGUUCUAGCGGCUUUCAAGGACGAUGUUAAAAAUAAUAAAAAUAAAUCCAAUUAAAUAUUAAUUAAUUUAUUUGAACAAUAGAUAGGACCAAAAUAAUAUUCUAAAAGGAAUCAUAGGGAAGUCCUUGGACAACCUACGACAUUGAACAAAGGUACAGUGAGACAAUGCACUUAGCCCUUCCUUGUCAUUGCGAUGAAUAUAAAAAGACACCCUGAUUGAGGGUGCCCCACUAAGCCAAGAGUGAUUCUUUUGUAUUGUAUAACGUGAAUAUUUUUGAACUUUGAAUGACCCUUCCUAUAGUCAUCAUUGUCAAAACUAGAAAAUCAGAAAGAUGCGAUGUACGAAGGCACCAUUGAAUAAGAGGCUUAAUUCUCUUUGGCAAUUAGGAUAAAGUUUCAAAAUAGAAAAAUUAAACAAAUGUACAGUGUACGGACACUUGGGCAUUGCCUAUUUGUUUUGUUCUUCUAGAGUUGUAUAUGGUAAAGGUCAUAUUGGGUUGGUUCUAUUUGGUUAUUGAAGUCGGCUAGAAUAUUAGAUUUGGUUUCAAUCUAAUCCCAUAUGAUAUUAGAAUACCAGCCCAUACAGAAUUUUUGACCAAAUAUAAUAUUUCUUUUAAAUAUAAAUAUAGUAAUUAAUUUUAGUCUAAGAUUAAUUAUGUAGUUUCCUAAAGAGACCACUUCCUAAACGGUAGCUAUGUGGAAGUUGGGCCAGGUCCUGCCGAGAAGGUUUCCACGAGCUGAGCCCAAAACUGAGUAGCUGUGAUGGGAUCAUUCUAGCAUUCAGCCUGAAACUUGUAACAUAACGGAUCGAGAGGCCUGAACUCCAAGACCAUGGUUCGUCAGCCCAUUAACUUCAACAGCACGCAUUUUAGAGGACUGGGCUUGCAAGGGGUGAGGUUUCCGGGCCGCGACCCCAAAUAUGAACAGCCUCAGAAGUGAUAUUGCUUACUGGCACGUGAAGAGCGCAAGCGUAACUAGAAGAUUUGUAAUGCCGCUUUAAUUGUUUGAUUAUAGAAUCCCACGCAUUACGCAUGGAAAGUGUAAAAGAUAAAAGAUGUAGAAUUUUUUCUUAGAGAAAAGUUCGUUUGGAUAUAGUUAUUGUUUUUUUUUUAAAUAAUAAUUGUUUUUUUUAUAAAUUAUAGAUAAUCUUAGAAAUUUAUCUUUAAAAAAAUAGUUUUUAAAAAUAUUUAAGGAGAAUAAAAGUGAUAAAAAAAAACUUUACAAUUUCAAAUUUUUAAAAAAUGAAAAUUAUUUUUAAGAAUAUAAGUUAAUCUCCUGCAUUUAAAUCUUAGGUGGUUUUUGUUUUUUUUACUUUUCGCUGAAAACAAUUUGUUUUCAAAAUUUAGGUCAUUUGUUUUUUCUAUUUUUUCAUGAUUUAUUAUAAAUUUUUUACUAAAUAAAAAAAAUCAAAAUAUGUAACUUUUUCUAAAUAAAAAAAAUAACGUAUUGAUUUUUCUUUACUUUUUAAUACUUAAUAGAUAUAAAAUACUACAAAAACAAAAAAUCUAAUAUUUAACACUAUUAAGCAUUAAAGUUCUAUUUAGAAUUAAGUAAAAAAACAAACACCACCUUAUAUUUUAUAUAAAAGUUACUUAUAUUUUGGUUUUUGGAAAUAAAAAAUAUAAAGCAUAUCCAAACAUGAGCUUAGCUAUUUUAAAUCAUAUCAAAAUAAUAAUCCCAAUAAGGUAAAUGGACUUUUAUACGGAGAAUAAUCUUUAAGGUUUUCAUUUUUAUUGGAUUUUUUUUUUGUGGUGUUUUUUCAAUCCAUCUUCUCAAUUAAUUCCUUAAAAUUAUUUUACUGUUUUUUUUUUUUUCAGUUUCUAAAUAUUUGAUUUUUCCAAAAUGCUUAAAUGGAAGACACUAAUUUUUCAAGAUAUUUGGUAUUACAAUUUUCCCUGUUCUCCCUAUUAUCUAUCAGAUUCAUGGCCCUUUUGUUUUUUCAUUGGUUUUCAAUUUAAUUUUCCAAAUAUUACAUUGUUGUGUUUUGAAUUUGUGAAACCAAUUUUAUAUAUAUAUAUAGUAUGUAAGUCUACUUUGGGUAACAUGUACAGAGAGGUUUUCAUGUGUUUGAAACCUUUUACCUCAAAAAUUAAUUAUUUUUAAUUUUAUAAUAAAUCUUUUUUUAUUUUUUAUUUUAUUUAGGAAAGCCUAUAUUUAAACUACAUGUUUGCAACGCAACACCAUACAUACUCCUAGUGGAACUUACCUUAGUGCUUGAGGGGGAUGCAGAUCUUCUUCUAAACCUAACUAAUAAGCAUAAAAUUGUUCACUAAUUAGCAUAUCUAGUAAAUCAUACAAAUUGGCAAUAUUUCAUGUUUUUCAUGUUUUGUCAAUAAAAGGCGUCUUGACCAUUUUGUGAGUUUUGUAAUAAAUAAAAAAAAAAAAAAAAAAAGGGCAAAAGGUGACUAAAAUGAGGCACUUUGGAAAGGUUAAUAACCUAAAAGGAAGAUGAAUUAAUACCCCCUUAUUCCUCUUCAAAAACCAUUGAGAAAAUGCAAGAAAUGCUCUUAGUUGUAUGCUAGGCUAACAGCCUAGCAACCAUAAUACCCUUCUUUGCAAUUGUAAGCAUUUUUUUUUUUUUUUUGAAGGCCAAACAACGUUGCAAACUUCCCAAAUCCCUUCUUUAUUUUUUAUUUUUUUAUUUUUGUUUUUAGAAGGAGAAUGAAUUUGAUGACAAACUCCUUGUCAAUCUUAUCCAAACCACGAUCGAACAGAACUCCUUGUCAAUCUUAUCCAAACCGUGUUCCACCUCAAAAACAUGUGUAGGACUUAAGGCAGCAACUGGCAAGCAUGACUGAUAGGGCCAAGUGCCCUUGUCUCUACAAUCCAUUAAGUUAACCAAGGGCAGUGAACCAUCAUUCUUUUCAAAAGCUUCAUUCCGUGUUGAAAAUGUGAGACUGAAGCAUGGUGCCCCCAAAAAUAACGAUCUAUUUACUAGCAGCAUGCCUGGACCCAUUAAAAAUACUCUACUUUAGGAAUAGAAAAAAUUACAUCUUUAUCCAAUAAUUUUAUAACAAUUCAGACGUUUCAGUCUAUAAAUAAUUGUACAUAGUUGCCAACGUUUAGCUAGUUUCAAAUGAAUAGCCUAGGUUCAUGCACCAGUUUGGCUGGUGGAGGAAAGGGAUUCGAGACAUUGAACCCUCUUUUUAGUGUGCCAAAUAUUCCACAAAAAUCACUACCUUCUCUUUGUGUUUGUUCACUUUUAGUUUAUAUUUAAUAAAUCUAUGUUUUCGAGUAGAGGUUGGGUUCAGGUGCGACCCACGUCACCUCUCGGACGGUCUUGAAAAAGGAGACCGGACCACGUAAUUUCAAAUGUAGUGACCAUCUCACUUUUACCUCCAUCCUUGAAGAUGGUUUCCCAAAUCAAUAUUAAUCUUUUGUUUACGACAAUAUCGAUCACUUUAUGUCUAUAUCGUUGUUAAUUUACCUUUUUUUUUUAGCCACAUUAUUUGAAAAUUGAUGCAAACUUUACCAACAUCUUGGUACCAUUUUAAAAUAUUAGAGUUAUUUGAUUAAAAAAAUAAAAUAAUCUCGAUAACUUGUUUAUAAAAUAAAUAUCUUUUAACAUUUAGACUAUUCUCACGCAUGCUUUAAAAUUGUAAAGAUAUUCAUAAAGUGGAACUUUAGACUUAAUCAAUAUCGAUCACUUUAUGUCUCUAUUGUUGUUAUAUUUUUUUUUUACAACAUUAUUUGAAAAUUGAUGCAAACUUUACCAACAUCCUAAUACCAUUUUAAAAUAUUAGAGUUAUUUGAUUAAAAAAAUAAAAUAAUCCCGACAACUUGUUUAUAAAAUAAAUAUCUUUUAAUAUUUAGACUAUUUUCACCAUGCUUUAAAAUCAUAAAGAUAUUUAUAUUCAUAAAGUGGAACUUUAGACUUAAACAUGAUAAUAGUUUUUUUACAAUAUUAUAAUUAUUUUAUCGUUUUAAUUAAGCCCUUUAUCAUACAUAUAAAUGUAAAUUAAUGCUAAAUUUUUAAAGCAACGUAUAACCUUUUACAUCUUUUUUUAAGAUGGUGCGAAAAUCCUAUGAAAAAUAAUAAAAGUCGAUGCAUAAGAAGAUUGUUUUGAUAAUUCAAUAGAAAAAUUCUUUUAAAAUGAUAUUAAAAAAUACCCAUAGAGCCUUUAUUAAAAAAAUCAAUUAUUUUCAUAAUAAAAAUUAUAAUUUUUUAUUAUGUAUUAUUAUUUUUAAGUAUCUUUAUUACAAAUACUUUUUUUGAGUUUAUGAGAGGAAUCAACAGGUUGGUACAAGCUUAGGCGUCCUCGUACAUGUUCCCGCUGUGCAAGGUUUUUGUCUUGUUUCGAGCUAGUCGGAAUUUACGUGUUUGAUAACGUUUUGUCCUAUUUUUGUAACGCUUUAAAGGGCGGCCCACCGUUGGAACAGUUCAAGCCAUCCAAAUCAGCCCGGAGGGUUAUGGCGACGUGGCAUGACGCCUACCACCUUAGUUCACAUGAACCCUAUGAUCGUACUACCCUCACAUGACAUCUGUGAUUCUUCACCUCCAAACCCUCUUUAACUUGGUAAUGUAUUCAAAGCUUCAUCAAAUCAUAGCGAUUAGCGACCCUCUUCCACCCUAAUUUUAUAAUAAAAAAUAAAUCUUAGUGGACAUUAAAGUAGUAUUUUGUGGGGGGAAAGAAAAACUCUAUGGGCGUAUCCACUAAAUACGAGCCAAGUAUAAGAGUUAUCACCAUGGAAUCAAAUUAUGAAGCAUUGACAUUUUAAUUGUAUUCAGAUUUGAGGAGGGCACCGCGGCACCAGCUGGCCCAGUGUAGUCUGCUAGCCUACCCGCCAUAAUGACCAAAUUAAUAAAGUAAAAAGGAUUACAGGGAUAUUCCCAACUUUAUUCUGGGUCUGAGCUGGAACUUGGGAGUUAUCACGAUCAACGGGAAAGAUGGUGGGUAGGGGACGAGGAUUGAGGGCUCCAUAUUCACAUCAGUGAAAAACGAAAUGUAUUGAGACAAGUCUUCUAAGGAUUUUCUAGCGUAUUAUAUGGUUUAAAUGAUUAUAAAUCUGUAGUUACUGGUAAAGAGUAGAGAGUGAAGACGAAAGACGUUGAGUGAAAAGGAAGGAGGAGAGGGGAUGGGGCCAUCUUACCGUGUCGGGGAGGAUCCAUAAAAGGACUACGUUCCCUGAAUCUGUAGGCAUCAUGCCUCGCCUAACGGGUUAGUCAAAAUACAGUGAUGUGUGUGAGUUGGGGGCCUCACUCCUCAUUUCUUUCCUUCUUUUCACCCCCACCCCCACUUUUUUUUUUUUUUUUUCGAAUUUUUCUUUGUCCUUUUCUCUCACUUGCGCACGCGGGAGAAGGACCACAAACUAGACAAUUCCUCUGCUCACGUGACCCCGAGUUUUUAAAUAUUUGCCUAUUUGGAAAAUAGUCAUGAAUCAUGAUCGUUAACAAACAAUCUUCACUUUAUUUAUUUAAGAUCUAUUUUUUGGAGCUCUAGUUUAGUUUAUUAUUAUUAUUAUUAUUAUUAUUAUUAUUAUUAUUAUUAUUUAGUAACUCCUCUUAUAUUAAUGAAAAAGAGAGGAGGAAUCCAAACUUGUUUAUUCUUCCUCUUUUAAGGUGUUUGUUUUUUUUAUUUUAUUUUUAUGCUUCAUAUGUCUUCAAUUUCUUAGCAUUUGUCUUAUAUUUCUUCUUAUCCGAUUCAUUAUUGCAUCCUUGGUCAAUCUUUCACGAGGAGUGCCUACUUUUUUCCUUUUUAUUAUUUAAUUCACUUUAUCUUUAUAUUUUCCUUUUACACUUUAUUUCCAAUUCAAAACGUGUCAAAAAAAAAAAUUGGUAACAAAAAAAAAAAAAAAAAUCAAUUGUAAUGAUUCUUAUAUAAUUUUAUUUAAUUUUUAUUAAACAAUAAAGAAAUUAAAAAUAUAUAAAUUUUUAAAUAAUUAUUAUAGUCUUUCAUUUUUGUGUAUAAUUUCUUUUGCAAGAAAUAGUGUAGGCUUUCCACGGUCUAAAGGAAAUGGAAUAUCAAAUGAGAAGGUAAUAAUAAUAAAGUGAGUUAUAGAUACUAAUCAAACUAAUCCACUAAUGAAUUAUUUAUUUUUAUUUCACAUGGACAAAUCCUAAAAGUUGGAGUUCUAAUUUACUUUUAUGUUAAGCUUUUUUAAGUAAAAAUCUUUUAUUAUUAUAAUUUAUAGACAAAAAGAAACCCAUUAAUGUGAUGGAUAAAAAAUUUCAAUUUAAAAAAAAAAAAAUUAAAGUUGCUAAAUUUUUGUAUUUAUUAUUUCAAACUCAUUUAAAUAAUUUAAAAAUAUGUCUUCAAUUAAUUUUAAUGAAACAAAGCAUGAUUUUUUUUUAAUUUUUUUUUCUUUACCAAAUAAAGCAUUAUUAUAAUACGUUGAUUAAAUUUUCAUCAUGUCUCUCAAGAUUUGGAUUAAAUAUACUUAGUUGUCAUAAAUUUGAAAUUUUAUUUAAUGUAUUUUUUAUUUUAAAUUAAAAAGAUGAAUGCAAAUAAAAAAAAUAUGUAUAUUUUAUAAAAUUUUAAAUUAAACGAAGGAUACGUGUAUUUAACCAAGGUGAAUGAAAUUAAUCCAAAUACUUUUUGGUAACUUGCAAAAUAUCUUGACGAAAUCAUUAUGGCAGGCAUCGUACAAGCUCAACCCUUGUCGCCUUGCUAGAAAUAGAGAAACAAAAAGACCCCCAAAUUGGGUUGCAUCCUAAAUAUGAAGAAGUGGUAACAAAGGAAGAAAAAAUGCUGUGUUAUUGAAUAGUUAAUACAUUGAACAUGAUAUGUUACAUAGAGAGCCAGAUUAAUCCUAGUGGAAUUCCACUGUCACGAUGGUAACCUAGGGUUAUGUUUGGUUAUUGAAAAUACCAAGAAAAGAAAAAAAAAUAUAAAGGAAAAUAAUUUUUUCAUUUUUGAUUGUCUUAUAAAAGAUAUAAAAAAAAAACAAAUAUAAUUAAAACUAAUUAAAAAUUUAGGUAUUUUUAAAUUAUUUAAUUUUUAUAUUAAUGAGCGAAAAUAAAUAAAAUAAGUUUAAAAUAACAAAAAAAAUAAUUUACCGAUUUUUAAUCUAUAUUUUAUUUUACUUUUUCUUUGUAUUUUUUUUUUCUUAUAUUUUCCCUCAAAUUUUCUGAAUCAAACAUAGCAAAAAAGGAGCUACCCCUUUCGAAAGAAACUCCCAAGAAUUUCAAAGAAACCUGCUGAGAUAAUGAAUGAGGGAUCACUGUCGGUAAACAGUAUCCAUUCUUUUGGGAGGACUUUCAAACUGAGAAGUUGUUUUCAUGACUUGGAAACAAAAUUUUGAGCUCUAAGGGGGUCUGUAUUUGGGCCCUAAAAUUCAAUCCAUCAAUCUGAAAAAUGCUUAGGAUAAUGAUUUGAUUUAGCCACAAUCACUAAACAAAUUCCAGAGGAAAAUUUCGCUACUCAUAGGUGGCUGAUUCUCAUAAAAAGACAUCGUGGUAGGGUGUCUCAAGUGCAGGCUCACCAUCAACUUGCUGCCCUUUUUAGAUUAUUGUAAAAUGAUUUCACAUGAAGCCCAAUGCAAAACUUUGAAAGAAAAGGUUGGUGGAGACGUGAAGAAUAUGUAACCCAUAGGCCAUAACUAGUACCGAAGAUUAUUGAACAAACAUUCAAGGUUUUUGUAUAGACGAAACUGAAAAGAAUGUGUACCAGACUCAGGCGUUCAGAUCAGAUGAUGCCGUAAUGUGGAUUGUGGAGGAGCAUUGUGCAGACAGAUAAUGAGAUUCUGAAAGCGAGGCCACUGAUGGGCCCUUGGAAGGGGGGCGUGCCUUCAAAAUUAUAUAUAUAUAUAUAUAUAUGUCAUUGAAAAUUGGAAGCAACUUUUCUUCUUAAGUUAUUUUAAUCGAAGAAGAAACAAAAAGUUAAAAACAUACAUUAUUCUUCCUUCUUACGAGGUUUCCGGGUCUAAAUUACUAUGGUCUCUGCAACUGGCGUCGUUUUCUCUCCCCUCUCUCUAUUUUCCCUUUAUUUUUUCACUUUUAGAAAGAAGCAUCCCAUCAAGAAUCUACUACAACCCUACGCUUCCAUUUUGAUUUAGAAAGUUAAAAAUAAGUUUAAGUUAAAAAAAAAUAUUUUCUUAUAUAAUUAUUUAAACUUAUUUCUUUUCCUUUUUAUAUAAAGAAACAAAUAUUUUGCAAAUAAAUAAAUUUCUAAUUAUUUUCAUUAACAUAAUAAUAAUAUUUUUCAUAUGACUUUAAUCACAAUUUUUUUUACCACUUGUCCAAGGCGGUGAGAGGUGAUAAAAUGUAUUAAAAAAACGAUUAAAUUGCAUUAGGUAUAGAAGUUUUGUGCUUCAAUUAUCACUUAUAAAAAUAAAAUAAAAAUAGUCAAAUUUGAGUGUGCAAGUUGGUAUUCGUAUGUAGAAGGAAUUGGGGGAUUUGGGGGUCCUAACAAAUUUGAUAUGAUUGAUGGAAGGAAAUGAUUAUUAUAGGAUAAAGUCCGAAUGAAACGCUGACGAGGGGGGAAAAACAACAGUGGCAAUGCACUAUCCACAGAUCCAUGAUUGAUUUAUGUUAGCAAUAAUGAAUUAUUUUGACUUUGAUAACCUUGGUUAAGAGAAUUUGGUCUUGUUAUUAUCAUUUUUUCAAAAAAAAAAAGUGUAGGUAACUAGGUAGUUGAUUUAUUAGAAUUUAGAAAUGAGGAUCCCCUCCUCCUGCAAGAGCCGUGACAGACAUGCCUGCUUUCUUGCCAGAUUAUACCAAUGUGCCCAAAUAAUCCCCCAUCUAUCAUCUCUGCACCCUGGAACACGUCACUCCCUCCUUUGAGCAAUAAAAUAUCUCUUUUAUUUUCUUUUGAACCACUCUUCUAUUUCUUUGUACCAGACUGGACCCAUUUAAAUUCUUCGCUACGCUGUUCCCAAGGACUACGAGAAUCAAAAUAGCAAAAUUCUUGAAUCAUUUUAAUGGGUUCAGAAACCACAUGUUUCUCUAGAUCAUAAGAGGAAAAUCUUUUUGGAUGGUGUUUGUGUUGUGUUGUGUUCAAUAUUAAAUACUCAAUUAAAUAAGCUAAAUCAAAUAUCACAUGAAAAAUAAUCAAAUUAAAAAUAGGGAGAAUUAUGUUUUGAGGGUAGAUGGACCCCAAAUUAACAAAAGGUUCAUGUAACUCUUCAAAUUGAGCCCAGACCCAAUGAAAAUAUGGAAAUUGAGUUGAAGUAUAUCAUCAUUCAGUAUUUCCAAAAAUGUCCUUUGUUGAUUUUGAGAAAAAAAUUAAUAUUUUUGAAAAAUAUUUUUAUGUAAUUUAAUAUUUUUUUAAAUACUUUUAUUUAAUUUAAUAUUUUUAAAAAAUAAAUUUAUUUAAUUUAAUAUUUUAAAAAAUAUUUAAUUUAAUAUAUUUUUUAAAUACUUUAAUUUAAUUUAAUAUUUUUGAAAAAAAUUUUAAUUUAAUAUUUUUGAAAAAAAAAUUAUUUAAUUUAAUAUUUUUUAAAACUAUUUUUAUUUAAUUUAGUAUUUUUGAAAAAAAAUUAUUUAACUUAAUUUUAUAAAAUAUUUUAUAUGUGUUCUUAAAGGGUAUAUUUGUCCGUUACUAUUUCAUAUCCUUCAACUCAAUUUAAAGAGUUAUAUGGACCUUUUGUUAAUUUGGGGACCCAUCUACCCUCAAAAGAUAAUUCUCCCUUAAAAAUAUAAAUUUAAAUAUGACAUAAUUAUUAAAUAUGUUAGAUCUUGUAUGAGUUUAUAAGAUUUAUGUUUCAAAAUAACAUGUUUAUAAUUCAUCUAUUGAUUUAUAAUCAAAUUUUAAAUAAAUUAAAGUUAUUCAAGUUAAUAAAUAUGAUUUAUGUUAUAAAGACUAACUAAAAAAUAAUUUAUUAAUUAAACGGAUCCUGGUCAAUAAAAAUUUGAUUUAAAUACGAUCAUACUUAAUCAAAACUUAGGUCAAAUUGUAUUGAUAAAUUACAUCAAAACCUUGUUGUGUUCAAUAUUUUAUAUUAAACUAUUUUUUAAUAAAAUUAUUUUUAUAAAUAUAAUAUUACAUCAUUUGGAGAAACAAAAUAGUAUUAUAUUGAUUUUACAUAUAAAGCAACCAGUUAACCCCUCAUUAUUUUGAUCCAUUUCACAUCCAUAUCAUUCUCAUAAUUUUUUUAUAAUAUAUUAACAUGAUGGACGGUAAUUGAGGGUAGAAAAAAAAGAUGAGAAGAAUAAAAUAAUGUGAAUCCUCUCUAAAUGUUACAUCUUCUGACAAAUGAAGUCUAUAGAAAUGUGUAAAAAAAAAAAAAACACUUAAUUGUGAGGUUCACUUGAUUUAGCAAAAAAUUAAUAUUUUAUUUGUUGUGUGAUUUAAAAAUAAUAUUUUAUUUUUAAAAAUAAAAAAUUAUUUUUAAAGUUUUUUAACACUAUUUUACUAUUGUUCUUUGAAAUAAUUUUUAAAAUUAAAAUGAAAUAACUAAUAAUUUUUAGAUAAUAAAUUAAAGUUGUUUUUAUUAGAUUUUAAAAAUAAAAGAAAAAUAUAAAACCAUUUGAUCAAAUUUUUUUAAACUUAUUUUUAAAAGGUUUUUUUUUUUUUUUUUUUUUUUCUAUCCUAAGUUAAAAGAUAAAAAAUAAUUUUUAAAGAUAGGUUACGAGCAAAUGCCACAAACUUUUUUCUUCUCUUUCCCUUGUUCGGAUAGAAGUGAAAAAUAUCCUCCCAUGGAUCGACAUUACGUGAGCCAUCACCAUUCCCCAACUGCAAUUCAACCGCCAAAGCUGAGGUGUCAUUAUUAGUUUGAACAAAAGUCAGCAUUGUCCACGUGGUGACAAGCGGAACUGACCCAACUUGCAAGGCAAAAAAAUAAAUAAAAUAAAAUGAAAAAAUCAGAUCACCAUUAUGACGUCAGUCCAAUUGCUGACCUGGCCGCCGUCCCCCAUUUGACCCACGUGUUCAUUUAACCCAUUCGCCGUAUGCCGUGGCUCCCCACCCAUAUGGCCAUAUCUGCCAUUUAUUUUAUCCGUUGCCUCCAUUCGGUUUUUGGAUUUUACCCAUUCGCCCUCGUCUAUUCCCAUUUCCGUAUUUGCCCACCAAGGAAAUUCAAUUCCCAUGCUUUUGUUUUACAUUCAAAUCCUCCCCCCUCUAUAUAAAGGAGGGAGUAGGGCUUGAAAGUUUCUCAAGCCAACAUGGACUGUUGAGAGUGAAAGACAGAGGAGCCACAAACAAAUAUCACUCACUCAAACCAAAGCCAAAACCAAUACCGAAUUCAAUUCAAAUGACUUCUUUCUCUCUCAUCAAUUCCCUGAAUUCCGAUUCCGAUUUCAAUUUGUUAUCGGAUUCUUUUUCCUGGGAAAACUCCCUACCUUUCAAUGAAAACGACUCCCAGGAGAUGCUCCUCCUGGGCAUGCUGGCCAGCUCCACUCAGGAAACCUCAGAAACAGUUUCUUUGAAUCGAGUGAAGGAGGAAGAAGUGACUUCCCAGGAAAAUCCCGAGAAGGAGAAGUCAUACAGAGGCGUUAGGAGGCGGCCAUGGGGGAAAUUCGCAGCAGAAAUAAGGGACUCGACCAGGCAUGGCAUAAGGGUGUGGCUGGGAACAUUUGACAGUGCAGAGGCAGCUGCUCUGGCCUAUGAUCAAGCUGCUUUUGCGAUGCGGGGCCCUGCGGCAGUCCUCAAUUUCCCGGUGGAAAGAGUGAAGGAAUCGAUGCAGGAGAUCAAGUGCAUCUUGGAGGAGGGGGGCUCACCAGUGGUGGCCCUCAAGAAGAGGCACUCUAUGCGGAGAAAAAGUCCUUGCAAGAAACAUAAAAGUGAAGAGGUGAGGUUAGAAAAUGUGGUAGUGCUGGAGGAUUUGGGUACUGAAUACUUGGAACAGCUCCUCACUUUCUCUGAGACCUCUAGUCCUUGAUCAUCAUCAUCCAUCACCUGGAUAGCUUCUUCUCUUUGCUCUGUUUCUUACUUUUCUCUCUCUCUCUCUCUCUCUCUCUCUUUUUUUUUUAUGUAAUUUUUCUUAAUGUAUUUUUGGAGAUGGCGGGGGUGUAGUGGUGGCAAUUAUCCAUCUAGAAUUUUUCAAAAGAUAUGUUCUUUUGUUUCUUUGUAUAAAGUUGAAAAGUGGGGAUCAAUUGUGAUGGUGCUCUAUGUUCAUCCACCCAAUUUAUAUAAUCAAGGUGAUUAAUGUUUUUUGAUAUCAACAAUUUGUGAAUGACAUAGAGAGAGAGAGAGAGAGAGACCUUAUUUUCUACACUCAUUACGGUGGUUUCCAUUUGGGGAAGGAAAAGGAAAUGGCUAAGAAUGUUACCAAAAGAAGUGGGGUGGCUUUCAUAUGCGUGGUGGCAUACUUGCAUACAAACUUUUCAAUUGUGUUCUGCAUGCCACUCGGGUCAAUUUCAUUUCUUUUACUCCUAGUAGCCUAAUUGGAUUUCCUUUUUCUCAUGAGACAUCAAAUAAAUUUCAUUUUUUUAUAUUUAAAUAGUUAGGUAAGUUUGAUAGUGAGUUAUAUUUUAUACAUUAAUUCAUCUUUUAGAAUGUUGUCUACAAUAUAAACAGUGUAAUUAAUUUCAUCAUUACAGAACAGUCAUCUUAUAAAAUAACAUAAAAAUUAUUGGAUCACUUGUAUGGCACCACUGAUUUGGACUUGGUAUGGCUCUGUUUGGCUUCAUAGAAAAAAUUUGGACCCAAUUUGAAUGUCUUGCAUAAAAAGAGAUACGUCCCACUUUGAAUGAUAUUGAAGAAAAAAAUUUCUGAUGAAGAAUAUAUUGUUGGCAGGGUCAUGCAGGCCAAUAGGGAAACGAUAAAUUCAGAAGAAUGAGUCCAAACCAGUGGGCUUGAAAAUUAAGAAGAGAAUUGCUGUAUAAAACAAUCAUUUCUUAAUCGAGUUCACUUUCUGAAUAAUCGUCACUUUGAGAAUGCAUACUUAGGAAGAUGAUGAUCCUUAAUGGGAAUAAUCAAAGGCAUCAAAAAAUUGUUCUGGAACAAUUCUUGAUUGUCUCCAGUAAAAUUCAAAGUCAAAAGUCAAAAGUCCAGUCGGUCAACACCAAACCAGGCCAGUCCAAAAGACAUUAAUUUGCAAUCUAGAAUCUAUGAUGAGGUGGCGAAAUCAAACCUUGGCUUUUCACCAGGGAAUGGUACUCUGAAUUUGGUCAGUUCACUGUUUCGAGUGAAUAGGGUGUAGUAAUUAGUAAAUCAUAUUUUAGAUUUGUGUCACAAGUUACAAGGGAUAUGGGCUGACGUUCAAUUUUGGCGACAAUUUGUGGGCCCGUAUAUUUGUUGAGAUGUGGAAAUUGGGUGUGUGCUUUUUUCUGCUACCACAUAAAUAUAUUUCUUUGAAUUGAAGAGUGUUUCAGACCAUUUUUUUUCAAGUCACAAAUGGACAACUGAUUGAGAUUGUAUUGGUGAGAGUAGGAGUUUAUUUUGGGCUGGUUGAGCGAAGUUGAAAGUCGAGUUGGACCUAACCCUUGAAUUCAGCAGACUACAGUCCGAUCCUGUAUUUUGGAUUUAGGGAACCUUCUUUCCCAGAAGCUUCGUCUGGGUUUUAAAGUCUAAAUGUGGCUACUCUUAAACAUUGGAGAAAGGAUGAGCGUUCACAAGCAAAUGGGUAAUUGUGGAUGGUUCAAGGACCUGGCCAGCUGGUCUUCAAGUUUGGAUGCCGGUUUGGGCCUGAGAGAGUCUUUGCAAAGUGACUUCACUUCAGCCUAUGAGAUCAAGAUAUCAUGGUGAUGUCCGAUCACUUAGGUUUCAUUUUCACCUCGGAUUACCGUUACCAUGUUCAUGAAUAAAAAUAAAUAAAUAAAUGAAGCCUUAUAGAGAAAUUAAUGAAGUGAGCUAUACAAGCAACUGGGCCAGGAGCCUACAAGGCAGAAAUUCCCUGCCCUAGACUAGGCCGAAUAAAUUAGAUGAAUGAAUUGGGGAAACCUGGGCCAGCCACACAUCCUCCUGAAGGCUGAUGUCGAACUCGCUUACGAGGAAUGGACAUGGGAGAUUGGGCUGGGACCAAAUAACCAAUUGACAGCCCUAUCCUUGUGGCAAGACGUCAGUAAAAUGGUUCAUUCUGAUUUUACGCUGCCAUUCAAUUUAAUUUUAAUUUUUGUUUAAAGCGAUGUACAAAUUGAAUGGUGUCUAGUCACUUAAAGAGUGGUUCAUAAUACACUUAAUUUAAACAAAAAAGAAAUUAUUAGAUAGGGGAUUCUCCAAUAAAAACCACCCCAUCUUGUCAGCAAGUCCGGAAACUUCCUUCACUUAGGGCGUAUUUGUUUUUUUAACUUUAAUAUUAAAGAAAGUUGGUUAAACCUUAUGACACUUUUAUAUUAUUUUAUGAAUUUUUUUUAAUUUUUAUUUUAAUGGAAUUUUAACUUUAAUACAAGUUGGAGUAAUUCUUAUCUUAAAAACAAAUCAAAAUUACUUUAAUUUUAUAUAGAAAUAAACUUACAGUAAAUUUACCAUGAAAAUUUCUAAGUCAAAUACACCAUAAGUGCUAGUAUUUUAUAAUAUUUAGAAACAUGUUAAAUUAUUAUUAUUAUUUUUUAAAAUUAUUAGUUUUCAUAUUAGUUUUAGGGAAACUUGUGCUUUAGGUCUUUUAUUUGCAAAUAAUAUGGUUUUCAAAUCCUAAGAAUAGAAAAUAUGAGAAUCAACUGUUAAUGUGGAAAAUAAUAUCAAUUUUGUGCAAUCUCUAUUGACUCAUUUUUUUGUGCCUAGAUUGCCUUCACCCACUUCCAUGUCAACAACCACAUUAAUAGAUUGUUUUUUUUUUAUAAAACAAAUAAUUAUUAUGUUUAAAAUUUUGGGGAAACUCUCUAUCUCUCUUACUUCUUCACUACAUCCGAGACCCAUCUUCCUUAAACGUUUGCCUCUCAUUUUGCCCUAACCCCAAAUCUCAUAAAUUUCUCAUUUUCUUGCCUCAUUUGAAAUAUGAAGAUGACCGAUUCUCAAACAUCUCUGUCUCUCUCUUCACGUUUUGACCAGUCUAAUUGGAAACCCAUUUUCCAAAAACCUUCUUUCUUUCAUUUUGCCCUAACCCCACUAUCUCCCUCUUCAAGACCUAAUCACCCAAACUCGAUAUCUAUCUUCCCAAAACCUUCAAGCAAACUGAACUAGACCCAUAUCUUCUUUUUUCAUCAUCAAAGGUGAAAUUUUUUUAAGGCUUUUGGAAACCGAAUUGGAGCUUUCCCUUCUUCUGGGAUUAAUCAUUCGCAAGUGAGUUUUCCAUUUAAGGCUUUGUUUGGCUGUUGAAAUCUUGGGAUCAAAGGUCUUUUAUUUUCAGGUUUCUUGUAUUUUGCUUUAUUUUCUUGUAUAUAACAAUAAUCAUUGUAACAUAUGCUAGUAGUUACCCUUGGUGCAACUUUACAUUUCCAAAUACCCUAAAGUCCAAAGCUUUUAAUUCCCUUUUCAAAGCUUUCAACUUUGAAAGCAGACUAAACCAUAAGAACUAUGAAACUUAUAUCUCUAUCACCACUAAUUAAGCAUGUCUAUGAAUCCUUCCACUUUAAGUCACUUAUUCUCAAACCAAGAAGGGCUCCUCUCAUUCUCACCCCACCUCAUCUAAAUGAGGGAAAUGAUCAAUUGCAGCCAUGCUUUGCACCAAAUUAGAGAAGUGAUCCUCCCAAUCAUCCAUUACCAAAAAUUGAUCAUGCUGAUGAGAUCAUAAGAGUCUAUUCGGAACUCCCAGUUUACUUGCCUCUUAUCUCAGGAUCCUCCAUUACCCCCUGUCUUUCCAACAUCAAAUCAACUUGCAAACAAUUCCUUUGUAGAUAAAAUGUUUUUAAUAUUGCAAAAGGGGACUUAUCAUAAUGGUUGAAUCGAUUUAUUUGAUAUAAUCACUCAAAUUCAAGCUUAAAAUUGAUCAUAAUAAAAUGUUUUUAAUAUUGUUAAAAGGAGAUUAUAAUGGUUUUAUUUGAUAUCAUUACUAAAAUUCAAGCUUUCAAACAUGCUCUACAAAGAAGUUCUAAAAGACUACAAGAAAGAGUUUCCACUAAAGAAAAACAAUGAAACCAUUUCUACUAAAGACAAACAAUGAAACCACAGAUGCUUUGUGAAAUAUGUACCCGCACAAUCCAACAAACUUUAGAAAUUCACAAACACUACCUAGAAUUUUUGCUGACCAGCAAAAAAUUUAUGCAAUUUAAUUCUUAUUGUUAUUAUUAUUUUCAAUGUGAACAAAUAUGAUUGAAUUAUGAAGUAUUUGGCCAGAAGAGGAUCUUGCCUAAUUAUAGUCAUUAAACAACCAUUUAUACCAUAGCCUCUAGACUUUAAAAAGUUUAUAAAACUCAAGGGCUUCCACCCAAUUUCUAGAUAUCUCCAUAACAUUCUUCUGACUAUUAGAAAGCAAUUACCACUUUAAUUUUUCAUUUCAUGAGUGUUCAAUUCAGAAAAAGACCAGGAUCGAACUUGCGAUCAUGCAGUCGAAAAUCCACCUGUGCAUGAAACUAUUGCCUCACGAUUGCAAACUCAAGUUGGAGUCCAGUAACAACUCUAGGUUUGCUGAUGUGCUCCAUUUGAAAUAAAGGAACUAAAGAAUACUUUAUAAAGAUUAAUUACCUUCAUAUUUUAGGUUGGGGUUAAGGCAAAAUGUGAUAGAUUGAGAGGAAGAAAAUAUAUCUUGUUCAGGAAGCCAAUAUUUUGGAGUUCACCUUUCCAUUCGAGUCCACUCUGCUAUAGCAAAAUCAGAGUCACAACUAUGCCUCUUUAAGCUAUCCUUUAAUUGGAUGAAUUGCAGAUUUGGUUGCUGAGAAAGUGGAUAAGAAAGAAAAAUGCAUACUGUAGCUUGAGAUUAAGAGUUUGUUUUCUAAAAUGAGAGAAAGGGAAAGAGAAAAAAUGCAUAUUGUAGCUUGAGAUUAAGGGUUUGUUUUCUAAAAUGAGAGAAAGGGGAAGAGAAAUGUUCGACAACUUUGAGAUGACAAAUUUUUAGAUUUGGAAAAUUUGAGAUGAGUCUCAGGUUUUUUUUUUUUUUUUUUUGUCUUUGUCUUUGUUUUUUUUUUUUUUUUUUGUUUUUUUCCCAAAAACAACCUGUUAAUGUGGUUGUUGACAUAGAAGUGGGUGAGGGCAAAAUGGGCAUAGAAAAAAGAGUCAACACAAAGUGCACAAAACCCAUAUUAUUUUCCACAUUAAUGACUGAUUCUCAUAUUUCUUGUUCUUGGGAUUUGAAAACCAUAUUAUUUGCAAAUGGACCUCCCAAAGCACAGGUUUCCCUUAGUUUUAUGUCUCCAUCUACAUUUUACAUAUAAAUAGAUUAUUUUAUAAAAUUUGUUUUGUAGAUAUAUUAGUUAAUAAUUAUAUAAUUAAUGAUAUAGAAAACAUAUAAAAAUCAUAUUUAAAAAAGAUAAUUACAUAUUCCUCAACAAUCCAUCCCAAGAAUUCGAGGUUGAGUUGAAAACAUGUAGAGUCUUUGAUGUUAUUAUAAUCAUAUCCAACACAUAUGAUUAUUGUUUAUGAGAUAUUAUUAGAAAGUUUGUCUUAAAAUAAUUGAUUUAUUACCCACCUUUAGCAAAUGCCCAUUUUUGCGUCUUUCAAAAUUUUCAUUUUUUUUUUGUUUAAAAGAAGUAUUGUAAAGAAUGAUGAAAUAAGAAAUUUGUUGAGAAAGUGUGAGUAAAUAAUUUUACAUAAAAAGAGAUUUAAUACUUGAUAAAUAAAAUAAUAAAAUCAUGAUUUCUAGUUGUAUAGGGCCGGGUGGAUGGAGUGGCUAAGAUGUAAUUCUUGAAAUAGAGGAGACAACAUCAAUGUAUAAAAGUUUAACAGAGAAGGAAAGUGUGUUUGAAUGACUUUAUUUUCUUCAUUUAAAGUUUUGACGAUGAGUGUUUAUACAAGAUAAAUUUUCAAAUGAUAGGACUCCUAUUUACAUGGAGUUUGUGAUAUACUAUGAUUAUACAAAUUUAAAAUUCAAACAGAUUCAUGAGUUGAUAGGAGUCUGCUCAAUACGCCCCUUCAAAAUGGUGGGAGAUAGCACACCAAUCUUGACUCGAAGGGCCUAAACUCGUGCAGAAGAUGAGGGCUUUGUUAGAGCAUCGACAAGUUGAUCCGUGGUUGACAUAUGGGACACCUUGAGCUCACCUGAUUAAACCUUGUUUCAAACAAAAUGAAAAUCAAUCGCCGAUGUGUUUCAUGGAGAGUGAAACAUGGGAUUUGCACAAAGAUAUGUUGCACCCACGUUAUCACAAGAGAUAGGAGGUGGUGAUAAAUUUGAAACACUAAGUUUUGAGAGAAGAGAAUUAACCCAAAGAACCUUUGAGGCUGUAGAGGCCACGACGUGAUAUUUCGCUUCAGUGGAAGAGCGUGCUAUGAACUUUUGUUUCCUCGAUGACCAAUACACAAGAUUGUGACCAAGAAAAACAAUGGGAGCAUUGGUGGAGGAUCUGACAUAAGGAUUCCUUGCCCAUUCAACAUUCGAAUAUGCAUGUAGAUUGAUGGGCGAUUUCUUAUGCAAGAACAGACCAUGCACCAUUGUGCCGACUAAGUAUCUAAGCAAUCUUUUAACACAAGACCAAUGUGUUGAUGUUGGAUGGUGCAUAAAUUGAGAUAAUUUAUUCAUCAAGAAGGUGAUGUCAGGGCUAGUAAGAGAGAAGUAUUGAAGGCUUCCAACAAUUGACAUAUAUUUAGUGGGACCAGGAAAAGAGGUGUCAUCACACAGAUUUGGAACAUUGUUGAGGAACAUCAAUGAUUGAACUGGUUUGGUAGCCACCAUUUGUGUUUUCUUAAGAAGCUCUCGAAUGUACUUGAGAUAAAAAUAAUCCUUUGGAAGUAUGUAUCAUUUCAACACCAAGAAUAAAAGAUGAAGUCCUGAGAUCCUUAAUGGAGAAUUUGACUGCUAAUUGAGAGAUCACGCGAGCACGAAAAACAUUAUUGUUACUUGUUAAAAUAAGAUCAUCAAUAUAAAUAAGUAGGUAAACAAUGAGACCACUCUUUUUAAAAAUGAAGAGGGAUGUCUCGGUUUAGGAGUUGACGAAGGCUAUUGAGAGGAGAAAUUGGCAAAGUUCAUGAUACCAUGAUCGUGGAGCUUGUUUAAAGCCAUAAAAAGCCUUACAAAGUUGGCAAAUGUGAUGAUGUGUGUAUUCGUGAACCCAGGAGGUUGAAUCAUGUAAACAUCUUCAUGAAGUGUCCUAUGCUAGAAUGCAUUAUUAAUGUCCAAUUCAUGAGUUGAUAGGAGUCUGCUCAAUACAAUGUGGGAGUGUGAUUUCAAAAUUAGGGUAAUUUCGAAAUGGAUUUUGUAUUCACAAGUUGAAUUUCAAAAUUAUUUUGAAAUGGUCUUUUAACUUUAAGCAGUUGUGUUCAAAAGGUCAUAACUUCUUCGUUUCAAUUUUGAUUUACACAUUGUUUAAAACAUUGGACUCUUUACUUCCCGAGCUUCAAAACGAUAUAUAGUAUGCUCAAAAAUGACAUCAGGAUUGGUUCAAAUUUCAUCUUGAUAUUAGAGUACAUGUUGUGAUUAGAUUUUGAGUUCCAAAUUUCCAUGUAAACUUGAUUGCAUUUGCUUCAAACCUCCUUCAUUAUGGUUGCUUGCCCUCUAUCUCACUUUGCAACAUUUGUUACUAGUAUUUUAUGUCCAUGACUUACUCAUUUCAACCUUUCUUGGAUUCUUCAUGGUUCACAAAUUAUGGAUUCUUCAUGGUUCACAAAUUGAGUCUUUCAAUUAUGCAUGUUUAACUCCUAUUUCCUUGGUUGAUAAUGACUUUUACACUUAUCAUUUUCUUUUAUUCUUUAAACCUGAAUUUAGACUUACAAAAAAAAGUUAGAUCCAUAACUAGGGUCUUAGCAUCAAUUUGAGUUAAGUUGGAUGAUUUGAAAAUUUUAUAUUACAUAAAUCAUAUCAUACAUGUGCCAUUGGAGUGCACAUUUUGGCUCUAAUCAUGUUCCAACCCAUUGUUUUACUCUUGCAUGAAGUAUGUGGCCAUUGAUUUUAAUUUUAUUUGCGAUUAGGUUCAAAAUGGUGCUUUUGUGUUGCUCAUGUGUCAUCAGAAGAUCAACUAAUGGAUUCUCUAACAAAACUACUACAUCAUAGUCAUUUUUUUUUUUCUUAAGACCAAGAUUGAGAUCUCCAAUCGGAGCCAACUCCAUCUUGGGGGCAUGUUAGUGAAAGAUAAAAUUUAUCUUUAAUUUAAAUAUUAAUAUUUAUCAGUUAUUAGUUUUAAUUAGAGUAAAAGAUAGAGUUUAAAUUGGAGUAGGAGAUAAACUUGUGUUUGAACUAGAAUAGAAGAUAAAGUAUAAAGAUUUAUGUUUGAAUUAGAAUAAAAUAUAAAGUUUGAAUUAGAGUAGAAGAUAAACUUGUUCUUUAUUUGUAUAUAAAUAUUCAUCAAUUCUUGAGAAGAAGAUUAUUUCAUAGUUUUUCUAUCUUCUUUUUUCUUCAUACAUAUCUGCAAGAAAUUGAAGAUUUCAAGUAAAAUAUUUUCUGUUUUAAAUAGUGAAAAAAGCUAGAAAUUCACUUUGUUAUCUCUUGGGGUAAAUUGACAAGGUUUAACGUUAAGAAGGUGAAUUAUUUUUUCAGAAAAACUGAAGUAGCUAGGAUAUCUGGCCAGUUGUGAUCGAUAAAAAAGUUGUAAAAUCUCUCAUAUACUAAACAGGUUUUGGAUGUUGGUAUGGUAAAUCCAUCUGCAGUCAUUCGUCAUCUCAUCUAGUGAGAUGUUUGGGAGGUGGUGACCGCCGGAUUGGGUUUCAUUUGGUUAAAUCUGUCAGUGGGUUGGCUACUACCCGAGCCUCUUGCUUUGGGGGAGGUGGGUUCUAGAUAUAAUGUUCAAACCAUUUUAGUUAUCAUAUGCAUGACAUGUAAGCAUAAUCUCUUUAUCACUUCUUCAAUGGGAGUUCAUGGUUAGGAAUUGACUUCUUUUCUUCUGGGAUGCUUGGCAUGUAAUGGACAAAGUUACUUUUAUAUCGAUCGAAUUUCUAGUAUUAUAGUGAAGACUUACCCUUUUGACAUUUUAUAUCGAAUUAUAGAAGAUGAAAGGGACAUACAUGCAAUCGACUGACGCUUUAGUGAAUAUGCUGAAAAUAUGCUGAUGCUGUGGAGAUCGUAUGAGGACAGAGGAAAAAGAUAGAAAUGGAUAUAUAAUUAGACCUAGGUUUUUAUUAAAUGAGAUGGGGAACAUAGAGUGAGGGAAAAUCAAAAUUUUUGGCUGCAGUUCACAUUGGUGAUAUUUUGGAUUGACAAAGACUAACGACUUUUCUAUUUUUCUUUUCGGCCUGACUGGAUAGUUGGACAUGGACAAUACAGAAUCCACAGAAGGAUUGUUGGGACCGCUGAAAAUUAGCUAGAAGAAGCUGAGGAAGUAGUCUACGUAGUCAAAUACCAAACACAAAGAAAGAAAGAAAUGGAUAUCAUGGAUGCCUAGAGUUAUACUCCUAAUACCGUCACAGGUAUUUUUCUUUCCUCCUUUUUUUUUCUACGAUAAUUAGAGCAUUUCUCCUCCUCCUCCUCCUCCUCCCCCCACCCCACCACCAAAAAAUAAAAAAAUAAAUUAUUGCAAGUAACACUUCAAAUAUUAAUUUAUACAUUCUAAAGUAUAUAUUCAUGAAAUAACUUGAGUAUCAUACAUUAGUUCUCAAAAAAAAAAAAAAAAAAAAAAAAAAAUUACUGGAAGAGAAAAGUUUAAGAAAACAUAAAAAUAUUCAACUACUAUUUUAAAGAGAAAAUUUAAUUUUUACACUAUAAAUUUGAAGAGAACUUUUACAUGCAUCUUAUAUAAACUACCAUUUUUUGCUAAAAGGCUUAAAUUUGUCAAAAAUACCCCUUAGGUGCUUAACGUUCUGGUCAUAAUAUAAUUGGCAUCUUUUCUCAAACAUAAGGCCUGUGUGUGGGAACAAGAUUUAAUGUUAAUGAGCUUCGCCACCGACAUUUAGUUCCAGAAAUCAUUAUUUUAAUAGAGUGGGCUCAAUUUACAACUUUAAUUAAACUCUAACCAACUGCAUUGUGAAAUGAAUAUGUUUCUUUCGUGGUGAAUCCAAUGAGUUGGGAGUCAAACUUUGCUUCAUUGUGUAUAGAUGAAAUGUUAAGACUCCAUGUAACCUCAAACAUUUCCGCAAUNNNNNNNNNNNNNNNNNNNNNNNNNNNNNNNNNNNNNNNNNNNNNNNNNNNNNNNNNNNNNNNNNNNNNNNNNNNNNNNNNNNNNNNNNNNNNNNNNNNNUUCUUUCGUGGUGAAUCCAAUGAGUUGGAGUCAAACUUGCUUCAUUGUGUAUAGAUGAAAUGUUAAGACUCCAUGUAACUCAAACAUUUCCGCAAUGAGCGGGAGUUCUAAAUUUAAUAAUUGAAAUUGUCAGUGGAACCAGUGGACAAGAGUUGGUUUGUGGUUGACAAACUUAUCCGUUUGAUCUUUACUUGAACAGUUCCAGUGUGUGGAUGGGUACUGAUGAAGUGUGCGCAUUUAUUUUGAGAAGCCUGCUUGUUCGCAUAGAUUUUAACGACAUGAACAUUGUGGUAAGGUUAGAGAGUAAUGCGAAUGUAGGAGCUUAUAUUAGAAAUGACACAAACACGUAAAUAGAAGUAAUCUAUAUAUGAUAUUACUCAUGGACUACAAGCAAAGAAGUACAAUACAUGGAGUAAGUGAUGAAAUGAGCAUUCCUCACUACUACUGCUUGACUGAUGGAACAUGAUGCACGAGAUAGCAUAAGUAGUAGUAGGAAGCAGCUCUUAUUUGUGGCGUCGGUAUACAUCAUACUAGGUAGAUGGUUCAAUUGGCAUGGAUGGGUGGUGGAGCCUUGAAGUGCUUGUGAUGGGGAGCCCACGGCUUCUUCUCAGGAGUUGGUGGCUUCUUGUAUGGAGUUGAUGGAGGUGUUUCUACUGGAGGGUGGCCAGGGUAGUGACCCUGGGGUGGUGAAGGUUCUUUUGUCGGUGGUGGCCUCACUAUUAUUGGCGGUAGAGUUGGUGGCUUGGGCGUUGGCGGUGGUCUCACUACUCUUGGGGGUAGAGUUGGUGUCUUGUGUUUUGGUGGUGGAGGUGGCUUAACAGGAGUUGGUGGCUUGUAUUCUGGGGGUGGUUUCUCCACCGGAGGUGGCUUAUAAACUGGAGUUGGUGGCUUGUAUUCUGGGGGUGGCUUCUCCACUGGUGGUGGCCUGUAAACAGGGGUUGGUGGCUUAUAUUCUGGGGGAGGCUUCUCCACUGGAGGCGACUUAUAAACAGGGGUUGGUGGCUUGUAUUCCGGGGGUGGCUUCUCUACGGGAGGUGGCCUGUAAACAGGGGUUGGUGGCUUCUCCACCGGAGGUGGCUUAUAAACGGGGGUUGGUGGCUUGUAUUCUGGGGGUGGUUUCCCCAGUGGUGGAGACUUGUAAACAGGAAGAGGUGGUUUGUGCUCAUAUGGGGGUGGCUUGUGGUCAUUAGCAAGUGAGGGAGUGGUGAGGACCACCAAUCCAAGGAACAACACGAGUGAGCAAGCAGAAGACAUGUUUGGGCUCUGGUGAUGCACAAGUAGAAGAAAUGGGAACCAUUUAUAAUGCUUCGAGACCUUGGUUAGCACCAAAAUAUGUCAAAAUCUUGAUUACUUCAUUUCAUACAUAGAUUUAAAAUUAUUUCAAUCAACCAUGAUCCUUAAUUUUCUGGGUGGUCCAUAAAUGUAAUGGGGUCAAUUUGGGACCUAACAAGCUGAGAAGUUUGACAAUGCUGCAAGGCUUCAUCCGAAAGUCCGGGGAAGAAUAUUAGGAGUUACACUCCGUUUCCUUUUUUGGGUGCAUUUUUCUCCUUUAACAUUCUAUUCCCUUUUACAUUAGCAUUUGAUCUUAGCUCAUUUCAAGUACAAGUUUCUUGAACCCUAUACCAUUGUCAAAGUUGAGUAACCAUCUCUACUUUGCUCAAGAAACAUAAAAGACAAUGACAAUAAAGAAAAAGGAGAGAGACCAUACGUGACUUGGUUUAUAGGUGGCUUUGUGUUGACAUUUGAGUAUGGAAGCCGACAUGCAUCUUAGCUUCGAUUUUAAUUAAAUUUGUACAUUAGUGUCUGUGUCAUUCAUUUUGGUAUAAAAGGUCUCUUGAUUUCGUAAGUUUGGUAAGAACCGUUGAAAAUAGCAGUAGCAGCACAUGGUCCACUUUCUUUCACAAAAUAAUUUUAAAAGUUUAGAAGCAUAGGAGGUAACAUUAGUGGCCUUGUGGCUCAGCCACGAGUACUAUGUGGUGCUCGAGAAAUUGAGUUUAAUUUCCUUCCGAUAGUUCAUGAUAAGGUCCGUCACUGUCCUGAGACAGAUUGCGUUUUUUCUUUUUUCCUUUUUUAGUGUUUUAUUGACUAGCUAGGUGUGACUUUUCCUACUUUAAGGCACGAGGCAGAAAAGAAACUGGGAUUUAGUGCUUAAGAAGGCAAAUUUAAUUCGAUUUGGAUCUAAAAUUUGCCAGCAACAUGAGAUUUUCCAGCCUAUCGUUGCUCCACAUAUAGACAAGGCACUUGUAGAAGUGGCUUGUUUGUAGCCAUUCCCGAUAUUUGGACUCACUUGAUUCACCGGACACUUUGAUAAAAUUUAAUAUUUAUUAUUUAAUAAUUUAAAUUGAUUUAAAAUUAAAUUAUACCGAAGUUGUGAUUUAAAAAUUAUUAUUUAAUUCUUACUUUUAAAUAUGAAGAUUAUUUGAUAAAAAUAAUUUAAAAUUUAUUAUAAAUUAUCAAAUUAACAUAUUUAUCCUUAUAAAUUAUAAUUAAAACAGAAAAGGUCAAAUGAUUUGAGUAUCCAUAGAUGUGGUAAAAUAAUAAAAAAGAUUAUAAAAACAAUUAUGAUAAAUAAAGAUAAAAAGUAAAAUGAAUAUGUGAAUUUAAAGAAUAAAUUAAUUAUUUUUAUUUAUUACUUAAAAUUAUUUUUGACUUUAAAUUAUAUUAUUAAAUUAUUUUACCAAACAUACUUAAUUUAGUUAAUAAUUUAAAUUUAAUUUAAGUUAUUAAAUUGAUUCACCAAAUACCCACUUAAUCAAAGACUGAAGUAUACAUUAUUUGGCCAAAUGCAGCUAUUGAAAUUUAACUUUUUCCAAACUUAUUCAUUUUGUGGAAAUAUUUUUAGAAAUGAUUUUAAAAAUGCACUAUUCUGUGUGUUGAUUUUAUAUUUUGGCAUUAAUCCAACAUAGAAAACGGUUCUUAUUUUCGCUGUUAAAUAGGUACCAGAUCCUUAAUUAGUGCCGUGAAUCCGGCAGCUUCCAAUGAGUAAUUUGGACUUGGGUAUUGACAAUGUGUGGCCAUGCUUCUACUAUUUUAUUAUUCUUGAAACAUAUAUGAUAUAUUGGACUUUAUACAGGGAAAAAAAAAAAAAAAAGUCUUCACCAAAAAUGAUUCCUCCUAAAAAAUAGACUCCACAAACUAGGUUUAACAGGAAAAUGAUUCUAAUCUAGUAGUUUCCAGCCACAUGAGCAUUUACGUAACAAUAGUAUAGUUGAUAACGACUUUUAUUUUAUUUAUUUUUAAAUAGUUAAAGGGAUAAUUUUUGAGCUUAAAUUUUAUUUUUUUAUUUAGAAACAUUUUACUUUAUUUUUUAAUCAUAAUUCUAUUAUAUUAAUGUUUUAUUUUCUAUUUUUUAAUAUAUAAGGAGAUACUAAAUUUAUGUGAUUAUUUUUUAAAAAUUUAGUAUAUGAAAUUAAAUAAUUGGAUAUAUAUACAUAUAUCAUAUAAUGUUUUUUAAGUGUGAUUUUUGAACUUUUUAGUCAUUUUAUAAGUUUAAGCUUUUGAUUUUUUUUUUUAAACUUUGGUAUUUUUUAUUUUAUAUAAAACUAUUUUGAUUUAAUUUUAUUAAAAAAUAUUGGUAUUAUAAAUUAUUGUAUUAAUUAUUUUUUUAUAUUAUAAUGUAACUGGUAUAUACUAAAAAAUGUAUGCAAGUUCAAUUUAAGUUUCAAAUUAAAAAAUUUCAUUUAAAUAUUUAAUAACUUGUUCAUAAUAAAAAAUUAAACAACAUAAUACAAAUGAAAAGAAACAUAAAAGAAAAAGGAAAAAAUGGUCCUCUCUGUGUGUCACAUUACUAGGUCAUCCUCUUUUUCUAUGACCCUUACAAUAGAAUGGCAUAUUUGUCAAAUCUACUUAUGAAAGUUGGAAUGUUUCUACAUGUGUAGGGUCCAUUGGAACUAAUGGAGGAAAGGCUUAACGUCUAUGUAAAUCACAACGUUGCCUAGGUGGGCAUAGAUCUAGUUGUGUAACAUGAGAUGGUGUGAGAGUACAAUAUAUGCAUUGUAGUCUCUAUGGGAAGAGAGAUAGGUAAUGGUAGGGUGGUAGACGGUAGGGUGAUCUCUAAUAUAAUGACAUUUGAUGUGGUGGCUUCUAAGAGAGGAGAUAUAAGAGAUGGUAGAAUGACAUUUGGUGUAAUGGUCUCUAGUGCAAUGACAUGUGAUAUGGUGACCUAUAAAGAAGAGAUAUAGGUGAUGGUGAAGUGGUAUGUGGUGUAGUGACCUUUGAGAUAGAAAAUAGAGGUAAUGGUAGGUUGGCAGGUGGAGUGGUCUUUGGUGUAGUGACAUCAAUUAUAAAUGUCUCCAAGGGAGGAAAUAAAGGUGAUGGUAGGUAGUAAAUGUUGAGGUGGUCUUUGAUAUGUUAUGCUCUAAGAGAGAAGGUAUAGGUAAUGAUAAUAGGGAAUUUGACAUAGUGGUGUUGGAAAUAAAAAGUGAAAGUGACCGUAGAGGUGAAAGGGCAAGUGUAAAAGCCUCAAGUACGAAUGGAGUAAUUAAUGUGGAUGGUGCUAACAUAGUCUUAGGUGGAUACACAAAUAGUCAUAGUCAUCAACUAGCUUGCCCACCAUCUGUCUUUCUGCUAGUGAUAGGUUACAUCUUAAUAGUAAUGGCCAACAUAAGUGGUGUGGAUCCGAUUUUUUUACGUGUGUCCCCACUCAAUCGACAAGACUUAUUUUUUAUUAGUGAAAAAUUAAUUUUGGAAAAGUUGGAGUCACCACUUAUUUUAUUUUAUUUUAAAAAGGAAAGUAAAACAAGAAAGAGAACUCUAAAGAAGUGACUUCAUAGUUUUGGAAAAGUUAGUCUUAAAAAAUCCAAGUCUUGGUCCGGAGAUCAGGUUACUUAUUGGGAAGAUACCUCUAAGAGGUAAUACCCCUCUAAACCCUAAAGAAGUCUCUAAUGACUAAGUUGAGGAGAAUGUGGUAAUUAAUUAAUUGAUUGAGGGUACCUAGGUAGACUAAGGUGAUUUCAGAAUUAACAUACCAAGCUAGAAAGUCCAAUCAUGAUCAUAAAAGAGAGUCAAAGUAUGUACCUGAACUGCUUCUCAAACGCUAUCAUAAAACAUCAAAGUUAGUAUAGAAAUAUAACACAUAAUAUUUGUUUUAUCCAAGCAAAUAAAGCAUACAUCUAAGCACCCAAGAAUCACAUCAAGUAUGGAUAUAGUCAUCAAUAGCAUACGUGUCCAUAGAACUAUCGAAAGUAAAUGUGGAGGAGCGUAUCUGGACAACAUAGAUAACUUAUAAUGUGCUUCCACAAGACAUGGGGGUUAGAUAAAAGUUAUAAUAAUAAUUAGUAAAUGAAAGAAUUCUAGCAUGUUUGGUAUCUAAAUAACAUAGCAAAAAUGAACAAGAGUACACGAAAACAUCAAUUAUCACACGAGUCAUAUUGGCUAGUAUUUAAUCAAUAAACCAACAAUAAAUGACUAUAAACAUAUAAAAUGACAUAUUCAAAGAGACCCAAACAUAAAGAGCCUAGAACACAAGCUUACACUAAAUUUAGAAAACUAAAACAUGGAAUUUUAAAAGCAUAAAUUAGCAAACAAAUUGAUGGAAACUAAAUUUAGAUAACUUAAGAAUAUUUUUCUUAUCCUUCAAUUUAAAUCAGUAAGCCAACAAUAAAAAAUUAUAGAAACAUGGAAUAUCAAGAUCAAUGGGAUACCUAAACUAUAAUUUUUAAAAGAAAAUAAACUAAGCAUAAUAUCUACAAAGCAACUAAACUAACAUUUUUUUAAAAAUAAAUUAAACAUGACAUUAAUGGAGUAACCAAACUAAAUUAAAGUAAACUAAAAACAUUUAUGAAUUUUCAAACAUGGAAUCAGCUUUCUUAGUAAAUUAAAAUUAUUAAAAUAAAAUCUAAGCUUAAAAAUGAAUUAAAUACUAACUAAAGCAAAUCUAAAACCAAAUAUUUAACACAUAGGAUCAAUUAUAUUAACAAACUAAAAUUUUAUAAGAACACUUAAACCUAAAGUUGAAUUAAAAACUAACCAAUUUUUAAAACUAGAUCUUUAACCCAUAGGAUCAAUUAUAUUAACAAAUAAAUAAUAAAUAAUAAAUAAAUAAAACUCAAACCUAAAGAUGAACUAGAAAUGUACCAAAGUAAAUUCAAAACAAGAUCUUUAACACAUUAGAUCAAUUAUAUUGACUAACUAAAAAAAAAAAAAAAAAACACUCAAACCUGAAACGAUGUAUUAGAAACUAACCAAAGCAAAUUUAAAAUAGAGUCUUUAACACAUAGGAUCAAUUAUAAUCACUAACUUAAAUUACAAUUUUUGAAACAUGAACUAAUUAGUGUUGGAUUAAUUAAACUAAUUAACUAAAAAAAACUAUAAACUAGAAUACGGUGAAUCAAGAAUUCAAAUCAACAAACAUAAAAUAUGGGUACAAUGAAAUGAAAAUCUAUUAAACUAAUAAGACGGAAAUAUGACAAACUCAUGAACCCACAUUUUGAUCAACUAGGAAAUAGAAAUUAAUAGACCUGUAGCAUGGAUACAAUGAAAUGAGAUCAGUUAAAUUUAUUUGCCGAAAUUCUAAAAAACACAUACACUCAAAUAAGAUCUAAAUCUAAGACCAAGCAAAACUCAAACUUUCUCAAUCUAAUGCAAUGAAUCAAAACUAAAAUUAAAUAGAAAUCAAACCAUUUUUUUUUUAUCUAAUAUAAUAAAUCAAAGCUAAAACUAAACAAAAUCGAAUUUUCUUAAUUUAAUAUGAUGAGUCAAAGCUAAAAUUGAACAAAGUUCAAACCUUUAUAUAAUGGAUCAAAGUUAAAUCUAAAUGAAAUCCAUACUUCCACAAUUUGAUAUAACAAAUCAAAAAUAAAACUAGAUAAAAAAAAAGUCAAAGCCUUUCAACUUGACAUAGUGAAUCCAAACUGAAACGAAACAAAAUUUUAACUUUUCCAAUGAAACCCAAUAUAGAAAAAAUUAGCUUACCUUCUUUAGAAUAUAUGUAUGGGCCAUAAAGAAGUCACCUUGGUGCAUGUGUUCCUCACUUUGACGCCAAUGGACGACUUUCUAUGGUAGCAAAUGGAGAUCCUUUUUGGUGGUAACUUGCGUGUGGAAACCUAUGGUACAACCAAUGUCAUCUUUUAUUGUGCGUGUGGACCAAUUUCUUCUCGAGAACUCAUGUGUGUUGUGCUCAAAAUAUGUUGCCUGUGAGAAUCUAUUGGUAUACCCCACAUAUGGUUUCCUUGAGAGAAUCUGUGGUUGUGUGUGGGCGUUUUCUUCAUGACAGCAUGUGGAUGUUCCCAUCUAUGGUAGAUUGGUUGUGAUGCUUUAGUGCAUGGUCUCCAUAGGAAUAGUGUGUUAUGGAAAUUUGGUUUUUUUAUUGGUGCAUGUUGUCUAGACUUUCCCAUAUGCGUGGACUGUGUGUUCAUGCUUUUCUUUUCGGAUGGUCGCCUGUGUUAAUGUGUGGCGGUGUCUACAAUGAAAGAUACAACCCUUUCUCUCCUUCUGCGUGAUAGAAAAGUCAAUCCCCCAUGGUGCGACUAUGUUCCCUCGUCCUUUUUGAAAAAUUUUGGUGUUUUCCCCCCAAAAAAUCCCCUCCAAAAAUCUAAUUAUAAAUGUCUGCUUUGGCCUAAUGUGUGUGCUACUUUUUUUUUCCUUCUUUUUAUGGUUGUGCGUGCUUUUCUUGAUACGUGGCUUAUUUCUUAAGGAUAUGAUUCGCUCCCAAUUGGUGUCUCAGCUGAUUCAUGUCCUUUCAAUGGUCCCUGACAGUGGUGCCAUUUGAUUCGUGUCCAGCUGGUGUCCCUUGAUUGUGGUCCUCAGAAGGGAGUAAUCAAUAAAAUUUAUAACCUAUUACACCAUGUAUUAGGAUAGCCUUAGCUAGCAUAGCAUAGUGGCUCUAGGGUCGUUUAUUGGGAUGAGUUUUCACUUCACAAUUGAUAUUAAUUCAAGAGCUGAAUUGGUGCCUUUUCAUUUCAAGGUUAGCUUUAAAAGAAAACAUAAUCUUUGGUGGAAAAAGGUUUGGUUUUAAACUAACCAAAAAUAGUAACUGAUUUUACUUACAAAGAAAAGUGUUCUUUGGAGUUUAGAUCACUAGGCUCAGGUUCCUCAUACAAAAAGGAGAGUUCCGAUCAUUUGUUUCUUUUCCUCGCAUUAGAGAAUUAACAUAUAGUUAAUUCUCUAACCGGUGCGGUACAUAUGCUUCCCAUUAAUGGGUUCAAACACUAAAUACCUCUCACUGAUGCACCUUGCAAUGGCUCGUGCCUCUCACCUAGCAUUUAUCAUUCAAGGUGAUCUUUAACCUUGGAUUACCCAUCAAAAGCUCGCAAGAGAUAACUAAAGGAUGUCUCCUUAGAGUCCAAAAGCUUACCAAGUGUUGGUUAUUCUAGAAAAUCCUACCUUCAAACCACCUCCCAAAGGCUCGCAAGAGAUAAACAAGUGCAUCUCAAUGGAUGAAGAUCACUUGCCUUACCAAGUUUUGGCCCAGAUGAUUUAAUGACAUUUUAAGUUAACUAAAAAGAUAAAAACCAUUAACGGGUCACACUUUCUCUUCAUUAAAAACUAAAACAACAAAACUUCCAAUUUAUGCAUGAGGAAACUUACCUGGCUUUCUUCACUUCAAGAGAUGAAGAGCCUAGCCACUCAUCAUUUGAGGAAAAAUCCUCAGAGUUUGAUUUGCUAGAAAUAAAAAUAAUGAGAAAACAAAAAUAUAUAUAUGAAAAACAGAGCAAGUUCUCUGUAAUAUAUUUUUCUUCCUUAUACAAAAGGUUGUCUCUAAGAACAAGUUCCCGAGAUCUAUCUGAUUGUAAAUAAAAUUACAACUAUAUAUAAGAGGUUAUUCACCCCUUUGUUCUUUCUUAAAGACUAAGGAAUCCUAUGAUAGGUGGGUUACAAGGAGAGUUUGGGGAUUUAGACAUCAAAUAUCUAAAGCAAAAUAUCUCAAGAUGUUAGUCGGAAAUAUCAGGAAGCUUCAGGAGAACACCGCGACACUGUAUACUGAGAGAAAAACUCUCCGGGUAAGCUCUAUCAAAGGAUCCAGACAUGUCUGACUGGGAAAGUUGAAACGUCCUUCUCUCCCAUCCGGAUGUGAGAUAUCCGGAGAAAGUGAAAUGUCGGUCGGACAGAAUUCUUUCCCCGGGUGGAAUGAGUUGUGUUGCGCGUCGCAAGGGGGACCGUCUGCGUGUACAAGUUGUAGGGACCCCUCUCCCGGAUGACACCGAGCGCGUAAGGCUAUCCGGAUCAACUCCAUUCGGAUUCCCCAAGAGGACAUGUGGCGUGCUCCCCUAUCAGGACUCCCUUAGGGAGAAGCACACGACACUCGUGAACAUCAUACCCGGACGAUAGCAUGUCCUAUCCGGAUGUGUUGUCCGGAUCAUUGACUAAAGUGAGCAAGCCUUGCUACGUCAUUCGGACAGCUUGCCACAUACCAUGUUCCGUCGCCAUCUGAUGGUGUGUCCGAACGCCUUGUCCGGACAUCUUUUGCUCCUUGCAUUCCGGAUUUGCUUAUGACAAAGGACUUCAAAGCUUCGGUUCUUCAUGUUUCUGAGCUUUCCAUUGCUUUGCCAUGGAUUCCAAAGAACUCUCCUUAAUCACGGAUUGCUUUGGUGAUCAAAAAGUUAUCAAAACACAAAAACUUAACAUAGUUUGAUUAGAAUUGAUUGCAAGGGUUCUUAAUAUGUUAAUUGGGUUAAAAGGUGAUAACUACUACUCAAAAGUGUUUAUAAGAAUUAAUUACAAGCUAUGAAAUAACACUUUUUGAGUAGUAAUCAGGAUACAUCCUAGUUUUUCAUGGAAUUGAUAGUGGGUUGUUGUGCAUGAAUGCCACCAUUUCAACUAUGCUGUUGUUAUUUUUAAAAAAAAUAUGGAUUAUGCGCGAGUGGCAAUUCUCCACUAUGGAAAGUGGAUUGCUCCUUCAACCCAUGCAUGGCUACGUAUUCCUAUGUCUUUCUACUUGUGUUUGAUCCUCCAAAAAAAAUUUCGGUUUAGUGCUAGUAGAUUUUAAGUGGUGGAUCCCCAUUUUUUGAAAAUGAAGUGGCAGCCUCCCAUUUCAAGACAAAAUGGUAGCCUGCCUUUAAUCUUUGGAGAAAAAUCUGUGCAUGACCUUUUUUUUUCCCAAAAAAUCCGUGCAUGGUGUCCUUUAAUAUUUGGAGAAAAAUCUAUGUUGGAUCUUUUCUUUUCUAGAAACAUUUGUGUGGUCUUUUUUGUUAGCCCAAGGGUUCUUCUAAUCAAGUUUUGAUGAUAACAAACCAUGGUUAAGUGACUAAUUGGUUUAAUGAUUAAGAAUCUCAAACAUAAAAUCGAAAAUUCAUCAAAGGACCAAAUGGAUACAAGAUCGAGACGCUUGGAAGACUUGUAAUCAUAGGAAACUAAUGUAAGAUGAAUGCAUGAGUGCACUUAGGAUUUUCACACGUUUCAUGCAACUUAGAAAACCCAGUUUAUUCUUUAAAACUUCAUCCCAGUUUAUUCUUUUUAUGGUUGUGUGUGCUUUCCUUGAUACGUGGCUUAUUUAUUAAGGAUACAUCCCAGUUUUUCAUGGAAUUGACAGUGGGUUGUUGUGUGUGAAUGCCACCAUUUCAACUGUGCUGUUGUUAUUUAAAAAAAAAAAAAAUGGAUUGUGCGCGAGUGGCAAUUCUCCACUAUGGAAAGUGGAUUGCUCCUUCAACCCAUGCAUGGCUACGUAUUCCUAUGUCUUUCUGCUUGUGUGUGAUCCUCCAAAAAAAAUUUUGGUUUAGUGCUAGUAGAUUUUAAGUGGUGGAUCCCCUUUUUUUGAAAACUAAGUGGCAGCCUCCCAUUUCAAAACGAAGUGGUAGCCUGCCUUUAGUCUUUGGAGAAAAAUCUGUGCAUGACUUUUUUUUUCCCAAAAAAUCCAUGCAUGGUGUCCUUUAAUAUUUGGAGAAAAAUCUAUGUGGGAUCUUUUAUUUUCUAGAAAAAUUUGUGUGGUCUUUUUUGUUAGCCCAAGGGUUCUCCUAAUCAGGUUUUGAUGAUAACAAAUCAUGGUUAAGUGACUAAUUGGUUUAAUGAUUAAGAAUCUCAAACAUAAACUCGAAAAUUCAUCAAAUGACCAAAUGGAUACAAGAUCGAGACGCUUGGAAGACUUGUGAUCAUAGGAAACUAAUGUAAGAUGAAUGCAUGAGUGCACUUAGGAUUUUCACACGUUUCAUGCAAUUUAGAAAACCCAGUUUAUUCUUUAAAACUUCAAUUUCAUUAAAACCCGAGUUUUUAACUAAUGUACCUUAGGCAAAAUGUUUUAUAAUUGGCUUAAUAAUUCACCUAAAUACAUUUUCUAAGUGUUAGAAAAGAAAGGAAUUAAAAAAAGGUUUUCGGGGCAAAAAAGGCUCAACCGGUCGAGGCUAUGGUCAACCGGCUCAACCGGUUGAGGAACCAAUCGAUCGGUUGUGCUUGUCCGAUCGAAGACCAAUCGAGGGAUGCCAAAAAAUUUCUCUCUCUCCUAGUGGCCUUCUCUUCCCGGUCGAGGUUCGGUCUAGGCAACGGUAACAUGUCAAGCAUUAAAUGCUCCGACGACUAGUGAAUCGGUCGACCCCUAGCCCGAUCGGACGAGGUUGCCUUUUGCUGUUUUUGACUCCCGAGCUUAGAAACCUAUAAAUUGAGAGCUCCACUUCAUUUAUUGAUAAAAGAGAACACUUGCAUUCAAUAGUCUACCUACCUUUUCUUGAUCAAAAAGCUCUCAUUUCCUUCAUAGUGCAUUAAAUCAUCACUUGCAUAUCCUUUAGUGCACUAUUGUGUGUCAUCCUAGCUUUGUUUUGUAUUUGAGCUAUCCUUAAGCUAGGUUGAGGGAUUAUUUCUUAUAAAAAUCUGAGUGUUAAAGCCUUCAAGAGAUUUGAAUCUUGAAGAGAUUGUGUAAGAGCCCAUUGGAGCCGGAGUCCAAGUGUAAGAAGAUUGGAAGCUUGGUUGAAGCUUCAAGUUAGUGGAACCCUCACUCGGUUAGGAGGUUGAGGAGAGUGGACGUAGGUAAGGAAGUGUCGAACCAUUAUAAACCCGAGUUUGAAUUCUCUAACUCUAUCUCUUUAUUUUGCUUAUAUUGUGUUUGAAUUUGUUGUGAUUGAAAAGAUUUUAAAAACCUAAUUCACCCUCCCCCCUUUUGGGUUUUUUUUUCUUAAUUAAGCAUAACCUUUGUUUUCUAAUUUUCUUUUUAGGAAAAUCCAUGCGUGGUAUGUCCAAACUCUCCAAGUGGCAGUCUGCCUUCUUCUAAAAAAUUUGUUUCUAUUUCUUUAUUCGACUACCUUCCAUGUCUUCCUAAUGAGUGCUUGUGCUCAAUGGUCAAUCCCUGGUGGUUGCCUCCUUUUCCCAUAUAUACGUGUUGCAAAAUCAACAUCCCACUAUAUGUGGGUUGCCUCUAUGGCAAGUUCACAUUUCCCACAUGAAACCUAUGAGUUUCCACCAAAAAUUGCCAUGAAAAAGUCUUUAUAUGCAUCUCAUGCAAUAAAAAGUCAAGCCAAUACUCAUCUUAUCUCGAAAAAUAAGUAACCAAAAUCAAGAUCAUGCCUAAGUGAACUAUGCCAAAAGAAGUGUCCAAGUGACCUAUUAUGAAAAAAGUGCCUAAGUGACCUAAGGUGAAUGUGUGUAAGCUGGAAGGUGUCUAGGAUGUUUAGGACAAUGCCUAAGCCUAAAAUAGGGUUGCCAAGGGUCACAAUGGGGUUAGAUAAAUCUCUCAAUCAGAGUCUCCAAGGUGGCUCAUAAAAGAUAAGCUACACGAGUAAUGAUGGGCCACCAGGGAAUUAUUGUAAAGCACCAAACGAACACAUAAUAGGACAUGUGUUAGAAUGAAAAAAUGGAGGGUUUACAAGUGGUCUCAUGGAUGAGCUUGAUAAUUUAAAUGACUCACAUAAUGAACGUAUGUGAUGUUUCUCUCCAAUAACAAGCAAAACAUCACUAGCAAUAUGAUGAAUGUCUCCUAAAUCACUUGAAGUAGUCCUAGCAAAUCAAUUAGAAAAAUCACACAUAUUGCUCUAAUGUAAUAUUAUAUACAUCUGUCAAUGAAUGGGAGAACUAAUGACACAACCAUCAUGUUGAUAUCUCGAACCCUCUAAUCUCAUAUGUAGGUGGGAUCACACUUAGAAACUCAUAACACAGUAAUGACCAAUCUAAGUCAAAAUGUGUUGGUGAUCGGAGGCCCAUGAAUAUGAAGUUCUAGGAUGAUAAUGACAUCUUAUAAAGUAAUGAUCAUCUCCUUAAUAGAUAGGUGAAAUGUGUGUGUCUUAGGACACCAUCUCUCAACAAGACUUGUGAUCAAUCCCCAGUCUAGUGUAACAUGCCUAUUAUGACAUCCAUCGUAAAAUCUAGACUAGAUAAUAUAAGGACAAAUGUGAGGGUUCAUCUCCCUUUCCCACAUAAAUUUAAAAAAUUAUUAUUGACAAGUUAAGACCAAACUAAGUUGCAAAAUAUAAAUAAGUCCAUUAGAUAACAAAUUUAUGUUUUCUCAUUUUCUCAUUUUUAAAGAGAUAUUAUGUGCUUCCAUGUACAUACAUGCUAAAGUCAAUUAUACGAGACUUAUAUCCAUCUUGUAGAACCAAAUCGAACCUAUCUAAUAGAUCCAGAUUAGAAGUAUGUCCUCUAUACUCCAUAUUUAUAACACAUUUAUAAAGAUAAAUGCUAAAAAAAUGUUAAAGAUAUAAAUUUAAUGAACCAUACUUUAUGAUUUUAAUUCUCAAUUAUUGUUCAUAUUUAUAAGAGAAAAGUUAAAAAAAUUGAUAGAGUUUUCCCUCUAUCAUGGACAUUAUCCCAAAUAAAAAUAAAUUGAUUAUGCAAAUUACAUUAAUAUUUGUAACCAAAUGAUCAAUAACUAUCUUGUAUCAAUUUAGUAAAUAAAUUUAAGUAUAUCUUUUCAUUUAUGACUAACAAAUAACUCAUACUUGUCCAAUAAAAGCCACACCUAAUUUCUAAAAUUUUGUCUUCACCUCAAGUGAGUGUUACAUUGAGAAAGAAAAAAUAUGAAAGAAAAAAUGAACACCUUUUUCUUUUAAUAAAAAAAGGCCAUAACGAAACAUUAAAUCUCACUGUUACACCUAUCUUCAAUGGAAACAUGAGGAUGUGAAUGGUGGCGGUGAUAUUCUUUGCUUGAAGCUCAUAAACAAAUAUUCCUUACUAAGCCUAUGCCAUUUAGUAUUUCAAUAGUGGACCCCCCCCCCCCCCCCCCCCCCCUCCUUGCAUUUCAGAUUUAGCAAACUUAGAACCAAAUAACAAAGUGCAUUUGAACCCAUAAAGAAGUAAUGAGACUCUCCUAUAUUGGCAAUAGAAGAAAUUUUUGGAGGUAUAGGAGAUUCACGGAUGAAGAAGUUGGGCCCCAAUUGAGAUAAGACCCAAGAAAAGAUGGGGUAGAGAGGGAUGGUUGGAAAUUGUAAAGUAAGAUUUUCAAAAUGUAGUUGAUGACUAAGAUUUUGACAAUUUAAAAAAGGUUUAAAAAUGUAGUUAGCAAUCGGGGUUUUGUAACAUUUAAAAAAUAAAAUAAAAUCUCAGGCCACAUGGUAGCCCAUGUGAUUCAGAAGCUUGAGAAUUAUUUUAUAAGAAGACUUAAUUUGUGAUUUUUUUAUAACUAUAUUAUUUUUUUUCUUAACACACGAAAAAAAUUAUGAAAUAAGACAAUUUUCCUAAGAAAGCAUGUAAGUGACUCUUGGUUAUUUUAUUUAACUUCUUCUAGUUUGGAGAGGAUUAAUACCUUUGCUUUUACUCACUUGCUUGGAUAUGUACACGUUGUUCAUGUCACUUUUCAUUUAAUUUUCUGAUUAAGGGAAUUGGAACCGUACGUAACUGUCUUUAUUCCCUCUGAAACUUGGACUUGGAGUUGGACUUUCAAUCUCAUCAGUCGUGUUUCCAUAAAAAAGAAGAUGGAUUAACCAAUUUUCCUAUGCCUACUAAUCAUACACAAAACUCCACUUCCAAAUAAAAAGGAAUGGGAUAUCACUUGUUAAUAGUGGCUAAAGACUAUUAAUAACCAUGCAAAGAAAUGUCACAUUUUUUGUUCUACGCAAAUUUUAUUCAUCAACUACUAGAACCAUUUCAUACAAUAGUAGCUUUUCGAUCCUUUGAUAAAUGGACACUUGAUGUGAUAACACCAACUACACCUAUAUAUUCAAGCAAUCAUGCGUAUAUAAUAGUGGAUAUGGAUUACUUCUCUAAAUGGGCAAAAGUUUUGUCAUUCAAGGAAAGUGAACGAGGAAACACAAGUUUACUUUCAUCGGAACUAAUAUUAUAUAUUGAUAUGACUUCCCAUUAUUACUUACGAUGGAAUAUGCUUCCAUAAAAUGGCCUAGAUGAACAAACUAUCCAAGAAGUUUGGGAUCAAAUAAUAUAUAUAUAGUUCAUGUGUGAUUCUUUGGUUGACAACCUUGUUAAGGGGUGAGUGAAGCACUUUGGGCAUACCACAUACUACAUGCUAGACUUCCACCCAAGCUACCCUAUAUUCCUUAUGAACAAAGUAGAAGUUGUCAUCUCUCUUGAAUACCAAAUCCUUUCACCUAAUAAUGCUAUCUAAAAAGGUCUUAAAAAGGAUAAAAAUGCGCAUAUUUGAAUUUUUGAAUUAGGAGUGCUACUUAAAAAGAAGCUAGAUAUACAAUAAUAGAAUGUUAUCAAGCAUAUCUCUUCAAAGUUUUUGACCAAAAAAUAUAUGAUUUCUCAUUUUAGGUAGGAGACUUAGUACUCACUAUUCAAAAACCAAUUAUCAUUACUCAUAAAAACUAAUAGAAAGUUUGGGCCAAAGUAGGAUGGACCUUAUAUUAUGCAACAAUUAUGCCUAUAAAAUUGUUGCAAAAGAGGUUUUAGAAUCAAAUCAAUGAAUGAAAAAUUAUUAAAGCAUUACUAUGCUUGAAGGCUAGUCAUUUUCCCUUAAAGUGCAAUAUUAAGUUGCAUAGUACUAUGUGGAUCCGCAUUUUUCACAUGCGUUCCCACUCAUUGUCGAGACUCACUUUUUAGAAGUGAAAAAUUAGUUUUAUUAAAGUCGAAGUUGCCACUGGGGAUUUGAACCCUAACAAAAGGUUCAAUUUAAGGAUAAAAAUAUCGAUAAUCACAUAUAUAUAUAUUGGUACUUUGAUUUUAUGAAUAUAUUGAAGAAAUAUGGACAAAUAUUUUGACACAAAAUAUGUACAAAAUAAAAAUUAUAUAAAAAGUAAAAAUAAAUAUUUUAAAAUUAUUUUUUUAAAUAUAUAUAUAUAUAAUUUGACAUAUUUGAUAAUAAUAUAUAAGGGUCUCCAAAAAGCCCGUGGCCCGCUUUAGGCCCGGUCCGACCCGACAGGCUAAAGCCCGGCCCAAGCCCGCCGGGCCCAAGCUCGGCCCGAGCCCGUUUAUGGGUGGGCCGGGCCGCGAGCCCGUAGGCCUGCUCCUUUAAAAAAAAACUACAAAAAUAAAAAGUAUUAAAAAAAAUAUUCAUUUCAAAAUUUUAUUCAUUGAAUGUAUAAUUACAUUUGAAAAUGUGGGAAAAGUUUACAUCACUACAAAAUAAAUACAUCCCAACUAGGUUGGCACCUAUUUAUUUGUCAAUCAUCUGUAUUUUUCAACCACAAAAAAUAAAAAUAAAAAUAUAAUAUACAUUUAGUCAUUAUUUUCUGGCGGUGAUGGCGAACUAUCAUGCAUCCAUGAAGAUCUUGAUAAUUUUAAAGAUUCCAUAUCGGUAAGCAUCUUUGUUUCUCGAAUGGAAUCAUACAUCCUUUUAUCUGCUAUUUCCCAAUCUUUCACACAUAUCCCUGCUUUAAUAACAUCUGACGCUAAGUUGCAUCGUUUUUUACUAACUACUCUUCCACCUGCACUAAAAGCAGCUUCUGAUGCAACUGUACUCACAGGAACUGUUAGUACAUCACGAGCAAUUAUAGAAAGCACAGGAUAUUUGUGUUGAUGUGAUUUCCACCAUAUUAAAAUAUUAAAAUCUUCUUGAUCUUCAAAUGAAAUUAUAUCAGUAUUAAGAUAUUUAUCUAAAUCAGAUGUAUUAUUUGGAGAAUUAUUUGUUGUCUUUUUUCGACUUUUCAACAUUUCUAGAGCUCCUUUAUAAAAAGAUGAGGAGUUUGUAGAUGUAGGUGGUAAUUUAAUAGUAUUAAUAUCAUUACCAUAUUUUUCUUUAUAAUAGUUAUAUAAAUUAUAUAAUAAUGAAUUUAUUUCAUUUUUAAUUUCUUCAAUUUUUAUUUGGUCAUUAAAAUAAAUAAUUGUUAACCAUUCAUCCAAAGCUUCAAAUUUCAAUCUAGGGUCCACAAUUAAAGCAAUAUAAAAAAUUAAAGGUAUUUCUCCCCAAUAUUUUCUAAAUUUUUAUAUCAUUACAAAUAUUGUAUCAUUAAAUAUUUCAAAACUUAAAUAUUUUUGAAGUACAAUAAAAAUAUUAGUUAUUUGCGUAAUAACUCGAUUUGAAGUUGGAUAAUAUACACCACAAAAAAUGUUUGUUGAAGUAUCAAAAAUUUCAAAAAGAUCUCUUAAAACAUCCGCAAUAUGCCAAUCAUAAUCAUUUAAUGCAUAAAUAUCUGCUUCAUAAUCAUUGUUAAUUAAUUGUAUUUCAUAUAAUUCGACUACUUUUCUAUAUUUUGUAAUAUUUUCUAAAAGUUUAUAUGUGGAAUUCCAUCUAAUAGCCAUAUCCAAAUUUAUAUUUUUUCUUUUCAUAUUUAACAUUUUGCAACAAUCAAAAAAUAAUUCAUGUUUUGCUUGAAAACUAUUAAUACUAUAUGCAAUGCCUCUAAUUUUUUUCCAAUGUACUAUCAACAUUUUUUAAUCCAUCCUUUACAAUUAAAUUUAAAAUAUGUGCACAACAACGCACAUGAAAUAUUUUAGCAUGAUCUUCUUUUACUUGCCAAUAUCGUUUUAGUCUAUGUAUUGCUGCAUCAUUAUUAGCAGCAUUAUCUAAUGUUAUUGUCAAUAUUUUAUCACGAAUGCCUAAAUCUAUAAUUUCAUCAUUUAUUAAAGAUGCUAUAUUUUUACCACUAUGUGGAGUAUUUAUUAAUUUAAAUAAAAUUAUUCUUUUAUUUAAUUUCCAUUCAUUAUCAAUGUAGUGAACAAUUAUAUAUAAAAAACCAGUAUGAGUUAAAGAUGUCCAAAUGUCAGAUGUUAAACGAAUAUUUCCUUCAAAAUUUGCAAAAUUUUUUUUUAAAAUUUCUUUUUGUGUAUAAAUUUUUUUCAUAAUAUCUCUUUUAACUGUAUUUCCAGAUCAACCUUUAAAUUGAGGAUUAAUACCUCGUUGAAUUGUUCUUGCAAAAUCAUGAGUUUCCAUCAUGUUGAAAGGUUGUUCUGCUCUUAUUAUAUAAUCAAUCAUUUCUUCACAACAGUUAGAUUCAUCAUAAGAAAAUGUUUUUAAAUUUCCACUUUCAUUUUUACUUAAUUGCAUAUAAUUUCUAAUAUCUACAUUAUUUUUAGUUUUACAAUUUUCAUGAUGUCUUUUUAAAUGACUUGUAUCUGCAUUUGAGCCACCAGUAAGAAAUUUAUUACAAAUUUUACAUUUUGCUUUUAUUUUUUUUUUAUUAUUUUCUAAAAUUAUUUCUAUUCUAUCAAAAAAAUUCCAUAUAUUUAAAGUAAAUUUUUUGUUUGAUGAUAUUUCAUCACAUGGACUAGACGAAGAAGCACUUGUCAUAUUAUAAUUAUUGAUAAAAUAUUAUGCCAAAAAUAAUAAAGUAAUAAAUAUAAAAAAAAAUGUAACAAAAAAAAUAAAGUAGUAGGGGUGAAGUAUGUUACUCAAUUAGAGAACCUAUGCAGAAAUUCCUAGCAAAUUUGAACUCUUGGAGCCACCAAUGCUUGUUUUGCACCAUCAACAAUAUUGUAUAAUUUGAGGGAAAAAUAAAAGAAUUUAAAAUAUUGUAGAAUGUGAGAGAAAUAGAGAGAAUUUGAUGAAAAAAUGAAAAGGAAGAAAAUGUAUUUAUAGGAAGGUUAAAAAUAAUAAUAAUAAUAAUAAUAAUAAUAAUAAUAAUAAUAAUAAUAAUAAUAAUAAUAAUAAUUGGCCAUGUGACCGUUGGAGGCUUAGCUCCAACGGUCACAUGGGCUGGAGCUAGGCUCCAACAGUCACAUGACCGUUGGAGCCUUUAAUUUUUUUUUUUAAAAUAAUAUACUUUAUUUUUAUAUAUAUAUAACUAACUCAAUUAAUAAACAUAAAAAGAAUAUAGUUCAGUUGGUUAGAACCUUGAAGUUUAAACAUGAGGGGAGGGGUUUGAAUCCCUCCCUCUCCCUUAGGGGCUUUUUUAAAAGCCAUUUUGGCUUAUUUCAAAAAGCCUGUCGGCCCGACCCGCCCUGCAGCCCGCGGGCCUAGCAUUUUAGCAUGGCCUGGUCUGUUGACUAGUCAAAUGGCUCAUAGGCUCGGCCCGAACUGGGCCGCGGGCCUCUUAUUUACGGACCGGCCCGACCCGGCCCGCCCGUUGGAGACCCUUGAUAAUAUCUUCUAUAUUAAGUUACAUUAUAGUUUAUUUUACAAUAUUAUUAUGAUAAUAUGUCUAAUUUUAAAAUAUAUUUAAUAUUAAAAUUAUGAUCUAUUUUAAUUUAAAUGUAUUCAAUGAUAUCAAAUAAAUAAUAAUAUAUGUAUAAUUCUUUUAUUAUUUAUAUUUAUUAUUUUUAAUAAAUAUAUAGAUUAUAUAAAAAAGACCGGAUAUAUCUUUUCAAAUUUUGUAUCGCUCUCCAAGGAUAUUAGAUGUAUGGGAAUUUGUAUUGCUAUCUACGGAUACGUUGAUAUAUGGGUGAUUUAUCAGGAUAAUUAGAAAUUCUAAUUAUGUAAGCAGGUACGGAGUUCUGUGUCGGUGCGAUCUUGUCGACAACAGCUCCAAAUUGUGCAUCUUGCUCAUAGAGAGUAGCGGAAUGCACCAAUCGUAGGCUCAGAGUACCACUGAGUCGUCUGGCAGAGACCCAACUGAAGGUGCCUGUGUUGUUCCUGAUCUGAUCAGGCUUCAAACUACAAGGUGGAAUACUGGUUCCCCUAUAUCAGAAGCUGGAGAUACCCACCCCAUAUGCUCGUCUGGAUGUGCUCCUACCCUUUGAAGCCUUCUUCCGAGUCAAGUCCGAAUUGAUAAGGCUAGUGAGUUCCCAACCAACUGUACUCAGCAUGCUGCCAGGUGGAGACCCUCCAUAUUUGAUGGCUUCCUAAUAUUAAAAUGCUGACCACUGGUCUUCAUGUUCCACAGGCUUAAUUGUGUCCUUUGCUGAAAGAAUGGAUAGUGAUCCAUUUUAACACAUGAUUCACGCCGUCUUUGCCAUUCUUCAUGGUCUAGCCCUUUUAUAUAUAUGCUUCCUGAACUGUUGCUAUUAAUAAAAUGUGGUAUCUAUCCCGUACACCUUCCUGAUGGCCAGCGAAUGCAGAAGCUACAGAAACGGUUCCAUCUUUUGCUUCCGCCACUUUGGCAUCCUCCAUGAUGAGAUCGAAGGUGAAUAAUCAUAUUCUGGGGAUUUAUGUCCUGGAUAUUCUCAGUAAUGCCCAAUUUCCUGGUGCCGGCCUCAUUUCCAUGGGAACUGAUGGAUAACUUAAGGCUUCUACCAUCUGCGUGGUUCGCUUCUAACACAGGAAACUUCACGGCUAAAAGCAAGAUACCAAGAACAUCAAGGCUGUGACAAAAAUUAGUAUUUUUAACUUGUAGGAAUUUGAAAGGCAACCAACCAUCUAGCUCUGUUCUUAAAGCUCCCAUAGGAGGAUCAGAGGCUGGAUUGCUCAAGAUGAACUCAUCCAUUGUUGCACUUAAAAAGAAUUGGCAUGAAUUGUGGCCGCUCUAAUAGGUUCCCUAAACCAUCAUCCAAGUGGGCUUGCGGAAGGUAGCGAGUUUAAAACACCUAGGGCGAUGAACAGUGGACUGUGAUGCUCACAAAAGAGAAAAGGAAGAAUUCAAUAAUUCCUAAGAAUCCAUUUGCCUGUCAUCCAAAUUUUUAUAUUCUCUUCAGUCUGACGCGUUAUGCCAUAUAUUAAAAAUAGCGGCUUCUUCCAAGCCGAGACAGACUGUGCAAAGUUCGCAAGGCCAAUCAUCACCAUAAUCUGAAGUUGGCCUCCUCAAUCGCAGCUUGUAUCCGAAUGCUCACUUCACGGGAUGGAUUGUAAUGAAAACUAAUCUCAGUCCCAGCUAUGGCAGCAUCCUCACUUGACAGCAUUUUCUGCAUAUUCUAGAACAAAGCAAUAAACCCUCAAAGGCUCCUUCGGAUCAGAGUUAGAAGACUGUCCCUCAGGAACGUGAACACUAUGGUGGUUCUGAUAAGCAGUGAUAUUGCAUUAGAGCCUUUUGGAACAAGAGGAUCUUUUCAGGUGGAAACUGUAAACUGCUUCAUGUUGGGCUGCAACCUUUUCUUCAAGCAAUACUUUCUUUCUGUAUCACGACUUAUGUUGCUUCCGGAGCCAUCCCGUGUGGACUGCCCUUCAGUGAAAGAAUAUGUGUGUUGACAUGUUGGAUUGUAAUCUUUGUUCCACUCUAAUGGCUUUUGGUCCUCCUCUUUCUCUUUAUGACAGAGAACCAUUUAGUGAUCCAUCUCUAUAUUGUAGCAUUGCUGGUGCUUUGCAAUACUACACUCUCACCAAGCAUAACAUCUAUUUUUCCGUGACCAAAGUAUGUCGGUUUAUGCAUGCGCAAACUCUUAUUCAUUGGCAAGUUGUCAAGCGUAUCUCAUGAUUUCCCAAAGCCACAAGUUCUUAUGGUCUUUCUGUUCAAGCUUACAAUGAUCUAUCUUUUCUUGGUUAUACUGAUGUCGAUUGGGCUAGUUGCCCUGAUAACAAGCACAAUACUAGUGGGUACAACACUUUUCCUGGUCCUAAUCUCAUUUCAUGGGCAUUUUCAAAGCAGAAGGUUGUGUCUCACUCCAAUAACGAAUCUGAAUAUAGGGGACUCACUAAUUAAUGUUGUUGCCAAGGUCACUUGGAUUGAAUCUGUCUUACGUGAGUUGCGUGUUUCUCUACCCCAACCACCAAUUUUGUUGUGUGACAACAUUAGUGCUACACACUUGGACAAACCAUGUUGAAAUACACUAUCAUUUUAUCCAUGAAAGGCUUAUGCAUCACACACUCAAAAUUCAAUACACCUCUUCUAUAGACCAACUAGUCAAUGCUAUGACCAAAGCUCUUCCUUCAUCUCACUUGUACAAUCUUCAGUGCAAGCUGAUUGUUCUUCCCAAACCACUCAACUUGAGGGGAGAUGUUAAGCCAAUUUAAUAAAUUGAUUUCUUUUGGUUAAUUUGUUAGAAUCAUUUUUAUUAGAGGUUUGUUUGUACAAUUACAUCCAUUUAUCAGGAGAGUACACGUGUACAACUCCUCUUUUAAUCUCACCAUUGUAUAUAUAUGAUACACGACCUUACUCAGAAUUGCAUAACAUUUCCUCUGCUCAUUCCUUUUCUUCUUUGAAUUUUCCCUUACCUCACUGAUUUUGAUUUAUACCUGGUGUUUUCACCUUUGGUCUCUACCUUUCUAGCCAGUUUUCUAAUUAAUCCGUAUAUGGUAUACCUGUCAACUAAUGAGGAGAAAGAGAAAAGGGGAUUGCUGUUCCACCAGCUACAUAUAAUAAUUAAUUACAAUCAUGGUAAUGGAUCCUGAAAUCCAUCCUUUGUGGAUUUUGUACGGAAUAUUGUUGUUAUGUAUGUGGGCUCACUUAGAUGUAUAUUGCUAGCCUGUCUGGGAAAUGUGAUUGCAGGUCCAGAUUAUGAUGUUGAUAUUAGUGGGAUAAGCAAGAGAUGCAGUUAACACGUAUGUGAUGGACUUGAGUAACUUUUCCAUUUCAGUCCAUUUUUUAAGAUUAUGCUUAGUCUUAUUACAAGGAAAGACCAUAAGAAUCAUGAGUCAUUGGCAAGGUAAUAUCAUUCCCUCUUUACAGGCUUCUUCACCUUUUGGUUUUUUUAAUAUCCAUCAAGAUCUUUUAAUUGGAGGACAAUUACAAGUAUAUAUAUAUGUAUUAAAAGGGGAAAAUAUUAAAACAGGAAAUUUUAGGGAAAAUAUAAUAAUUAUUUCUUCCUUCUUUCCCAUAUAGAACUACACAAAAUAAAACUUUAAUAAUUUUUUCUUAUCUUUUUUAUUAUUAUUUUUUCUUAGAAACAUCCGUGGUCUCACAAGCUUGUAAUCCUAGAUUGUUAGGCUCCUUUAACAGUGCCCCAACAUCGUGGUCCAAUGACAAGCUUCCACGCCUUAAAAUCAGAAAAUGCCAUUAAACUUUAUCAGACAUUACAGUUCAAGACAAAGCUUUCAUUUGCUUAAUGUGAUAAUGAAAUUGUUAAUUUCAUUUCGUGGGCAUCUAAAUUUGGACGAGCAAGACCUCUGAAUUCCCUGUUUUUAUCACCAGCAGAGGAGAUAAAAUCUUAAUGGUGAGAAUCUCCACGUGAAAUUUAUGUGUACUGUCAACAUAUUUUUGUUUAUAUAGUCCAGUAGCUGCAGGAAGUCUAGAUUAUAUAGGUAGCAGUAGCACUAUUUAUAGCACUCGAUAUUCGCUGUAUGAAUACAUUAAACCUUGUUUUCAAUACGCAUCACAAGCAAGUACUAGAUACUACAAGGAGUGACAGUCGCAUCAACAUUUCUUGAUAAUAGCAGUGACUGAUUUAUACACAGAACAGUACUGUACACGUACCAGUCACCAGAGAUAGGAUCUUAUUCCUACAUACGACUCUUAUUGAUCGAAGUCACUCAGUUGGGGUAGCCUGGAGUUGGAGGUUUGUGUGGUGGCUUCUUCUUUGGAGGAGGCUUUAUCUUUGGAGGCAUCAUCUUUGGAGGCAUCUUGUGUGAGUCUUCUUCAGCAUUCUCUACAGGAGGAUGGCCAGGCUUAUGACCCUUAGGUGGUUUGCCAACUGGGAUUGGUGGCUUGUGUCCUGAGAGUGGCUCCUCUUCUUCGGGAGGUUUGCCAACUGACGUUGGUGGCCCGUGUCCUGGGGGUGGCUUGUGUUUUGGGGGUGGUUUCACUCCACCGGGAGGUUUACCAAUUGGUGUUGGUGGUUUGUGCUCAAUCGGUGGCCUCUCAACUGGGGGGCGCUUGGGGUAAUCAGCGAGUGAAGAAGUGGUGAGAACCACCACUCCAAGCAACAACACUAGCAAGUAUGUGGAAGACAUCUUUGAGUUUGGCUCAGAUGGUGUAGAACUAGAAUCCUGGGUGGCCUUUUAUAUUAGUUGGGCCCUAUGCCCGAACGACAAGUGUCAUGGUGACACAUAAAGUGAUGGGGUCGAUUUGGGCCUACCGGAUUUGAAAACUUGGACAAUUCGAGAAGCGUCUCCUGACUCCGGGUUGUAAAGUGAAAGAUUAGGUAUCGACCAUUGAAGUAUGAUCACAACUUUUGGCCUUUGGCUCUCUCUACUGCCGUAUAGCUUUUUUCCUUUGGAUAUUUUUCUUAGCUAGACACAAUUAUUGAGCAGUCUAAUCUCGAAAUGGGAUUAGUAUAGCUUUAAGCAAAUUUAUUAUAGUUAGUGGAGGACUUUUAAGAGUGCAGACGACAUUUAACACAUGCAUGCAGUAGUAUAGGGGACAUAACACUAUUCUUUUUCCAAAGAUUCACAUGAUUUUUAUAUUAUAGUAUUGGCACAUUGUAUGUAGCUGGUUUUGUGGUUAAAAUUCCAUAUGUAGACACUGGCGUUUCUCCAUUUCUCACAAUUGAUGUUUACCUCCACGAUUACUAGAUUAGAUAUACCAAACAAUAACACAUUGUAUAAUCUAUCCGCCCUUCAAAAUCUACUGUAUGAUGAAAUGUUUCAUGUGUGUGUGAAGUGUUAGAAAUGCACUAUAGGCAACAUCAUCUUCUUUUGUCUAGGCUUGGGCCUCAAAUUAUACUCCCAUGCCAUGAUAAAUUUUCAUGUGCAUUCUCUAAAGAAGAGUGUCUUGAAUGUGCCAAAUCAUUUUGAUUGAUUUUAUGAUGUUAAUUGCUCCGCAUAUGGAUGGGUAUGUGCUUUAUUUGCUUAUUCAAUCCACAAUUACCUUGAACUGAAGUCCUAUUGGAGCUCUAUUAUUUUAGCAACGUCCUGUCAAAUAGGCUGCUAACUUGGGGUGGUAUGGACCCAAUGAUCCAUCUUAAUCUUGGGUUGAUUUUGUCUGACUCUAUCUAUCUCAGAGAGAACCAGGAUCACCAGUGCUGGUCUGCUUAAAGAAGACUCAGUACUGGAUUAAUAUUGGUUUGGGUCAAUAGCUUAUAAUGCAUUGAAUGCAGAAUAAACAAGAUCAAUGAAACCCAAAACACACUGCCCACACAACUUCACUCUGGUGUCUGUUAUUCAUCAAUUCUAUUCCCACAUGAACUGGUUCAAGUUUAAGAAAAUGACAACGGAUCCACUGUAUUAACUUGGUUUUGCUUGGUUUUGAGCUAGUUGCCAAACCAGCCAUGAGUUUUACCUCUAAUGUCAAUGAACAAACCCCAAAUGAACAACUGCAACAGCUUAAAGAGAAGGAAUGGAGAUGAAAAUCCCUGUUUCUUCUCAUUCUGGGGACAAAUUAGAACAUAACUACAAAGGUUCUAUUAAUUGACUUACUCUACCAUGAAUUAUGGUUCUUUGGUUUUCCAAAUUUAAAUUGUACAUGAGAUUAUUUUUUUCCUUUAUAUAUAAACAUAUUAAGGUUUUCUUAUUUCGUGGGCAAAUGCGCUAAGGAUGAAAGUCAUUUCAUUUGGCUGCAACAGCAUCUUAUAAUCAACAUGCAUAAGCAGCAGUUUUAAUUGAUCGAUUGAACACCGACUCACAAGAAUAGAUAGAAUGGUACAAGACAGCUCUUAUUAAUUUAUACUCGUUACUCAUUUUAUGUAGCCCCAUUAAGAUGGCUGGCUGGACCACCGAGGUCUGGGGGUGGUGUUGCUUGUGUGAUGCAGCGGGCCGGGCAGACACUUCUCUAGUUGCUUCUAUUUGGAGUUAGAGGAUCAGUCUCUGCCAACCUUGAGGACUCUCUACCUCAGAGGGUCCAGGUGGUGGACUCUGGUGUCGGUAGCUUUGAACUCUCAGUAGACUAGUGUGUCUUAAUCAGUCACUGCCAGAGGCUGGCGUAGGCAGUGACGAUAAGGUGAGACAAAUUACCGAAUAGUCAAUAUCGACUGCACUUGACCAUUAUAGAUUUGUUCUGACAAAAGUGAGAAAAGGGAGAAAAUCGGAUGUUGACCUUUAUAGAAAAAGAUAAGAUUUACUGCAACACAGAGCACUGAUUUGUUACUUGGAAACCAAGUUAUGCUAUUAGCUAGCCUCCAUUAGCAGCAGGGUACCUUGCUGCCUGAUCCUAAUCUGAGUUCCCAAGGUUUCAAUCUUCGUUUGUUAACGCUUCAGGAUUUGGAUAUUUCAGCUUCGUUUCUCCAUUUAGCCAACGCUGCCUGGUUUGGAUUUCAAUCCUCAUCUGGAACAUUCUUUUUUCGGUCUGAUUCAGGAAGUGUUUGGUGAUAGUUGAUUAAAAUUAAACAGUACUAUCAUACAAAUAAAGCUGAUCUAAUUUUGGUGGGCAAUAUACCAACUCAUUUAUUCUUGAAAACACCAUGGGGAAUUGGAGGUCCAUCCGAAGUACUAUUUGAUGGGACUCACAAAAAGAACAGGUGCACAUUUAUGAGAUCCGUGGAAGAGAUAACUAUGACAGCUAUGCAUGUACAACAGAUUUAUGUCGAGUUCACCUCGUAGAUAUUUUGUUUUCAGUGUCGGUGGACCCCAAAAUGGAAAUCGGAAAUUAAGGUUAUAUUUAUUUUUUUAUUUAAUUUUAAAUAGAAUUUUAAUUUUUAAUAAUAUUAAGUAUUAAAUUAUUUUUUUAAGGGUAUUUUAUUUUUAUUAAGUAUUAAAAAGUAAAAAAAAUUAAUAUGUUGCUUUUUUAUUUUAAAAAAAUUAUAUAUUUUAAUUUUUUCUAUUUACUAAAAAGUUUAUAAUAAAUUAUAAAAAAAUAAAAAAAUAAAAAACUUAAAUUCUGAAAAUAAAUUAUUUUUAAUAAAAAAAUCCAAAAAAGCAAACACCACCUAAAUUUGAGAUGACUCAAAAUUUUAUAUUUUUUUUCACCUAAAUUAUAUUCAUAAAUUUAAAAUUAAAAAAUUAGGAAGUUGAAUUUUAUUUUGGAUAAUUGGAAACUACAAGAAAUCAAUAAAAAUAUUUGGAAAAAAAAGAAAAAGAAAAACUAUCUAUAUAUUCACCCCCUUCUAAGAAACAUAACUUUAGUUUUUAACUAUUUUUUAAAAUAAUUUUUGAAAAAUGUUAUAUAAUAUUUUAUAAAACAAAAAAUCUGUUUGACAAUUUGAUAUGUCUUUAACUUAUUUUUAAUAUUUAUAUAUAUAUAUUUUAAAAAUAAUUUUAUAUUUAGAACUUUAUCUUUAAUUAUUAUAUAUAUUUAUAUAAUUAUUUUUUUUAAAACAACUCUUAAAAAAUAAGUGAAAGUAAUUGAAAACAACUCAAAGAUAUUUGAUGAAAACACUCUAAUUUGUAUUUUUGAGAAUAAAAAAAUAAAUAAAUAAAUUUCUAGUUAUCAAAUGUAUUUUUUAAUUCUUUUAUUCUAAAAAAUAGAAAAUCGUUUUUGAAAAUAAUUAUUAAACAACAUUCUUAAAAAUUCACUCGUUACAAUCUAGAUUUAAUGCAAGAAUGAUUGAAGGAGUCCUCCAAUAGAACCCAAAGUUAUAAACAUGAACAAGAAGCCCUAGAAACACCAAAGAUCUCAUAUGGUAUAUAUAUGAGCUUGAUUGAGAACUGUUUUAAAUUCAGUUUUUUUUUUUUUUUUUUUUUUUUGUUUUCAAAGUCAAAACAAGUUUACUUUUAAUUUUUACUUCUUUUUUUUAAUUUUAUAAAUAACAGUUUUUUAAUAAUUUAUUUUGAAAACAUGAUUAUUUUUAAAACUUAUAAUGAAAAUAGGAAUUUUUUUUUUAAUAUCAUGGUUAUUUUCCCUUCUUUUAAGGAGGGCUAUUUUAAAAAUAAAUUUACAAAUAUGAAAAAUGAUUCAAACUAAAGCAGUACAAAUAAAAAACAUUUUUAAGAAAUAUUUAAAAAUAGAGAAAAUUAUUUGAGAACAUUUGAAGUCCUUAAAUAGACUUUUGUUUUAGAAAAGGCAAGAUAAUUAUUUUUGAAAAUUGUUUUCAUAAUGAUAUGCAAAAACCUACGUAAAAACCAUAAUUAUAAUCGGCCACAUAUCAAAUCUACUAAAUAUGAAAAGUAAGUACAUAAUUAUAUUUGACUUAGAUGCAAGGAGGAAAAUGUCGCGAUAUUAUCGCCGAAAUAUCGUGUGUCGAAGGGUAUCGACACGAUUUUUCUUGCAGAAAUAUCGGCCAGUCGAUUUUUCGGGAUAAAUCUCGAGAAAUCGGCAAUUUAUCGCGAUAUAUCGGCGAUUUUUCCUCGAUAUAUCUUCUGGUCAACGCGGGUCAACGGAGUCAACACGCUACAGUGAAAGUCAAAUGUGCUACAAUGUCCCCGCUACAAUCACCUCCCCAAACAAAUUGCCAAAUUGCUUCCGAGGGGAUUUGAACCAGCCUUCUUGCCAUUUGGGCUAACUCGCCCUUAUGAUAUAUAUUGCAUUAAACAUAUAUAUACUUAAAGUCCUUAUAUAAAGAAAAUGUUAAAAAAAUAUUUUAAAGAGCAAAUUAAUUAUAAUUAUUUUAUAAUUAAAAGCAAAAUUUUCUUUUAAUUAAUUACCAAAAAUAUAAAAAUUAUAUAAUUUUCUUCAUAAUGUUUUUAAUAUCAUUAAUAAUUAAUUAAAUAUUAAAAAAUUAUAUAUAUAUAUAUAUAUAUAUAUAUAUAUAUUAUAAUUUAUUUUAUAUUGUUUAAUACAAUUGAAUUAAAUGGAUCAUAUUUUAAUAUUAAUAUAUAUUUUAAAAUUAGACAUAUUGUAAUCAAAUAUCAUAAUAUUAUAUGUAAUUUAAUAAUAAAUGUACACUUAUAAAAUUCAUAUUUUUAUCGAUGCAUACAAUAUUAUUAUCAAAUAUGAUAAAUCAUGUUAUACAUAUAUCAAAAUUUUCAAUAAAAUAACUUUAAAAUGUCUAUUAUACUUCUAAUUAUAUUAUUAUGAGGUUUUCUUUACAUUUUCAUGAGUUUUAAACAAUUUUAAGCACCAAUAUUUUUUUCCAAAAUAUCCACCGAUAUAUCUCCGAUAUAUCCAAUAUAUCUCCGAUAUCUCCGAUAUAUCCGUAAAAUCGAAGUACCGAUAUAUCCGUGAUUACCGAUAUUUUCAUCAUUGCUUAGAUGCAACCUUCUUCCAAAUGACAUACUUUAGUCAAUACUUAUAUUUUUUCGUUUCACUUCUUUGAUACAACACCUCAUGGAUUUAUUGUUUAAUUUAUUUGUAAUUAUAAAACUAUUUUUCAUUUUUAAUAAGACUUGAAUUAAUUUAAUAAAUAUUAUAUAAUUUGAAUUUAUAAUUCUUUUUAUAAAAUCAAAGUAUAUUAAAAAAAAAACAAUUUAUCCGAAGAAAGUUUUUUAUUUUUUAUUUUUUAAAACCGAUUUUAAAAAUAACUAGCUAGACACCCUUAUUUUGAUAAAAUACGAAAUAAAAGUGUAAAAACAACAUGGCCAAAUAGGGGCUUAAAUUUUAUUUUUAAAACAUUUUUUUACACUAAAGUGCAUUUUAAAAACACCAUCAAAACCAACUACAAGUUAUGCUUCUUCCCGUAAUAGAAAUAUUUUAGGCCAAAAUAGAACCUCCCCAAAUAAAGACCCUAUACUAAACUCCUUUUCAUUUUAUUAAUACAAAAGUGGGGAAAAAAGGUCUAUGCUCACCUAAAAAACAUGAAUAUUGUGAAUUCACCAUUUCUAUAAGGAAGUUGAAAACUUCAAAAUUUUAUCAACAAAUUCUCUAAAAUCCUCAAAAUAUAUAGGGCCUGUUUCACAAAGUUUUUUAAAAUUUGUUUUUAUAAAUUGCUUUUAAAAUAUAGAAUAAAUAACAGUUUUUUAGAUUUUUUGAAAAAUAAGAGUGUUUGGUAAGAUGUUUUUUUUUUUUUUUUUUUUUUUAAGAAUUAAAUAAAAAAUAAAAAAAUUGUUUAGAUAAAAGAAUUUGUAUUGUUUUUAAAAACAAUGUCUUACUUUUAUGUUAUAAAAAUUUUAUUAAUUUAAUUUAUAAUAAUAUGAAAUGAAAUUCAAGUUAAGUCUUAUUAAAAAAUACAAAUUAAAUCUAUAAUUAUGCAUGAGUUAAAGAUAAAUAUAUAUUUUUUAAAACUAUAAAAUAAAUUUUCUAUUAUAGUGAAACAAAAAUUACUAUAAAAUAAAAAUAAUUUUAAUAUUCAUUUUUAAUACAAGUCAAAUAAGUACUUUAAUUAAUUUUUUUUAUCAUGAUUUCUUAUGUUUUUUUUUUUUUCUAGAAAUUAUUUUAAGUAAUAUAACUAAUUUUUUUUUUAAUGUUUUAUAAAAAUAAGGAUAUUUGGCAAGUUGUUUUUAUAAAAGGAUUUUAAAAAUAAAUGGAUUUUUUUUUUUUUUAAAAAAAGAACAAAAUGAUUUGUUUGAAUAAAUUGUUUUGAUUUUGUAAAAACAUUUUAAAUUCAAUUUAUAUAAUAUUAAUUAAUUAAAUUAAAUUGAAGUUUUAUUGAAAAUAAAAAUAAUUUUGUAAUUAAAAUUAGAUUAAAAAAUAUAUAGGUUUUAAUAAAUCGUAAAUAGUAAUAUUAUAAUAAAAUUAUAAAUUAUAUUUUUAACAUAAAAUAUACUAUUUAUUACAUAUUAAAAAAAAUAUUUUAUUAUAUUAAUAAUUUUAUGGUAUUAAUGAGUUUAUUAUUUAAGUUUUAAAUUAUUUUUAAAAAUUAAUAAAUUUGUUAACAAAUGCAAUGUACUAAAUGUGGUUUAAUUUGGAGUUAAUUUGUUUAGGGAAAAAAAUAAAAAAUAAAAAUCUUAUGUAAAAGAGAAAUAAUAGAGUGUGUGUGUUUUUUUUUAUUAUUUUUAAAAAUCAGUAAAAAGAACUUUUACUUAUUGCCUAAAAAUUAUUCUCUAUUUUAUUUUAUUUUUUAAAUCUAGAAAUAGAUAACAAUAAUAAAAAAAAUUAAAAAAGAAAAAUGUUUUUUAAAACUCAGACUUAUAAUUGCUUUUGUUUCUCAUUCGCACCCCUGGAUUCCUGGAUUCUAAACACAAAAUUAAGUUGAAUCGUCCAUCUAUCUUGUAAGCCAAGAAUUCACAUAGAAGAAAUAAUCGGAAUUUGAUUUGAUAUCAGAUUUAGAGUGGCUCACUACUCAUGCAUUGUCCCACAAUAGUAAUGCUUUGGGCCGAGAUAAACCCAUUUGUGGGCCCAAAUAAAACCCCUGGUUUGAAAACAUCGAUUUUACAGUGGCCCAAAAGAUUAUCUAUGAGGGGAAGAUAACUUGGAAGUCAAGCAAACACAUUUAUCGCUAACUUUUCUCUAAUUAUAAAAUUAUAACUUGGUCUUCUACACGUCUCACUUAAGAGGCGGAGCCACUUGGCACUACCUUUCCAUAUUGUAAAAGGAGAAGAAGCAGAAGGAGAAGAUUCUUAUGCCAUUCCACACACCAUGGCUAGUACUGCUAUGCUGCUUGGCCCGCCGGCUCUCCGCCAUCCUAAUUCUCCCGCCGGCACUGUCUUUGAAGAUGGGGUCAUUCUAACGGAUUCCCUGAUCGUCCGCACCAGUAAUCUGGAGCUUUCUGAAAAACCGCCACUGGAAUCCCUGGCGUAGUGCUCUGUCAGUGGGGAUAUUGCUAUGGAUUGUUUGGAUUCCCAAGCCCACAAUCUUCAUCUUCCCGGGAAACCGCCGAUGGGCUUAACGGAAAACAAGUCUCCGACCUUUUUGUCUUCCGGGAACCCGUGCUUGGACUUCUUCUUCCAUGUGGUUCCCGAUACGUCGUCUGAUGAUCUGAUCCGACGGUUUGAGUUGGCUUGGGAAUUCAAUCCGCUGACGACGUUAAAACUGAUAUGCAACUUGAGAGAGGUGAGAGGCACCGGAAAAUCUGACAAAGAGGGUUUCUACACGGCGGUUCUCUGGCUCCACGACCACCAUCCCAAAACCCUAGCCUGCAAUGCUAGGGUGUUGGCCAGCUUCGGUUAUUUCAAGGAUUUUCUCGAGAUUCUCUACCGGCUUCUGGAGGGCCCUAAAAUUCGAAGAAUCGAAAAGAAAGACUGGCUGGAUCGAAAAGGAAGGAAGAAAAAUUCCCGGAAAAGGAACUCAAUAUUCAAGCGAGAAAAUAGGCCUGGAGUUGAAUUUCCUGUAGAAGAGAAGGAUGUGGAGUAUAUGGUGGAAGAAUUUGUGGAUAAAGAAAAGGCUAGGGUACUGAGAAAGGAGAGAGAACUUGCUCUUGCCAAAAGAGCCCUGCACAAGUAUUCUACUGAUUCUAAUUAUCAGUUCUUACAUGAUCAGAUUUCAGAUUUAUUUGCUGAACUUCUGAAAUCUGAUAUUCAGUAUUUAAACUCCGGUGAGCUUUACAAGAUUAGUCUCGCAUCCAAAUGGUGUCCCACAAUUGAUUCUUCUUAUGAUAAAUCCACCUUGAUAUGUGAAAAUAUUGCUCGAAAGGUUUAUUCUCGCGAGGAAUAUAUAUCCAGAAUACCAAGGAAUUGAGGAGGCUCACUAUGUUAAUAGAGUCAGGGAUAGGUUGAGAAAACAAGUACUUGUUCCAUUACGUAAGGCCCUGGAGUUGCCAGAGGUUUUCAUGUGUUCGAACCAGUGGGGAUCACUUCCCUACAACCGUGUGGCUUCAGUGGCCAUGAAAUCAUACAAGAGCCUCUUCUCAAAACAUGAUACAGAGCGGUUUGGUGUGUAUCUUGAGAAAGUGCAAACUGGGAAGGCUAAGAUUGCAGCUGGUGCAUUACUUCCCCAUGAGAUUAUAGCUUCAUUGAAUGAGGAGGAUGGCGAGAAAGUUGCAGAGCUUCAGUGGGCGAGAAUGGUGGAAGAUUUAUCAAAGAAUGGGAGGCUCACAAAUUGCAGUGCGGUAUGUGACGUAUCAGGAAGUAUGAGUGGAACUCCAAUGAAGGUGUGUGUGGCUCUGGGGCUGUUAGUUUCAGAGCUCAGUGAAGAUCCAUGGAAAGGUAAUGUAAUUACUUUCAGUGCAAGUCCUGAGCUUCACAAGAUCCAAGGAGACAGCCUUGUAUCCAAGACUGAAUUUGUGAGGAUGAUGGAAUGGGGUGCGAACACUGAUUUUCAGAAAGUUUUUGACAGAAUCUUACAAGUAGCAGUGGAGGGAAAUCUGAGUGAAGAUCAAAUGAUAAAGAGGGUUUUCGUUUUCACUGAUAUGGAGUUUGAUGAAGCUUGUGGGAGGUAUAACUAUUGUGAAUAUGACUAUGAUAUGGAGGAAAUUGAUGAGAGUCAGAAGGCAUCUCAGAAGUGGGAGACAGAUUAUGAAGUGAUACAGCGGAAAUUCCAGGACAAAGGAUAUGGAAAAGUUCCGGAGAUAGUGUUUUGGAACCUUAGAAACUCAUCAGAGACUCCAGUGAUGGCCACAGAGAACGGGGUGGCCUUAGUAAGCGGGUUUUCGAAGAAUCUGUUAGACCUUGUUUUUGGAAGGAGGUGGAAUUCUGACCCCUCAGGAUGUGAUGGAAUUAGCCAUCUCUGGUGAAGAUUACAAGAAACUUGUUCUAUUUGAUUAAGAUAUCAAGAGAUUUAUCAAUAAUAAUAUGUUUUUUUUUUUCUAUGUGAAAUACAUGUAAUAUUAACUAUGGAGUUAUCAAAGUUCUGGAAAUUUAAUUAUUUCUUCUUUUCAAGUUUUGUUUGUCUUUGUUAGGAAUUCCCCUUGGGCGGACCCAGCUGGGGACUUGGAUUGAGGAAGUAAGGAGGCGAAAUUGUGUUCUUCUAUGGACAGAGAAAAAAGAUAAAAAUAAAAAAUAAAAAAGGAGGUUAUUUGCAUUUGGAUGUCAUGUGGUUUCAGGGUACAACUACAAGUUCGAAAUUGUACAUAAUGUGAAAAUUCCUGUGUGGAGAACAGCAUAAAUAUGUAUCUCAGUGUGUUUUGUUUGAGCUAAUUGGCAAAUUCGCUUUAAACAUGGUCACAUGGAUGCAUAUUUAUUUGUGAAAUGAUAGUAGUCGAUUACUUGGUCAGUAAGGUUUGUAUCUCUAACUCCAACAUCUUAUUGUAGUCUUUUAAAAUGUCAAAAGUUUAAUGCUAGCUUGAGAAAUUUUGGAAUGGAGACAUUCUAAACAAAGUUAAUAAUCCAUGAGACUUGGUAAAACCGAUCAGAUGAUGCUUACGUACAUGAAUGCCUUCUUUAAGCCGUAUCCUAUUUUCAUUGAAUGAGACGUGCCAUCUAGUUUUGUUCUUGUCUUGAUUGGAUCAUGAUCCCGGGAAUUGAUUACUGUUCUGAAUUUGCGAAUGUUCAAGGUAUUAGAGAAAGUUAAUAUUAUCGUUAAUUUACAUAUUAGUAUUUAUCUAGUUAUUAUAUAUUAGUUUGAAUUAUAAUAUAAUAUAGAAUUUGAAUCAAGUUUACUAUUAGUUUGAAUUACAAUAGGAAAUAAAGUUUGAAUUAUAGUAUAACUCAAAUAUAUUUGUAUAUAAAUAUCCAUCUUUAUCAAUGAGAAUAGUAAACCAUAUUUUUCUCUAUCUUCUUCUUUCUCUAUAUAUAUGGUAUCAAAGCCUCCAAAUCCUAAACCUAGUCUCAACUUAGAGCAAAUUUAGGGUGCAGGGUUUAGGCCCCGCCUCCCCCAACCCUUACCACAAAUGGUAGUGACCUUGUUAUGCCUAUGUAUUGUCAAUGCCUCAUUUUCUAUGGUCUUCAAUACAAUAUCUAGUUUCAAUGUCUCUUUCCUUACUAUCUCCAAUGCAAUAUAUUGAUUUCAAUAUCUCUUUACAACCAAGAGCUCCAAAUUUUCCUGGUUCAAAUCUACCAUAAUUUUUAUUCUCCUUUGCUUUUUACCAAUAUUAGUUCCCCUAAUUUAAUAUAUAUCUCUUUAUUACCUUCAACUCUACCUCUCUCUUUCUUUAAAAGCUUCCUCAAAGAUUUGAUUGCUUUCUUGCAUGUUUUGGGAAAACAAACAUGCUCAUAUUCUAUUACCUCUACUUGAGAUCUGCCUUAUACUCUACCUUCUUCUUUACCUCCUAUAUCAUCUACUACAUUAGCUUCAAAAACAUUAUUUAGUUUGAUGCUAAAUAAGGCUCCUAAUCCUACCCUUCCUUCAACUAACUUUCUUUUACAAGUCCCUCAAAGUUUUUUUUUUUUUUUUUUUGGAAAUUUGGCUUAGAAAGAUUUCAUUACUCUUACCUAAUCUUUCAACCAUCAAGUCGAAUCCACUUAUCUCUUGAAUCCAAGGAGACUACCCUCCACAAAAACAAGGAGAUUGACCCCCACAAUAACAAAGAGAUUGUCCUCCAUAGAAACAAAGAGAGCUUCCUUCAUGGAAGCCGAAUACAUCGCAAUCUAUUUUCUUUCUCUCAAGAUCAAAUCUCCAAUCGGAGCUCCAUCUUGUGGGGAUAUAUUAGAAAAAGUUAAUAUUAUCCUUAAUUUACAUAUUAGUAUUUAUCUAUAUUAUAUAUUGAAUUAGAAUAGAAUAUAGAAUUUGAAUUAAGUUUACUAUUAGUUUAAAUUACAAUAGGAAAUAGAGUUUGAAUUAUAGUAGAACUCAAAUAUAUUUAUAUAUAAAUAUCCAUCAUUAUCAAUGAGAAUAGUAUUCCAUAUUUUUCUCUUUCCCUGAGGCUUCAGAAUGUGAUCUUGAACAUUUGAUCUUUUGGAUUCUUCUUGUUUCGGUGGUUUAAUAUAAUGGAAUGUUUAAUUAUAGCCUACUUUAUCACCAUGGAUGUGCUCCUGCAGAUUUCUUGAGGGUGAUGGUUAUUUUGUCAUGUUUCUUGAAUGGUUUGCAUCAGCUGCCUGAGCUGUUGUUGCUGGUCACUUUUGCAACCAGGGAAAGAAUCAUGGCUUUGGAGAAGCCAGCUUCUGUUUUUGUUGCCCAGCUGUUAGUUCACUAAGAUUGGGGGUCCUAACAUGUAUGUAUAAUCAUAAGCAAGGAAAUUUUAUGUCUUACGCUAGAUAGGUACCAUGAUAUGAUGUUUGAUUGAUUUAUUAACUCUACCUGUUUCAAAAGGCAUCAACAUUAAUUUUACCCUUUUAACACAUUGGAUUGUUUGACCUUACGAGAUUUUCUAUUUCUGUACUAUUUGAACUGCAAUCGUUAUGGUCCUUAGGUCUCUAAACCUUCGUUUAAAAUAAAAGUAAGGAGCACACAUAGUAAAAGUUAAUUUUGGGUAACUUUUAAAACAAAGAGAAAAGUAAAAGUUGUUUUUGAGAAAAACAUAUAGAAAUUGAAAGAUUUUUUAUUUUGAGAAAAAAAAGUCAUAGAAAAGAAAUAAUAUCCCCAUAUAAGUAGAUAUGAUCUAUCCGAAGUGUAGCUACUCUCCUGGAUUUAUUCUAACAUUUUAAAAUUUUUCUCAAUGGGCAAAGGAAUAUCAAAUCAAGCUUGAGUAGGAUUAAUUUCUUAAUUUUUAAAAUAACUUAUAAUUAAAAUUUUUUGGUGUUUUCUUUUUUGGACAAUUUUUUAUGAAGACUCUGAAUCAUGCAAGAGAUAUGGUUAUUUUAAAAAAAAAAAUAAUUUAAAACUCAAAUACAUAAUCAAUGUCACAAAUUUAUAAACAAAAGGUUUUUAAAAAAUACUAUUAUUUCCCCUCUACACAUAAUUUUACUUUUCCGAUUUAUUUAUUUUUGUUGGAAAACAGUCUUCAAAUCAAGUAAAAUUAAUAUGUUAAAUUUGUUAAACAAAUAAAUUUUAAAAUACAAUUUGGAACUCAAAAAUCAAUUCAAGUAAUGCUAAAAUUCAAAAAAUCAAAUUUGGAAUAAAAUGACUUUGUAAAUUUUUUUACUAAACAAAUGAAUUUUAAAUCAAGUGAGAUUUAAUACAUUGGAUUUUUAUGAGAAUAGUAAUUUUAAAAAUUAAUUUGGAACUCAAAAAUAGACACAAUAAAUACCAAAAAUCAAUGAACCAAAAUUGGUUUGGAAUAACUCCAUAAUUUUUUAUUUAUUUAUAUAUUUAUUUUUUUGUGCACACGAAUUUCUUACUAAGCAUAUUGCUUCCAAAUUGAGAAAAAUUUACUAUUUAGAUUUUUUUAAUGAGUUUAAUGGUAUUUAAAAAUAAUUCAAAAAUUCGAAAAUUGACUAAUUUAAUAUUAUAAAUUCAUAAACCAAGACUAAUUCAAAAUGCAUUGGGGGCUAAGGGGGUUGAAAUUAAUGCUCCAUUUGGUUGUGGCCACCAAUUGGCAAUGGCCACCAAUCAACCAAUCAAGGUGGCUAAGGGGGUUGAAAAUAGGGACAAUGGGGUGGGUUUGGGACAGGACACUCAUAUCCCAUUCCCAUCCCAAUUACACAGUUAUUUCCCAUCCUUAUUCCAAACUUGUGUUGGGGCAAGUUGAUUUGUUCCCAUCUUUGUUAACGAAAUGACUAAUAACCUCAUCCUCUCCUUGUCUUAGAUGUACAUUUUCUCAAAUUUGGUCAGGUAUGAUUGAUUCAAGCCCUAACCUUAAUUGGUAAUGAGUGGAUACCACACCUAAUUGCAUUCUUCUUUCGUUGCAAAAUAAUGAGAUUAUAAUAAUCUAGCAAAUAAGAAAAAAUAGUAUGGAAGUUCAAAUUAACACCAUAACUAUCAAUAAUUUUAAGCUUAUAGAUGACUUAAAUGAUUGAAAACUAAUGCAAAAUACUAAAAAAAAAAAAAAUCAUCUAAAGAAUUCACAAGAGAAUAGAACGAACAAAACCAAAUAGGAACAUGGGUCAACAUUAGUUACAGAUUUUGAUCCCUUUCAAGGCCAAUCUUUGAACCAAGACUUCAUCAAAUCUACUACUUCAAAGGCUUUUGUGUUCUUCUUGAGUUGUACUCUGGAACAAAGACUUCGAGGUGAUGCUUUAGAUGAUUGCAUUACACAUAUUUAGGGUAGGGAGAUUGGAGAAGCUUGAAGAUGCCAACGAUGGGUACAAUUGAGUGGUCAAUAAGAACAAUGUGGCCUAUGACUAGUUUGAUGUCAUGGUAUAGGAGUUUUGGGCAUUGAGGUGAAAGCAAGAGCAACAUGGAAUUGAUUUCAAAGUCUUUCAAUUAGUGUAAAGGAGGAAGAAGAAGUGGUAUUGAUCCUAGAAAUAGUGUUUUAGGUGUUGCAUUAGAGGAAAAGAAAAAGAAAAAGAAGGAACCAUUGGAAUUAGUACGAGUGUGAAGAGAGAAGUGUAUACAUAAGGGGAAGUAAAAGCAAAGUUCUAAAAAUUUAUUUUUUUAUUGGUGGUGUAUGGUUGCAUGAUUAUCCCUAUAAAUAAUAGGAGUUUUUUGGUGUUCUACUAGUAGUUGAAGGAUAAUUUCAUAAGAUAAUAUUUAGAGCGGGGUGGGGUGAGUUGUGACAAAAUCCAUACCCGUCCCAAACAUUGGUUCAGGUUUUUAAAAUAUUUUCAAACUUAUCAUAUACCCAAUUUUAUAUUUCAUACUUGUCCUAAUAGAGACAGGUUAGUCAGGGUUACUUGAGUAGCCUACAAAACUAUCAUCCCUAGUUGAAAUGCUCUUUUUGGCAGUGGCAGCUAGAAGCUCGAUCGAUUGACCUACAAGACUAGUUGUCAUCAUUUUAAAAAGAGUUUUGGCUUUGGUUGUGAGUGCAAUUGAAUCUAAACUAACAUUUCCUUAAUGCAUCUACUUCAAUCCUAAACUUCUUACUUAAGCCUCAAUUGUUGUUAAGAUUUUGGAAAACCCAUUUCCUUAAAUUGUAAAUUUAAGAAAAAAAAAAUUAAAAGUGAGACAUUUCUUGAUUGAAUGUUGUUAAAGGUCCCUUGGAAUUAAGACUUGGUUGAAGCCUUGGAAGAUUAGCAGAACUCUCAACUUAUGUUUGAACCUUGAGGAGAGUGGACGUAGGCCAAAAUUUUGUCAAACCAUUAUACAAAUUGAGUUUGAAUUCUCAUUUCUUGAUUUCUUAUUUAUUUGCUUUUUCUUAUUAUUACUUGAAUUGUCAUUUGCAUUCAUUAAUGUUAAAAUUGGUUAUAAUUAGCCAACACUAAUUCUCUUUCCCCUUCCCUUAAUUUCUUGGGUGUAAACCUAGGUUGGAUUAACUAGAUUUUAUCAAAUCUAUUAAGAUGGUAAAAGAAUAAUUAUUCUUAACAUACAUAAGAUCAUCUUCAAUCAAAUGACUCAUUGGCUGAUAUGUUGAAUUUGCUUAUUACUUGCAACUCAAAAUUGUGUUCUAGUUGAUAUGUCAAGUCCUGAGUGUAUGGACAUUAAAUUUGUAGUACGUGAUGAGUAUUUAGAUGGUCCAAUUCCAAGAAAGUGAUUGAAAACUAGUUCAAGAAAGGUGCAAAAGGGAAUUGUUUUGGUAUUUUCGUUUUUAUUCUUGAAGGUGGCAGAGCUAAAAUUUGAGAAAUCAAGCAAAACAUACUGAAAUUACAUUGAAAGAAAGAAAAUGGGAGUUAAUGUCUUGCAGUACAUGAUAAGGACUUCAUGCAUGUAGUGUGACCCAUGUCUUGGACUGAUGCCACACUCACGGUUACACUUAUACCCUUAGUUCUCUCUUUACUACCUUAGCUAACCUAGAUCAGGUUAUGAGAUAGGCACCUCACCACACCAUUACUUGCCCAUUAAUUAGUGACAUUUUCAAGCAAUGAGGUAACAUGGUGACACCAAGAGGGUAUAUUCCUCACCCCCAACAAGCCUAGACCUGGUCUAAAAAAAAUGGAGAAAAAUGACGUGUUGUUAUGCAGAAAUAUAGCAACCAUGCCUUCCUCAUUACUUAGAUUCAGAAUGUGAAGGUGAAAUUGAGAAACAGAAACUCUUGAAACCAAAAUGAAAAUUGAUACUUUUACGAAGAAUUACAACAACAUUAGAGGAAGACUACAUUCUUCCUCUUUAUUCCUACAUUUCUACACUACUUCUACUCCACUCCAUAUUUCUACAUACAUCUUUAAUCAGUCUUCCCUCCUUUAUAUAGAGCCAUCUUCACACAAAUUCCGCAAGGUAGAAAAGAGGAAUGAAACUUGGAGCAAGGUUCGACUACUGGCUGUAGCUUGUCAAGGCUGAAAGUGAACUUUUUUUCUUGGCUUUUCUGGGCAUAGGUAGUAACUUGUAGGUUCCUUUUUGGAAUGAAAAUGGUACGGCUAGAACAUGUGGCACUCUCUUGUUGGAUGAUGUGUCAAGCAUGUGGCAGCCAUCUAGUGGAGAUUAUGUCAAUUUUGGGAUGGAGAGUUGGCAUCCAAUUGCAAAGAAAUAUGACAUCUACCAACAUGCAAUGUCAACCUAUGUAGAUCAUAUGAAGAUAGAGAGGAAAAAUAUAGAAAUGGAUAUAUAACUAGAACUAGCUUUUUAUUAAAUGAGACGGAGAGCCAACAAUGAAGGAAAAUCAAAAUUUUUGGCUCAUAUCAAAGAAUUCACAUUGUGUUACCCUAGGUUUUCUUAAAACUUACUUUUAUGAUAAUAAAAAAUCAUUAUUGUUUAAUCCUUUGUUUUAAACGCAUGUUUAGCAGGUUGUAAAAUGUAAAUAUCUUUCGAAAUUCAAAUAUGAAGAUAUGACAUCAUUUCAAGCAAUAUAGUCUCUAGGAAUUAAUGUAAAGCUAAAUUAAGGUGCAAUUAAGUUAGUUCAAUGCAUUAUUUUAAGAAACUUGACCUAUCAAAACCUUGUCUUACUUCAAAGCCUCUUUUUCUUUUCUUCCAACUAACAUUUUAAUAAGUGAUCGCAAAAGUACAAAAUUAGAUGAAAUCCAUUUCAAUGGUUAAAAUGAUCAAAUUCAAACUUUUUCUAAGUAUCUUUUAAAAGCAUCAAUAUUGAAAGACAAUUUUAUAUUUAGUCAAAGCUUGGACAGAGCCAAAAAGCACACAAAAAUUUAUAUUUUCUAGCUCUCUACCUUGGAUGGUCUCUUGAUCCUACUUGGAGAUGUGCAUAAAUAAAAGGAUUUGAAAAUGACAAUUGACUAAGUAUGUAGUCAAUCAAUUACUCAUUGAUUGACUAGUUGAUCAAUUAACUUUGCAACAUCAUAUGCAAUCCUAAUAGCUAGUCAUCUAAUCAACUAGGUAGUAAAUCAAUAGGCCAAAAAUAUGUUUAUAAUGACUAUUUUGUACAAAAACCACUUAUAUAGUUAAAUAUAAUGCAUUUCAUUUAUAAAUCUUCUAAUUCUUGAAUAACAAUCCUAUCAUCCUUUGAAAGUUUUUAUUACACCUUUUCUACAUUUGUUCUAAAACUUAUACAUCACCCUUAAUUGUACCAUGAGAACCUAGCAUUUUUUUUUUUUUUUUUGUAUUUCAUCAAAGUUAGCUCUUGUACUCAUUGUUGUAUUAUUUUUAUUGUAACUUAGAGAGCGAGUGUUUUCAAGUGAGUGAAAUUGACUUGUAAAUAUUGUAAAGAUUCAUUGAUAUGUAUCUCAAACUAGGUGUACAAGUUGAAACAUUUGCUAGUAGAUUUUCUCAAGAUUUAGAAUGAGCUUAAGGCUAUCGAAUUAGGUGGGGUUGCGCCAAACCAUAUCACAUCGUUGUUUGCACCUUUUUUUUCACUCUCUUUUACUUAGUUGCUCUAUAUAUAUUGUCUAGCAAUAUCCUAAAGGCUUGAUGGGCUAGGGAGCAUCCCUCUGAAUGAAAAAUUUUCAUUCAAUUCUUAGUUGUAUUACGCAUAUAUAAAAUGCCUCAUUGUUUUAAUGGUAUUCAGUCGUGGCACCACAGAUAUGGACAUCUAAAUUUUAAAAGUUUGAAACUUUUAGCUAAAGAAAAUAUGGUGCUUUGCCUUUUUGGAAAGCAUGUUGAUGAAAUCCAUGAGAAUUGUAUACUUGGAGAGCAACAUCGAGAUAACUUUUUUUUUUUCUUUUUUUAUAAUGCAUUGUUUGUCCAAAUUCCGUACAAAUUAGGCCACCACAUGUUCAUAAUUCUCCCUUCUUGAAUUUGAAAACUCGGACAAUUUGACAAUGCGACACCUAAGUCCGGUUUUUAAAUGCUAAAGUGAAAGGGCAGGUAUGGACCAUUGAAAUGUGAUAACAACUUUUGGCCUUUUCCUUUUCUCUGUAGCCAUGUUGUCUCUUUUUAAUUUCUUUUGCAUGAUUUUCUUACCUAAACAGAAUCAUAGACUUGUUUAAUCUCUAAGUGGGAUUUCAUCCACCUUAAGCUACUGUAUUAUAUCUCGGUGGAGGACAACCGACAUAGAGCACAUGCAAGUGGGUAUAUGGGACAUGAAAUAUCUUCUUAUAAAGCUUGUUUUGCAGUUAAAUUAAUUGGAUAAGUAGACACUGGCGUUUCUAAAUUUCCCACCUAAGAUAAUGACCUUAUCCUUGACUGCUAGAUACACAAACAAUUAUACCUUCAAAAUCUACUGUGAAGUGCUUCAUGUAUGUGUGAAGUAUUAGAAAUUUCUUUCUUGGCAACUUGUUUUUUUCUUUGCGGUCUACUGAUAGGUUUGACUAAAAUUAUAUUCCCUGUCCUGCUAAUUAAUUUUCACGUGCAUGCUCAAAAGAAGAGUAUGACCUUAGUGCACCAAAAUCACUUUCAAUAAUUUGUGAUAAGUUUUUUUGCAUGACAUUAACCUUAUUCAUUUAGAUAAUGUUUAGUUCUCAUAAAUAUUAAGAAAAUGAAAAUAAAUAUUAAGAAAAAUAUUCUUAUAUUUGAUUGUAUUAUGAAAAAUAUCAUAAAAAAUCAAAUAUAAUUAAAAUUAAUUAAUAAUUUAUAUAUUUUAAAAUUAUUUAAUUUUUAUAUUAAAGAUAUAAUAUAAAUGAAAUGAGUUUUAAGUAUUAUAUAAAAAUGAUUUAUUUAUUUAUUUAUAUAUAUAUAUAUAUAUAUAUUUAGUUUUUCUCUUUAUUUUAUUUUCCUUAUGUUUUCCUCACAUUUUCCGGAAUCAAAGAUAGGGAAAUCCACAAUUACCUUCAACUGAGUAGAUUCUAUUGUUUUAGCAAUGUUAGGCUGCUAACUUGUGGUGGUACGAACCAAAUGAUCCAUGUUAAUCUUGGCUUGAUUUAAUUUGGCUCUAUCUCAGAGAACUCAAGGAUCACGUCAACUCUGGUUUCUACUAUUCAGGUCCAUUCCCAGAUGAACUGGUUCAAAUUUGAGAAAAUGGUAACAGACCUUUAGUGAUAUUGGUUUGGAGCCAGUUGCCAAACCUGCCCUGAGCUUUACCACUAAUGUCAAGGGACAAAGCCAUUUGAACAAAAACAAUAGCUUCAAGAGACUGAAUCGUGGAUGAAAUCUGAUCCACAUUUCUUCUCAUUUUGGGAAAAAAUGAGGACUUAACCACAAAGAUUCUACUGCCUCAUAGUGCUUUUCCUGAUCUAAGGUUGGCUCGUUUCCCAAAUUGUGAGGUGCACGUGCCACUCUCACGCUCAGGAGUGUAUCCACGUGGUGGACAUAAGAUGGUGGCUUAAUAUCUGGUGUCGGUGGCUUUACUUUACUAGGAGAGUAGUGUGUCUUCAUCUCAUUCACUGCCAGAGGGUGGCGUAAGCAGUGACGCUAAGGUGGGGCACAGUCAAUAUCAUUUGCAUUUGACCAUUAUAAUUUUCUCCCGGCUUUAAAGUAACCUUAUCGUGAUAAUGGAUUACUAGCACUAGUUCAGAUGACAGUCAUGUUAAAUUCGGACCAUGUUUGUGUCACAUUAUCAGCAACCAUGUGCUUGUGGUUCAUGCUAUCUGCAACUAAACUUGAUAUAUAACCAGGUGAACUUCAAUCUAAAUUCUGGAAGUACUCAUGUGAUAGAUGGUGCCUGUCUGCAGUGAGUGUAUCUAUAAGAGGGAAGGCUUGGCAAAUGUUCAGUUUUCUGGGAAUUCAACAGGGAUCUAAAAUAGAUUGUUUUCUUUGCUGAUUUCAAUGGUUGAAAUUUGAGAAGAUUGUGUCCACAUAACACAACUAUUACUGGUCCUUCUGUUGCAAUUUAUCCUCUAAGGCUCUAACAUGUCUUCCAAUUCCCACUUCCCACUUCCCUGUUACUCCAGGAAAGCUGUUUCUGUCAUUGUGAAGAAGAAAAGAGACUGUACAUAUCGAUGCUUUUAAGUGGACUGGAGAAUUCAUAUCAGGUGGUCUGCAGCCAUACAUGCCACUUUGUGAAGGUUGGAACAGUCAAUCACUAGGCUAUAUUAGUGGGGCCCAGCCACUUCAAUCAAGGACAAGUCUUCAUACUUAAAGUCAAAUUCUGCCUUUAGUCUCAUUAUAAAUUGCUGUUUAAAUAUCAAGCAAACAUUUGUUUAAUGCGAUUAAGACAGCACUAACUCAAUACUUGUUCUAUUUUUGGAUGCAAAUGCUUGAUAGUUUCAUCAUUGGAGGGGAUAAAGGUGCAUUCAUGAUUAUGAAUACUUGUAGUUAUAUUUUCAUUCUCUUUUUUCUCAAUGGGACUUGUUGGCACAAUUUUGCUGUUCAGAAACCUACCUCUCCAUGGAAAAUCAGUUGUGAUUGAUAUUACUGGAUAUAUUCAAGAAAGCUAAAUGUAGAUAGCACAAAAUAUUAUCGACAUAAAUAGCAUUAACAGCGUACGUAUGUCUCAAUGCUCAUCAGCUAUAAGCAAGGGGCAAACACUUACUAUGAGCAACUUACGUCAAAAUUCCGGAAUAGGACAUAGAAGUGACAGGUCAGUAAAUAUAGAACACUGCAUAUGAGUCACAAGAAAGGAAAUUACGGGUACAUAGCAGCUCUUAUUUUACAUCCUACUCAUACUGAUCAAAGUCACUCAGUUGGGAUGGGUGGGAGUGGGAGGUUUGUGGGGUGGCUUGUGCGGAGGAGUUGGCAGCUUCUUUCCAGGACCUGGUUGCUUCUCUGCUGGAGUUGAAGGAGGCUUAAUCUUCCGAGGUGGCUUGUAUGAGUCUUCAGCAUUCUCAGCAGGAGGGUGACCAGGGUUGUGACCACAAUGUGGUGGCUUCUCUCCCUUAGGUGGUUUGCCAACUGGGGUUGGUGGCUUGUGUUCCGGAAGUGGCUUCUCUUUGUGUUCAGGAGGUGGCUUCUCCACUGGAGGCUUGUGUUCAGGAGGUGGCUUCUCCACCGGAGGCUUGUGUUCAGGAGGUGGCUUCUCCACCGGAGGCUUGUGUUCAGGAGGUGGCUUCUCCACCGGAGGCUUAUGCUCUGGUGGUGGCUUCUCCACCGGAGGCUUAUGCUCUGGUGGUGGCUUCUCCACCGGAGGCUUAUGCAAUGGUGGUGGCUUCUCCACCGGAGGCUUGUGUUCAGGAGGUGGCUUCUCUACCGGAGGCUUAUGCUCUGGUGGUGGCUUCUCCACCGGAGGCUUAUGCUCUGGUGGUGGCUUCUCCACCGGAGGCUUGUGUUCAGGAGGUGGCUUCUCCACCGGAGGCUUGUGUUCAGGAGGUGGCUUCUCCACCGGAGGCUUGUGCUCUGGUGGUGGCUUCUCCACCGGAGGCUUAUGCUCUGGUGGUGGCUUCUCCACCGGAGGCUUGUGUUCAGGAGGUGGCUUCUCCACCGGAGGCUUAUGCUCUGGUGGUGGCUUCUCCACCGGAGGCUUGUGUUCAGGAGGUGGCUUCUCCACCGGAGGCUUAUGCUCUGGUGGUGGCUUCUCCACAGGAGGCUUGUGUUCAGGAGGUGGCUUCUCCACCGGAGGCUUAUGCUCUGGUGGUGGCUUCUCGAAUGGGGGAUGCGUAGGGUAAUCAGCUAGUGAGGGGGCGGUGAGAACCACCAGGCCAAGCAACACUACUAGCAAGUAUGUAGGAGACAUCUUUGGGUUUGGGCUCAGAUGGUGCAAAACUAGGAGAAUUGGCUAGCCUUUUAUAGCGGAUCGUACCCAAUAAUGAAAUGACACGUGUCAUUAUGACCCAUGUGUCAUGUGGUCGAUUUGGGUCCUACAGUGUUGAAAACUUCGACAUCCACUUUUUUGGCCUUUUGCUUUCUCUACAGUCGCCUUGCUUUUUCCCUCUUUUCUUUUGUUUUCCUCCUGCCCCAUUCUAUCAACUAAUCACAAUUAUGUAGUUGUUUAAUUCUUAAAUGAGAUAUUAUCCGUCAAUCAUAUUAUCUUUUAUCAAGAGAGAACGGAGUGAAAAGUGGCAAUCCAAAGAAAGAAGAUCCAUAAUGCAGCUGUAAUUUUAUCGUUUACUUUUAUCUCUAGGACCACUGCAUUUUUGUUGAGAGGUGCAAUAAUACACGUCUUUAUCUGCCAUUCAAUGUUUACAGUAAAGAGAGGGCACAAAACUCUUCACUGCUCUGCAUGUGCCCCAAAAAUGCAAUUGGACAAAUUAUGAUUUGCAUGCUAAAAAGAGGCAAAUGAGGUUAAUUAGCACCAAAAUUAUUUUGUUUUCUGGACACCCCGGGGCCCUUUGGUUGGUUUGGGGGUCAGAAAAUGAACAUCAUAGGGGGUUUUUCCCUAAUGUGCAUUUGCAUUUGUAUCUGAUGGCUUUAACUCGCCUUGUUACUACAAAGAAAUUGUCACAGAUAGGAACUUAUUCCAGGCUGAGUAUCUCCGCAUGGACCCUAUAAAAGAAGACAAGUCAUAAUGAACAUCUAACCUUUGUUCAAUUUGAUUCAAUGCCCCUAUUGUGUCCAUCUCACAAAUCUGAAUUAUUAUAUCCAUUGAAUACAUAAAUUAAUGAAGAAAAUAUGAAACCCAAGAUACAUCUCUGCACAACCUCAACCCUGGUUGCUAUGUUUCACUUCUAUUCACAUGAGGAUAUUGAUUACGGAAUAAGGAAACCUAGCAAGGGUUUACUCGGCUCUGGUUUGAUGCUAAUUGCCAAACUUGCAACAAGCCCUGAGUUUGACACCUAAUCGAUGGGCGAAUUAAAAGUCUCCUCCAAACAUAUAUUCCACAGCUUGAAGCUCACAGAAGAUGCUAUACAGGCAGGGAAAAACCUUCAGAGUUAGCUACCAAAGAUAAUUAUCAAGGAGAUAUCACCAAGAGAAUUCCAUGGAGUCUGAAUCAAAGACAAAUUGCUCGCUCGUGGGGGUUCUUACUUAAUUUCUUUUGGGUAUAACUCACUGAGGGCACUGGCUUUGUUAUUUGCAUUUCGCAUUUAGAGUUCUGUUCUGGAAGGUUUGUUCUGGAAACAUAUAAAAGGAGCAUCAUUUUGUUCUAGGGUAACCCAUAGUUGUGAGUGGGUCCAUUUGCAUGCUACUUAGUUGAAAAGUUGGACAAUUUGCUCCGACGCCUACCUCCUGGAUUCCAUGCUCGGAUAAAGCAAGAAUAAUAAAAUAUUUAUAAUUUACAAAUGGGGGAAAGAAAAAAAUGUCAACAACAAACUAGGAAAAAAGAGUAGUAAAAUUUAUGCCACAUGCUAUUGAUAGAAGGGGCAUGUAUUAGAUCCAUCACCAUUUGGUAAGAUUUUAGUAUUAUAUUUUUCAAGGUUCAUUAUUUGAGGGUGUGUUCUUCAUCUCUGUUGCAUUGCUUCUUACUAGGCCCACUGAGGUGGGUUCUUCACCUUUUGUAUAUUCUCUGCACUAGAUCAAUGAGAAAGGGGGAAUUUUGGUGAAUUUGCAGCCGUUGGAUGAUUGAUUCUAGGCUCAGUCCACCAAUGAUGCUCUCUUCACUCUUUCUCAUCUAGUGUCAUUCACAACUAUGUUUUGAUUCAUAUUUGUACUAUCAAAGAUAUCUCAUUAUUCUAGCUCAUUAGGUAGAGUUCCUAAUCUUCCUCCUUUUUGGUCUAUGGACAGUAUUGGCUUCAUAUUAAGAUCAUGUUUCAAUAAUUGCACAUUAAUGAAUGGAUCAUGACCCACAUAAACAGAGUCAGGGUUGAGUCAGUGAACCCUAAAAUUUCACAAUUCUAAAUUUGGGUUCUUUAACAAUGCAGGGUCAAGGACGCGUGGUGAUGAAGGAAAGCUGGUAAGCUCAGUGUUACUUCAAUUCCUGCCAUGUAGGAUGGUGAGGAGAUAUUCACUAUGCAAUUAAUAAUAGACAAUAUUCACUAUGCAAUAAUAAAGCAUAAAUUAAGUUGAAUGAAAAGCAUUUUCUUUGCAAGGAGUUGAUUUUGGUUUCAUAGUUUGUUCAACUGCUAUUUUGGAUAGGAAAGUGUGAGGAGAAGAAAAUAAAAAAUAAAAAUAAAACAAAAAAUAAAAAAUAGAUUUUAUAAAUUCAUUUAAUUUAUUUUUUUUUUAUAAAAAUUAACUAAUUUAAAAUAUAUGUAAAUUUCUAAUUAAUUUAAUUACAUUUUUUUUUUCAGUUUUUCAUAAUAAACCAAAUAUUAGAAAAUUAUUUUUAUUAAGACACCCAAGAUGAGGUAAUAUGCAAUGAAAACAUGAAUUAUAUUAAAAUUCAAAACAAAUUAAGAGAAAUCGGAAAAUAUACAUAGAUAUCUAAACAAAGAAAUUUAAAGAGAAGGAACCACAAACUUUAUUUACAUAAUUUGAAAAUAAAAAACAUAAAACAUACUUAUAGUAAGGAGAAAUUGAAUAUCUUACAAUGGAAGAAGGGAGAAAAGCUUUGAAGAAAGCUUUUGCUUGGAAGCUUACAUGGUGAGAGGUAGAGAAAGGAGAGAGAGAGAAGAAAAUGAAAAAUGAGAAGUGGAGAAAAUUGGAAGUUUUGUGUGCUUACAACUGAGGAUAGAGCCUCCUUAAAUAGCAAAAAAUGGAAUAUUAAAUAGUACCAAUCAGGAGACAAAAUAUUGUUUGCUUUUGAAACCCGUGCAUGAAUAGUAAUCCCGUGAGUGAAUAGUGAAUAAUAAAAGUGAAUAGUAAAAGUCACUUUCUACUAUAGCACUUUAGACUUUUUCAUCGAGAAUCUUACUUUCGGCUGAGUGAUGAUAGCUGAUAGGUUGCUUUGGAUUGUGGAGUCAUAUGUUUGAUGUUUUCGGUGCUGAAACCGCUUAGUUGGAGAAUAAUCUCGUCAGUAGAGCAUCAUGAGAAGCUUGAAUGGAGAGAGCUUAAUGAUGCCAUAUGAUUGGAAGGAAUCCUAUUUUAAUUUCCUUAUUGGAGGGAGAAUACCCUCACAAUCAUCUUCAUUAUCUUGAAGGUAGUUUGAUAUAGAGUCAUCUGACUCAGCAUAAGAGUCCUCUUGGGAGAAGCUUGAACUGCUUUUGUCAAGGAUUUUCUGAAAUUCUUGAGGGGUUUUUGCUAUUGCUAACAUGGUUUGGAGUUGCUGUUUCUUAAGAAGAAACUGUGCAAUAUCAUAAGAUGAUGAAGCUUGUGUAGGAUGCUUUAGGAAAUAUUGCUUUAUUGCUUGUAGUGAGGUAUCAUUUUUCAAGGCAUCCCACCACUUAGACUUGAAAGUCCUUCCAAGGGUUGGAAAGGCUGCUGAUUCAUCUGCUAUAAUGAUAUAAUCCCACUGGACUAUCCAGGCAAGGCCAAAUUCACUAAAAAAGAAUAAUAAUUGGGGAAAACUGAAAGUUCUCUAGGGAUAACAAAAGAACUUUGGAAUAGCUCAAAGCCAUCCAAAAUGGGUUUUGGGAGAAUUUUAAUAGUUGGACCAAAAUAUGUCCACCAAUUGUGGAACCAAAAUGGAAAAGAGGGGAGUUGAUGCUUAGAUGGGAAAUAGAACAUCCCUGAAUGAUGGAAGUCCUUGUUCUGGAUCAGAAAAGCAUUGAACCAUACUCUUUGGUAGUCUCAAUAAUUGAAAAUUUUAGGUUUUGAAGGCUUAGAAAAUUCUCUUGAAAAAUUAGGAUUCCCACCCCACUGCUUAACUGUAAGGAUUUUAUAAAUAUGGUAAGUGGAGAAUGCCAAAUCCAAAUUGCUGAAUUUAUCAGCAUUGUGCUUGAUUUUAACAGAGCCGGUUUCCAUAAGGAUUGCUUCAUAAAAUUCUCUUGUUUUUAAAAGAUCACCAAAGGGAUAAUGAAAAUUUUCAUGAAAAGCUUUUGCUGCAAUAUCUCUAGGGUUUUUAGAGAAAAACUCUUUUUCAAUAACCAAAAGAGGUUGAUUUAAAUCUUUUUGCCAAUAUCUUGCUUUUGCUGAAAGAGGUGUGGGGUUGGCUACCACCACAAUUUGCUUAUUUGAAAAAGAAGAGCUUGAUGCUAAUUCAUUUUGAGAGGGAUUAGCUUUAGUAACCUGCUUAAAGGUCUGAGACACAGUAAUAGUUGGAUACUGAGUAGCCUUGACUGGUUUAGAAGGAUUCGAAGGAUCAUAGUACAAGGACAAAAUCUUAUUAGGCAUAUGGUCAGAAGAAUGAAGCCUUGCUUCUUCUUCUAGCUCAACUUGUUGGCUCCAAAGUAUUUUAUGGGGAGAAGGUUCUUUGCUGGUUUUAGAAGACUAGGAUUCUGGAAGUUUAGGAGCUUGGGUAUUCUUUUUAGGGGCCAUGGUUUCGUGAAUCCUGUAAAAUUCACAAGUUAAGAAAUCAGGGCUCGAAGAAUGUUCUCCUUUAAUAUACUCAAUUUGUAAAUUAAAAUUGCUUAAAAUAGCUUGAUAUAUAGCAAAAAUAUGCUUAGAAGUUAUAUUCUUAACAUCCUUUUGUAAAACUAAUUUUGCAAAUUUACAAUCAACUCUUAAUAAAAACUUUUGAUUCAAAAGAUCAUCUUGAAAUUUUGAAAUGCAUAAAACAACGCUUAAAGUCUCUUUUUUAAUGAUGUUAUGAAUGAGUUGGGUAGUAUUCCAGGUUCUUGAAGUAUACCUAACUAACAUCUCAAGGUUACCAACACUUUGCUUAAGAAUCCCACCAUAACCUAUGUCUGAGGUAUCGAUCCCAACAAACUCAAAGGUUUCUGGAUUGAUAGAGCCUAAACAUGGUAGGGUCUUGACUUUGGACUUAACAUCAAUAAUGAAAACAAUGGUGAAAACAGAAAACUGGUUAAAGUUUUCAUCCAUUAUAUUCUGGAAUUCUGAGGUGCAUUCUUAAGAUCAAAGGGCAUUAUGAACCAUUCAUAAUGUCCAAGAGAUACCACAAAGGUGGUCUUAUUUGGAAUAGGACACCUAAUCCAACUUAAUGUAUCAUUAAGAGGCAUGUAGUUGACGACUAGUCUAGGUGUUCCUUUUUCUGAUUCAACUUGUUCCUGAACAUAGAAGGUUGAACAACUCCAAAGGGACUUAGACUUCCUUAUCAACUUUUUAUCAAGAAGAUCCCAAAUCUCCUUAUCACAAUAGCUUAACAAACCCUUGUUCAUCUGGAUAGGUCUUGAUUUAGUGGGAAUAUUCUUGUCACUAAAGUCUAGUUCAUAAGGUAAUUCUACCUCAUGUUGUUUCCUAUGCCAAAAUGCAUUAGGAAUGUUAGAGCAAACUUCUUCAACAAUCAGAUUAAUUUCUUGCUCAUGACUUUCCUUAGCUUGAAUCACCUGAUCCCUUAAGGUGUUUAUAUUUUUCUUAUUAGGUGGUUGGCAAAUUCAAAAAUAAUUUCCUUAUCUAAGAGCUUUGUUCUUAUACUUUGGUCAUCUACCCACAUGGGAUAGAUGGAGCUUAAAAAGGGGAUUCCAAGGAGAGCUUUCUCCUUAAGAUCCUUAACUAGAAUGAAGGUUUGCUUGAUGCAAAUGCCUUGGUUAUUUAUGUGAGCAUCUGACAGCUUAUACUCAAUGUCAAGCCUUUUACCAUUAGCUCCAAAGAGAGAUUCUUUGGUUUUCUUACAAAACUUAAUAGGACCUAGACCUUCUUGUAGGCAAUUCAAAGCUGUUCCUGAAUCAAUCAAAGCAACAAUAUCAAUGACAAAUUUACUCUUAAUUACUAUAGUAAGGGAGACUUUCCACCUCUGGAAAAUAACCCUACUAACAGUAUUUAAGUAUCCAUCCGUCUUUUCAUCAUUAGCAUGUGAAGAUUCUAGAACCUCUUCAAGGUUUUCCUAGUUAUCAACAAGAUUUUCUAUAACAAUCCUAUUUAUUUGUUCUUGGAGAUCUGAAAAACCUAAGCUUGUGUAUUGUCUUAAAUCUUUAAUUUCCUUCUUAUACUGUCUUACUUCUUCUUGAAGAUCCUUAAUGGUUACGUCUUUGGUAGACUACUGGUUAAAUCUUCCUAAGAUUUCAUUUAAGUUAUAAGAAUUUACUGUCUUCUUAAUCUCUUGCUUAUCGACAAAUUUCUUAAAAACUUCAUAAAGAUCUUGUUUAGUUUUUUCAUCUUCAACUUUCCUUAAAACAUCUAGGACAAGUUCUUGAUCUUGGCUUAUGACAUUUAUAGUCUUAGGUUGGCAAUCACAAUUAUCCUUAAUGUAUUCUUCUUGGUCACUAGAAGUUUGGCUUGAGAUUUCCUCACCACUACUAUCUAGUUGGUUAAUACCAUUUUCAUUAUCUGAAUCAAUCCUUGAUUCAGACUCUGUGGAAUUUAACAUUACUUUACAAAGCAUAUCUUUUAAGUCUUCUGUGACAUUUAAGUUAUUAAUUUUCUGCUUAACCCUACAAUCUUUCUUAUAGUGGCCUAUCUUACCACACUUAAAACAAACUGGCUUAGAUUGUGAAGGAGCUUCUAGCUUUUUAUGGGCUUCUUUGUUCAUCAUUCUUUGGAUGUGCCUUUGUUUCUUAGUUUCAUUCAUCCUAUAGUUGCCAUGAGUUCCUCUCUUGUUGUGAUAGGACUUUUCCUUACUAGGCUUUGUACUUACUUGUUUCUUACGUUGCUUAGAGGGGGGCUUAGUUUCUUUUUGGUUGAAUCCAAACUAGCUACAAAAUGAACCAAACUCAUUCUUGUAGAUCCUUUGUUCAUUUUUCAUCUGUUGCUUAAGCUUAAAGUCAUUGCACAGUUUAAUUGCUUCUGAUGUGACAAUGCUUAUAAUUUCUCCAUAAGAAAGCUUAUCAUAAGGGAUUUGUCCAUUAAACUGUUCCCUUAUCUUAAUCCUAAUCCUCUCAGAGAAAAGUCUAGGUAGUCCUAAGAUGAAUUUUUCUUUCCAAAAAGACUGGUUAUAGUUUGAUCUUAGUAUGACUUUGGUUAGGAAAACUUCUCUAUACCAUCUAAAGUCAUGAAGCUUGGGACACUUAAGGUUGGUUAAGAGAUCUACAAUCUUAUCCUUAAUCUUUGCAGGAUCUCCAAUGAAGUGCUUUGAAAUUGAAUAGAUUAGAGUAGCCACUACAUCCUCUAUAUCUUGUCCAUCUUCAUCCUUAACCACUUCAUUUUCCUCAUUAAUCCUAUAGGCUUUUAGGAUACCAUUUCUAUCCUCAAAGGUGAGAUAAUUAUCCCACCAACCCUAAAGUUGACCUGUAAACCCAACAACAAUUGUUUGAGCUACAGCAUGGCCUGACAAUCUAUUGUUUAACUUAUAGGUUGUACUAACCAUGGUCAUUUCUUGAAGCUUAGUGAGUAUGUUGUACUCAAUCAUACCAUCUAUGUUCCAUUCAUAGAUAGUGUCACUAGUGUAGGAAGCUUGAGUAUGCUGGUUUCUUUCCUCAUACUACAUAUCAGGAAAAGUUGGUCUAGGGUAGUAAUUCCUAGUUCUUGGUUGUUGAUAAUCCUCAUAACUGUUUGGUUAGGAGGUUCCUUAAAAAUCUUAAUUAGUUCAUCAGCCUCUGCUUCAGAACUAAUUUCUCCUUUAACCAUAUUGAUUCUCUUGUGAGAUGGUUGAGGUGUCUCAGAGACAACAAGGCUAUCCUUAACCUUUUGGCUUAUCCUAUCAAUGAGGGCUUGAUCAAUAUGGAGAUUCUCUAGGAAUUUCUUAGAGAAUUCAAAAGGCUUAAAUAAAGACUUAUUAUCUUUCUUAACAAACGUAGUCUUAAUGUAGUCUUGUGUUUCAAUGAUAUCCUCAAACUUGUUGAGUUGAUCGCCUGUAGUCUUAAGAAACAUGUUAGUGUAGUUGUUUUGUUCCAUGAUUCUUCUAACGUCAACAACACUAUCAAUUCCUUUAUUCUUUGGCCUAGUCUUAAAAGGUGAAGCUUUGACUAUGGUUCAAUUAAUGUUCUUUUAUAUCUUAGCUUCUAGAGGGUGGAUGGAUUCUAUGAUAGUAUCGUCACUAGUUUUCCAUAUCUUAGUUUUUUUGGAUGUGUCAUUGACACGCUUACUAGGGUAAUCUAGAUAUUCCUCUUGUUUGAAGAGUUCAAACCAGAUCCAAUACUUAAUGUUCUUCUUUUCUUGUCUUAAGUAUGUGUAGAAUUCUUCUUGGUAGAGGGUUCUAAUGUCUUUAAGGACCUUGCUAAAGAACCAAACUCUCCUUUUCUUAUUGACUUCAGAAUAGAAGUCUUUCCUUAAGAGGUCCUUGUUGAUUCAAAGUCUUCGUUAAUUAGGCUUACAGUGUUAAUCAACUGAGAAUAAGUAGGAGACAUAUCAGGAGAUUCGUCCUGAUGUGAUUCUUGAGUAAACUCAUUUUCCUCCAUGUAAAAGGGUUUGGCCACGUUGGUGUGACUUCUAACACCUGUUAGCUUAAUAUUCUUAGGAUUUGCUGAACUAGAUCCUUCCUCUAUCCUAGUGGUUCUUAUUGGGAUAGAUGAACUUGAAGCUCUAGAGGGCUCAUAAUAUGAAAUUCUAAGGCUGCUAGAAUGAUGAAAAGAGUUGGAGAAAAUUAGAUCUCGUUCUCCAUCAGGAUAUUGAACAAUCUGUUCAAUUCUUUCAGAUCUUUGCUCUAUGGCUGGGACAACAUUAGCAAAAUGCCAAUUUUCUGGAAACUCAACCUCAUUCCACUUGAUUUUCAUGGGGACUAUGAAAUUAGACUUGUUUAUCAUAUCUAAGUGGAAGAUAGUGGUUUCACCCUUGGGACUGGUGCACAAUGCUCCAAAUCCAACGCUUAUGGUCAUGCUCUUAUAGGCAAAUCUGGUGAUGAUGGAAACAUGAUUGUUUCCUUGCUUGAACUUAAAGUCAUGGGUCUUAACAUGAAGGACAACUGAAUCUAAGAUGUUGACAUCUCUUAGUCUAACUGUGAAGUUAGGGAAACACUGGAAAUAAACAGGACCAUCAUUUAAUCCUGCUUGGGUAGCUCCAAUAAUAGAAUCUCGGUAAUCAAGAUGUCUAUUAUCUCUUAAACACAUGACAAUAAAGGUGUUUAGACCUAGUCUUGUCAAGGGCUUAGCUGCAACUUGAAUCAUGCCAAAGUGUAUGAAGUUGUAGUCUCGCUUAUGCUUAUCAAUGGACUUACUAUCCAAGAGUCUUAUGACUUGAUCGUCGUGUUCUAAACUUACUGACAUUUCAGGGGUUUUAAUGGUGUAAUCUGUAAAGAACUUAAAGGUUCCUUUCUUAUAAAUUUCUUGAUUAGGUACCUUGGGUAACUUCCAAUCAUCUAAAUCAUCUUGGAUCUUAGGAUAAUUGAUCUCUUCAUUGUUUACUCUUGAGAAUUUGUGGAUUUCCUAGACAUGGUUCUGAAAAUCAAACUCAUUUUAAGGUUUUAAUCUAGAGCCUAAUAGCAGAUUAACAGACCUAGUGAGUAAUCACCCCAACCCUUUUCCAACCUUAACAAACGCCUAUCUCCAGCUAACAAUGGGCUCAACUCGGCAAGGAUCGCACUCAGGCACACUACUAUCUUUCCUAGGAUAGAUCAAAACACCCAAAACAAACCCGACUUCCUUUUCCUAGGAUAUAUAUAGUAUUUUGGGUUUGAGUAGGAGUUCAUGUUUUGUAUGUAAUUGUAGUCUACGUUGGACUAGGUUGUUUGCUCCUAAUUGAAAUAGGAAUGGUUGGUGUCACAUCUCAUUCAUUUUCUCAUCUAUUUCCAUGUUUAGAUAACUCAAGUAAUCAUAGGAAUGAAAUUAAGAAUGAUUUGAGGGAAAUGAAAUCUCACUUGUAAGUGGGAUCUCAAUUCAUCAUUAAUAGAAGGUAUUUUGAUUACAUAGUGCAAGUUAUUUUUAAAAACACUUUUCAAAAAUUGAAAAACCAAAAACUCUCUUGGAUAAGUUGUUUUUAAAAAGAAUUUUUGUAUUUUUAUUUUGUAAAAAAAAAAAAUAGUAAUUCAAUUUAUAUAAUAUAAAUAGACUUUAAUUUUAUUAAAAAUAAAAAUAAUUUUUUAAUUACAAAUAAAUUAAAAAAUAAAUAUUUGUAAUAAAAUAUGAAUAGUAAUAUUAUAAUAAAAUCAUAAAUAAAUUAAAAAUAUUUUUAAAAACAAAUAAGUUUAAUUUUUUUGAGGUACAAAUGAGCCAAAUUUUUCAUUAGGUACACAACCAACAAUUUUUAUUGGAAACAUUCCUCAAAAAAGAAUUCGUUUCCCAUAUAGCAAAGAUAUUUAUUAUUUAGUAUCUAACCAUCCGUAGUAAUCAUAUCAAUUCUACUAAGUUAUUUAAUAAUUCAUUUAUAUAUAGUACUCAAUUAUGAAUUUUUUUAUUUGAUGUAUAAUUAAUUAAUCAAUGUUUUGAAUUUUGAAUUAUUCUUAAAAUUUAAAACAUUAAUUAUGUCUAUUACUUUUUAUAGUCAUUAUAUAUAUAUAUAUAUAUAUAUAUAGAGAGAGAGAGAGAGAGAGAGAGAGAGAGCUUAAAUUUAUCUUUAAAAAUUAUUAAAUUUAUUAAUAAAUUCAAUACAAAGACUCAUUUGAUUUGAAAUUCAUUUCUUUAGUGAAAAUUUUGAAACUAAAUAGUACUUUGUUUUACUUUGUUUUUAAAUCAUACUCACAAAUAAGUUUUUAUCAUUUAGCCAAAAAAUCUCAAAGAUGUUUCUAAUUUUAUUUAUUUAUUUAUUUGUAAAUGAAAAUAAAAAAUUAGUUUAAACUAAAUAUGCGGAUAUUAUUGUUAAUUUAUUUCAUUUUUUAUUUCCAUUGUUAUUUAACAUUGAAACGGAAACAAAUAAUCAUUCCAAUCUUACAUUCUUAUAUGCAUCUAAACACAAGAAUUGAAAUCACCAAAUUCAUAUUCAAGGCAAAAUAGAAAUGGAAAAAAAAUAUUCAUUUUCAUUCCUCAUUCUCAUGUGCUAAACAUGACAUUAGUUCUACUACCUAUUUCACCAUUCUUCUUGAUAAAUUUGGUAUAUGCAAUAUUGAUCUAAGUGUGAGGUGAAUAAGAAUGAUGAUGGGAUGGGCUUGGAAAUAAGGGCAAAGUUUCUAGGUGCUAUCUAGAGGGGCAACGCGACUUUUUCAAAUUUCGAAUAUUUGUUCUCAACAUAAAGCAAAACUUUACUCACACAAUAGAUAAGACUCUGUUUGUUUUCUUCAUCCACGACUAUAUAAUGUAUAGCUCUUACUCAAGGGAUGAGCUACUUACUAUUAAGGAUUGGGUAAGAUAUUGCCUAAUGGCCAAGAAGGCAUGUCAAAAAAUAAAUCUAAUCACCAUAAAAAAUAAUAGGGGAAAAUUAAUAUAUUAUGAAUGAUGACUUUACUAUUUCUCUAUAUACAUAAUUAUAUAUUUUGAAUUUUCUCACUAGGUAAUGAGAUUCUAAAUCAACUGAAACAUAAUUAAUAAUUUAUAUUUUUAAUGAAUCUUUUAAUUUUUAAAAAUAAUUUAAAAUUUUAAAAAACAAUUCAAUUAAUUACAUAUUAAAUCAAAACAUUUCAAAAUAUUGUGUUUGUAGAUGAGUACUAAAUGCUUGCAUAUAAUAAUAAUAAUAAAAAAAUUGACUCAUUUAGAUGUUAAAAAAGUUAAAUGUUUUUCAUUAUUCAUUUUAAGUAAAAUAUUAUUGACAUUAUUAUUAUAAAAUUAUUAUUAUUCAUUUUUAACAAAAAACAAAAUAAGUUAUUCUUUUACCAAGAUGUCAAUAUCUAUAUUUUUCUAACAUAUAUUAAAAUAGUAUACUUUUCUUUUAUUAAAAAUAAUAAUUAUUAUUAUAUUAUUAUUCAAGUUUUAUUAAAAAAAUUUAUCUUUUAAUUCAUUUGUAAUUACAAAAUAAUUUUAUUUUAUUAAGAAUUUAAUUUAAUUACGCUUUUUUUUUUUAUAAAAAAAACAGUUAUGCUUUUACCAAGAUGUUAAUAUUCAUAUUUUUCUAGCUAACAUAAAUAGAAUAGUACACUUUUUCAUAUAAAAAAAUAAUUUAUGAUUUUAUUAUAAUGUUACUAUUCACAUUUUACUAAAAAUAUUUAUUUAUUUUAUUUAUUUUUAAUUAUAAAAUAAUUUUAUUUUCAAGAAUUUAAUUUUAAAAAAAUAGAAAUCAUUUAUUCUUUUACCAAGAUGUUAAUAAACAUAUUUUUCUAACAUAUACUAAAAUAAAAAAGUUUACUUGUUCAUUAAAAAAUAUAAUUUAUGUUUUUAUUAUAAUACUACUAUCUAUGUUCUACUAAAAAUAUUUAUUUAUAAUUAAAAAAUAAUUUCAUUUUUAAUAAGACUUGAACUAAAUUAAAUUUAUAAUUUUUUUUUAAAAUAAAAUAGAAAAUUAUUUUUUAAAAACAACUUAUUGAAAGAAAUUUUUUAUUCUUUACUUUUAAGAACUGUUUUUAAAAGCAACCUAUAAACCCCUUUGGGUCUGUUUGGCUAUGUUUCAUGCAACUUGUUUUUAAAAAUUGUUUUUUAUUCUUUAAUUUAAUUUUUUUUAAGUUAAAGAAUAAAAAACAACUUUCUAGUGUUUUAUAAAAAUGAGAGCUUUUGACAAGUUGUUUUUAAAAACCAUUUUUAAAAAUAAAAAAUAAAAAACUUAUUUAGAUAAAUUGUUAUAUAUAUAUAUAUAUAUAUAUUUGUAAAAACAUUUUAAAUUCAAUUUAUAUAAUAUAAAUUUAAUUUAAUUUAAGUCUUAUUAAAAAAAAAUUGUUUGGAUAAGUUUUUUUUUUUAAAUAGUUUAUUAUUUUUGUUUUGUAAAAACAUUGCAAAUUCAAUUUAUAUAAUAUAAAUUAAUUUAAUUCAAGUCUUAUUAAAACCAAAAUAAUUUUAUAAUUACAAAUAAAUUUAAAAAUAAUUUUUUUAGUAAAACAUGAAUAAUAAAAUUAUAAAUUAUAUUAUUGUGGACCCUGCAUUUAUGCUCAUGCGCUUCCACUUGUUGGCGAACUCAUUUUUUAUUUGAAAAUGAUUUAUUUUUUUAGAAAAUGACUUAGAGUCGCCACUUAUUUUUGUUUUAUUUUUAAAGGGCAAGCAAAAUAAGAAAGAAAACCCUAAGUGUGACUCCUUAUUCGAAAAAGGUAGUCUGUGUAAAACCGGAUCAGGGUUCAGGGAUCAGGUUACUUAUUGGGAAGGUAUGACAAUGACCGUAGCACUCCUCUAAGUCCUUAAAAACGGGCCUCUACUAAAAAAAAUAAAGUAAUCAUGGCAAUCAGUAAGGAAAUCACUGGAUACCCAGAACAAUUAUGCACAUGUGAGAAUUAAAACAUGCAUAAGAAUGGACAAAGUGAGAGUGGGUGCGUACCUUGACAACGAACCACAAUGCGUUAUCAAGAAAUGGGGUUAGUGCACGAUCAAUGAACAUAAAACACGUCACACAUGUCACUAAGCAGAGUGAGAAAUCAUCAGAUAUUACAAUUCAAUCAAAUUUAUUUUUAGAAGAAACAUCUGUUGAUGUAGAGCCCCUACCAAAGCCUAAUUUAUUUUUGCAUGAAUCAAUUUCAUAAAUUCAAUCGCUUGGAAUUACAGAAUUAAAUUCAUGCUUAUUUUAAAACAUCUUUUUAAAAUCAUGGAAGAUGUGAAAAUGGUUUUCCAAAGAGAAAAUGACAACUGAUUUUAUUGAAAAUGGGAUUUUGGGGACCUAAACGUUAAAGAGGGAUUAGGAAUUGAAAAUUAAAUCAUUUGAAAAUUGAAUUUUUCAAAAAUCAGUUUUGAAAGCAUGCAUGCAAGUAUGGACUGUGAAAGUGGGCCUAGGGAGGGUGGCCAUGCAAAAUGAGGUCAUACACGUGGGCCUUGGGUACAAUUGGGACUACUUUGCUGGUGCCAGUGGUGCUUGCAGCUGUCAUCCAUGAUUUCUUCAUUGGGAUCAAUUUCCAUUCUUACUGCCAAACAUUCCAUAACAAUUGACCAAACUAGUAACCCUGACCUUGCAUGAAAAUGAACGUUACCUAGAAACUCACUGCCAGUGAGAUUCAUUGCUCUUUCAAAAGGUCUCAUUUUCUUUCUCAUCCAAUUGCUUUAAGGAGCAUUCUAGCGUCACGAUUGGUGACUGCGCAUCAUCUAGAGCCUUCUUUCUUCUCAGAAUCAGGUUUGCGUGCAGAGGCCUGUGCUUGUUCAAGGUUGACCUAAAUUCAUCUAGGUUUAGAACCGACCAGUUGAGCUUGGGGAGCAACGACAAGAAUAUCAGUCACUUGCGAAGAGAAAACUCGAGAUCUUUCAAGUAAUGCCUGACAUAGAUUCCUCCAACCUGUGGCCAAUAUCUCAUUCCUUGUUGGCCAGACGCCUAUUAGGGCGUAUCUCAAUCAAUAAUAUGAUUUUUCGUUUGUUCACAAUAAAGACCGGAAGCCAUGGUUGUGAUUUAUGCAGUACAGAAGAAGUUGCCAUGGCUGGUAUCCUUACAAAUUCUGGUGUUUCUGCUAUCUGUUCAAGUGCAAAACACAACAGCUUUAUCAAGUUUGUCCCUAACAACUGAUAUUGAGCCCUCUGGAGGAAACCUUGAUAAAUUCAUAAUCACUUUUGACUCAUGCAUGGGCUGCCCAUCAAAUUUUCCUAGCAACGAGACGACUGCUGUCAUCUACUGCAAAGAGAAUUUCUUCUCGCAAAGACAAGAGGAGUUUAAGAAUACACACUAUUCUGCCAUUUCAUUUCCUCUUUCUCCACAACCAACAUAAACCAUAGUGUCUACAUUAGAGUACUUAGAAAGAGCUUAACUGAUGACCGUUUUUCCACAACCAAAUGCCCCAGGUAUGGCACAAAUUUCACCGAAAACAGAAGGGAAAAGGGCAUCAAGAACACGCUGUCCUGUAAGUAGUGGGGUAUCAGGACUACUCUAGGGAAGUUAUUUCUGUCAUUUUGAAAAAGAAAAAUUAAAGAAUGUACACAUGCUUUCAAGUGGACUGGAGCAUUCUACAUAUCAGGUGGUCUGUAGCCACAUGUGCCACUUUGUGGAAGUUGGAACAGUCGAUCACUAGGCUAUUUAGUGUGGCCAAGCCACGUUAAUCAAGGACAAGUCUUCAUACUUAAAAGUCAAAUGGUGCCUUUAGUCUCAUUACACAUGGCUAUUUAAAGAUGAACUAAUCUUUAGUGUAAUGUGAUUAAGACAGUACUAACUGAUCAAUAUUUUUUCUAAUUUUGGAUGCAAAUGCUUGCUGGCUUCAUCAUUGGAUGGGAUAAAGGUGCAUUCAUGACUCUGAAUACUUGCAGUAAUACUUGCAGUAAUACUUCAUUCUCUUUUUUCUCGAUGAGACUUCUUGGCACAAUUUUGCUUCUCAGCAACCUACCUCUCCAUGGAAAAUGAGUUGCGAUUGAUGGUACUGGAUAUUUUCUAGGAAGCUAAAUAUAGAUAUAUAGCACUCAAUGUCAACGAUAUAUAUAGCAUUAACAGUAUAUGUCUCAAUGCUCAUCAGCUACAAGCAAGGGACAAACACUUACAAUGAAUAACUCACGUCAACAUUCCUAAACAGGACAUAGAAGUGACAGAUCUAUAUAUAGAACACUGCAUAUGAGUCACAAGAAAAGAUAAUACGGGUGCAUAGCAGCUCUUAUAUUACAUAUUACUCAUACCGUUCAAAUUCACUCAGUUGGGAUGGGUGGGAGAAGGAGGCCUCUGGGGUGGCUUGUGCGUGUGAGAAGUGGAAGAAAGUUGAAUGGAAUGAAACUGAAAAACAGGGUAGAAUAGAGGUUUCUUGAAUCUUCUGAAAUCUUUAUUUUUCUGAGAUUUAUUCUCUGUUUUUGUGAGUCGUGACUCUACAUAUAUACAUGUAUUUAAAGUUAGUUAUGCCUUAUAACUAAUUAUCUAACAGUACCAAAACUAAUCAUCUAGUUGCAUGUUUCUAAUUAAUGCUAUUUAGUUACAACUAUAUAUGGCUUAACAUCCUCUCUCAAACUCAAAAGUCUAGCUAGAACAGUGAGUUUGCUUCAUAGAUUGAGAAAUUGUUGAAUAGGUAAGGCUUUGGUAAGAGCAUUAGCAAUCUGGUCAUAAGAAGGAAUGUGUUGAACCACCAAAGUCUUAUUGAGCACCUUUUCCUGAACAAAAUGGCAAUCUAGUUCCACAUGCUUAACUCGAGAAUGAAAAUAGGAUUGGCAGCAAGAAAGGUGGCUGAAAGAUUGUCAUAGAACAAAACAAAAUAGGAGAAUAAGAAGAUGAGAUAGAAAACUCCUGAAGAAGAUGUUGAAUCCAUUGAAGUUCAAAAGCAACAUUUGCUAAGGCCCUAUACUCAGCUUCAUUGCUGGAACGAGACACAACUUUCUGCUUACUGGAGUUCCAGGAGACUAGAUUAGAGCUAAAAAAGAUGCAAUGACCACUUGUACUUCGACGAUCAUCAGGGCAACCAACCCAAUCAACAUCAGCAUAAGCAGUAAGUUGAAAAUCAGGAGAAGAAUAAAAGGAAAGACCAAAGGAAGUAGUGCCCUUAAGAUAAUGCAACAAUCGUUUAACAACUUGCCAAUGAAGAUCAGUUGGUUAUUGCAUGAAUUGGCAAAGUUUAUUGAUAGAGAAAGAGAUGUCAGGCCUUGUAAUGGUACAAUAUUGCAGGGCUUCAACAAUGUUGCGAUAUUGAGAAGGGUCAGCCAAGAGGGAACCUUUAGAGGCAGAUAAAGUGUGAGAGGUAGUCAUUGGUGUAUCAAUAGGUUUAAAAUAUGGAAGACCAGCACGAGUUAACAAGUCCUGAAUAUAUUUGGUUUGGGAAAGAUGAAGAGAAGAUCCUUGCCAACAUACUUCUACACCCAAGAAGUAAUUCAGAAUACCAAGGUCCUUGAGAGCAAACUGAAAGUGUAAAGACGAAACCAUUUGGUGGACUAGCACGGUAUUAAGACCACUAACAAUAAUGUCAUCAACAUAGAUGAGAAUAAUGAUCAUGUCAGUCCCUUUCCGAAGAGGAGCUUGCUUCAGACCCUACAAGGCUUUGCGAAGUUUACAGAAAAAACCGGGUUUAGAAUGAUCAACAAAGCCUGGAGGUUGAACCAUGUAAACCUCUUCUUCUAACUCACCAUUGAGAAAGGCAUUAUUAACAUCUAAUUGUUCCACUAACCAACCAUGAGAAAUAGCAAGAGAAAGAACAAUUCAUAUAGUAGUUGGUUUAACAACAAGGCAAAAGGUUUCAAAAUAAUCAAUACCAUAUGUUUGAUUAAAACCCUUUGCAACUAAGUAGGCUUUAAAACGAUCAAUUGAGCCAUUAGCUUUGAGUUUCAGCUUGUAUAUCCAUUUACAACUAAUAAUGCGUGUAUUAACAGGUUUAGGAACCAAUGUCCAUGUGGAAUUGGUGAGAAGAGCAUCAUACUCAGUCUUCAUAGCAGCUUGCCAAUUAGGAUGCAAUAUUGCUUCUUUGAAAGAGGAGGGUUCGACAACAGUAGUUUGGAUAGCAAGGCUAAAUAUUUUUUUGGGUUUAAAAAUACCAUUUUGGCUACGAGUAACAAUAGUUCGGUUUGGAAGUGAAAGAGGAUCAGUGGAGGAGGCUGGAACAAGGGAUUGUGGUAAAGUAGGAAAGGAAGGUGGAUGAGAUGGAACAAAAUCAGUAGGGACAAUAAUGGGAGAAGAAAAAUUAGGUGGAGAAUGAUGAGGAUUCCUUGAAGAUGGUGUAGGAAUAGAGAGAAUACCAGAAUCAAGAAGUGUUAAAGAAGAGUUGGAUGAUGAUACUGGUUGACAGGAUAAAGACUUUGUUAAAAAUGGAAAUCGAGUUUCAUCAAAUACAACAUGACGAGAAGCAUAUAUCCGAGAGGAAGCCAUAUCCAAACAGAGGAAUCCCUUGUGUUUAGCACUAUAACCCAAAAAACAGCAAACAACAAAUAUAUUUGCUAGCUUGUGAGAAGCAUAAGGGCGAAGAUAAGGAAAACACAAGCAUCCAAAACUUCAAAGAGAUGUAUAAUAAGGUAAACGAUUAUAAAGAACUCCAUAAGGAGAAUUUUGUGAAAGAACAGCAGAGGGAAGGCAAUUUAUGAGAAAAAUGGCAGUUUGAAAUGCAAAUGACCAAUAUUUGAGAGGGUAUACCAGCUUGUAUUAACAAAGAAAGACCAACUUCCACAACAUGACGAUUCUUUCUUUCAACUCUUCAAUUUUGCUAAGGAGUAUAAUGACAAGAGACUUGAUGAAGAAGACCAUUUGUAGCCAAAUAAUUCUGAAAAGCUGAAACUGAAACUCAUCAAAUUGAUUUUUAGUAUCAAAUUUUCUUCAGACUGAACACAUUGAUUUUUAGUAUCAAAUUUUCUUUCAACCAUGGCUUGAAAAUGUUGGAACAUAAGUAAAGCUUCAUCUUUAGUUUCCAAAAGGUACAACCAUGAGAAUAUGCUAAAAUCAUCAAUUAGCAAGAGGAAAUAUUGAGCAUUACCAUUGACAGAAACUAUAGGAGUUGCACCCCAAAGAUCAACAUGGAUGAGACCGAAUGGUUUUAUUGCUCUAGAAGUGGAUAUUUCAAAUGGAAAACGAUGGCUUUUAGCCAACUGACAAGACUCACAUACAGAGUUAUUAUUGUCAUGUUUCAAAGGUAUUUUAUAAAGAGAUAAGAUUUUGGAAACUACAUUAAUAGAGGGAUGACCAAGUCUAUUAUGCCAAAGCCUCAAAGAACCAACGGCUAAAGUACUACUAGUAGAGUAAAAUACUAGUGGAUGACCAACAACUCUUGGUGUAGCAAGAAGUUUAUAGAGACCCUUCUCAAUUUUUCCUUGAAGAAGAGCAAGUCUCGUUUCCUGAUCCUUUACCACAAAAUGAGAAGAACGAAAUUCAAUAAAGGUGCCAUUGUUUGAGUAAAAUCGUUGCACGCUAACUAAGUUGGUGGUAAUAGAAGGAACAUGUAAGACAUCAUUGAAAAACAAAGAACCACUUGAAGAGGCAAGAGAAAAUUUACCAAUAUUUGCAAUGGAUAAACCCUUACCAUCUCCAACAAUUACUUUGUCACCACUGGUAAAUGGAUUAUGGAUUGUUAAAUUGUUAAGAUCAGAUGUGAGAUGAUGGGUAGCCUUUGUAUCAAGAAACCAAUAAGUGUCUCCCAUUGUUGCAGAAGUUGUAGUCAUAGCCUCAGGAUUGUUAGAGGUGGAAUGUUUAGAAUCUUUUGGCUGAUAAUCAGAGUUAAACCGAUACCAGCAUUGUAAAGCGGUGUGUCCGAACUUACAACCGAGAGAAAUAAUCUUUACUUAUUCUCUAAAAACUGUUCUUUAUUCCACACAUUAUUUCUAAAAACUGUUUCUAGAUAACAAUGACAAAAUAGUAUUAGGAAUUUUUAAAAAUAAAAAUUGUUUUUAAAUUACAUGAUCUAUAUCAUUCACAUUUGACCAUUAUAGCUUUGUUCAGGAAAACACUUGAAAGUAACCUUAUCGUGAUAAGAGAUAUAAGUUGGCUGUAGUUUCAAACUGAAAACAGAGGAUGGCAAUAGAAAGCAAAGCAUUAGUUAUCUGCAAUCAGUGGUGAUCAUGCCCCAUGUCAAUUUCGGACCCAUAUCUUAAAACCGUAUAAUUUGCAUUUCAACAUUUCUGAUUUCUCAGAUGUUUCAUACUCCACAGAAGAACAUUGUUUGUGAAAGCAUGCAUUUAUGCUGGAUUUUGGAUGAUGUGGGAACUGGGGCAAGGAUCAUAUGGAAGAGUGGUCGAUUUUUUCUGUACUUUAACAUUUGAAAUAGGAGCAGCACGGGCAUUUGUGGGGCUUAAUUGAUUUUGAAGCCUGAAAUUGCGUUUCUGUCAUUUUGUAAAAAAUAUGGCAGAUUCCAUGCUCUCAUAUGUUUGGUCUGUGGCCAUGUAUAGAUGCCACUUAGUGACCAGUUUGUAACUGUCAAUCAUAGUGUUUUGACUCUGGCUCAACAACAUCAGCCAUUGACGGAUUUUCAUACAUGCAAAUCAAAUAGUCUUCUUCCUCCCUUAGGAAUUUCGGUUUAAAUGUUAUUAAGCAUACAUUUGGCUGACAAUUAUUAACCACUUCAUGAUAUGGUUUCUUACCCUUAAUCAAUGGUUUCUAAGUGAAUAUAUGCAGAAGGAAAUCUGAACUGUAGACAGCAGUAUUGAUAAUUAUCAAUAUUCUUUAUAUAAGAGAAUAAACAACGUCAUAGUGAUCGUCGCCUACAAGAAAGGUACAUUUCCCAACAAGAUGUAGUUGUGACUGGUACAUGGACGUAAUUAACUCGUAGAAAAGGAUAAGACCAGUGCACGGCAGCUCUUAUUUUACAUGCUAAUUAUGCUAACCAAAGUCACUCAGUUGGGAUGGGAGGGAGAUGGAGGUUUGUGCGGUGGCUUGUGGGGCGGAGUUGGUGGCUUCUUUUCAGGAGCUUGUGGCUUUUUCGGAGCUGAAGGAGGCUCAAUCUUAUGAGGCGGCUUGUACGAGUCUUCUUUACUCUCGACAGGAGGGUGGCCAGGGUUGUGACCAUAAUGUGGUGGCUUCUCUCCCUUAGGUGGCUUGCCAACUGGGGUUGGUGGCUUGUGUUCAGGAAGUGGUUUCUCUCCCUUGGGAGGUUUACCAAUUGGGGUUGGUGGCUUGUGUUCUGGGAGUGGUUUCUCUCCCUUGGGAGGUUUAGUGGGUGACUUGUGUUCUGGAGGUGGCUUCUCCACCGGAGGCUUGUGCUCCGGUGGUGGCUUCUUGGUUGGAGGGGGCUUGGGGUAAUCAGCAAGAGAUGGGGGGGUGAGAACCACCACUCCAAGGAACAACACUAGCAAGUAUGUGGGAGACAUUUCUGAGUUUGAGCUGAUCAGAUGAUGCAAAACUAGAAGAAUUACGUGACCUUUUAUAGCAAGUAGCUCCCAAUACCCACAUGACACGUGUUACUGUGACCAUAAAUAUUAUAGGGUCCAUUUGUGCCCUACCGGGUUGAAAACUUGGACGCUUGGCCGAGGACACACCGAACUAUGGAGGACUAUUGACGUGUGAUCACAGCUUUUGGAUUUUUCUUCCUGUGCAGCUGUCUAGCGGUUGGCAUUAUUUUUUUAAUCUUAAAUAAAGGCAUAGUUAUAGAGUACAUUUAUAUAUCUUCAGAUAGCCAUUAAUAUAUUUGAUGAAGAAAGACAAGUGCAUACAACAUGUAUACGGCUUGCUUCAAUCGAGUACAUUUAUGAUCAGUUUUCCAGUGCAAGUAAACCAGUUUUUUGUUCCACAACUAUUUUGGAAUCUUGUUUAUCAGUUUCUAUCAUUAUAAUGUCACAUAGGCUGCAAACUUGGGCACCCAAAGAUCUAGUUGGGCAAAUUUGUUUCAGAAUUUCAAUGGUGGAUUCAGUAAUUGUUAAAAGGUGUUUCUUCAUUAAGGAAAGAGUCCUGUAAAAAUAUUGUUAAAAGGUGUCAUAGAAACUAUAAUAAUUAAAUAACUUCUUUUCCCCGUGGGUGGUGUUUCUUCUGGGGAUACCCAAAAUGAGUUCAGAUUAAAAUUGGUUCGAGUCAAAGCUGUCUCUUUUGUCCAGAAAUCAACUAUUUUGCGCAUUGCAUGAAUCGAUAAAGAAAAAAUGAAAGCCAAAUCACACCUCCCCUGCAAAACCUAAACCCCGGUUGCUAACUUUCUAUGUUUCAGUCCUAUUCAUACAGGAAUAUUGGUUCAAGUUUGAGAAAAAUGGCAACUUACCUAGGGAUUACUUGGUUGUGGUUUGCGACGACUAUUUACGCAACCAACCAUGAGUUUGACUUUAACGUCAUGGGUUGAAGCCUCCUACAAUCGUGUAUGAUAGUUCAAAGCUCGUAGUAGAAAUUAUACAGGAAGGAAGAAACCUCCAAAGCUAGCUCCAAAAGAGAAUUAUCACAUCGAUAGCUCCAGAGAUUCCCAAGGGGACUGAAUCAAAGACAAGUUCCUCACUUUUUCUUCUUUUGAGGCCAAAUAUGAACCAAGGAUCACACGACCUCAUUCAACUUCAUAAGUUUGAUUUCAUGCAGUUGAACACUGGGUGAAGGCCAUGACAAGAAUUGAUUAAAAAAUUCUACCACUGUUUUAAGUAAUGGAAGAUUAUUAUCUCUGAUUGGCACCACAACAGCACAUGCUGCUAGAUCUUUCUAGACACUCCAUGCAAUGAAAGUACAAUGGAUCUUGUAACGAUAGAAACUAAGCCAUGCUACAGUACUAGAUGACGAGGUAAAACUAUUAGACAUGGGUGGCAGCCUAUAUGGGAGGGACACAAGUCUAAUUGAUUUGCAUUUCAGCGUUCUAGAUGGGUAUGUUUUGGAAGAUUUGUUCUGGAAAUACCGCACCAAGUAGGAUUCUUUUUUCUCUUGAGUGGGUCCACUUGCAUGCCAAUUAUCGAGUUGAAAAGUAGAGCACCUACCUCGUGCUCGUGGAACCGAAGGUCAGUGAAGUGGGGCUCCUUUUGGCCUCUUGUGUUUCUGUUCCAACCAAGGCGGCGGAGGGAAAAACAGCAAUAUGUCUCCGCUAAAUAUCAACGCAUGAUAGCGAAUGAGGGAGAAAAAAAGUAAUUGGCAUCUCAAUCUCACAAACUUGGUACAGUAGUGACAUUAAUAGUCUUCCACAUGGUUUUUAUUUUAUUUUAUUUUAUAUUUUAUAUUUUCCAUUUUUUUAUUUUUUUGUAUGUCAAGGCUAAUGAAUAAAAUGCGUUAGCUUGUUUUGUGAUUGGAACUGCAAAUGUCCAAAUUGGAGUUUCUCCAUUUCUCAGUUCGGAUGGUUAACUUUAUAAACAAGAUAUAGGAAACAUGUGAACGUCUUGAGGAACAAUUCGAAUUAUUGAUUAGAACUCCUAGGUUGAGUUCCAAGAUUUAAAUCAGACCCCUCUAGCAGCUUCAGGGGUACCUAGCAAUUAGAACAUAUUAAUGAAGAUUUAGGAUUUAGACUCCGGAAUACAAAUUAAUAUGUAUCUUAUGCUCUGACUAGCUUCCCUGCAUAUGCACAAAAUGGAGAUGACCCAAAAAAUAGCAGAAUCGCCUUAGUUUAUGUGGUUAAGGUGAUUCUCCGGUUAAUAUCCACAUUGGCUCAUUAUGCAAAUCAACUGAGCUAUUUUUUUUUUAAUGUCAAAUAGGAACUCCUAAUUAACCUAACCAUUGGCCUGUGUAAAUUGAUUUCACAUGCACAAUGUUGUAGUAGAAGUCCACAUUUUGAAUUUUAUUUUUGGAAAGGUAAGGAAAAUGAAGCAUUGUGUAAUUAUAAAAAUAACUUCAUUGGAAUUCACAAGGUUCACCCAAAAUGGAGCUACAUCCGUAUUCUAUCUUACAGUAGACUAUAUAGAUUGUACAAUAGUAAAUUGCAAAUACAAUUAAUAAGUCUUGUGUUUCCUUACUAAUAAUCCUUUGACAUAAACAUUGCAGCACUAAGGUCCUCUUGGGCAGACACCUUGCACCCAUGAGAGCACUAAGAGGAAGCAAGGCGGAGUCAUGGGUGCAAUGUCAUGACUUGUUGCACUAAGAGAGGCUUGGUGAUGGCAUAGUGCUGCAGUAGCAAGAAUGUUGCCUUGGCAGGGACACGAUCUAGGGACAGAUGCCAAGAAAGGCUUAGCACUCACAUGAGUUGCACAAAGAUGAAUGAAAUAGAACAUCAAAGAGACAUCUUGGCAAGCUCAAGAAAGACAUGUGGGUUGGUAAAUGAAUGGAUGCAAGAGGCAACAACAUGAGGAGUUUCAAAUGGAUAGGGAAUGAGUCAAAGACAUUUGAAAGCUACAAGUUGGAUUCUAAUUACGAUUGCAAUUUGAGUUUGAGUAGGAGUUUAUAUUAUGAUUGUAAUUGUAGUAUGAGUUGGACUAGGAUUGCUUAUCCCUAGUCAAAAUAGGAGUUGUUCAUGCCACACCCUAUGAAAAGAGUUUGAGUAGGGACUAGGAUUGCUUGCUCCUAGUCAAAUAUGGAGUAGGUGGUGCCACACCUAUAAAAAAAAAAGGGACAACAUGAGAGAGAGAGAGAAUGAAUUCACCAAAGAUAUUGUGGGAGUUUUGCUUUGUUACAUCUUGUAUUAUUAUUUAGAAUAGUAAUAAAAUACAAGUUGGGGCUAGAGCCCCAUAAUCUCGUGUGCCUUUGUGGGUUAUUCUUUAUUUGCCAUCUCGUGUGGAUUGGAUUAGAUUGAUGAGGCGAAAUAUUAUGUGGGAAAUUUAUGUUGGGACACUUACCAUAACCAGGUAAAAUCUACCAAGUCUUUUGUAAUAUCUUCUACAAAUAUUUUAGACCAGUUCUUCACAAAACAUCAUAAUAUGUUUUGUGUUUCUCUUGGAUUUUGAGUUGAAUUGUCUUAGAUCAAUUGAAUGCAUCUCAAUAUUAUUAUCUUGUUUGAAGGCUUGAUGAUUUUCCAUUUAACUUUACUUUCUUUAGGUUAUGCUUGAUUCCUUAAAAGUACUAAGGAAAACAAAAAAUAAAAAAAAAUAAAAAAUGCAGAGGGUUAGGACAUGUGUUAUCUAAUUGUCCUAUCCAAAGAUAUUAAGAAAGUCAUGUAGGAAAGUAAUUGAAAACUAGGUCAAGAAAGGAGCAAAAGGGAAUUGUUUUGGUAUUUUCUUUUUUAUUCUUGAAGGUGGCAGAGCUAAAAUUUGAGAAAUCAAGCAAAACAUACUGAAAUUACAUUGAAAGAAAGAAAAUGGUAGUUAAUGUCUUGCAGUACAUGAUAAGGACUUCAUGCAUGUAGUGUGACGACCCAUGUCUUGGACUGAUGCCACACUCACGGUUACACUUAUACCCUUGGUUCUCUCUUUACUACCUUGGCUAACCUAGAUCAGGCUAUGAGAUAGGCUCCUCACCACACCAUCACUUGCCCAGUAAUUAGUGACAUUUUCAAGCAAUGAGGUAACAUGGUGACACCAAGAGGGUUUAUCCCUCGCCCCAACAAGUCUAGACUCGGUCUCAAAAAAAUGGAGAAAAAUGAGGUGUCGUUAUGCAGAAAUACAACAACCAUGCCUUCCUUAUUACUUAGAUUCAGAAUGUGAAGGUGAAAUUGAGAAACAGAAACUCUUGAAACCAGAAUGAAAAUUGAUACUUUUACGAAGAAUUACAACAUUAGAGGAAGACUACAUUCUUCCUCUAUAUUCCUACGUUUCUACACUACUUCUACUCCACUCCAUAUUUCUACAUACAUCUUUAAUCAGUUUUCCCUCCUUUAUAUAGAGCCAUCUUCACACAAAUUCCGCAAGGUAGAAAAGAGGAAUGAAACUUGGAGCAAGGUUCGACUACUGGUUGUCGCUUGUCAAGGCUGGAAUUGAACUUUUUUUCUUGGCUUUUCUGGGCAUAGGUAGUAACUUGUGGUUCCUUUUUGGAAUGAAAAUGGUACAGCUAGAACAUGUGGCACUCUCUUGUUGGAUUAUGUGUCAAACAUGUGGCAGCCAUCUAGUGGAGAUUAUUUCAAUUUUGGGAUGGAGAGUUGGCAUCCAAUUGCAAAGAAAUAUGACAUCUACCAACAUGCAAUGUAAACCUAUAUAGAUCAUAUGGAGAUAGAGAGGAAACAUAUAGAAAUGGAUAUAUACCUAGAACUAGCUUUUUAUUAAAUGAGACGGAGAGCCAACAAUGAAGGAAAAUCAAAAUUUUUGGCUCAUAUCAAAGAAUUCACAUUGUGUUACCCUAGGUUUUCUUAAAGCUUGCACAAAGCCAAAAAGCACACAAAAAAUUAUAUUUUCUAGCUCUCUACCUUGGAUGGUCUCUUGAUCCUACUUGGAGAUGUGCAUAAAUAAAAGGAUUUGAAAAUGACAAUUGACUAAGUAUGUAGUCAAUCAAUUACUCAUUAAUUGACUAGUUGAUCAAUUAACUUUGCAACAUCAUAUGCAAUCCUAAUAGCUAGUCAUCUAAUCAACUAGGUAGUAAAUCAAUAGGCCAAAAAUAUGUUUAUAAUGACUAUUUUGUACAAAAACCACCUAUAUGGUUAAAUAUAAUGCAUUUCAUUUAUAAAUCUUCUAAUUCUUGAAUAACGAUCCUAUCAUCCUUUGAAAGUUUUUAUUACACCUUUUAUACUUUUGUUCUAAAACUUACACAUGUACAUCACCCUUAAUUGUACCAUGAGAACCUAGCUUUUUUUUUUUUUUUUUUUGUAAUUCAUCAAAGUUAGCUUUUGUAUUCAUUACUGUACUAUUUUUAUUGUAACUUAGAAAGCGAGUGUUUUCAAGUGAGUGAAAUUGACUUAUAAAUAUUGUAAAGAUUCAUUGAUGUGUAUCUUAAACUAAGUGUACAAGUUGAAACAUUUGCUAGUAGAUUUUCUCAAGAUUUAGAAUAGAGCUUGAGGCUAUUGAAAUAGGUGGGGUUGCACCAAACCACAUCACAUUGUUGUUUGCACCUUUUUUUCACUCUCUUUUACUUAGUUGCUCUAUAUUUGUUGUCUAGUAAUAUCCUAUAGGCUUGAUGGGUUAGGGAGCAUCCCUUUGUGAAAAAUUUUCAUUCAAUCCUUAGUUGUAUCACGCAUAUAUAAAAUGCCUCAUUGUUUUAAUGGUAUUCAGUCGUGGCAUCACAGAUAUGGGCAUCUAAAUUUUAAAAGUUUGAAACUUUUAUCUAAAGAAAAUAUGGUGCUUUGCCUUUUUGUAAAGCAUGUUGAUGAAAUCCAUGAGAAUUGUGUACUUGGGAAGCAACAUCGAGAUGACUUUUUUUUUUUUCAUUUUUUAUAAUGCGACACCUAAGUCCGGUUUCUAAAUGCUGAAGUGAAAGGGUAGGUAUGGACCAUUGAAAUCUGAUCACAACUUUUGGCCUUUUCCUUUCUCUGCAGCCAUGUUGUCUCUUUUUUCUUUUGCAUGAUUUUCUUACCUAAACAGAAUCAUAGACUUGUUUAAUCUCUAAAUGGUAUUUCAUCCAGCUUUAAGCUACUGUAUUAUAUCUUGGUGGAGGACUUUUAAGAGUGAAACCGACAUAGAGCACAUGCAAGUGGGUAUAUGGGACAUGAAAUUUCUUCUUAUAAAGACUGCAUGGUUUUUAUAUUAGAGUUGUUGAGGCGCAAUGUAUUUAGCUUGUUUUGCAGUUAAAUUAAUUGGAUAAGUAGACAUUGUCGUUUCUAAAUUUCCCACCUAAGAUAGUGACCUUAUCCUUGACUGCUUGAUGAGAUACACAAACAAUUAUACCUUCAAAAUCUACUGUGAAGUGCUUCAUGUAUGUGUGAAGUAUUAGAAAUUUCUUUCUUGGCAACUUGUUUUUUCUUUGCCCUCUACUGAUAGGUUUGACUCAAAUUAAAUUCCCUGUCAUGCUAAUUAAUUUUCACGUGCAUGCUCAAAAGGAUCACGUCAACUCUGGUUUCUACUAUUCAGGUCCAUUCCCAGAUAAACUGGUUCAAAUUUGAGAAAAUGGCAACAGCCCUUUAGUGAUGUUGGUUUGGAGCCAGUAGCCAAACCCGCCCUGAGCUUUACCACUAAUGUCAAGGGACAAAGCCAUUUGAACAAAAACAAUAGCUUCAAGAGACUGAAUCGUGGAUGAAAUCUGAUCCACAUUUCUUCUCAUUUUGGGAACAAAUGAGAACUUAACUACAAAGAUUCUACUGCCUCAUAGUGCUUUUCCUGAUCUAAGGUUGGUUCGUUUCCCAAAUUGUGAGGUACGUGCCAUUCUCACGCUCAGGAGUGUAUCCACGUGGUGGACAUAAGAUGGUGGCUUAAUAUCUGGUGUCGGUGGCUUUACUUUACUAGGAGAGUAGUGUGUCUUCAUCUCAUUCACUGCCGGAGGGUGGCGUAAGCAGUGACGCUAAGGUGGGGCACAGUCAAUAUCAUUUGCAUUUGACCAUUAUAGUUUUCUCCCGGCUUGAAAGUAACCUUAUCGUGAUAAAGGAUUACUAGCACUAGUUCAGAUGACAGUCAUGUUAAAUUCGGACCAUGUUUGUGUCACAUUAUCAGCAACCAUGUGUUUAUGGUUCAUGCUAUCUGCAACUAAACUUGAUAUAUAACCACGUGAACUUCAAUCUAAAUUCUGGAAGUACUCUUGUGAUAGAUGGUGCCUGUCUGCAGAGUCCAUCAAUUGAAAAAUGGAGUGAGUGUAUCUAUAAGAGGGAAGGCUUGGCAAAUGUUCAGUUUUCUGGGAACUCAACAAGGAUCUAAAAUAGAUUGUUUUCUUUGCUGAUUUCAAUGGUUGAAAUUUGAGAAGAUUGUGUCCACAUAACACAACUAUUACUGGUCCUUCUGUUGCAAUUUAUCCUCUAAGGCUCUAACAUGUCUUCCAAUUCCCACUUCCCUGUUACUCCAGGAAAGCUAUUUCUGUCAUUGUGAAGAAGAAAAGAGAAUGUACAUAUCGAUGGUUUUAAGUGACUGGGGCAUUCAUAUCAGGUGGUCUGCAGCCAUAUAUGCCACUUUGUGAAGGUUGGAACAGUCAAUCACCAGGCUAUAUUAGUGUGGCCCAGCCACUUCAAUCAAGGACAAGUCUUCAUACUUAAAGUCAAAUUCUGCCUUUAGUCUCAUUAUAAAUUGCUGUUUAAAUAUUAAGCAAACAUUUGUUUAAUGCGAUUAAGACAGUACUAACUCAAUACUUGUUCUAUUUUUGGAUGCAAAUGCUUGAUGGUUUCAUCAUUGGAUGGGAUAAAGGUGCAUUCAUGAUUAUGAAUACUUGUAGUUAUAUUUUCAUUCUCUUUUUUCUCAAUGAGACUUGUUGGCACAAUUUUGCUGUUCAGAAACCUACCUCUCCAUCGAAAAUCAGUUGUGAUUGAUAGUACUGGAUAUAUUCAAGAAAGCUAAAUAUAGAUAGCACCAAAUAUUAUCGAUAUAAAUAGCAUUAACAGCGUACGUAUGUCUCAAUGCUCAUCAGCUAUAAGCAACGGGCAAACACUUACUAUGAGCAACUUGCGUCAAAAUUCCAGAAUAGGACAUAGAAGUGACAGAUCUAUAUAUAUAUAGAACACUGCAUAUGAGUCACAAGAAAGGAAAUUACGGGUGCAUAGCAGCUCUUAUUUUACAUCCUACUCAUACUGAUCAAAGUCACUCAGUUGGGAUGGGUGGGAGUAGGAGGUUUGUGGGGUGGCUUGUGCGGAGGAGUUGGCAGCUUCUUUCCAGGACCUGGUUGCUUCUCUGCUGGAGUUGAAGGAGGCUUAAUCUUCCGAGGUGGCUUGUAUGAGUCUUCAGCAUUCUCAGCAGGAGGGUGACCAGGGUUGUGACCAUAAUGUGGUGGCUUCUCUCCCUUAGGUGGUUUGCCAACUGGGGUUGGUGGCUUGUAUGAGUCUUCAGCAUUCUCAGCAGGAGGGUGACCAGGGUUGCGACCAUAAUGUGGUGGCUUCUCUCCCUUAGGUGGUUUGCCAACUGGGGUUGGUGGCUUGUGUUCUGGGAGUGGCUUCUCCCCCUUGGGAGGUUUUUCCAAUGGGGUUGGUUUGUGUUCAGGAGGUGGCUUCUCCACUGGAGGCUUGUGUUCAGGAGGUGGCUUCUCCACCGGAGGCUUGUGUUCAGGAGGUGGCUUCUCCACCGGAGGCUUGUGUUCAGGAGGUGGCUUCUCGAAUGGGGGAUGCUCAGGGUAAUCAGCAAGUGAGGGGUUGGUGAGAACCACCAUGCCAAGCAACAGGACUAGCAAGUAUGUAGGAGACAUCUUUGGGUUUGGACUUAAGACAGUGGAAAACUGCGAGAAUUCUCUAGCCUUUUAUAGCGGGUCGACCCAGUACUCACAUGACACGUGUCAUUAUGACACAUGUGCCAUGGGGUCGAUUUGGGUCCUACAGUGUUGAAAAGUUGGGCAUUUGAGGUGUGAGCACAACUUUUGGCCUUUGCUUUCUCUACAGCCGCCAUGCUUUUCCCUUUUUUCCUUUUCCUUUUGUUUUCCUCCUGCCUCGUGUUCUCAACUAAACACAAUUAGGUUGUUUAAUUGUUAAAUGAGAUUUUUGUCUGUCAAUCAUAUUAUAUCCUAUCAAGAGAGAACAGAGUGUAAUGUAGUACACAUAACACGAGGCAGUAGUAAUUUUAUCAUUUAUUUUUAUAGCUUGGACCACCGCAUUUUUUCUUCUAAAAUAUUCUGUCUUGUUAAGAGACGCAAUAAUACACAAUUUUAUCUGCCAUUCAACAUUUACUGUAAAGUUCUUUUAUCUCUUUGUAGUUCUAGAAAAGUACAAAAUGGAACAUCAUGUAUAUGGUGCCUUCUGUCCUAAAAAAGAAACUGGACAAAUUAUGAACUGCAUGCUAAAAAGAGGCAAAGGAGCUUAAUUCGCAGCAUAAUUAUUUUGGUUUCUAGAGAGCCCGGGGCCUUUUGGUUGGUUUGGGGUCAGAAAAUGAACAUCAUAGGGAUUGUGCCCUUAACUGGCCUUGUUACUACAAAGAAAUUGCCAUAGAAAUUUAUUCCAGGCUGAGUAUCUCCGGAUAGACCCCAGAAAAGAAGAGUCAUAAUGAGAAUCAACCUUUGUUGAGUUUGAUUCCAUGCCUCCAUUGUGUUCAUUUCAUGAAUCUGAUUUGCAUUUAACAUUACAGUUUUGUUCUGGAAACAAUCAAAGGAGCAUCGUUUGCUUCUUGGGUGACCCAUAGUGGUGGGUGGGUCGAUUUGCUUAGUUGAAAAUUGGACAAUUGGCUCCAUCGCCUACCUCUUGGAUUCCAUGCUCGGAUAAAACGACAACAAAUAAAUAUUUAUAACUUACAACUGGGGAAAGGAAAAAAUAGUACUAAAUUCAUGGUACAUGAUAGUGAGAGAAGGGGGUGUUACACUCAGCUAAAGUUCUUUUCUAAAUAUUGCAUGGUGUUUAAUUUUAUGUGUCGGCGCGCGUGUGAAUGGAACCUGCAAAAGUCCAAAUUGGCGUUUCUCCAUUUUCCACAUAGGAUGGUGACGUUAAUAGACAAAGAUACAAUAUCUGUAGACAUUGCUUAAAAAUCGAUGUGAAGUAUUAGAAAUUACAGGCCACUGUACUGGGGGAGCGGCUGCCCCGCCAAAGGAAGAAUGUAGCAAUUUCUUCUGUUAGCCAGGCCUUAGGAUUUAUGCAUGGGAUGCCUAAUAACAAACAGAGAAAAUAUGCUUUUGGGGAAGGUAUCCAACAACAGACACCAUCAUUCAGAUGGUGGGAAGGUAUCCAACAGAUGCCAUCAUUCAGAUGGUAACAUAUAUAUACAUUUAUUAGUGAGUUUUUUUAAUACCUAUAAAAAAAAUAUACACUUUGAUAUUGUGGCUGAAUCCAUUACAUACUCAACUAACCUUGCUCAUUAGGGAUUUGACGUAACAAGGGCAACGUUGCAGUAAAAGCUCGAAACUUUAUGCAGGUGACAUUACAUUUGGUAAAGAAGAGGAAAAUAAGGAAAGCCAUCCAUAAAAGCAAAAUUCCUCAUGGGAUGAAAUUCACAAACUUCAUUUACGUUAGAGUCGCAUCCAGGCAAUUAAUUCCACAUUAGACCGCCUUUUGACAUGUGUACGGAUCUUUUUUCAAAAAUUAUUUAUAAAUAAUUGAUACUUACAAAAAUAAUUUAAGAUUUAUAAAGGAUAAAAAAAUAUUUUCAAAUCUAUGACAAUUUAUAAAAUAUUAAUAAAAAAUUAUCUCUUAAACUUAGUAUAGUUUUAUCGUAUUAAACUUUUAUUUUGAACAAAUAAUUUUAAUCUAAGUUUUAAAUUCUAAAAUUAUUUCCUUAAAAUAAAAUUUUAAAAUUCAACACUUCAAUUGAAAUUGUCUUUUAAAAAAAAUAUCUUCUUAUUUUAAUCCUUAUAAACUAUAGUUGAUUGAAAAUACUAUUGAAGUUCUCUCUUCAAAAAAAGUCUUAUUUUAAUCUUCAUAAAUUGCCCUUGAUUUGAAAAUAAACUUUGGGUUAUCAUAUUUUAAAUAAUAUAUAUAUAUAUAUAUAUAUAUAUAUAUAUAUAUAACAAAUACUCUAUUUUUUUUUUAAAUGAACUAAUUUUAAUUAUAUUUUAUUUUAUUUUUUUAUAUAUUUUUAAUGAUAAACCAAACAUAGAAAAUCAUUUUUCUAAAUAUUUUAAAAUUUCUAAGCAACCAAACAUAAUCUUCAAAAUAAAAGGAGAAUAAGGAGGGACAAGUGAGAAAUGGCGAUUAAAAAAAAGUGUACAAAAGCUCAAUUAAUUUUCUUCUAGUCUUUUAUAUAAAAAAGUAUUGGUAUGUAAAUUAAUAUUUGGAUUUUAAUAGUAUUUUAUUUGUCUUUCUCUAUCUCAUGUAAAAGAGAAUUUAAGAUAUUUCCUAAAGCAAAGCAUUAGUUAUCUGCAAUCAGUGGUGAUCAUGGUCCAUGUCAAUUUCGGACCCAUAUCUUAAAACCGUAUAAUUUGCGUUUCAACAUUACUGAUUUCUCAGAUGUUUCAUACUCCACAGAAGAGUAUUGUUAGUGAAAGCAUUUUGUAACUGUUACUCAUAGUGUUUUGACUCUGGCUCAACAACAUCAGCCAUUGACGGAUUUUCAUACAUGCAAAUCAAAUAGUCUUCUUCCUCCCUUAGGAAUUUCGGUUUAAAUGUUAUUAAGCAUACAUUUGGCUGACAAUUAUUAACCACUUCAUGAUAUGGUUUCUUACCCUUAAUCAAUGGUUUCUAAGUGAAUAUAUGCAGAAGGAAAUCUGAACUGUAGACAGCAGUAUUGAUAACUCUCAAUAUUCUUUAUAUAAGAGAAUAAACAACGUCAUAGUGAUCGUCGCCUACAAGAAAGGUACAUUUCCCAACAAGAUGUAGUGGUGACUGCUACAUGGACGCAAUUAACUCGUAGAAAAGGAUAAGACCAGUGCACGGCAGCUCUUAUUUUACAUGCUAAUUAUGCUAACCAAAGUCACUCAGUUGGGAUGGGAGGGAGAUGGAGGUUUGUGCGGUGGCUUGUGGGGCGGAGUUGGUGGCUUCUUUUCAGGAGCUUGUGGCUUUUUCGGAGCUGAAGGAGGCUCAAUCUUAUGAGGCGGCUUGUACGAGUCUUCUUUACUCUCGACAGGAGGGUGACCAGGGUUGUGACCAUAAUGUGGUGGCUUCUCUCCCUUAGGUGGCUUGCCAACUGGGGUUGGUGGCUUGUGUUCAGGAAGUUGUUUCUCUCCCUUGGGAGGUUUACCAAUUGGGGUUGGUGGCUUGUGUUCUAGGAGUGGUUUCUCUCCCUUGGGAGGUUUAGUGGGUGACUUGUGUUCUGGAGGUGGCUUCUCCACCGGAGACUUGUGUUCUGGAAUUGAUUAAAAAAAUUCUACCACUCUUUUAAGUAAUGGAAGAUUAUUAUCUCUGAUUGGCACCACAACAGCACAUGCUGCUAGAUCUUUCUAGACACUCCAUGCAAUGAAAGCACAAUGGAUCUUGUAACGAUAGAAACUAAGCCAUGCUACAGUACUAGAUGACGAGGUAAAACUAGUAGACAUGGGUGGUAGUUGAUUACUACUCAAAAAGUACUCUUUUAUAGUUUGAAACUAACUGUUUUAAACACUUUUGAGUAGUAGUUAAUAAAUUUUAACUCAAUUGGCACAUUAAGGAACCUAGCAAGGGUUACUAAUAAACUUUUGGCAAGUUUUGGUGUUUUUGGUAGUUAUUCGAUCAUUGAAACAAGCCAAGAAUGAGGGAGAAUUUUGUGAAGUCCAUGGCAAUGCAAGUUAAAGCUCAAAUACACGAAGAAUCCAAGCUUUGGAGCACUACAUAGCCCUUUGCCAAGCCAAUUAGAGAUGCAAGGAACAAAACCAAAGGAAGAAAUCCAACAACCAACAUUUUCGCAUGGUUGUGUGAAAUUUCGCACACCAUGCGAAACCACAAGAGGUAGCCAAAGAAUUUCACAUGGUAUGCGAAAUCUUCUCAUGCACCGACUCCGUUAGAUUUUUAUCUUCAGAUAUUUUGUGUAAUUUCCUAGUUUCUCCUUGUAACCAACCUAGAUAUUUUCUUUUAUAUCUUUUUUUAUAUUUUUUAGGUAACAUCAUAUAUAAGGGGAGAGACAUAAGGAGGAUAUGGAUGUUUUUCAUAGAACACUUGUAAAUUUUCAGUAGUAAGAAAUAUACAAAGCUUUUUGCUAUGCCUUACCUUCUCAUUUUGUUUUCACCUGUCUUUCUAGCCAAACAACCUCUAAGGAUGAUUUCUCAGGGGAUGAGUGGCUAGGUUUUACGUUUCUUGGAGUGAGGGAAGCUAGGUGAAGGACCUGAAUGCAAAGAUGAGAGUUUUCCUUGCUUUAAAUGAAAGUAGUUGUUAAACAUUAAUGGUUUUUAUUUUAAGGUUUAGCUUUAAAUCCCUUAAAAACACCUUGAAUGACCAAUACUUGGUAAGCUUUUCGGAUUCUAUGGAUGCUUAUUGCUAGAUCCAUGGAUGUCUAUUAGUUAUCAUUUACGAGCCUUUGGAAGGUGAUUCAAGGUGAGGGUCUUUAGUGUUUGAAGCCAUUAAUGGGAAGCAAUUACCAUUUUUUCAUGAAUCCUUUGGAUCAAAUCUUAAUUGCUAAAUAUAAAACCGAUUUGGGAAAUAACCAUCCUUUAUGUUAUUAUCCCCAACGCAAGGAGAAGAUCCGGAAUCUUCCCUUUUGUCUAAGGAACCCGAUCCUAGUGACCUAAAGCUCCAAGAGACCUUUUCUUUGUAGUUAACUUCAUUUAUUGUUUUUGCUUAACUUAAAAUCAAUCUUUGCAACCACAAUUCCAUUUUCUUUAAAAGCUAAUUUUUAUAAGGAAAAACACCAUUUUAUUUCCUUCACUAAGUCAACUGUACGAUGAAAACCCAUCCCUGUGGACGAUCCUAGAGCCAUUAUACUAUGUUAGCUAUGCUACCCUAGUGUGAGGUGAUUUAGGUUUUAUAAAUUUUGUUGAUAACACCCAUCUGAGCCAGAAUCAAAUGGCACAACUGAACCAGGGACGAAUCAAAUGGCGCCGCUAUCGAGGAUGGUGCCAAAGUACAUUGACAUGACUUUUGGUGAACACUUGUGAUCUUCAUCACAAGUUUGGUGAUUUUUCUAUUACUAAUUUUUUUCUUUGUUUUUAUUUUAGCUUAUCUUUUAUUUAGUUUUUAGCUAACCUUAACUUUUUCUUAGAAUUGUAUUUCUUCUAUUUUCUUUGUUUUUGUUUCAGUGAUCUUUAGUUGUGCAUGCCCUAUUGGAUAAGAAAUAUUGAGGGAAUACUUGUGAAGAUUGAAAAUCCUCGAGAAACUGAGUUGGAAGUGUGAUUGAACAUCAUGGAUGUUCCACCUGAAGACCAGAAUAGCCAACAUGGUUAAGAGGAUAAUUUCAAAGCAUACCGAUCCAUGAGGGACUGCAUGCAUCCACCUCGUAUGAGUGCACCGUCAUGCAUAGUGCCUCCCACUGAGCAACUAGUAAUCUGACCUCACAUUGUGCCACUCCUACCUACUUUCCAUGGGAUGGAGAGUGAGAAUCUCUACUCGCAUAUUAAGAAAUUCGAGGAGGUUUGUAAUACAUUCCAAGAAGGAGGAGCUUCAAUUGACUUGAUGAGGCUCAAGCUAUUUCCUUUCACUUUGAAGGAUAAGGCUAAGAUUUGGCUUAAUUCUUUAAGGCCAAGGAGUAUCCGAACUUGGACUAAUUUGCAAGCCGAUUUUCUUAAGAAGUUCUUCCUUACCCAUAGGACCAAUGGUUUGAAAAGGCAAAUUUCGAACUUCUCAGCUAAAGAGAAUGAGAAAUUCUAUGAGUGAUGGGAGAGGUACAUGGAAGCUAUUAAUGCUUGUCCUCACCAUGGCUUUGACACAUGGCUCUUAGUGAGUUAUUUUUACGAUGGUAUGUCUUCUUCAAUGAAGCAACUCCUAGAAACUAUGUGUGGAGGAUACUUCAUGAGUAAGAAUCCGAAGGAAGCCAUGGACUUUUUGAGUUAUGUGGCUGAAGUUUUAAGAGGAUGGGAUGAACCAAAUGCUAGAGAGGUGGAAAGAAUGAAGUCUCAACCUAAUGCUAAGGGUGGGAUGUAUGUUUUGAAUGAAGACAUUGACAUGAAAGCAAAGGUUGUAGCUAUGGCAAGGAGAUUGGAAGAGCUAGAAAUGAAGAAGGCACAAAAAGUGGAAGCCAUUUCUGAGACAUCAGUGCAAGCUAUGCCUUGUUCCAUUUGUCAACCUAAUGCUAAGGGUGGGAUGUAUGUUUUGAAUGAAGACAUUGACAUGAAAGCAAAGGUUGUAGCUAUGGCAAGGAGAUUGGAAGAGCUAGAAAUGAAGAAGGCACAAAAAGUGGAAGCCAUUUCUGAGACAUCAGUGCAAGCUAUGCCUUGUUCCAUUUGUCAAUCUUAUGAGUACCUAGUGGAGGAGUGUCCUACAAUUCCAGUAGUGAGAGAGAUGUCUGGUGAUCAAGCAAAUGUUAUUGAUCAAUUCAAGCCUAAUAAAAAUGCUUCAUAUGGCAACACCUACAAUUCAAAUUGGAUGAACCAUCCAAAUUUCUCUUGGAAACCAAAGCUACCUCAAUACACACAACCUGCUCAAGCACCUUAGCAAUCCUCGAAUCUUGAACAAGCUAUUGUGAACCUUAGUAAGGUUGUGGGAGAUUAAAAGUCCAUCAAUGCUCAACUGAAUCAGAGAAUUGACAGUGUAGAGAGUACAUUGAACAAAAGGAUGGAUGAGAUGCAAAAUGAUCUGUCUCAAAAGAUAGACAAUGUCCAAUAUGCAAUCUCAAGGCUUACCAACCUCAACACAGUGCAAGAGAAAGGAAAGUUUAUUUCUCAACCUCAUCAAAAUCCCAAGGGUAUCCAUGAAGUGGAGGCUCAAGAGAGAGAAUCUUCAAAGGUGAGGGAAGUCAAAGCAGUUAUCACCUUGAGGAGUGGUAAAGAGGUUGAUCAACCCACAUCCAAGCCAAAGCAUAAUGAAGAGAGUUUUGUAGAAAAAGAAAAGAGAGGAAAAUAAAGGAAAGAGAAUAGAGAAAAGUACAAAGAAAGAUGACCAUGAGUCUAGUGUGGAUGAAGAGCCCAAGAGGAUAGUGAUCAAGGAAAAUAUGAUGAAGAAACACAUGCCUCCACCUUUCCCCUAAGCUUUGCAUGACAAAAAAGGAACCAAUAAUACAUCGGAAAUUUUUGAAGUAUUGAGGCAAGUGAAGGUCAAUAUCCCUUUGCUAGAGAUGAUCAAACAAGUGCCGACAUAUGCAAAAUUCUUGAAGGACUUGUGCACUGUAAAGAGAGGGUUGAAUGUGAACAAGAAAGCUUUCUUGACCGAGCAAGUGAGUUCCAUCAUACAGUGCAAGUCUCCAGUGAAGUACAAAUAUCCGGGCUACCCUACCAUCUCAGUGAGUAUUGGAGGUACUUGUGUGGAAAAAGCUUUGUUGGACUUGGGAGCAAGUGUGAAUUUGCUACCCUACUCUGUCUAUAAGUAGUUGGGACUUGGAGAGUUGAAGUCAACAUCCAUCACCCUAUCUCUGGCAGAUAGAUCAGUGAAGAUUCCAAGAGAGAUGAUAGAAGAUGUCUUGGUUCAAGUUGACAAAUUCUACUAUCCAGUGGAUUUUGUUGUUCUUGAUACGGAUCCGAUUGUCAAAGGAACUAAUUAUGUUCCUAUCAUACGAAGACCCUUCCUAGCUACAUCAAAUGCAAUCAUCAAUUGUAGGAAUGGAGUCAUGAAACUCACGUUUGUCAACAUGACAUUAGAGCUCAACAUCUUCCAUUUGUACAAGAAGCAUAUCCAUUCAGAAGAAAAAGAAGGUCUAGAGGAAGUGUGCAUGAUUGACACUUUAGUGGAGGAGCAUUGUGAUCGACAAUGCAAGAAGAUUUAGUUGAGAGUUUUGGGGAUCUUGAUGAAGGGUUACUUGAACCCUCAGAUUUGCUUGCUACCCUACUCCAUUGGAGGAAGAGAGAAGAAAUUCUACCCUUAUUCAAUGAGGAGGAGACACAAAGAGCUGCUAAAGAUAAGCCCCCAAAGCUUAUUCUUAAGCCACUACCCACAGAGUUGAAGUAUGCAUACUUGGAAGAAGACAAGAAGUGCACUGUUGUUAUAUCUUUAGCUCUUACCAUUCAUCAGGAGGAUUGUCUACUUGAAGUCCUUAGAAGAAGUAAGAAGGUAAUAGGGUGGCAAAUUUCUGAUUUGAAAGGGAUCAGCCCUUUUGUCUGCACCCAUCAUAUUUACAUGGAGGAUGAAGCUAAGCCAAUUCAUCAACCUCAGAGAAGGUUGAACCCUCACAUGCAAGAAGUGGUGAGAGUUGAAGUUCUUAAGCUACUUUAGGCUGGUAUUAUUUACCCCAUAUCAGAUAGCCCAUGGGUGAGUCCUACUCAAGUUGUGCCAAAGAAGUCGGGGAUCACGGUGGUGCAAAAUGAUAAGGGAAAAGAUGUCUCUACAUGUCUCACUAUAGGUUGGAGGGUGCGUAUCAAUUACAGGAGGUUGAAUGUAGUGACAAGGAAUGACCAUUUCUCGUUGCCCUUUAUUGAUCAAGUGCUUGAGAGGGUCUCUGGGCAUCCUUUUUAUUGUUUCUUGGAUGGCUACUCGAGGUAAUUUAAGAUAGAAAUUGAUGUUGAAGACCAGGAGAAGACCAUUUUCACAUGCCCAUUUAGAACCUAUGCAUAUAGGAGAAUGUCUUUCGGCUUAUGCAAUGCACCCACAACUUUCCAAAGAUGCAUGUUAAGCAUUUUCAAUGAUAUGGUGGAGCAUAUUAUGGAAGUCUUUAUGGAUGAUAUCACCAUAUAUGGAAGUGCAUUUGAUGAAUGCUUGGUCAACUUAGAAGUUGUUCUGAACCGAUGCAUUGAGAAAGACUUAGUGCUUAAUUGGGAGAAGUGCCAUUUCAUGGUACACCAAGGGAUUGUCCUUGGGCACAUCAUCUCCAAGCAAAGCAUUGAAGUUGACAAAGCAAAGGUUGAACUCAUUGUUAAGUUGCCAUUCCCAACAAAUGUCAAAGGAGUAAGGCAAUUCCUUGGCCAUGCCGGGUUCUAUAGGAGGUUUAUCAAGGAUUUCUCUAAGCUUGCAAGGCCUCUUUGUGAAAUAUUGGUGAAGGAUGUUAAAUUCAUAUGGGAUGAUAGAUGCCAAAGGAGUUUUGAAGAAUUGAAGCUAUUUUUGACAACCUCACCAAUAGUGAGGGCUCCCAACUAGCAACUGCCCUUUGAGGUAAAGUGUGAUGUCAAUGACUUUGCUAUAGGAGCUGUUCUUGGGCAAAGAGAAGAUGGAAAACCUUAUGUGAUCUACUAUGCGAGCAAGACAUUGAAUGAGGUGCAAAGAAACUACAUAACCACCGAGAAAGAAUUGUUAGCUGUAGUUUUUGCCUUGGAUAAGUUUCGUGCUUACUUGGUGGGAUCCUUCAUCGUGGUUUUUAUUGAUCACUUUGCUUUGAAGUAUCUAUUGACUAAGCAAGAUGCUAAAGCAAAACUGAUUAGAUGGAUUUUCUUGCUUCAAGAGUUCAAUCUCCAGAUCAAAGACAAGAAAAAAAUGGAGAAUGUGGUAGUAGACCACAUUUCAAGGCUAGCUAUCGCACAUAAUUCCCAUGCUUUGCCCAUUAAUGACGAUUUUCUAGAGGGGUCUCUCAUGUUGGUGGAAGUUGUCCCUUGGUACGCUCACAUUGCUAACUACCUGGUCACAAGAGAAGUUCCAAGUGAGUGGAAAGCACAAGAUAAGAAGCACUUCUUUGCAAAAAUUCAUGCCUACUAUUGGGAAAAGCCAUUUCUAUUCAAGUAUUGUGCGGAUCAGAUAAUAAGGAAGUGAGUUCCUGAAGAAGAGCAACAGGGGAUCCUCAGUCAUUGCCAUAAAAAUGCAUGUGGAUGCCACUUUGCUUAUCAGAAGACAACCAUGAGGGUGCUGCAAUCGGGUUUCUGUUGGCCAUCACUUUUCAAAGAUGCCCACACCAUGUGCAAGAGUUGUGAUCGAUGCCAGAGGCUUGGGAAGUUAUCAUGUAGGAACAUGAUGCCUUUGAACCCCAUUUUAAUAGUUGAUCUUUUUUAUGUUUGGGGCAUUGACUUCAUGGGACUUUUCCCUAUAUCUUUUGGCUACUCUUACAUCUUGGUGGGAAUAGAUUAUGUUUCUAAGUGGGUUGAGGCAGUCCCAUGCAAACACAAUGACCAUAGAGUGGUUCUCAAGUUUCUUAAGGAGAACAUCUUCUCAAGAUUUGGGGUGCCCAAAGCCAUAAUUAGUGAUGGGGGUACUCAUUUUUGCAACAAGCCUUUUGAAACUCUCCUAGCCAAGUAUGGGGUGAAGCAUAAGGUAGCUACACCUUACCACCCUCAAACUAAUGGGCAAGUUGAGUUAGCAAACAAGGAGAUUAAAAACAUAUUGAUGAAGGUGGUGAACACAAACAGAAAAGAUUGGUCAGUCAAGCUCUUCGAUUCACUAUGGUCAUGUAGAACAGCUUACAAGACCAUUAUCGGGAUGUCUCUUUAUCACCUAGUCUAUGGAAAAAAUGCCAUCUCCUUGUGAAAUUGGAAUACAAAGCUUGGUGGUCAAUCAAGAAGCUCAACAUGGAUUUGAGCAGAGCUGGGUUGAAGAGGUUCUUAGACCACAAUGAGAUGGAGGAAUUGAGAAAUGAUGCCUACAUCAAUUCAAAAAUUGUAAAAGAAAAAUUGAAGAGGUGGCAUGAUCAGUUGAUUUCCCGCAAGAAUUUUCAAAAUGGAUAAAGAGUCUUGCUCUAUGACUCUAAACUCCACAUCUUUCCGAGCAAGCUGAAAUCAAGGUGGAUAGGUCCUUUUACCAUUCACCAAGUGCAUUCAAAUAGAGUAGUGGAACUACUCAACUCCAACAACAUCGGGAGCUUCAAAGUGAAUGACCAUUGUCUCAAGCCCUUUGUAGAGUCUUUUUUCUCGCGACAAGGAGGAAUUCAUCCUCCUUGAUCCACAUCAAGCUUGACAAGACCAGUUUUUUUUUAUGGACUUAGUCUUUCUAAAGACUAUCGAGUCCAUAACUUUUUAUUUUAUUUUUUAUUUGAGAGUUUUUCGGUAUUAUUACUUGUUUUGUUUUUUAUUUUUCGUUUUACUUUUAUUUGGUUUGAUUUAACUUAGAUUUUUUAUGAUCAAUUGCAGGGGGGAUUUCAAAUAGAGGAAAAACCAAGAUAAUUCGCACACCCUGCGAAAAUUUCGCAAGGCAUGCGAAAUUUAUGGCUCAUUUCGCAUGGGAUGCGAAAUUUCGCACACCCUACGAACCAAUUUCGCACACUUUGUGAAAAUAAACCAACCCUACGAAAUCAUUUCAAAUACUCUACGAAAUUUUCGCAGAGCAUGUAAAAAAUUUCGCAGACCAAACACCAUUUCGCAUACUAUGCGAAAAUGUAAGGGGUCUACAAAACCAUUUCGCACCUCCAAAGCCAUUUCGCACAUUGUGCAAAAAUGAAAAGUCGCCCUAUCAUCCAUUUUUAAACCCCUUGAGCCCUGAAAUCCCCAUUUCGCAAGCACCCCUGUCCUUGCGAAUCCCUCAUUUUCCUCUGCCACCUUGCGACCUUGUCCCUCUCCAUUUGAUAUCGUGCCCUGCGCACAUCUCAUUUCAAAGACUCGCACUCUGCGCCCUCUCAAAGCACGAACCCAAGGCUCACAUUCCAUUUCCGACAUGGCACAGACCCGAGGAGCCCUUCCCGCCCCUUCAUCGAGACGCACACCAAGGUAGAGAGCCUCUUUUGCUCAGAUGCCAAGUGAUUCUCCAUUUCAGGCCACGGAGGCCCUGCGGAUUCCACAUUCCAAGGGUAGAACAGCCACUGGUCCUUCCUCUUCUAUUCCUCAGCGUAGAUAUGAGACGAGGAGACCACCUACUACACAAAGGGCGACUACUUCGCGCCAUGAGAAUUCGGUACGACACCCUCCUGCCAAGAGGGCCAGGACUUCAGGCCCAGGCGAGUCAUCCAAAGCUUCACAGCCUGAGCCUCCUGCAGAUUCCGAGGUUCCUACUGACAUAUCAUCGGAGUCUAUUAUCAAACGCCCGAUGCUCACAGCACCGCCCAUUGAGGGCAACUCUGAUUGUAGAGCGAGACCUUUCCACUUGGAGCUAUAUUUUAAUUAAGAGGCCAUGCCACAGCAGCCUGAGCUCCAAGACUCUUAUGGCUUACUACAGAGGUACCAUCUUGAGGACCUUAUGACUCCUCGUGAGUUCUUUUAUCCCAGAGUAGCACUAGACUUUUACCAGUCCAUGACUACUCGUGGCGUCCCGAGUCCUACCGCGAUGCACUUCACCAUUAAUGGACGUCAUGGUAUCCUCGAGGCCAGACAUAUUGGAGAGGCUCUACAGAUUCCUUUCGAGCUAGAGGACCCAUCUGUUUUCUGCCAAUGGUCCCCAAUAUCUCAGAGGGACAUGGUCCAUAUUUUAUCCAGGGGGACAUCUACAUAUUCGAUCCUUCUACGGAAGGAGCUUCGACCUGGGAUACUCCUCGUAGAUGUGGUGCUACUUUCCAACCUCUUUCCCUUUUAGCAUUCGAUACAUAGGCGAGGAGCUAUUUUGGACGCUUUAUUCUGUAUAUCAGAGGGCUUCUACUUUGGCCCGCACCACUUGAUCAUGGUUUCCCUCAUCCAUUUUGAGGAGAAGGUCCAUAGAAAGAAGCUUCAGAGGGCGAACACCAUUCCAUUACUAUUCCCGAGGUUGCUCUACUAGAUCUUGGAGUACAUGGGCUUUCCUACUGAGCCUCGGCUUGUGUGCCGCCGCCUUUGUCAAGAGCGAUCCACUCUCGACAAAUGGAAUCAGUUGGCGGGCUAUUCUACACCUCCAGGAGCCCCUCCCAUGGUAGCACCUCUAGUGUCCCCACAGGCAGAGUAGGGCAAGCUCCCGGUAGAGACUGCACCCCUAGUGCCCACACCUGAGGCUACUUCUGCUGUUCCGCCUACGACUCCUACUGUUCCACCAGUUGGUCCUUUUACAUCUGAGUCUUCCAUCAACAUCUCGACUUCGGAGUUUCGCGCCCUUGUGCAUACCUUUCAGACACUCACCACCACACAUACUGCUCUCUUCUAGAAAAUGGCUGAGAUGCGUGCCCAUCAGGACCAGCAGACUACUAUACUCCGCCAAAUUCAACAGCACCUGGGACUUCUGCCUCUGCCUCAGCUUGACCUUCCCACAUCAUCAGAGCCUCUAGCUCCAGUUGAGGAUACUAUUCCACCUGAGGACACUACCACAGUAGAGGUUCAGAUUCCACCACCUCAGGAGGCCACCACAGCUACAUUAGAGGAUGCAUCAUCUCCACCUGAGGCUCCCACUACUUGAUCAUAGGACAUCUCUUUAUCUUAUUGUAUUUACAUAUUAUAUUACUGGAGAUUUGUCUUUGUUUUGAUACUUUAUAUUCUGGCAUUGAAUGUAUUGCCUAAUGAUAUCUCAAUUGUACUUUCUCAUAUUAAUAUAUAGACAUCAAUUUUUUUUAGUAUACUUAGGAUUUUUCUAUUUACUCUACUCAUUACUCUUUUGUUUUUUUUUUUUUACUCAUGUGGUUUCUCCUAUACGACUCAGACUCCAUUUCACUCAGGAGGUACCACUUCUUCCCUUUAUUUUCAAUUGCUCUUGAAACAUUGAGGGCAAUGUUGAUCUUGGUUGGAGGGAGAGUUGAGGAAGGAAGUGAUUACUACUCAAAAAGUGCUAUUUCAUAGCUUGUAAUUAACUCUUUUAAAACACUUUUGAGUAGUAGUUAUCACCUUUUAACCCAAUUAACAUAUUAAGGACCCUUGCAAUCAAUUCUAAUCAAAUUGUGUUAAGUUUUGGUAUUUUGAUAGCUUUUUUAUCACCAAAGCAAUCCGAGAUUGAGGAUAUUUAUUUGGAAUCCAUGGCAAAAGAUGUUUGGACAGGACGUCCGGACACACCAUCGGAGGGCGGCGGAACGUGGGCUGUGGCAGGCUGUCGGAAUGACGUAGCAAGGCUUGUGCACUUUAGCCAAUGAUCGGGAUAACAUAUCCGAAAUUCUGCUCCGCCGACAUUCCACCCGGAUGUCUCACAUCCGGAAUUCUGCUCCGCCGACAUUACACCCAGAUGUCUCACAUCCAAAAUUCUUCUCCGUCGACAUUCCAUCCGAAUAUUUCACAUCCGACGCUUGACGCCGGAUGGGAGAGGAGGGCGUUUCAACUUCCCCGGUCAGACAUAUCCGAAUCCUUUGAUAACGCUUACCCGGAGAGUUUCGCAGCCAUUUUGCACAGUGCCGCGGUGUUCUCUUGAAGCUUCCCGAUAUGUGCGACCGACAUUUUGAGAUAUUUUGCUUUAGAUAUUUGAUGUCUAAAUCCCCAAACUCUCCUUGUAACCCACCAAUUAUAGGAUUCCUUAGUUAUUAAGUUUGGAAAAAUGGUGAAUAACCCCUUAUAUAUAGUUUGCAAUUUUCAUAAAAAAGAUAUGUAGAAUCUCGGGAGCUUGUUCCCAGAGAGACGCAUCCUUUGUACAGUUUUGGAAGGAAGUAAAAUACAGAGCACUUGCUCUGCUUUUCAUAUAUAUUUUUGUUUUCUCGUUCUUUUUAUUUCUAGCCAAUCAAAGUCUGAGGAUUUUUCCUCAGAGGAUGAGAGGCUAGGCUCUUCGUCUCUUGGAGUGAAGAAAACUAGGUAAGUUUCCACAUGCAUAAAUUGAAAGUUUUGUUGUUUUAGUUUUUAAUGAAGAGAAAGUGUGACCCGUUAAUGGUUUUUAUCUUUUUAGUUAACUUAAAACGCCUUUAAAUCACCCGGGCCAACACUUGAUAAGGCAAGUGGUCUCCAUCCAUUGAGAUGCACUAGUUUAUCUCUUGCGAGCCUUUGGGAGGUGGUUUGAAGGUAGGAUUUUCUAGAAUAACCAACACUUGAUAAGCUUUUGGACUCUAAGGAGACAUCCAUUAGUUAUCUCUUGCGAGCUUUUGACGGGUAAUCCAAGGUUAAAGAUCACCUUGAAUGGCAAGUACUAGGUGAGAGGUAUGAGCCAUUGCAAGAUGCAUUAGUGAGAGGGAUUUAGUGUUUGAACCCAUUAAAGGGAAGCAUCUGUACCACACCGGUUCGGGAAAUAACUAUAUGUUAAAUCCCCAAUGAGAGGAAAAGAAACAAGUGACCGGAACUCCCUUUUUGUAUAAGGAACCUGAGCCUAGUGAUCUAAACUCCAAGAAACACUUUUCUUUGUAAGUAAAAUCAGUUACUAUUUUUGGUUAGUUUAAAACCAAACCUUUUUCAUUCAAACAUCUUUAUGUUUUCUUUUAAAGCUAACCUUGAAAUGAAAAGGCACCAAUUCAUAUUUGAAUUAAUAUCAAUUGUGAAGUGAAAACCCAUCCCAGUGAACGAUCCUAGAGCCACUAUGCUAUAGUAGCUUUGUCUUUGCUACCCUAGUUCAUGGUUUAAUAGGUUAUAAAUUUUGUUGAUUACUCCCACAAUCAAAGGAGCACCAGUUGGACAUGAAUCAACUGAGACACUAAUUGGGCACAAAUCAGGAAGUUUUGUUAAUAAUGCUAGGUUAAUUUGUUAAUUUAGUUACUUUCUGCUUAAUUUUAAAAGUUUUCACUUUACUUUCCAUAGUUAUUAAGGAAAAAUUCUCAAAAUGAAAUGGGAGAAAUUGAAUUCUUACAUUUUUACUUGAAUUUUAGAAUUUGUAUUAUGCUUAUUGAAGCUGAUGAAUUAUUGAAACUCCUAUUGAAUUCAACCUUAUUUCUUCCACUUUAAUCUUACCACACACGGUGCACAUUAGGUUCCGAUUAUAAGAGGUGCGUUCUUAGCCUAUUGGAGGUUGGUCAAUUUGUUAAAGUUUGAGAAAGAUCUAGGUUAGGGGAGAGAGAAUAGUCUGACAUACUAUAAUCGAAAACUAAUAAACUUAACACUUAGAUCUUUGUGGAAGAGUAAGGAUUGGACCUUUGGGAGUGGAAAUUCGUUUGAUGCUUAAAUUUGCAUAAUGCUUACACUUUAUAAAUUGUGAUUAGGCAAGAGAUUUGAUGACUCUUGUUCAAGGUUGGGUUUUGCCUCUUUGAUGUUCCAUGAGAGAGUAUAAUCCUCAUCAUGCCACUUGAAAUUUUUUUUGGAGUGAUUAACAUGAUUUUGUAAAUUACUUUACUGUCUAUUUUUUUUUUAUCUCUCCUUCAUUGCUAAUGGACUAGCAAUAUGUCAGUUGAGGGGAGUGAUUACUACUCAAAAAGUACUCUUUUAUAGCUUGAAACUAACUGUUUUGAACACUUUUGAGUAGUAGUUAAUACCUUUUAACUCAAUUGGCACAUUAAAGAACCUAGCAAGGGUUACUAAUUAGUUUUUGGCAAGUUUUGGUGUUUUUGGUAGCUAUUUGAUCAUUGAAACAAGCCAAGAAUGAGGGAGAAUUUUGUGAAGUCCAUGGCAAUGCAAGUUAAAGCUCAAAUACAUGAAGAAUCCAAGCUUUGGAGCACUUCAUAGCCCUUUCCAAAGCCAAUCAGAGAUGCAAGGAAGAAAACCAGAGGAAGAAAUCCAACAAUUAGCAUUUUCGCAUGGCUGUGCGAAAUUUCGCACACCAUGCGAAACCACAAGAGGCAGCCAAAGAAUUUUGCACACUAUGCGAAAUUUCGCAUGGUAUGCAAAAUCUUCUUGUGCACCAACUCCGUUAUAUUUUUAUCUCAAAUAUUUUGUGUAAUUUCCUAGUUUCUCCUUGUAACCAACCUAGAUAUUUUCUUUUAUAUAUUUUUUAGGUAACAUCAUCUAUAGGGGGAGAGACAUAAGGAGGAUAUGGAUGUUUUUCAUAGAACACUUGUAAAUUUCCGGUAGUAAGAAAUAUACAGAGCUUUUUGCUCUACCUUACCUUCUCAUUUUGUUUUCACUUGUCUUUCUAGCCAAACAACCUCUGAGGAUGAUUUCUUAGGGAAUGAGUGGCUAGGUUUUACGUUUCUUGGAGUGAGGGAAGCUAGGUGAAAGACCCGAAUGCUAAGGUGGGAGUUGUCCUUGCUUUAAAUGAAAGUAGUUGUUAAACAUUAAUGGUUUUUAUUUUAAGGUUUAGCUUUAAAUCCCUUAAAAACAUCUUGAAUGGUCAAUACUUGGUAGGCUUUUUGGAUUCUAUGGAUGCUUAUUGCUAGAUCCCUGGAUGUCUAUUAGUUAUCAUUUAUGAGCCAUUGGAAGGUGGUUCAAGAUGAGGGUCUUUAAUGUUUGAAGCCAUUAAUAGGAAACAAUUACCAUUCUUUCAUGAAUCCUUUGGAUCAAAUCUUAAUUGCUAAAUAUAAAACUAGUUCGGGAGAUAACCAUCCUUUAUGUUAUUAUGCCCAACGCGAGGAGAAGAUUCGGAAUCUUCCCCUUUGUCUAAGGAACCCGAUCCUAGUGACCUAAAGCUCUAAGAGACCUUUUCUUUAUAGUUAACUUCACUUAUUGUUUUUUCUUAACUUAAAAUCAAUCUUUGCAACCACAAUUCCAUUUUCUUUGAAAGCUAAUUUUCAUAAGGAAAAUCACCAUUUUAUUUUCUUCCCUAAGUCAACUGUACGAUGAAAACCCAUUCCCAUGGACGAUCCUAGAGCCACUAUACUAUGUUAGCUAUGCUACCCUAAUGUGAGGUGAUUUAGGUUUUAUAAAUUUUGUUGAUAACACCUGUUUGAGCCAGAAUCAAAUGGCGCAACUGAACCAGGGACGAAUCAACAACUUAUAUGGGAGGGACACAAGUUUAAUUGAUUUGCAUUUCAACGUUAUAUAUAGGUAUGUUUUGGAAGAUUUGUUCUGGAAAUACUGCACCAAGUACGAUUCUUUUUGUCUUGAGUGGGUCUACUUGCAUGCCAAUUAACGAGUGGAAAAGUAGGAGCACCUACCUCAUGCUCGCGGAACCGAAGGUCAGUGAAGUGGGGCUCCUUUUGGCCUCUUGUGUUUCUAUUCCAACCAAGGCGGCGUAAGGAAAAACAACAAUAUGUUUGUGCUAAAUAUCAACGCAUGAUAGAUGUUUUUGUUUUUUGGUAUGUCAAGGCUAAUGAAUGAAAUGCUUUAGCUUGUUUUGUGACUGGAACUGCAAAUGUCCAAAUUGGAGUAUCUCCAUUUCUCACUUCGGAUGGUUAACUUAUAAACAAGAUAUAGGAAACAUGUGAACAUCUUGAGGAACAAUUUGAAUUAUUCAUUAGAAGUCCUGGGUUGAGUUCCAAGAUUUAAAUUAGACCCCUCUAGCAGCUUCAGGGGUACCUAGCAACCUAUAGCAUAUUAAUGAAGAUUUAGGAUUUAGACUCUAGAAUACAAAUUAAUAUGUAUCUCAUGCUUUGACUAGCUUCCCUACAUAUGCACAAAAUGGAGAUGACCUAAAAAAAUAGCAGAAUCUAGCUUCCCUACAUAUGCACAAAAUGGAGAUGACCCAAAAAAUAGCAGAAUUUCCUUAGUUUCUGUGGUUAAGGUGAUUCUCCGCUUAAUAUCACAUUGACUCAUUAUGCAAAAUCAACUGAGCUAAUUUUGUUUAUUUAUUUAAUGUCAAAUAGGAACUCCUAAUUAACCUAACCCUUGGCCUGUGUAAAUUGAUUUCACAUGCCCAAUGUUGAAGUAGAAGUCCAUAUUUUGAAUUUUAUUUUUGUAAAGGUAAGGAAAAUGAAGCAUUGUGUAAUUAUAAAAAUAACUUCAUUGGAAUUCACAAGGUUCACCCAAAAUGGAGCUACAUCCGUAUUCUAUCCUGCAGUAGACUAUAUAGAUUGUACAAUAGUAAAUUGCAAAUACAAUUAAUAAGUCUUGUGCUUCCUUACUAAUAAUCCUUUGACAUGAACAUUGCAGCACUAAGGUCCUCUUGGGAAGACACCUUGCACCCAUGAGAGCACGAAGAGGAAGCAAGGCAGAGUCAUGGGUGCAAUGUCAUGACUUGUUGUUGCACCAAGAGAGGCUUGGUGAUGGCAUGGUGUUGCAGUAGCAAGAAUGUUGCCUUGGUAGGGACAUAAUCUAGGGAUAGAUGCCAAGAAAGGCUUAGCACUCACAUGAGUUGCACAAAGAUGAAUGUAAUAGAGCAUCAGAGAGACGUCUUGGCAAGUAAAUGAAUGGAUCCAAGAGGCAACAACAUGAGGAGUUUCAAAUGGAUAAGGAAUGAGUCAAAGACAUUUGAAAGCUACAAGUUGGAUUCUAAUUACGAUUGCAAUUUGAGUUUGAGUAGGAGUUUAGAUUCUGAUUGUAAUUGUAGUAUGAGUUGGACUAGGAUUGCUUAUCCCUAGUCAAAAUAGGAGUGGUUCGUGUCACACCCUAUGAAAAGAGUUUGAGUAGGGACUAGGAUUGCUUACUCCUAGUCAAAUAUGGAGUAGGUGGUGCCACACCUAUAAAAAAAAAGGGACAACAUGAGAGAGAGAGAGAGAGAGAGAGAGAGAGAGAGAGAGAGAGAGAGAGAGAGAAAGAGAUAAUGAAUUCACUAAAGAUAUUGUGGGAGUUUUUCUUUGUUACGUCUUGUAUUAUUACUUAGAAUAGGAAUAAAAUACAAGUUUGGGCUAGAGCCCCAUAAUUAAUCUCGUGUGCCUUUGUGGUUAUUCUUUAUUUGUCAUCUCGUGUGGAUUGGAUUACAUUGACUUAGAGGGCUUCUAAGCACCACCUUUGUGGGUUAUUAUUUAUUUUCCAUUUCUUGUGGAUUAGAUUAGGUUGACUUUGAGGGCUUUUAAGCACCACCUUUGUGGGUUAUUCUUUAUUUUCCAUAUCGUGGGGAUUGGAUUAGGUUGACGAUGAGAAAAAUUAUGUGGGAAAUUUGUGUUGGGACACUUAUCAUAACCAGGUAAAAUCUGCCAAGUCCUUUGUAAUAUCUUCAACAAAUAUUUCAGACUAGUUCUUCACCAUAAACAUCAUAUUGUGUUUUGUUUUUCUCCUGGAUUCUGAGUUGAAUUGUUUCAAGUCAAUUGAAUGCAUCUGAAUAUUAUUAGCUUGUUUGAAGGCCUGGUGAUUUUCCAUUUAACUUUACUUUCUUUAGGUUAUGCUCACUAUAAGAAAAAUGAGAAAUAAUGACGCUUUUUACGCGUUAAGAAAGGCAACAGAUGAUGCUUCUCUAAAGCGUCCUCUUCGGCUCUGUCAUUAUAUGUGUUAGCCAAUAAUGACGCUUCUAGGAAGUGCCAUCUUUGAAUAAUGUUAAUAACGACACUCGUAAAAAGUGUCAUCUUUAAACAUAUUCUGGUCAAAUAAUUUUUACAAAAUUAGUAAUCUUCAAGCCGUUUCUGAAUCAUAUCUGAGCCUAUUUCUGGGGACCAGAAAACCAUCUUUUUUCCAUUCGCCUGAGAGGUCUGAUUAGCAUUUCUGGAAUCAAUCUCUAAACCCAAGCUUCCCUCAUCUACCCAUUUAACCCUCAUGCCCUCCUGUUUGAACAACUUUCCCACUAUAUACACAAAUUUUUUACCUUCUGUUGUUGGUAUUCGACCUCUUCCCAUUCCCAGCACAGAAUCCACCAUUAGUGCCACUUUGUGAAUAAAAUCAUCGAACCAGAUCUUUCGGGCGGAAGAUGAGCUCCAGAGAAAUAAAAUUUUUGGGGUCUUCCCAGCAUGAAAGUCAUAGGUAGCAUUAAUGACAUCAAGAAAUGGGGCACUGUUGAGAAAAAACAUGUUCCCAUCAACCACCCAAGAAUUGUACCAGACUCCAAACACUUCUGGAUUACAUAUGCCUUUACUAAGAUAUAUUUCUUGAUCUCCAUAUCAGAAUCUUGGAGACUCUUCAUUUUAUGAGCUCUGACACUACUGUGAAAUUGGUCCACAUCAAUCACAGGAUGACCCCUUCUAGCAAGAUCAAGCAGGAAGUCUGAAUUCGGGCCCAUAAAAAUGUAGUUCUGAAUAUUGAAACUCUCAAAGUGGCACAACAAAUUCCUUAUGACUCUUUCAGAUGCUCCAAACAGGCUCACAAGUAUAAUGGUAUCCUGUUUUUGCACAGAGUAAAGAAAAUAUCCGAGUUCUUCAAAACUCCUUACAACUAUUCCAGGAUGUACUUCUUUGAAACAGAAAUCGUACCACUUUAGCUUAGUCAGAGGUUGAAUCUAAAAUAACAAAACCCAAACUGAAAUCAAAAUCGAAAUCAACCCUAAUAGAUUUCAGAAACAACAAAUUAAAAGAGUAAAGCACAAAAGGGGGAAAACACAUAUGAAGCAAUCUCCAUACAAGCCCUAACCUUAGAUAAACCCAAAAAAAAAAAUCAAAGCAGAGAGUUACCAUAGAGCAUCUCUGUUUCAAGCUUAGAAAAUGUUUAAUGCCAUUGAUAACUAGUUGGCUAGUGGUGGACUUCAAGCUUCUCUAUUUCGGUGUUAGUAGCUCUCAAUGGCUAUGGUGAGAACAAAGAAAUGAGAGGCUUAGGGUUUGGGAUGUGAGGUUAUUGAUGAUGAUGAGGAUAAAGUUAUGGGCUCUUGGAGGGGUUAGGGAAAUUGAAGAUGGCUGAGAGUAAAGGCUAGGGUUUUUGAGAUAGUUAAUAGCUUUUUAGGGUGUGACUGUCCAUAGAUAGAAGAUAAAUGAGGGUGUGAGAAUUUAUAGAUCUCUAGGUGAUAUGGCGGGUGUGAGAAUGAAAUUUUAGAGGGAAUUGUGUGUUUGGUAGAAAUUUCACACAUGCAUAUAUAAUGUUUCAGAACAUGGCACUUUAAAAAUACGACAAGGAAGAAAUUAUUUAUUGACGCUUAAAUAAAGCGCCAAGGUCUCCAACAUUUUUGCAAUCAAUGACGUUUGUAAAAGGUGCCAUUGAAUAGGAGUGCCAUUGCUUUCCCACAAAGCAUCAUUGUUAAUCAAGCCUUUAAAAAACGCCAAGAUAUGUUGCCACUUAGGUUAAAUAUUGACGCUUUUAAAAAACGCCAAGGAAAAAAACGUCAUUAUUCAUGUUUUUUGUAGUAGUGGCUUGAUUCCUAAAAAGUAAAGGAAAGCAAAAAGUAAAAAAAUAAAAAUGUGGAGAGUUAGGACAUGCGUUAUCUAAUUGUCCUAGUCCCAAAUAUAUUAAGAAAGUCAUGUAGGUUACUUGGAGUAACGAGUCAAGUAAAGCAAGCCUUCUAGUGUUUAAGACAUUAGAUAUUACCGAACUGAUUAUGUCAUUAAUGUAUUGCAUUUGUUGUUUCUAAUAUAUAGAAGAAGAUGAAAUUAUUGGAAUAAGUGGGAAAUAGGAAUAAAUCCAAGGUACCAAAAAGUCACUUUAUCUUAGAUGUUGUUGGAAACAUAAGUGAUUUCACAAUAACGACUAUGAGACAAUCAAGGAUUAAUAAGAUAGACUUUAUAUGAUAUACCUCCCAAUUAGAGCCUAAAAAUAUGGAUGAAGCACUUAGAGAUGAAUCUUCAAUUUUUGUACUAUAGGAAGAAUUAAAUCAAUUUGUUAGCUAUUCUUUGGAUAUUUGAUUCAUCACAAGCUACAAAUCACUUUUGAUGACCAAACACGAAACUAAGAGGAUUGGGCCCAAUUCGAUGCCUAUCAACAAUGAUUUGUAUUCCACCUCAUUAAUUAUUCAAAGUUGGGAAGCUAGGUCUAACCACUUUCUCUACCUGUUCACCCUUAGAGGAGCAGAAGAAAAUUCUAACUUUGGUGCCUAAUGCCUUUGACAAUCUUUCGACAAAGAGAGUUCACUAAUUACUUUGAUUAUUUCUCUGUUGGUCACUGGGGGACAAGACUUUUGUAAUGAAGUCAACUAGAACUUGCCCUUUGAGGGCCAUUCAUGGACGAUAUUACACCAUGAAUUCCCUUAGGUCAUGUUUGGUAUGUGAGAAUGAGGAGUGGAAUGGACAUCUUAUUCAUUUUUUCAUCUAUUCAAAUGUUGGGAUAACUCAAGUGACCAUGAGAAUGAAAUCAAGAAUGAUUCAAGGGAAAUGAAAUCUUACUUAUAAGUGUGAUUUCAAUUAAUCUCUAAUAGAAAUUAUUUUGAAUCAAUAGUGCAAGUUAUUUUUAAAAACAUUUUUCCAAAAUUAAAAAAAUCAAUUUUUUUUUUUUCGAUAAGUUGUUUUUAAAAGGAUUUUUUUUAUUUUGUAAAAAGAAAAUUGUAAUUCAAUUUAUAUAAUAUAAACUAAAUUUUAUUUUAUUCAAAAAGAAAUAAUUUUUUAAUUAUAAAUAAAUUAAAAAUAAAUACUUUUAAUAAAAUAUAAAUAGUAUUAUUAUAAUAAAAUCAUAAAUAAAUUUAAUUUUUUUUAUAAAUAUUAUAAAAAUAUGGAUAUUAACAUUGGAUAAUUGAUUUAUUUUGUUAAAAUAAAAAAUAAUAAUUUUUAAUAUUAUUUUAUGUUAAAUGAAUUUUAAAAUAAAGAAAGUUUAAUUAUUUUAAGGUAUAGAAGAGCCAAAUUUUGCAUUACAUACAUAACAAACAAUAUUUAUUAGAAACAUUUCUCAAGGAGAAUCUUAUUCCAUCUCACAAAGAUACUCGUUUAUUCGAUGUUUGACCAUCCGUAACAAUCAUGUCAAUUCUACUGAUUUAAUAAUUCCUUUACAUUUAUUACUCACUUAUGAACAUGGUAUUGUGAUUUAUUUAUUUAUUUGAUGUAUAAUUAAUUAAUCAAUUUUUUAAAUUUCAAAUUAUUUUUAAAAACUAUUCAUUAAGGAAUUUAAAGCAUUAAUUAUGUCUAUUAUUUUUUAUAGUCAUUAUAUAUAUAUUGAGUUUUAAUUUAUUUUUAAAAAUUAUUAAACUUAUUAAUAAAUUCAAUAUAAAGUCUCGUUUCAUUUGAAAUUCAUUUCUUUAGUGAAAAUUUUGAAAAAAAAAUUGUUAUUUAUUUUACUUUGUUUUAAAAAAAUUGUUUCUAGAGAACAAUAAUCAAAUAAUGGUAUGAAUUUUUAAAAACAAUUUUGUUUUUAAAUCAUAUGCCCAAAUAAUUUUUUUUUAUUUAGCAAAAAACUUUGUUGUAGUAUGUGGCUCAUAUUGAGGGAAAGACAUAUAUGGAGAAAAAUGUGCAAAUGUUGGAGUGGAGCGGAGUGGAAUGACGACAUUUGUCAUUCAAACUUGUAUUUUUAUUGUUAAGGGUGACCGAUAGGUUGGUACGGUUUAGGGGUAUUUUUGGAAUUUCAUUACCUGAGGGUUAGUAUAAAUACCAUUUUAUGUAACCCUAAUUUUACAUAUAAUGUAAGUUUUCUUCCUUGUUCUUGUGGACAUAGGCAAUCCGUCGAACCACGUUAAAUCUGUGUGUUUUUUUUUCUUUUUUCUUUUUCUCUAAUUUCUUCACCAGGAAUCGUUACACUAAGAUCAACAAACUCUCAAAGAUGAUUUUUAAAAUGAAAAAAAUAAUGUAUAGUGUGAGAAUUUUUUAUUUUUUAUUUUUUUAAAAUGAAAAUAAAAAAUUGCUUUAAGGUAAAAGUGUGGAUAUUAUUGUUAAUUUAUUUCAUUUUUCAUUUUCAUUUCCAUUGUUACCUACAAUUGAAAUGGAAACAACUAAUCAUUACAACCUUACAUUCUUAUAUGCAUCCAAAUACAAAAAUUGAAAUCACCAAAUUCAUAUUCAAGGCAAAAUAGGAAUGAAAACAAAUAUUCAUUCUCAUUCUUUAUUCCCACGUGUCAAACAUGACCUCAAAGUUAUAAACAUGAACAAGAAGUCCUUGAAACACCAAUGAUCUCUUCUGGUAUAUAUAUGAGCUUGAUUGACAACUGUUUUAAAUACAGUUUUUUUUUUUUUUGUUUUCAAAAUCAAAACAAAUUUAUUUUUAUUUUUUAUAAAUAGUAGUUUUUUAAUAUUUUUUUUAAACCUUAUUAUGAAAAUAGGAUGUUUUCUAAUAUCAUAUUUUAAUUAUUUUCAAUUAUUUUCCCUUCUUUUAAGGAGGGCUAUUUUAAAAAUAUGAAAAAUGAUACAAAAUAAAGCAUUACAAAUAAAAAUCAUUUUUAAGAAAUAUAUGAAAAUAAUUUGAGAACAUUUGAAGUUCCUUAAUUAAACUUUUGUUCUAGAAAAUGCAAGAAAACUGUUUUUGAAAAUUGUUUUCAUAAUGAUAUGCAUUGAUCGUUUAAAAUUUAAUUACAUGAUAAAAAGACCUAUGUAAAAACCAGAGUUAUAUAAUCAGUCAUAGAUCAAAUCUACUAAAUAUGAAAAGUAAGUACAUAGUUGUAUAUGACUUAGAUGGAGCCUUCUCCGAAUGACAUUCUUUAGUCGGUACUCAUAUUUUUUUGUUUCGUGUCUUCAACAUAACACCUCAUGAUCCUUAAUAAAUCACCUGAAAACUAUAUUAGCACCUUAUUGUUUAAUAUUUCUCUAAAUUUUUUUAUUAAGCAAAUAAAUUCCAAAUUUAAAAUGACAAAUAAAAUUUAUUAAUUUUUAAAAAUAAUUUAAAACUCAAAAACCAAUUUAAUUGAUAUUAAAAGUCAUGAAACUUAAUAAUAUUAGAAAGUCAUGUAUCCAAAUUUAUUUUAAAUGACUUGUUUAAUUUCUUGUUUAUAUAUAUUAUAUUUUUAUAAUUUUUUUUACUAUACAAAUAAAUUUUAAAUUAAACAAAACUUAAUGCGUUGAAUUCAUUAACGAGUCUAAUAAUUUUUAAAAGUUACUUAAAAUUUAAAUACUAAAUCAAUUAGUACCACAAAUUCAUGGAAAAAAAUUGAUUUAUUACUACUAUAUUGUUUCUCUAUUGCAUAGAACCAUUAUUUUUCAAUUUUUUCAUUUGGCAAAUGAACAUCAAAUUAAACAAGACUAAGUGUAUUAAAUUCAUUAAUGGGUCUAGUAAUUUUUUAAAAUAAUUUAAAAUUCAAAUAUUGAUACUCCAAAUUAAACAAGACUUAGGUGGUGUUUGUUUUUUGGUUGAAUAGAAAAAGGUAAAAUAUUUGACUUUUUCUAUUUAGUUAAAAGUAACUUGUUGACAUCGUCCAAUAUAAUUAAAGUAAACCUAUUGAGGGCAAGUUCACUUUAAUUAUGUUGGACGAUGUCAACAGGUUACUUUUAACUCAAUAGAAAAAAUCAAAUAUUUUGACUUUUUUUUUAACUCAAAUAAUAAAUCCAUUAAUACAAAAAAAUUAUGGAUAAUUUGAAACUUUCUUUCUUUUUUUUUUUUUUUUUGCUACACAUAGCUAUAUUUUUAUAAAUUUUAUCAUUAGAGAAAUGGAUUUCAAAUCAAGUGAAACUUUGUAUUGAAUUAAUGGAUUUAACAUUUUUUAAAAAUAAUUUGGAACUAAAAAAAAAAGAUUUAAUUACUAAGAAAAUCAUAGAUCAAAACUAAUAUAUUCUGAUCCAUGAUUUUAUUAUUUUUCCUAUACAUACAAUUAUAUUUUUAUAAUUUUCUCACUAGGUAAAGAUAUUAUAAAUUAAGUGACACAUAAUUAAUAAUUUAAAUUUUUGAAUGAAUCUUUUAAUUUUAGGAAUAAUUUGAAAUUUAAAAAGUUGAUCCAAUUAAUUGUAAAUUAACUUAAAAUAUUAUAAAAUAUUAUGUUCAUAAUUAAGUACUAAAUGUAUAUAUGUAAUGAAAACUUAACUAGUUACAUGUUACAAAAGCCAAAAUUUAUUCAUUCUUUAUUUUAAAUAAAAUAUUAUUAAUAAUUAUUUUUUUUAAAAUAAUAUUUAGUAAUUAUUGUUUUUAAAUUAUUAUUAUUAAUUUUUAAUAAAAAAAUUGCAAAGUUAUUAAUAUCAUUAUAUUUCUAACAUAAAUUUAAAUAGUAUAUUUUUUAAUAUAUAUAUAUAUAUAUAUAUAUAUAUAUAUAUAUAUAUAUAUAUAUAUAUAUAAUUUAUGAUUUCAUUAUAAUAUUUUUAUUCAUGAUUGACGAAAAAUUAUUUAUUGUUUAAUUUAUUUGAAUUGCAAAACUAUUUUUCAAAAUUCAAGCGAGAAAAUAGGCCUGGAUUUGAAUUUCCUGUAGAAGAGAAGGAUGUGGAGAAUAUGUUGGGAGUAUUUGUGGAUAAAGAAAAGGCCAGGGUACUGAGAAAGGAGAGAGAACUUGCUCUUGCCAAAAGAGCCCUGCACAGGUAUUCUACUGAUUCUAAUUAUCGGUUCUUACAUGAUCAGAUUUCAGAUUUAUUUGCUGAGCUUCUGAAAUCUGAUACAGUAUUUAAACUCCGGUGAGCUUUACAAGAUUAGUCUCGCAUCCAAUUCCAAAUGGUGUCCCACAAUUGAUUCUUCUUAUGAUAAAUCCACCUUGAUAUGUGAAAAUAUUGCUCGAAAGGUUUAUCCUCGCGAGGAAUAUCCAGAAUACUAAGGAAUUGAGGAGGCUCACUAUGUUUAUAGAGUCAGGGAUAGGUUGAGAAAACAAGUAGUUGUUCCAUUACAUAAGGCCCUGGAGUUGCCAGAGGUUUUCAUGUGUUCGAACAAGUGGGGAUCACUUCCCUACAACCCUGUGGCUUCAGUGGCCAUGAAAUCAUACAAGAGCCUCUUCUCAAACCAUGAUACAGAGCGGUUUGGUGAGUAUCUUGAGAAAGUGCAAACUGGGAAGGCUAAGAUUGCAGCUGGUGCAUUACUUCCCCAUGAGAUUAUAGCUUCAUUGAAUGAGGAGGAUGCCGAGAGAGUUGCCGAGCUUCAGUGGGCAAGAAUGCUGGAAGAUUGAUCAAAGAAAGGGAGGCUCACAAAUUGCAUUGCAGUAUGUGACGUAUCAGGAAGUAUGAGUGGAACUCCAAUUGAGGUGUGUGUGGCUCUGGGGCAGUUAGUUUCAGAGCUCAGUGAAGAUCCAUGGAAAUUAAGGUAAUGUAAUUACUUUCAGUGCAAAUCCUGAGCUUCACAAGAUCCAAGGAGACAGCCUUGUAUCCAAGACUGAAUUUGUGAGGAUGAUGGAAUGGGGUGCCAACACUGACUUUCAGAAAGUUUUGACAGAAUCUUACAAGUAGCAGUGGAGGGAAAUAUGAGUGAAGAUCAAAUGAUAAAGAGGGUUUUCGUUUUCAGUGAUAUGGAGUUCGAUGAAGCUUGUGGGAGGUAUAACUAUUGUGACUAUGACUAUGAUAUGGAGGAAAUUGACGAGAGUCAGAAGGCAUCUCAGAAGUGGGAGACAGAUUAUGAAGUGAUACAGAGGAAAUUCCAGGAGAAAGGAUACAGAAAAGUUCCAGAGAUAGUGUUUUGGAACCUUAGAAACUCAUCAGCGACUCCAGUGACGGCCACAGAGAACGGGGUGGCCUUAGUAAGCGGGUUUUCAAAGAAUCUGUUGACCUUGUUUUUGGAAGGAGGUGGAAUUCUGAUCCCUCAGGAUGUGAUGGAAUUCGCCAUCUCUGAUGAAGAUUACAAGAAACUUGUUCUAUUUGAUUAAGAUAUCAAGAGAUUUAUCAAUAAUAAUAUAUUUUUUUUCUAUGUGAAAUACAUAUAAUAUUAACUGUGGAGUUAUCAAAGUUCUGGAGGUUUAAUUAUUUCUUCUUUUCAAGUUUUGUUUAUUUAAGGUUUUCUUUGUCUUUGUUAGGAAUUCCCCUUGGGUGGACCCAGCUGGGGAGUUGGAUUGAGGAAGUAAGCAGGCGAACUUGUGUUCUUCUAUGGACAGAGAAAAAAAAUAAAAUAAAAAAAUAAAAAAGGAGGUUAUUUGCAUUUGGAUGUCGUGGUUUGAGGGUACAACUACAAGCUCGAAAUUGUACAUAAUGUGAAAACUCCUGUGUCCAUUGCUGAGAACAGCAUAAAUGAUGGUGAUUUUCAAGUUGUGCCUGGUAUUCUACAGGAUGAAACAAGAAAGGAUCCAGGUGGUAUAUUGAACAAUAUCCCAAUCAUGUUGGUGGCAUCUUUAUUUAGUUAAUGGUAUUCAUUUGGUGGAAGCUGGUUGUUUAUGAUGUUUUUAAUUUUUUUUAACAUGAAGUUCGAUCAAAUACGUAUCUUAGUAUGUUUUGUUUGAGCUAAUUGGCAAAUGCGCUUUAAACAUGGUCACAUGGAUGCAGUUUUAUUUGUGAAAUGAUAAUAGUCGAUUACUUGGUCAGUAAGGUUUAUAUCUCUAACUUCAACAUCUUAUUGUAGUCUUUUAAAAUGUCAAAAGUUUAAUGCUUGAGAAAUUUUGGAAUGGAGACAUUCUAAACAAAGUUAAUAAUCCACAAGACUUGGUAAAACCGAUCAGAUGAUGCUUACGUACAUCAAUGCCUUCUUUAAGCCAUAUCCUAUUUUCAUUGAACGGGAUGUGCCAUCUAGUUUGGUUCUUUAAGCCUCCAAAUCCUAAACCUAGUCUCAAUUUAGAGCAAAUUUAGGGUGCAGGGCCUGCAUGCCUCCCCCUCCCCCUUCCACAAAUAGUAGUGACCUUGCUAUGCCUAUGCAUUGUCAAUGCCUCAUUUUCUAUGGUCUCCAAUGUAAUAUCUUAGUUUCAAUGUCUCUUUCCUUACUAUCUCCAAUGCAAUAGAUUGAUUUCAAUACCUCUUUACAACUAAGACCUCCAAAUUUUCUUGGUUCAAACCUACCAGAAUUUUUCUUCUCCUUUGCUUUCUAUCAAUAUUAGUUCCCCUAAUUUAAUAUAUACUUCUUUAUUACCUUCAACUCUACCUCUCUUUCUUUCUCUAAAAGCUUCCUCAAAGAUUUAAUUGCUUUCUUGCAUGUUUUAAGAAAACAAACAUGCUCAUAUUACAUUACCUCUACUUGAGAUCUACCUUAUACUCUACCUUCUUUCUUUACCUCCUAUAUCAUCUACUACAUUAGCUUCAAAAAUAUUAUUUAGUUUGAUACUAAAUAAGGCUCCUAAUCCUACUCUUCCUUCAACAAACUUUCUUUUUACAAGUUCCUUAAACUUUAUUUUUUAUUUUUUAUUUUUUGGAAAUUCGGGUUAGAAAGAUUCCAUUACUCUUACCUAAUAUUUCAACCAUCAAGUUGAAUCCACUUAUUGCCUAAAUCCAAGGAGUCUGCCCUCCACAAAAACAAGGAAAUUGAUCCCACAAUAACAAGGAGAUUGCCUUCCACAGAAACAAAGAGAUCUCCCUUCACAGAAGCCGAAUACAUUGCAAUCUAUUUUCUUUCUUGUAAGAUCAAAUCUUCAAUCGAGCUCCAUCUUAUGGGGGCAUAUUAGAGAAAUUUAAUAUUAUCCUUAAUUUACAUAUUAAUAUUUAUCUAUUUAUUAUAUAUUGAAUUAAAAUAGAAUAUAGAAUUUGAAUCAUAGUAGAAGUUUACUAUAAGAUUGAAUUACAAUAGUUAAUAGAGUUUAAAUUAUAAUAACUCAAAUACAUUUAUAUAUAUUUGACCUUACGAGAUUUUCUAUUUAUGUAUUUGAACUACAAUCCUUAUGAUCCUUAGGUCUCUAUACCUUCGUGAUGGGCUCCUUGACAUUUCAUAGGUUGUGCUACACAUGCAUUUGAAAUUUAGAGUGCAUUUGACAGUGAUUCUGGGAAGUGUUUUUGGCAUUUCUAACACUUAAAAUUUUUUAUUUUUCAAGUAUUAGAAAUGCUACAAACACUUUUGAAAAUUACUGUCAAACACACUCUUAGGAGCGCAUAUAGUAGAAAACUAGAAAUUGUGGUUUUUUUAGGAUUUACUGUAAUGUCAUUAGGAGGGUAGUAAGUUGAAACUGAGUAUGAAUAAAUAUUUCUUUCUUUGGGAUGUUCUUCUGGUAGGUGCUGAUGAAACUGUUCUUUUUACUGCCAAUGUCACAUAUCAGCCAGAAAUUGAAAAUUUCAGUCAAGGUGUCCUCGGUUUUAGUGGUGAGGAAAGCUAGAAAUUUUAAGGUGAAGUUCUGUUAAAAACCUUAAGUAGCUGGGAUAUCAGGCCUGUUUUGCUUGAAAAAAAAAGUUGCAAGAUAACUCAUAUGCCAAACAGGUUCUGAUAUUGUGAAUCUAUCGGCAGACAUCAGUAAUCUCAUCUUCUGAGAUGGAUGUUGGGGGUGCAUGUGGUGGUGGAGGGGCAAGGUUUCAUUUGGUUUAUUUUGUUGAUGGAUAUUGUCUAGCCCCCUGCGCCAAGUUUGAGGGGUGGUGGGUUGUGAUGGCCCUACAAUUACUAUUAAUUUCUUCCUCUUUUACCGAUUAAAGUGUCCGAACAGUCGAAGUUACCCUUAUGCAUGUCAACUUGAUCACUUACCUCUUCAAUGGAGUUUAUGCUGGUUCAUUUAGGAACUGAUUUUUAUUGUUAUGCAUUCUAUGCUGAUGUUUAGGCCUCUCCAUCAUCACUAUAUACAAAAAUUCUAGGUUGAUACUAUAGGUUGAGAUUUAUUUUUUAAAUAAAAAAUAAUAAAAAUAAAAAUUAUGGUGAUGUUUAGUUGUUUUAUGGAAAAUUUUAACAAGUUAUUUUUGGGCAAGUUUUCAAACAAAAAGAAAAGUAAAAGUUGUUUUGACAAAAACAUAUAGAAAAAAAAAAUCAUAGAAAAGAAAUAAUUUCCCCAUAUUCUAACUUUUUUUAAUUUUUCUCAAUGGGCAAAGGAAUAUCAAAUCAAGUUUGAGUAGGAUUUCUUAAUUUUUAAAAUAACUUACAAUUAAAAAAUUUUGGUGUUUUCAUUUUUGGACAAUUUUUUAUUAAGCAAAUGGACUCUGAGUCAUGCAAGAGAUAUGGUUGAUUAAUGGGUCAAACAAUUUUUUUAAAAUAAUUUAAAACUCAAAUACAUAAUCAAUGUCACAAAAUUUAUAAACAAAAAUAGGUUUAGAGAAGAUCUACACAUAAUUUUACUUUUCUAAUUUUAUUUUAUUUUAUUUUUUUGUUGGAAAAUAGUCUUCAAAUCAUGUAAGAUUUAAUAGGUUAAAUUUGUUAACAAUAAAUUUUAAAUUAUAAAAUAUAAUCUGGAACUUAAAAAUCAAUUCAAGUAAUGCUAAAAAAAAUCAAAUUUGGUAUAGAAUGACUACGUAAAAUUUUUUACAAAACAAAUGAAUUUUAAAUCAAGUGAGAUUUAAUGCAUUAGAUUUUUAUCAAAUAUAGUAAUUUUAAAAUUUAAUUUGGAACUCAACAAUAGACACAAUAAAUACCAAAAAAUAAUGAACCAAAAUUGGUUUGGAAUAACUCCACAACCUCUUUUUUUUUUUUUUGGUGCACACGAAUUUUCUUACUAGGUAUAUUGCUUUCAAAUUGAGAAAGAUUUACUAUUUAGAUUUUUUUUUUUAAUGAGUUUAAUGGUAUUUUAAAAUAAUUCAAAAUUUCAAAAAUUGACUAAUUACUAUUAUAAAUUCAUAAACCAAGACUAAUUCAAAAUGCAUUGGGGGCUAAGGGGGUUGAAAAUAGGGACAAUGGGAUGGGUUUGGGACAUGACACUCAUAUCUCAUUUCCAUUCCAAUUACAUAGUUAUCUCCCAUCCUUAUCCCAAACUUGUGUUGGAGCAAGUUGAUUUGUUCCCAUCUUUGUUGAUGAAAUGACUAAUAACCUCAUCCCCUCCUUAUCUUAGAUGUACAUUUUGUCAAAUUUGAUCAGGUAUGAUUGAUCCAAGCCCUAACCCUAAUUGGUAAUGACUGGAUACUACACCUAAUUGCAUUCUUCUUUCGUCGCAAAAUAAUGAGAUUAUAAUAAUCUAGCAAAUAAGAAAAAAUAGUAUGGAAGUUCAAUUUAACACCAUAACUAUCAAUAAUUUUAAGCUUAUAGAUGACUUAAAUGAUUAAAAACUAAUGCAAAAUACCAAAAAAAAAAGUUCAUAUAAAGAAUUCACAAGAGAACAAAAUGAACAAAAACCAAAUAUGAACAUGGGUCAACAUUAGUUAUGGAUUUGGAUUCCUUUCAAGGCCAAUCUUUGAACCAAGACUUCAUCAAAUCUACUACUUCAAAGGCUUUUGUGUUCUUCUUGGGUUGUGCUCUCAAACAAAGACUUCAAGGUGAUGCUCUAGAUGAUUGCAUUACACAUAUUUAGGGUGGAGAGAUUGGAGAAGCUUGAAGAUGCCAACGAUGGGUACAAUUGAGUGGUCAAUAAGAACAAUGUAGCCUAUGACUAGUUUGAUGUCGUGGUACAAGAGUUUUAGGCAUUGAGGUUAAAGCAAGAGCAACAUGGAAUUGAUUUUGGAGUCUUUCAAUUAGUGUAAAGGAGGAAGAAGUGGUAUUGAUUCUAGAAAUAGGGUUUUAGGUGGUGCGUUAGAGGAUGAAGAAGAAGAAAAAGAAGGAUCUGUUGGAAUUAGUGUGAGUGUGAAGAGAGAAGUAUAUAAAUAAGGGGAAGUAAAAGCAAAGUUCUAAAAGCUAUAUUUUUUUUUAUUGUUGGUGUAUGGUUGCAUGAUUAUCCCUAUAAAUAAUAGGAGUUUUUUUGGUAUUCUACUAGUAGUUGAAGGAUAAUUUCAUAAAUUUAUAUUUAGAGUGGGGUGGGGUGAGUUGUGACAAAAUUCAUACCCGUCCUAAACCUUGGUUCAGAUUUUUAAAAUAUCCUCAAACUUAUCAUAUACCCAACUUUUAUAUUUCAUACUUGUCUUGAUAGAGGCAGGUUAGGCCGGGUUACUUGAGUAACCUACAUAAUUGUCAUCCCUAGUUGAAAUACACUUUUUUGGCAGUGGCCACCAACUGAGCUAGAAGCUUGAUCGAUUGACCUACAAGAUUAGUUCUCAUCAUUUUAAAAAAAGUUUUGGCCUUGGUUGUGAGUGCAAUUGAAUCUAAACUGGCAUUUCCUUAAUGCAUCUACUUCAAUCCUAAAUUUCUUACUUCCUAAGCCUCAAUUGUUGUUAGGAUUUUGGAAAGCCCAUUUCCUUAAAUUGUAAAUUUAAGAAAAAAUAAAAUAAAAGUGAGACAUUUCUUGAUUGAAUAUUGUUAAAGGUCCCUUGGCAUUAAGACUUGGUUGAAGCCUUGGAAGAUUAGUGGAACUCUCAACUUGUGUUUGAAUCUUGAGGAGAGUGGACGUAAGCCAAAAUUUUGUCAAACCAUUAAACAAAUUGAGUUUGAAUCCUCAUUUCUUGAUUUCUUAUUUAUUUGCUUUUUCUUAUUAUUACUUGAAUUGUCAUUUGCAUUCAUUAAUGUUAAAAUUGGUUAUAAUUAACCAACACUAAUUCUCUUUCCCCUUCCCUUUCUUGGGUGUAAACCUAGGUUGGAUUAACUAGAUUAAUUUAUAAAAUCUAUUAAGAUGGUAAAAGAAUAAUUAUUCUUAACACACAUAAGAUCAUCUUCAAUCAAAUGACUCAUUGGCUAAUAUGUUGAAUUUGCUUAUUACUUGCAACUCAAAAUUGUGUUCUAGUUGAUAUGUCAAGUCCCCAGUGUAUGGACAUUAAAUUUGUAGUACGUGAUGGUAAUUAGAUGGUCCAACUCCAAGAAAGUGAUUGAAAACUAGUUCAAGAAAGGUGCAAAAGGGAAUUGUUUUGGUAUUUUCGUUUUUAUUCUUGAAGGUGGCAGAGCUAAAAUUUGUGAAAUCAAGCAAAACAUACUGAAAUUACAUUGAAAGAAAGAAAAUGGGAGUUAAUGUCUUGCAGUAGAUGAUAAGGACUUCAUGCAUGUAGUAUGACCCAUGUCUUGGACUGAUGCCAACUCACGGUUACACUUAUACCCUUGGUUCUCUCUUUACUACCUUGGCUAACCUAGAUCAGGCUAUGAGAUAGGCUCCUCACCACACCAUUACUUGCCCAUUAAUUAGAGACAUUUUCAAGCACUGAGGUAACAUGGUGACACCAAGAGGGUUUAUUCCUCGCCCUCCUCGCCCUCAACAAGUCUAGACUUGGUCUCAAAAAAAUGGAGAAAAAUGAGGUGUCGUUAUGUAGAAAUACAACAACCAUGCCUUCCUCAUUACUUUGAUUCAGAAUGUGAAGGUGAAAUUGAGAAACAGAAACUCUUGAAACCAAAAUGAAAAUUGAUACUUUUACGAAGAAUUACAACAACAUUGGAGGAAGACUACAUUCUUCCUCUUUAUUCCUACAUUUCUACACUACUUCUACUCCACUCCAUAUUUCUACAUACAUCUUUAAUCAGUCUUCCCUCCUUUAUAUAGAGCCAUCUUCACACAAAUUCCGCAAGGUAGAAAAGAGGAAUGAAACUUGGAGCAAGGUUCGACUACUGGCUGUAGCUUGUCAAGGCUGGAAGUGAACCUUUUUUCUUGGCUUUUCUGGGCAUGGGUAGUAACUUGUGGGUUCCUUUUUGGGAUACAAAUGGCUAGAACAUGUGGCACUAUCUUGUUGGAUGAUGUGUCAAGCAUGUGGCAGCCAUCUAGUGGCGAUUAUGUCAAUUUUGGGAUGGAGAGUUGGCAUCCAAUUGCAAAGAAAUAUGACGUCUACCAACAGGCAAUGUAAACCUAUGUAGAUCAUAUGAAGAUAGAGAGGAAAAAUAUAGAAAUGGAUAUAUACCUAGAACUAGCUUUUUAUUAAAUGAAACGGAGAGCCAACAAUGAAGGAAAAUAAAUUUUUUUGGCUUAUAUCAAAGAGUUCACAUUGUGCUACCCUAGGUUUUCUUAAAACUUACUUUUAUGAUAACAAAAAAAAAAAAAAACAUUAUUGUUUAAUCCUUUGUUUUAAACGCAUGUUUAGCAAGUUAUAAAAUGUAAAAAUCUUUCUAAGUUCAAAUAUGAAGAUAUGACAUCAUUUCAAGCAAGAUAGUCUCUAGGAAUUAAUGUAAAGCUAAAUUAAGGUGAAAUUAAAUUAGUUCAAUGCAUUAAUUUAAGAAACUUGACCUAUCAAAAGUACAAAAUUAGAUGAAAUCCAUUUCAAUGGUUAAAAUGAUCAAAAUCAAACUUUUUCUAAGUAUUUUUUAAAAGUAUCAAUAUUGAAAGACAAUUUUAUAUUUAGUCAGAGUUUGGACAAAACCAAAAAGCACACAAAAUCCAAGCGACCAUCUCUAGCUUGGAUGGUCGCUUGAUCUCUAGCUUGUGUACUUGGAAAGCAACAUCGAGAUGAUAUAUAUAUAUAUAUAUAUUUUAUAUAAUAUUGUUUGUCCAAAUUCCCUAAAAAUUAGGCCACCACAUGUUCAUAAUUCUCCCUUCUUGAAUUUGAAAACUCGGACAAUUGGACAAUGCGACACCUAAGUCCGGUUUCUAAAUGCUAAAGUGAAAGGGUAGGUAUGGACCAUUGAAAUGUGAUCACAACUUUUCUCUGUAGCCAUGUUGUCUCUUUUUUCUUUUGCAUGAUUUUCUCACCUUAACAGAAUCAUAGACUUGUUUAAUCUCUAAAUGGGAUUAAUUUCAUCCAGCUUUAAGCUACUAUAUUAUAUCUAGGUGGAGGACUUUUAAGAGUGCAACCGACAUAGAGCACAUGCAAGUGGGUAUAUGGGACAUGAAAUUUCUUCUUAUAAAGAUUGCAUGAUUUUUAUAUUAGAGUUGUUGGGGCGCAAUGUAUGUAGCUUGUUUUGCAGUUAAAUUAAUUGGAUAAGUAGACAUUGGCGUUUCUAAAUCUACUGUGAAGUGCUUCAUGUACGUGUGAAGUAUUAGAAAUUUCUUUCUUGGCAACUUGUUUUUUCUUUGCGGUCUACUGAUAGGUUUGACUAAAAUUAUAUUCCCUGUCAUGCUAAUUAAUUUUCACGUGCAUGCUCAAAAGAAGAGUAUGACCUUAGUGCACCAAAAUCACUUUGAUUAAUUUGUGAUAGGUUUUUGUGCAUCAUGACAUUAGCCUUAUUCAUUUAGAUAAUGUUUAGUUUUUAGAAAGUAUUAAGAAAAGGAAAAUAAAUAUUAAGAAAAAUAUUCUUAUAUUUGAUUGUAUUAUGAAAAAUGUCAUAAAAAAAUCAAAUAUAAUUUAAAUUAAUUAAUAAUUUAUACAUUUUCAAAUUAUUUAAUCUUUAUAUUGAAGAUAUAAUAUAAAUGAAAUGAGUUUUAAGUAUUAUAUAAAAGUGAUUUAUUGAUCUUGCAUAUAUGUAUUUCUUUUUUUUUUCUUCUAUUUUUUUUCUUUAUUUUAUUUUCCUUAUGUUUUCCUCAACAUUUUCCGGAACCAAACAUAGCCUUAGGAAAUCCACAAUUACCUUCAACUGAGUAUAUUCGGUUGUUUUAGCAAUGUUAGGCUGCUAACUUGUGUUGGUACGAACCUGUUAAGCCUAAAGAUGUAAUUAGUUAGGAUAUUCUUUUCCCUCUAGUCUUGUAGCUCCACGUGUAUAGUUGGUUAGGACCUCAUUGUAUAUAAUGCCUGCCCUGUUAUUGUUGAAGACAACAGAGAUAAAUAAUAUUAACAUUUUUCCUCUCAUCUCUCUUUGUUUCCCUCUGUUUUCAUCUCCUCUCUCAUCUUGGUAUCAGAGCCUCCAUGGAUUCUUUCAAAGAAACCUCCGAAUCACCUUCUGCUAGCAUUGUUAAUGUGCAAAACCCAUUAUCUCAGUCAAACAACCUUCCUUCACCAGCAGCCACACCCUCUUUUUCUUUCUUGUCUAUGAAUCAACCUCUCACAGUGAAGCUGGAUAAUGGAAACUACCUCAUCUGGAAGAAUUAGCUUCUGAAUGUCAUCAUUGCGAACAGACUCGAUGAUUUCAUUUAUGGAACUCGACCCUGCCCUCCUUGAUUUCUCAAUCUGCAACAACAAACCCUCACUCCAGAGUACUCGGUCUAGCAGAGAUACAAUCGACUUCUAAUGAGUUGGCUGUACGCAUCCUUGUCCGAAGAUAUAAUGACUCAGAUUGUUGGGUAUUCAACAACUGUGGAGAUUUGGAACGUCCUUAAUCAGAUUUACUCUGCCUCUUCAAUGGCGUGGGUUACCGAGCUUCACACCAAGCUUCAAACGCUCAAGAAAGAUGGACUCUCAGUUGGUGAAUAUAUUCAAAGGCUCAAAUCCAUUUGCAAUAGUCUUGCAGCAAUAGGAGAACUAGUUUCUGAGAAAGACCAGCUUAUCUAUUUGUUCAAUGGAUUAUAUUGUGAGUAUAAUUCUUUUGUUACCUCCAUUCAAAAUCGAUCUGACCAACCAACUAUUGAGCAAAUCCAUAGCCUAUUGCUUAGCUAUGACUUUCGGCUUGAACAACAAAACUCUGUUUCUCUCCAUUAUGCCCAAGUCCGUAUGGCUCAUCUGAACAAGAAACCUUAUAAAUCAACUCCUCAACCUACAUUCAAUCAUAUUCACAUUCAACCUAGAUACUCUUCUCCACCUUUUAAGCCAACCACUAGUCAAUAUCAACCCAGGAUUUUGGGCAAACCACAACCACAACCAUGACAGCCUCAACCUCAAUGGAAACCACAUUUUUCAAUCCAGAAUCAAAAGCCUCAGUGCCAAAUUUGUGGUAAAUUUGGACACACUGCUCUUAUUUGCUUCCAUUGCACAAAUUUGAACUAUUCACCCCAACCUUCUCCUAAAUCUUUCAAUACUGUUCUCACCACAAAUUCCCAGCUCCCUAAUCCUCCAAAAUUUUCUUACCCUACAAUGGCUCAUCCUGCUGCUACGCAUAACACGAUUCCUGAUACAAAUUGGUACAUGGACUCAGGUGCUACACAUCACUUUACUCCGGACAUCAACAUGCUUGACACUGUGACACCAUUUAGUGGUUUAGAACAGGUGACAGUUGGGAAUGGUAAGCAACUCUGUAUCUCACAUCUUGGUACUGCAAAACUACCAUCCUCGUAUUCUCCUCUUGUUCUACAUCAGGUAUAUCACACUCCAAAAAUUUCAAAUAAUCUUAUUAGUGUUAGAAAAUUGUGUUCUGAUAAUAAAGUUUUUGUUGAAUUUUAUGCCACUCAUUUUCUUAUCAAAGAUCAAGUUUCGAAGAGAGUUCUCUUUCAAGGUCAACUUGAUAAUGGCUUAUACAAAGUUCAGUCGUCAUGCUCUCCUUCUACUAUUUCCUUUCAUCCUCAAGUUUUCAUAGCCAACAUCAAGGAUCAAAAUUUGUGGCACAAGAGACUAGGCCACCCAGCUUUAUCUGUUAUUAAUCAAAUCUUGGAUUCUUGUAACAUUGCUCGAACACAGAAAAUUGGUUUUAAUUUUUGUAGUUCUUGUCAAUUAGCAAAAAGCCACAGGCUUCCUUUUUCUCUGUCUCCAUCCAUUGCAGAAAAACCUUUUGAGUUAAUUCAUACAGACCUAUGGGGUCUUUCUCCUGUUCGCUCUAUUUCUGGUGCUCGUUAUUUUUUACUUUUCAUUGAUGAUCAUACUCGUUUUACUUGGUUUUAUUUGCUCAAAACAAAAGAUGAAGCAUAUCCUACUUUUCUCAAGUUUCAAGCUCUCAUUGAAAAUCAAUUUAAUACCAAGAUUAAGGUUGUCCAAUCUGAUUGGGGAGGUGAGUUUCGAUCUCUCUCCAUACUGUUUUCAAAUAUGGGCAUUGUCUAUCGUUUAUCAUGUCCAUACACCUCACAACAGAAUGAGUGGGUUGAGCGAAAAAAUCACCAUGCGGUUGAAAUGGGAUUGUCCUUUCUUGCUCGCUCGGGUAUGCCCUUAUCUUAUUGGCCUUAUGCCUUUCAAACUGCCACUUACCUUAUUAAUCGUCUCUCUACCCCUGUGCUGCACCAUCAAUCCCCUUACUUCGCACUCUAUCACAAAUUCCCAGCUUAUACUCAUCUUAAGGUCUUUGUUCCUCUUGUUUUCCAUAUUUACGCCCUUAUAAUACCCAUAAACUCCAAUACAGGUCACUGGAGUGUGCUUUUCUUGGUUGCAGUUCACACCACAAAGGUUAUCUAUGUCUUGACAUUCAUUCUAGCAGGGUGUAUAUUUCUCGCCAUGUGAUUUUUAAUGAAGAUUCUUUUACAUUCAAGAAUUUGAAAUCUUCUCUCUCUUAGUCUAUUUCUUCUUCCUCUUCUUUAUUAGUUCCUCUGUUCAUUUCCUUGCCUCCCCUCUCCCCAUAUCCUCCUAUUUCUCCAUCUAUAUCUCAUUCUUUUCUCUCUUCUUCUUCUACCUCUAGUACUUGUUCCCCUCUCGUUGCUCCUACCUCUCUUCCUCCCUCUUCACACUUUGUGUCCCAUCUAUUCCACCUCCUUCUCCACCUUCUUCGAGUGUGGACCUGCUUGUACCUUGUGUGAAUACAAAUUUACUUACUUUUUCUCGCACUCACAAUAUUCAUCCUAUGGUGACCAGAUCUAAGGGUUUGUAUCUAUAAACCUAAGUUGCUAUUGAGUGUCUCCAUAGGUUCUCUCACUAAGCCUACUUCCUUUCUUCAAGCUAUUAAAGAUCCUUCAUGGAAGCAAGCCAUGGAAUUGGAGUUUGCUGCCCUUCAACACAACAAGACCUGGCAUCUAGUUCAUUCACCUUCCUCAGGCAAAGUAAUUGGUUGUAAAUGGGUCUAUAAGAUAAAGCUUUAGCCUGAUGGCUAAUUGAGAGAUACAAGGCCCGCUUAGUAGCUUAGGGUUAUCAUCAAACUGAAGGUAUUGACUACUUCGAAACAUUCAGCCUGGUUGUCAAGCCUUCUACUACCGUAUUGUGCUCAGUCUUACUUUUUCCCAGAAUUGGUGUAUUAGACAGCUGGAUGUUCAUAAUGCCUUCUUACAUGGUGACUUAGCUGAAGACGUUUUCAUGGAACAACCACCUGGAUUUGUUGAUCCUCUCUAUCCUACUCAUGUCUGCAAGUUGGAUAAGUCUCUCUACGGUCUUAAUAGUCACCUCGGGCUUGGUAUACUAAGCUGAGUACUUCUCUACUACACUUGGGAUUUGUUACUUCUAAGAAUGACUCUUCCUUAUUUAUUUGUCAUUCGUCUCAUGGGUUACUUCUUGUUCUUGUCUAUGUGGAUGAUAUAAUCGUCACUGGGAGCCACUCUCCUCAAGUUACUCACCUUAUCCAAUAGUUGCAUCAUCAGUUUUCUUUAAAGGAUCUUGGUCAUUUACACUAUUUUCUGGGCUUGGAGGUUCAUCACACCCCUACUGGUAUUCACCUCAGCCAAGCAAAGUAUAUCACUGAUCUCCUUACCCGGGCGGCUAUGUUGGAUGCCAAGCCAUGUCCCACUCCUAUGUCCUCCAACACAUAUCUUUCUCUUCAUGAUGGAGUGGCUCUUGAAAAUGGUUCAGAUUAUUGAAGUUUUGUUGGUGCCCUUUAGUAUUGUACCAUGACACGCCCAGAUAUAGCUUUUGCAGUAAAUAAAGUGUGUCAAUUCAUGCACCAUCCCUCUGAUGUUCACUGGCAGGCUAUAAAACGUAUUCUCCAGUACUUAAAGGGCACAUCUCAUUUUGGUCUCUUCCUACAGCCUUCCUAUGACUUCAACAUCACUUGCUAUACAGAUGCCGACUGGGCUUCCUGCCUUGAUGACAAGUGUAGCACCAGUGGCUACUGCCUCUUUCUUGCCUCUAAUCUGGUUUCUUGGUCAUCUUCCAAACAAAAAGUGGUCUCCCGCUCCAGCGCCAAAUCAGAGUACCGAGGGGUAGCAAAUGGGGCUGCUGAAAUUGCUUGGACUGAAUCUCUUCUUUGUGAACUUUCCACCCACUCGACCUCCCCUCAUUGUCUGUGACAAUAUCAGUGCCACAUACUUAGCUGUCAAUCCUAUUUUGCAUGCCCGCACCAAAACAUGUGGAAAUCGACUAUCACUUUGUCUCGGAACGUGUUCUUCAACGCUCUCUCUCUCUCCAGUUUACACCUUCGGAUGAUCAACUUGCUGAUUGCAUGACCAAGCCUCUCUCCACCCAACGUUUCAUCACUCUACGCUCCAAGCUCACUGUUCUCACUAGACCAAUGAGCUUGAGGGGGGAUGUUAAGCCUAAAGAUGUAAUUAGUUAGGAUAUUCUUUUCCCUCUAGUCUUGUAGCUCCACGUGUACAGUUGGUUAGGACCUCAUUGUAUAUAAUGCCUGCCCUGUUAUUGUAGAAGACAACAGAGAUAAAUAAUAUUAACAUUUUUCCUCUCAUCUCUCUCUCUGUUUCCCUCUGUUUUCAUCUCCUCUCUCAUCUGAACCAAAUGAUCCAUGUUAACCUUGGCUUGGUUUGAUUUGGCUCUAUCUUAGAGAGCUCAAGGAUCACGUCAACUCUGGUUUCUACUAUUCAGGUCCAUUCCCAUAUGAACUGGUUCAAAUUUGAGAAAAUGGUAACAGACCUUUAGUGAUGUUGGUUUGGAGCCAGUUGCCAAACCCGCCCUGAGCUUUACCACUAAUGUCAAGGGAGAAAGCCUUUUGAACAAAAACAAUAGCUUCAAGAGACUGAAUCGUGGAUGAAAUCUGAUCCACAUUUCUUCUCAUUUUGGAAACAAAUGAGAACUUAACUAAGAAGAUUCUACGGCCUCAUAGUGCUUUUCCUGAUCUAAGGUUGGUUCGUUUCCCAAAUUGUGAGAUGCACGGGCCAGACUUCAGAACUCUCACGCUCAGGAGUGUAUCCACGUGGUGGACAUAAGAUGGUGGCUUAAGAUCUGGUGUCGGUGGCUUUACUUUACUAGGAGAGUAGUGUGUCUUCAUCUCAUUCACUGCCGGAGGGUGGCGUAAGCAGUGACGCUAAGGUGGGGCAUAGUCAAUAUCAUUUGCAUUUGACCAUUAUAGUUUUCUCCCGGCUUGAAAGUAACCUUAUCGUGAUAAAGGAUUACUAGCACUAGUUCAGAUGACAGUCAUGUUAAAUUCGGACCAUGUUUGUGUCACAUUAUCAGCAACCAUGUGUUUAUGGUUCAUGCUUUCUGCAACUGAAAUUGAAAUUGAUAUAUAACCAGGUGAACUUCAAUCUAAAUUCUGGAAGUACUCAUGUGAGCGAUGGUGCCCAUCUGCAGAGUCCAUCAAUUGAAAAAUGGAGUGAGUGUAUCUAUAAGAGGGAAGGCUUGGCAAAUGUCCAGUUUUCUGGGAAUUCAACAAGGAUCUAAAAUAGAUUGUUUUCUUUGCUGAUUUCAAUGGUUGAAAUUUGAGAAGAUUGUGUCCCACAUAACACAACUAUUACUGGUCCUUCUGUUGCAAUUUAUCCUCUAAGGCUCUAGCAUGUCUUCCAAUUCCCACUUCCCUGUUACUCCAGGAAAGCUAUUUCUGUCAUUGUGAAGAAGAAAAGAGAAUGUAGAUAUCGAUGCUUUUAAGUGACUGGAGCAUUCAUAUCAGGUGGUCUGCAGCCAUAUAUGCCACUUUGUGAAGAUUGGAACAGUCAAUCACUAGGCUAUAUAUUAGUGUGGCCCAGCCACUUUAAUCAAGGACAAUUCUUCAUACUUAAAAGUCAAAUUCUGCCUUUAGUCUCAUUAUAAAUUGCUGUUUAAAUAUUAAGCAAACAUUUGUUUAAUGCGAUUAAGACAGUACUAACUCAAUACUUGUUCUAUUUUUGGAUGGAAAUGCUUGAUGGUUUCAUCAUUGGAUGGGAUAAAGGUGCAUUCAUGAUUAUGAAUACUUGUAGUUAUAUUUUCAUUCUCUUUUUUCUCAAUGAGACUUGUUGGCACAAUUUUUCUGUUCAGAAACCUACCUCUCCAUGGAAAAUAAGUUGUGAUUGAUAGUACUGGAUAUAUUCAAGAAAGCUAAAUAUAGAUAGCACAAAAUAUUAUCGACAUAAAUAGCAUUAACAGCGUACGUAUGUCUCAGUGCUCAUCAGCCAUAAGCAUGGGGCAAACACUUACGAUGAGCAACUUACGUCAAAAUUCCAGAAUAGGACAUAGAAGUGACAGAUCUAUAUAUAUAGAACACUGCAUAAGAGUCACAAGAAAGGAAAUUACGGGUGCAUAGCAGCUCUUAUUUCACAUACUACUCAUACUGAUCAAAGUCACUCAGUUGGGAUGGGUGGGAGUAGGAGGUUUGUGGGGUGGCUUGUGCGGAGGAGUUGGCAGCUUCUUUCCAGGACCUGGUGGCUUCUCUCCCUUAGGUGGUUUGCCAACUGGGGUUGGUGGCUUGUAUGAGUCUUCAGCAUUCUCUGCAGGAGGGUGACCAGGGUUGUGACCAUAAUGUGGUGGCUUCUCUCCCUUAGGUGGUUUGCCAACUGGGGUUGGUGGCUUGUGUUCUGGGAGUGGCUUCUCCCCCUUGGGAGGUUUUUCCAAUGGGGUUGGUUUGUGUUCAGGAGGUGGCUUCUCCACUGGAGGCUUGUGUUCAGGAGGUGGCUUCUCCACCGGAGGCUUGUGUUCAGGAGGUGGCUUCUCCACCGGAGGCUUAUGCUCUGGUGGUGGCUUCUCCACCGGAGGCUUAUGCUCUGGUGGUGGCUUCUCGAAUGGGGGAUGCUUAGGGUAAUCAGCAAGUGAGGGGGCGGUGAGAACCACCAGGCCAAGCAAGACCACUAGCAAGUAUGUAGGAGACAUCUUUGGGUUUAGACUCAGAUGGUGCAAAACUAGGAGAAUUGUCUUUUAUAGCGGAUCGCACCCAAUAAUGAAAUGACACGUGUCUUUAUGACCCAUGUGUAAUGGGGUCGAUUUGGGUCCUACAGUGUUGAAAACUUCGACAUCCACUUUUGGCCUUUUGCUUUCUCUACAGCCGCCUUGCUUUUUCCCUCUUUCCUUUUGUUUUCCUCCUGCCCCAUUCUAUCAACUAAACACAAUUAUGUAGUUGUUUAAUUCUUAAAUGAGAUAUUAUCCGUCAAUCGUAUCAUAUUUUAUCAACAGAGAACGGAGUGCAAUGUGGCAAUCCAAAGAAAGAAGAUCCAUAAUGCAGCUGUAAUUUUAUCGUUUACUUUUAUCUCUUGGACCACUGCAUUUUUGUUAAGAGGUGCAAUAAUACACGUCUUUAUCUGCCAUUCAAUGUUUACAGUAAAGAGAGGGCACAAAACUCUUCACUGCUCUGCAUGUGUCCCAAAAAUGCAAUUGGACAAAUUAUGAUUUGCAUGCUAAAAAGAGGCAAAUGAGGUUAAUUCGCACCAUAAUUAUUUUGUUUUCUGGACCCCGGGGCCCUUUGGUUGGUUUGGGGGUCAGAAAAUGAACAUCAUAGGGGGUUUUUCCCUUAUGUGCAUUUGUAUCUGAUGGCUUUAACUCGCCUUGUUACUACAAAGAAAUUGUCACAUAUAGGAACUUAUUCCAGGCUGAGUAUCUCCGCAUAGACCCUAUAAAAGAAGACAAGUCAUAAUGAACAUCUAACCUUUGUUCAAUUUGAUUCAAUGCCCCAUUGUGUCCACCUCACAAAUCUGAAUUAUUAUAUCCAUUGAAUACAUAAAUUAAUGAAGAAAAUAUGAAACCCAAGAUACAUCUCUGCACAACCUCAACCCUGGUUGCUAUGUUUCCCUUCUAUUCACAUGAGGAUAUUGAUUACGGAAUAGGGAAACCUAGCAAGGGUUUACUCGGCUCUGGUUUGAUGCUAAUUGCCAAACUUGCAACAAGCCCUGAGUUUGAAGCUCACAGAAGAUGUUAUACAGGCAGGGAAAAACCUUCAGAGUUCGCUGCCAAAGAUAAUUAUUAAGGAGAUAUCACCAAGAGAAUUCCAAGGAGUCUGAAUCAAAGACAAAUUGGUCGUUCGUGGAGGUUCUUACUUUCUUUUGGGUAUAACUCACUGAGGGCACUGUCUUUUUUAUUUUCAUUUCACAUUUAGAGUUCUGUUCUGGAAACAUAUAAAAGGAGCAUCAGUUUGUUCUUGGGUAACCCAUAGUCGUGAGUGGGUCCAUUUGCAUGCUACUUAGUUGAAAAGUUGGACCAUUUGCUCCGACGCCUACCUCCUGGAUUCCAUGCUCGGAUAAAACAAGAAUAAAAAAAUAUUUAUAAUUUACAAAUGGGGGAAAGAAAAAAAUGUCAACAACAAACUAGGAAAAAAGAGUAGUAAAAUUCAUGUCACAUGCUAGUGAGAGAAGGGGUUGUUACACUCACUCGAAGUUCUUUUCAAAAUAUCGCAUGGUAUUUUAUUUUAUGUGUGAGCGCAGUUGUGAAUGGAACGUGCAAAAGUCCAAAUUGGUGACCUUUAAUAAAUAUUUAAAACAAAAAACGAAAAAAAGGAGGGAAAAGGGAUCAGAAAAGAUAAAACAAUGUGUACAAAAGCUCAAUUAGUUUGCAAAUUACUGUUUGGAUUUUGAUAGUAUUUUAUUUGAUGUAAAAGAGAAUUUAAGAUAUUUCCGAAACAAAAGCAUUAGUUUGCUCCAUGUCAAUUUCGGCAUUUCUCAUAUGUUUCACACAUACACAGAAGAGCAUCGUUUUUUAAAGCAUGCAUUUAUGUUGGAUUAAUUUGGAUUUUGUGGGAACUGGGGCAAGGAUCACAUGGAAGAGAGGUUGACUUUUUUCAGUACUUCAAUGGUUGAGACAGGUGAAGGCCUGAUUGAUACUGAAGCCUGAAAUUGCGACUCCGUCAUUUGUCAAAACAUAUGACAGCUUCCAUGCUCUCGUUUGGUUGCAUUGUUCUGUGGUCAUGCAUACAUGCCACUUAGUGAUCAGUCUGUAACUGUCAAUCAUUGGGCUUUGACUGAACAACAUCAGCCAUGUAUAAAUACUUGCAAAUCAAACGGUCUUCUUCCUCCCAUAAGGAAUUUCGGUUUAAUUAUGAAGCAUGCAUUUGGCUGACCAUCAUAAACCACUUCUUUAAAUUGAUGAAUGAUAGUUUUUCAUUCAUUCUUUCAUUCGUUCAUAUACAGAGUAUAUAUAGAGGGUAAUCAUCAUUCUAAGAAUGGGAAAGAAUGAUACAAGGAAAUAAUGAUAUAAAGAAAUAACAACUAAUAUUCUAAUAUCUCAACUUUCCUAAUAUCUAAACAUUCCUAAUAUCUCAACACUAAAUGAUAUAAAGAAAGAAUGAUAUAAGGAAAGCAUUCCUAAUAUCUCAACACUCCUCCUCAAGUUGGUGCAUAGAUGUCAAACAUGUCCAACUUGUCUAAAAAUUUUGAGAACAGUUGACUUGAGACAUCUUUGGUGAGGAUAUCGGUCAAUUGAUCUUCUGAUCGAAUCUUAGGCAAUUCCACAAUCUUAUCAUCCAACUUUUCCUUAAUGAAAAAUCUAUCCAUCUCGACAUGCUUUGUACGAUCAUGUUGUACUAGAUUAUGAGCAAUGUCACAUGCUGCUUUAUUGUCACAAAACAAUCGGAUUGGUUGCCUAGAUAGGUAACCUAAAUCCUAUAAGAGGAGUCUUAGCCAUAAUGCCUCACAAAGUCCUAAAGUCAUACCUCUAAAUUCCGCUUCUGCACUUGAACGAGCGACGACAUUUUGCUUCUUACUUUUCCAUGUCACAAGAUUACCACCUACAAAGGUAAAGUAACCAGAUGUAGAUCGCCUAUCAUCCACUGCACCGACCCAAACAGCAUUAUACUUCUAUACUCUGAUGAUCAACAUUUUUAGCGAACAAAAUUCCCUUCCUAGGAGCAUUCUUCAAAUACCUCAAAAUACGCAUGACUACAUUCAUAUGUUGCUCUCCAGGAUUAUGCAUGUAUUGACUCACUACACUCAAUGUAUAAGCAAGAUCUAGUCUUGUAUGAGCUAAGUACAUUAAUCUCCCCACAAGUCUCUGGUAUCUUCCCUUAUCGAUUGAUACUUGAUUAGGCUCAACACACAAUUUCAGACCUUCUUCUAUUGGUGUAUUAAUAGGUUGACAUCCCGACAUUCCAGUUUCCUGUAGAAGAUCUAAGGCAUACUUUCUUUGAGACAGAAAAAUUCCUUCACUUGAUCGAGAAACUUCAAUCCCAAGAAAGUAUUUCAGACGACCAAGAUCUUUCAUUUCAAAUUCUCUAGAUAGAUACUUUUGCAAAGCUUUUCUUUCUUCAGGAUCAUUUCCUGUAACUACAUGUCAUCCACAUAUAUCAUAAGUGUCGUAAUCUUACCAUGUUGCUUUUUCAAGAACAAAGUGUGAUUUGAAUUACUUUGAUGAUAGCCAAAAGCUCUCAUUGAUUUUGUGAACCUUCCAAACCAUGCUCUCGGGGAUUGCUUCAACCCAUACAAUGACUUCUUCAAUUCGCACACCUUCUGACAUUGCUUUUCUGACACCAUGCAUCCUGGUGGAAGAUCCAUAUAUACUUCUUCAGAUAAAUCGCCAUGCAGAAAGACAUUUUUUACAUCGAACUAUUGUAAUGGCCAAUCUAGGUUUGCAGCUAAAGACAAUAAUACUCGAACUGUGUUGAUCUUAGCUACAGGUGCAAAUGUCUCUGUGUAGUCAAUUCCAUAAGUUUGAAUGUACCCACUAGUCUUGCUUUAAAUCGUUCAAUACUACCAUCUGCCUUGUACUUCACAGUAUAGAUCCAACGACACCCAACUAGCUUCUUUCCUGGUGGACAUUCUACGAGUUCCCAUGUUUCAUUUUUCUGCAAUGAUUUCAUCUCUUCAUUCAUGGUUGCUUUCCACUUUGGAUCAGCUAAAGCUUCCUGCACACUAUUAGGAAUAGCUACAGUAGAUAAUUGAUUUACAAAUGACUUAUUUGAUUCAGACAAACCAUGGUGUGGACCCGCAUUUUUCACGUGCGCCUCUACUCGAUCGGCGAGACUCGCUUUCUAUUUGUGAAAAAUUAAUUUUAGAAAAGUUGGAGUCGCCACCUAUUUUAUUUUUAUUUUGAAGGGAAAAUAAAACAAGAAAGAAAAACCCUAAAAAGUGACUCCAUAGUUUUGGAAAAAGCAUGUCUUUGGGAAACCUGAGUCUAGGUCCGGGGAUCAUGUUACUUAUUGGGAAGGUACCUCUAGGAGGUAGCACCCCUCUAAGCCUUAUGAAGGUCUCUACUAACUAAAUUAAGGGAAGUGUGGCAAUAAAUCGAUUGAUCAUAGAUACCUAAGUAGACUAGGUGAUUUUAAAGUGUGGCAUGUCAAACACAAUCAAAUUGCAAUAAAGGAGAGUUAGGGCGCGUACCUGAACCGCUUCUCAAGCGCUAUCAUAAAACAUCAAUGGUUAAUUUAAAUAAUAUAUCAUCCAGCAUGUAUUUUAUUAGAAAUAAUCAAACAAUGAAACAUGUAUAUCAGAACACUCAAGCAUUAUUAGACAUAAGCAUUAUUUCACUAUUCACAGAAUUCAGAAAGUAGGUGAUAGAGGACAUACCUGGAUAGCAUAGAUAAUUUGUAAUGUGCUUCCUCAAGUUGUAAGGGGUUAGAUAACAAAUAAUAAAAUAUAGAAAUCCUAGCAUGCUCGUUAUCUAAUUAGCAUAGCAAAAGUGAUCACAGUAUACAGAAUCAUCAAUUAUCACAUACAUCUUGUAUAUAAUUCCUAAAAAAAAUAGAUAGACAUGAUUUCAACAAGUGUCAAAUGUGGCAACAAAAAUAAAUUUUGAAAAGAUUUUCUUAUGUAGGGGUUUCACCAAUUCCCCAAAUUAAUAUACACGAAUUUAGCUUAGAAUUAUCCCAUUUAUUUGGGACUACAAGCUUUGAUUCGUGUUUUUGUUCAAAACCAAAAAUUUUUGUUGAAAAUCAAGAAGGAUGCGAACCGAACAAGAUAUGGUUGCAUAUUAUUUUUAAAUAAAUAAAUAAAUAAAUAAAGGAGAUUUUGAUCCUGAGGACUUUAAUGAGUUUUUUUUUUUAAAAUAGAUUUUUAAAAUGAUUUUUUUGAGAAAAGUAUUUUAUUUUAAAAUAAAAGGGAUUAAUUUGGGAAAAAAAUAAAAUAUAAGAAAUAAAAUACCAAACAAAACAAAAAUGAAACCUCAAAGUAAAAUUUUUUUAGUAAUUAACAAAAAUGAUAAUGGUGAUGGUAGAGGGCAAUCUUCAUGAUUUUCCAAUGGCCUCAGAAAGAAAAUCAAAUUAAAUGAAGGAUCACUAACAGGCAAGACAUUCUAAAUUAGACAAACUAACAAAGUAUCAAUUCAUGAACUAACCGCUAGGAUUUUGAAAGCAUAUAAGCUAAGAUAAGGGUGAUCAGGAACUAAUAUUAAUGAUUUUGAAAUAAAAACUAAAAAAAAGGAUCAAUUCGGGUAAGGAACUAAAAUUAUAAAAGUACCUAAACUAAUUAUGACGAGUUUGACUAAAUUAAACUAAAAACAUGAACUUUCAAACAUAGAAUUAAUUUUACUAAUGAACCAAAGCAAACUAAAAAUAUGUACUUUCAAGCAUAGAAUUAAUUUUAUUGAUGAACUAAACUAUAACAAAUAUCUAAACUAAAUAUAAUGAAUCAAAUUAAAUUAAAGCAACUUAAAAACGCAAACUUUCAAACAUAGAAUCAAUUUUAUCAAUGAAUUAAAACUAUAAAUGUAUUUGAACUAAAUAGAUGAAUCAAACUAAAUCAGAGCAAAAUUAAAAAAAAAAAAGAACUUUCUAACAUGAAAUCAAUUUUAUCAACAAAUAAAUGAAUGAAUAACAAGUAAUUAAAAGAAUAGCUACUACAUGAAUAACUGAAUGAAUAAAAUUCAAAUGUUUUCAAUCUGAAGCAAUCAAUCAAAAUUAAAUAGGGAUCAAAUCAAAAUAAUCGAAAUCGGAAAAACAAUAUGCAAUCUUUCUAAAGGUUUAACCAGACAAUUGAAUUAAAAUUAUGAAUAGAAUAAAUUAAUAAACCAAAUCGAAACCUAAAUUGUACCUAAAAAGAUUAAUUAAUUAAACUAAGAAAUCAAAAUCAAUAACAAAACUAAACUAAGGAGUAAAUUAAGACAAGACUAAUUAAAUUAAACUCACAAACACGUUUUAACUAUCAUAUGGAUUAAAACAAAAUUAGCAUGGACUUAUGAAUUACGAACAAAAAUAAUCAAAACUAUUUUAAAAAACUCACCUCUAUUAUAAGAAAAAAUCUGCCUUUGAUGCGUUGAGGUGGCUCCCCUCUCUGUGUGGAUCUCUCUGCUCCCCAGAAAAAAAAUGUCUCUUCCUCCGUUCUCUUUUGUUUCAGCAAAAUAAUAUAUCCCCUGCUGUGGAUCUCUCUACUCCCAGAAAAUAAUAUAUUCUCUCCGUGUCCUAAAGUGGACCUAGGGUGCCUAAGUGGACCUAGGGUGCCUAAAUGGGCCUAGGGUGCCUAAAUGGGCCAAGUGUAUCUAAAUAGGCUUAGGGUGCCUAAGUGGGCCUAAGUCUAAGUGAGCCUAAGUCUAAAUCAAGACUACCAAGGAUCAUAAUAAGGGGUUAGGCAAUCCCUUAACCAAAGUCUCCAAGGUGGCUAAAAAAAAGUAAGUAGUAUGAGUAGCUAUGGGUCACCAAGGAACUACUGUGGAGCAUUGAAAACGAAUUUAAAGACAUGUGCCAAAGGGACAAAAUUGAGGGUCUACAGAUGGUUAGACACAUAGUUGCUCAUGGGAUAUUUGACUUUGGUAAACAAUUCAGAUUCAUAUGUGGGUUUAGGAAUACCUUUAUUAUGACGGUGUGGUAAUCGUUUCAUGAAUGGAUCAGGUUGCAAAUUAAGAACACCCUCAGCAAACAACGAUUGGUUUGGUAUUUCAGUGAAGACAUCUUCGAACCCAAAUUGUUGACCACUCAUAUCCAACUCACCCGCUUCCUGGUUCACUAGUUCAGAUUGUCCAAAUUCAUCAUUCUCAUAGAUAUGAUAAUCAUAAUCGAGAGUCUGAAUUUCCUUAUGGUACUCCCCCUGAAGUUCAGACUUAGAUGAAAAAUACAUCGAAUAUUCAUGAAACAGCNNNNNNNNNNNNNNNNNNNNNNNNNNNNNNNNNNNNNNNNNNNNNNNNNNNNNNNNNNNNNNNNNNNNNNNNNNNNNNNNNNNNNNNNNNNNNNNNNNNNNNNNNNNNNNNNNNNNNNNNNNNNNNNNNNNNNNNNNNNNNNNNNNNNNNNNNNNNNNNNNNNNNNNNNNNNNNNNNNNNNNNNNNNNNNNNNNNNNNNNNNNNNNNNNNNNNNNNNNNNNNNNNNNNNNNNNNNNNNNNNNNNNNNNNNNNNNNNNNNNNNNNNNNNNNNNNNNNNNNNNNNNNNNNNNNNNNNNNNNNNNNNNNNNNNNNNNNNNNNNNNNNNNNNNNNNNNNNNNNNNNNNNNNNNNNNNNNNNNNNNNNNNNNNNNNNNNNNNNNNNNNNNNNNNNNNNNNNNNNNNNNNNNNNNNNNNNNNNNNNNNNNNNNNNNNNNNNNNNNNNNNNNNNNNNNNNNNNNNNNNNNNNNNNNNNNNNNNNNNNNNNNNNNNNNNNNNNNNNNNNNNNNNNNNNNNNNNNNNNNNNNNNNNNNNNNNNNNNNNNNNNNNNNNNNNNNNNNNNNNNNNNNNNNNNNNNNNNNNNNNNNNNNNNNNNNNNNNNNNNNNNNNNNNNNNNNNNNNNNNNNNNNNNNNNNNNNNNNNNNNNNNNNNNNNNNNNNNNNNNNNNNNNNNNNNNNNNNNNNNNNNNNNNNNNNNNNNNNNNNNNNNNNNNNNNNNNNNNNNNNNNNNNNNNNNNNNNNNNNNNNNNNNNNNNNNNNNNNNNNNNNNNNNNNNNNNNNNNNNNNNNNNNNNNNNNNNNNNNNNNNNNNNNNNNNNNNNNNNNNNNNNNNNNNNNNNNNNNNNNNNNNNNNNNNNNNNNNNNNNNNNNNNNNNNNNNNNNNNNNNNNNNNNNNNNNNNNNNNNNNNNNNNNNNNNNNNNNNNNNNNNNNNNNNNNNNNNNNNNNNNNNNNNNNNNNNNNNNNNNNNNNNNNNNNNNNNNNNNNNNNNNNNNNNNNNNNNNNNNNNNNNNNNNNNNNNNNNNNNNNNNNNNNNNNNNNNNNNNNNNNNNNNNNNNNNNNNNNNNNNNNNNNNNNNNNNNNNNNNNNNNNNNNNNNNNNNNNNNNNNNNNNNNNNNNNNNNNNNNNNNNNNNNNNNNNNNNNNNNNNNNNNNNNNNNNNNNNNNNNNNNNNNNNNNNNNNNNNNNNNNNNNNNNNNNNNNNNNNNNNNNNNNNNNNNNNNNNNNNNNNNNNNNNNNNNNNNNNNNNNNNNNNNNNNNNNNNNNNNNNNNNNNNNNNNNNNNNNNNNNNNNNNNNNNNNNNNNNNNNNNNNNNNNNNNNNNNNNNNNNNNNNNNNNNNNNNNNNNNNNNNNNNNNNNNNNNNNNNNNNNNNNNNNNNNNNNNNNNNNNNNNNNNNNNNNNNNNNNNNNNNNNNNNNNNNNNNNNNNNNNNNNNNNNNNNNNNNNNNNNNNNNNNNNNNNNNNNNNNNNNNNNNNNNNNNNNNNNNNNNNNNNNNNNNNNNNNNNNNNNNNNNNNNNNNNNNNNNAACCAAAGGAAGCAUGUUCCAGACGUCGAUGCCACAACCAAAUUUCAGACUUUUUCUUCUCCUCCUUAGAUCCAUCUGCCAUCAAGGCUUGUUGCAACUUAUUUGAAUCCUUUGAUUGCAAGUCCAAGUAUAGAGUUUCCCCCGCUUAAUACGACAACCAAUCGUCUGUCUUGUUUGAAUGUCCUUAAUCACACAAAAUUCAGGCCAAAAAAUGACAAUACAAGAUAAGGCUGCAGUGAUUUGAGAAACUAACAAAAGAUUGUAAUCUAAAGAUGGAACAACUAAAACAGAAUCCAAAUUCAAAGUAUCAGUAAGAGUUAAGGAUCCUUCCCCAAUGACUGGGGUUGUGUUACCAUUGGCUGUGGAAACAAUUUUUUGUGAGGAAGGUCUAAGGGGUGAAACCUGUCUAGAAUCAAAAGUCAUAUGAUCUGUAGCACCAGAAUCAAUUAUCCAUGCACUAUUAAUAACAGGUGUAAAAGUAUUUAAAAACUUACCACAAUGAUCUGUAGCGGCUACUAAUGCAGAGACUUUCUCAACAACAUUAGUCUUUGUUUUUAUUUCGGUAACAGUUGCAAUCAAGGUUUUCUUGGAAUUCUUCUUCCGUUGAUCACGAUUAUUAUCAUUAAUAACAAAGUGUUGAUAGCCUAAACAUGAUCUAAAGGUCCAUGGUGCAAACCCUCGGUUCCUCAUUGUUUUCCUGGUCAUACCAAGAGUUGUUGCUUUGAAAUUGUGGGAUAUCCAGACUGGUGGGAUCAGUUUUAUUGCAGUGAGUGCAUUUGAAUGUUGACUUAUCAAUAUUAGGGCUUGUCUUCGGAUGGUUGAUUGCUGUUGGACUACCAUAGCGACAAAAUAUCCAGGAUUUCAAUUCCAGGGCUCUGAUACCAUCUUCAAAUUGAUGAAUGAUAGUUUUUCAUUCAUUCUUUCAUGUACAGAGUAUAUAUAGAGGGUAAUCACCAUUCUAAGAAUGGGAAAGAAUGAUACGAGGAAAUAAUGAUAUAAGGAAAUAAUAACUAAUAUCCUAAUAUCUCAACUUUCCUAAUAUCUCAAUAUUCCUAAUAUCUCAACUUUCCUAAUAUCUAAACAUUCAUAAUAUCUCAACACUAAAUGAUACAAGGAAAGAAUGAUAUAAGGAAAACAUUCCUAAUAUCUCAACACCACUUCAUGAUAUAUAUAGUUUCUUACCCUUAAUCAAUGGUUUCUAAGUGAAUUUAUAUAGAAAGAAAUCCAAACUGUAGACAGCAGUAUUGGUAACACUCAAUAUUCUGUAUAUAAUAGAAUAAAUAGCGUCACAGUGAUCGUCGCCUACAAGCAAGGUACAAAUACCACAAAGAGUGACCCACAUAGACAUUCCCCAACAAGAUGUAGUAGUGACUGACACAUAGCCACAAUUAACACGUAGAAAAGGAUAAGACCGGUGCACAGUAGCUCUUAUUUUACAUACUACUUAUGCCAACCAAAGUCACUCAGUUGGGAUGGGAGGGAGAUGGAGGUUUGUGCGGUGGCUUGUGGGGCGGAGUUGAUGGCUUCUUUCCAGGAGCUUCUGGCUUUUUCAUCGGAGCUGAAGGAGGCUCAAUCUUAUGAGGCGGCUUGUACGAGUCUUCUUUGCUCUCGAAAGGAGGGUGGCCAGGGUUGUGACCAUAAUGUGGUGGUUUCUCUCCCUUGGGAGGUUUACCAAUUGGGGUUGGUGGCUUGUGUUCUGGGAGUGGUUUCUCUCCCUUGGGAGGUUUAGUGGGUGACUUGUGUUCUGGAGGUGGCUUCUCCACCGAAGGCUUGUGCUCCGGUGGUGGCUUUUUGGUUGGAGGGGGCUUGGGGUAAUCAGCAAGAGAUGGGGUGGUGAGAACCACCAGUCCAAGGAACAACACUAGCAAGUAUGUGGGAGACAUUUUUGAGUUUGGGCUGAUCAGAUGAUGCAAAACUAAAGCAUUACGUGACCUUUUAUAGCAAGUAGCUCCCAAUACCUACUUGACACGUGUUACUGUGACCCAUAAAUAUUAUGGGGUCUAUUUGUGCCCUACCGGGUUGAAAACUUGGACAAUUGGGCAAGGACCCGCCUGACUAUGGAGGACUACUGAGGUGUGAUCACAGCUUUAGGAUUUUUCUUCCUCUGCAGCCGUCUUGCCGUUGGCAUGAUUUUCUUAAUCUCAAAUAAAGGCAUAGUUAUAGAGUUGUUUAAUCUCUAAAUGGGAUUUUAUAUAUCUUCAGAUAGCCAUUAAUACAUUUGAUGAAGAAAGAAAGACAAGUGCAUACAACAUGUAUACGACUAGCUUUCAUGGAGUUCAUUUAUGAUCAGUUUUCCUGUACAUGUAAACCAAGAUCAUAUAUGUUUUUGUUCCACAACAAUUUUGGAAUCUUGUUUAUCCGUUUUUAUCAUUAUAAUGUCACAUAGGCUGCCAACUUGGGCGCUAAAUUAAAGAUCCAGUUGGGCAAGUUCGUUUCAGAAUUUCAAUGGUGGAUUCAGGAAUUGUUUUAUAAGAUAUGCAAAAUAGUAGAGGGAUGAAUAGUGUUUCAUUAAGAAAAGAGCCCUGUAAAAAUAUUGUUUAAAGGUGCCAUAGAAACUAUAAUCAAUAAAUAACUUUUUUUCCCCAUGGGUGGUGUUUCUUGUGGGGAUCAGUGACUGGUUUGAGUCAACGCCGUGUCUCUUUAGUCCAGAAAUCAACUAUUUUAUGCAUUGAAUACAUCAACAAAGAAAAUAUGAAAGCCAAAUGACACCUCCCCCGCAAAAACUAAACCCUGGUUGCUAACUUUCUAUGUUUCAGUUCCAUUCACACAAGAAUAUUAGUUCAAGUUUGAGAAAAAUGGCGACUUACCUAGUGAUAACUCGGUCUUGGUUUGCGAUUUGACUUUAACGUCAUGGGUUGAAGCCUCCUACAAUCAUCGUGUAUGCUAGUUCAAAGCUCGUGGAAGAAGUUAUACAGGGAGGGAGAAACCUCCACAGCAAGCUCCAAAAGAGAAUUAUCACAUUGAAAGCUCCAGUUGAACACUGGGUGAAAGCCAUAACAAGAUUGGUUUUCUAUCGCUCUUUUAAGUAAUGGAAGAUUAUUAUCUCUGCUUGUCACUACAACCGUGCAUGCUGCUAGAUCUUUCUAGACACUUCAAACAGUGAAACCAAGUAUGAUUCUUUUUCUCUUGAGUGGGUCCACUUGCAUGCCAAUGAACGAGUUGAAAAGUUGGACAAUUGGCCACAGCGCGCACUUACCUUCUGGAACCGAAGGUCAGUGAAGUGGGGUUCCUUUUGGCCCCUUGUGUUUCUGUUCCAACCUACUCCAGGAACCGAAGUUCAGUGAAGUGGGGCUACUUUUGGCCUCUUGUGUUUCUGUUCCAACCAAACAAAAAUGGGAGGGAAAAAUAGCAUUAUGCUUGUGCUAAAGAUCAACGCAUGAUAGCUGAAUAAGGGAGAAAAAGGCAUUGCUAUCUCAAUUUCAUAAACUUGAUAAGUAGUGACAUUAAUAGUCUUCCUCAUAGAUGGAUACAUGGUUUUAUUUUAUUUAUUUAUUUUUAUUUUUUUGUUUUAUGUCAAUGCUAAUGAAUGAAGUGCAUUAGCUUGUUUUGUGACUAGAACUACAAAUGUCCAAAUUGGAGCUUCUCCAAUAUAUUUCUCAGUGAGUUAUUGAUUAGAACUCUUGGAUUGAGUUCCAAGAUUUGAAUCAGACCCCUCUAGCAGCUUCAGGGGUACGUAGCAACCUAUAGCAUAUUAAUGAAGACUUAGGAUUUAGACUUAGGAAUACAAAUUAAUAUGUACCUCAUGCUCUGACUAGCUUCCCUGCGUAUGCACAAAAUGGAGAUGACUCCCAAAAAAAUAGCAGAAUCGCCUUAGUAUGUUUUUGUGGUUAAGAUGAUUCUCCACUUUAUAUAUCCACAUUGGUUCAUUAUGCAAAUUAAUCAACUAAGCUAUUUUUAUUUUUUCUUAAAUGUGAAAUAGGAGCUCCAAAUUAACCUAACCAUUGGCCUGAUUGAAUUGAUUUCACUUGCAUAAUGUUAUAGUAGAAGUCCGUAAUUUGAAUUUUAUUUUUGCAAAAGGUAACGUAAAUGAAGCAUUGUAAUUAAAUUUAUUUGUAAUUACAAACUAAUUUUAUUUUAUUAAGAAUUAAUUUAAUUACUCAUUUAAAAUAAAAAUCAGUUAUACUUUUACCAAGAUGAUAAUAUUCAUAUUUUUCUAGUUAACAUAUAUAAAAUAGUACACUUUUUCAUAUAAAAAAAUAAUUUAUGAUUUAUUAUAAUGUUACUAUUCACAUUUUACUAAAUUGAUGGUACAUGAUAGUGAGAGAAGGGGGUGUCACACUCAGCUAAAGUUCUUUUCAAAAUAUUGCAUGGUGUUUAAUUUUAUGUGUCGGCGCGCGUGUGAAUGGAACCUGCAAAAGUCCAAAUUGGCGUUUCUCCAUUUUCCACAUAGGAUGGUGACGUUAAUAGACAAAGAUACAAUAUCUGUAGACAUUGCUUAAAAAUCGAUGUGAAGUAUUAGAAAUUACAGGGCACUGUACUGGGGGAGCGGCUGCCCCGCCAAAGGAGGAAGAAUGUAGCAAUUUCUUCUGUUAGCCAGGCCUUAGGAUUUAUGCAUGGGAUGCCUAAUAACAAACAGAGAAAAUAUACUUUUGGGGAAGGUAUCCAACAACAGACACCAUCAUUCAGAUGGUGGGAAGGUAUCCAACAGAUGCCAUCAUUCAGAUGGUAACAUAUAUAUACAUUUAUUAGUGAGUUUUUUUAAUACCUAUAAAAAAAAAUAUACACUUUGAUAUUGUGGCUGAAUCCAUUACAUACUCAACUAACCUUGCUCAUUAGGGAUUUGACUUAACAAGGGCAACGUUGCAGUACAAGCUCAAAACUUUAUGCAGGUGACAUUACAUUUGGUAAAGAAGAGGAAAAUAACGAAAGCCAUCCAUAAAAGCAAAAUUCCACAUGGGAUGAAAUUCACAAGCUUCAUUUACGAUAGAGUCGCAUCCAGGCAAUUAAUUCCACAUUAGACCGCCUGUUGACAUGUGUACCAAUCUUUUUUCAAAAAAUAUUUAUAAAUAAUUGAUACUCACAAAAAUAAUUUAAUAUUUAUAAAGGAUAAAAAAAUAUUUUCAAAUCUAUAACAAUUUAUAAAAUAUUAAUAAAAAAUUAUCUCUUAAACUUAGUAUAGUUUUAUCAGAUUAAACUUUUAUUUUGAACAAAUAAUUUUAAUCUAAGUUUUAAAUUCUAAAAUUAUUUCCUUAAAAUAAAAUUUUAAAAUUCAACACUUCAAUUGAAAUUGUCUUUUUAAAAAAUAUCUUCUUAUUUUAAUCCUUAUAAACUAUAGUUGAUUGAAAAUACUAUUGAAGUUCUCUCUUAAAAAAAAGUCUUAUUUUAAUCUUCAUAAAUUGCCCUUGAUUUGAAAAUAAAUUUUCAGUUAUCAUAUUUUAAAUAAUAUCUAUAUUUAAAAUACUCUAUUUAAAAAAAAAUGAACUAAUUUUAAUUAUAUUAUAUUUUAUUUUUUUAUAUAUUUUUAAUGAUAAACCAAACAUAGAAAAUCAUUUUUCUAAAUAUUUUAAAAUUUCUAAGCAACCAAACAUAAUCUUCAAAAUAAAAGGAAAAUAAGGAGGGACAUUUGAGAAAUGGCGAUUAAAAAAAAGUGUACAAAAGCUCAAUUAAUUUUCUUCUAGUCUUUUAUAUAAAAAAGUAAAGGAAUUGAAAAGUAUUGAUAUGUAAAUUAAUAUUUGGAUUUUAAUAGUAUUUUAUUUGUCUUUCUCUAUCUCAUGUAAAAGAGAAUUUAAGAUAUUUCCUAAAGCAAAGCAUUAGUUAUCUGCAAUCAGUGGUGAUCAUGCCCCAUGUCAAUUUCGGACCCAUAUCUUAAAACUGUAUAAUUUGCAUUCAAACAUUACUGAUUUCUCAGAUGUUUCAUACUCCACAGAAGAGCAUUGUUUGUGAAAGCAUGCAUUUAUGUUGGAUUUUGGAUGAUGUGGGAACUGGGGCAAGGAUCAUAUGGAAGAGUGGUCGAUUUUGUUCUGUACUUUAACAUUUGAAAUAGGAGAAGCUCGGGCAUUUGUGGGGCUUAAUUGAUUUUGAAGCCUGAAAUUGCGUUUCUGUCAUUUUGUAAAAAAUAUGGCAGAUUCCAUGCUCUCAUAUGUUUGGUCUGUGGCCAUGUAUAGAUGCCCCUUAGUGACCAGUUUGUAACUGUCAAUCAUAGUGUUUUGACUCUGGCUCAACAACAUCAGCCAUUGACGGAUUUUCAUACUUGCAAAUCAAAUAGUCUUCUUCCUCCCUUAGGAAUUUCGGUUUAAAUGUUAUUAAGCAUACAUUUGGCUGACAAUUAUUAACCACUUCAUGAUAUGGUUUCUUACCCUUAAUCAAUGGUUUCUAAGUGAAUAUAUGCAGAAGGAAAUCUGAACUGUAGACAGCAGUAUUGAUAACUCUCAAUAUUCUUUAUAUAAGAGAAUAAACAACGUCAUAGUGAUCGUCGCCUACAAGAAAGGUACAUUUCCCAACAAGAUGUAGUUGUGACUGGUACAUGGACGCAAUUAACUCGUACAAAAGAAUAAGACCAGUGCACGGCAGCUCUUAUUUUACAUGCUAAUUAUGCUAACCAAAGUCACUCAGUUGGGAUGGGAGGGAGAUGGAGGUUUGUGCGGUGGCUUGUGGGGCGGAGUUGGUGGCUUCUUUUCAGGAGCUUGUGGCUUUUUCGGAGCUGAAGGAGGCUCAAUCUUAUGAGGCGGCUUGUACGAGUCUUCUUUACUCUCGACAGGAGGGUGGCCAGGGUUGUGACCAUAAUGUGGUGGCUUCUCUCCCUUAGGUGGCUUGCCAACUGGGGUUGGUGGCUUGUGUUCAGGAAGUGGUUUCUCUCCCUUGGGAGGUUUACCAAUUGGGGUUGGUGGCUUGUGUUCUGGGAGUGGUUUCUCUCCCUUGGGAGGUUUAGUGGGUGACUUGUGUUCUGGAGGUGGCUUCUCCACCGGAGGCUUGUGCUCCGGUGGUGGCUUCUCCACCGGAGGCUUGUGCUCCGGUGGUGGCUUCUUGAUUGGAGGGGGCUUGGGGUAAUCAGCAAGAGAUGGGAUGGUGAGAACCACCACUCCAAGGAACAACACUAGCAAGUAUGUGGGAGACAUUUCUGAGUUUGAGCUGAUCAGAUGAUGCAAAACUAGAAGAAUUACGGGACCUUUUAUAGCAAGUAUCUCCCAAUACCCACAUGACACGUGUUACUAUGACCAUAAAUAUUAUAGGGUCCAUUUGUGCCCUACCGGGUUGAAAACUUGGACGCUUGGCCGAGGACACACCUGACUAUGGAGGACUAUUGACGUGUGAUCACAGCUUUUGGAUUUUUCUUCCUGUGCAGCUGUCUAGCGGUUGGCAUUAUUUUCUUAAUCUUAAAUAAAGGCAUAGUUAUAGAGUUGUUUAAUCUCUAAAUGGGAUUUUAUAUAUCUUCAGAUAGCCAUUAAUAUAUUUGAUGAAGAAAGACAAGUGCAUACAACAUGUAUACGGCUUGCUUCAAUCGAGUACAUUUAUGAUCAGUUUUCCUGUGCAAGUAAACCAGUUUUUUGUUCCACAACUAUUUUGGAAUCUUGUUUAUCAGUUUCUAUCAUUAUAAUGUCACAUAGGCUGCAAACUUGGGCACCCAAAGAUCUAGGUGGGCAAAUUUGUUUCAGACUUUCAAUGGUGGAUUCAGUAAUUGUUAAAAGGUGUUUCUUCAUUAAGGAAAGAGUCCGGUAAAAAUAUUGUUAAAAGGUGUCAUAGAAACUAUAAUAAAUAAAUAACUUCUUUUCCCCAUGGGUGGUGUUUCUUCUGGGGAUCAGUGACUGGUUAGGGUCACCCAAAAUGAGUCCAGAUUAAAAUUGGUUCGAGUCAAAGCAGUCUCUUUUGUCCAGAAAUCAACUAUUUUGCGCAUUGAAUGAAUCGAUAAAGAAAAAAUGAAAGCCAAAUCACACCUCCCCUGCAAAACCUAAACCCCGGUUGCUAACUUUCUAUGUUUCAGUCCUAUUCAUAUAGGAAUAUUGGUUCAAGUUUGAGAAAAAUGGCAACUUACCUAGGGUUUACUUGGUUUUGGUUUGCGACUAUUUACGCAACCAACCAUGAGUUUGACUUUAACGUCAUGGGUUGAAGCCUCCUACAAUCAUGUAUGAUAGUUCAAAGCUCGUGGAAGAAAUUAUACAGGAAGGAAGAAACCUCCAAAGCUAGCUCCAAAAGAGAAUUAUCACAUCGAUAGCUCCAGAGAUUCCCAAGGGAACUGAAUCAAAGACAAGUUCCUCACUUUUUCUUCUUUUGAGGCCAAAUAUGAACCAAGGAUCACACGACCUCAUUCAACUUCAUAAGUUUGAUUUCAUGCAGUUGAACACUGGGUGAAGGCCAUGACAAGAAUUGAUUAAAAAAUUCUACCACUCUUUUAAGUAAUGGAAGAUUAUUAUCUCUGAUUGGCACCACAACAGCACAUGCUGCUAGAUCUUUCUAGACACUCCAUGCAAUGAAAGCACAAUGGAUCUUGUAAUGAUAGAAACUAAGCCAUGCUACAGUACUAGAUGAGGGGGUAAAACUAGUAGACAUCUUUCUAGACACUCCAUGCAAUGAAAGCACAAUGGAUCUUGUAAUGAUAGAAACUAAGCCAUGCUACAGUACUAGAUGAGGUGGUAAAACUAGUAGACAUGGCUGGCAGUUGAUUACUACUCAAAAAGUACUCUUUUAUAGCUUGAAACUAACUGUUUUAAACACUUUUGAGUAGUAGUUAAUACCUUUUAACUUAAUUGGCACAUUAAGGAACCUAGCAAGGGUUACUAAUCAACAUUUGGCAAGUUUUGAUGUUUUUGGUAGCUAUUUGAUCAUUGAAACAAGCCAAGAAUGAGGGGGAAUUUUGUGAAGUCCAUGGCAAUGCAAGUUAAAGCUCAAAUACAUGAAGAAUCCAAGCUUUGGAGCACUUCAUAGCCCUUUGCCAAGCCAAUCAAAGAUGCAAGGAAGAAAACCAAAGGAAGAAAUCCAACAAUCAGCAUUUUGGCAUGGCUAUGUGAAAUUUCGCACACCAUGCGAAACCACAAGAGGCAGCCAAAGAAUUUCGCAUGGUAUGCGAAAUCUUCUUGUGCACUGACUCUGUUAGAUUUUUAUCUUCAGAUAUUUUGUGUAAUUUCCUAGUUUCUCCUUGUAACCAACUUAGAUAUUUUCUUUUAUAUCUUUUUUUAUAUUUUUUAGGUAACAUCAUAUAUAAGAGGAGAGACAUAAGGAGGAUAUGGAUGUUUUUCAUAGAACACUUGUAAAUUUUUGGUAGUAAGAAAUAUACAAAGCUUUUUGCUCUGCCUUACCUUCUCAAGGGAUGAGUGGCUAGGUUUUCUUGGAGUGAGGGAAGCUAGGUGAAGGACCUGAAUGCAAAGGUGGGAGUUUUCCUUACUUUAAAUGAAAGUAGUUGUUAAACAUUAAUGGUUUUUAUUUUAAGGUUUAGCUUUAAAUCCCUGAAAAACACCUUGAAUGGCCAAUACUUGGUAAGCUUUUUAGAUUCUAUGGAUGCUUAUUGCUAGAUCCAUGGAUGUCUAUUAGUUAUCAUUUACGAGCCAUUGGAAGGUGAUUCAAGGUGAGGGUCUUUAGUGUUUGAAGCCAUUAAUGGGAAGCAAUUACCAUUUUUUCAUGAAUCCUUUGGAUCAAAUCUUAAUUGCUAAAUAUAAAACCGGUUUCGAGAGAUAACCACCAUCCUUUAUGUUAUUAUCCCCAACGCGAGGAGAAGAUCCGAAAUCUUCCUUUUUAUCUAAGGAACCCGAUCCUAGUGACCUAAAGCUCCAAGAUACCUUUUCUUUGUAGUUAACUUCAUUUAUUGUUUUUGCUUAACUUAAAAUCAAUCUUUGCAACCACAAUUCCAUUUUCUUUAAAAGCUAAUUUUUAUAAGGAAAAACACCAUUUUAUUUCCUUCACUAAGUCAACUGUACGAUGAAAACCCAUCCCUGUGGACGAUCCUAGAGCCACUAUACUAUGUUAGCUAUGCUACCCUAGUGUGAGGUGAUUUAGGUUUUAUAAAUUUUUUUGAUAACACCCAUCUGAGCCAGAAUCAAAUGGCACGACUGAACCAGGGACGAAUCAAAUGACGCCGCUACCAAGGAUGGUGCCAAAGUACAUUGACAUGACUUUUGGUGAACACUUGUGAUCUUCACCACAAGUUUGGUGAUUUUUCUUUUACUAAUUUUUUUUAUUUUAGCUUAUCUUUUAUUUAGUUUUUAGUUAACCUUAAAUUUUUCCUAGAAUUGUAUUUCUUUUGUUUUCUUUGUUUUUGUUUCAGUGAUCUUUAGUUGUGCAUGCCCUAUUGGAUAAGAGAUAUUGAGGGAAUACUUGUGAAGAUUGAAACUCCUCGAGAAACUGAGUUAGAAGUGUGCUUGAACAUCAUGGAUGUUCCACCUGAAGACCAGAAUAGCCAACAUGGUUAAGAGGAUAAUUUCAACACAUACCGAUCCAUGAGGAACCGCAUACAUCCACCUUGUAUGAGUGCACCGUCAGGCAUAAUGCCUCCCACUGAGCAGCUAGUAAUCUGACCUCACAUUGUGCCACUCCUACCUACUUUCCAUGGGAUGGAGAGUGAGAAUCCCUACUCGCAUAUUAAGGAAUUCGAGGAGGUUUGUAAUACAUUCCAAGAAGGAGGAGCUUCAAUUGACUUGAUGAGGCUCAAGCUAUUUCCUUUCACUUUGAAGGAUAAGGCCAAGAUUUGGCUUAAUUCUUUAAGGCCAAGAAGUAUCCAAACUUGGAUUGAUUUGUAAGCCGAGUUUCUUAAGAAGUUCUUCCCUACCCAUAGGACCAAUGGUUUGAAAAGGCAAAAUUUGAACUUCUCAGUUAAAGAGAAUGAGAAAUUCUAUGAGUGUUGGGAGAGCUACAUGGAAGCUAUUAACGUUUGUCCUCACCAUGGCUUUGACACAUGGCUCUUAGUGAGCUAUUUUUACAAUGGUAUGUCUUCUUCAAUGAAGCAACUCCUAGAAACUAUGUGUGGAGGAGACUUCAUGAGUAAGAAUCCGGAGGAAGCCAUGGACUUUUUGAGUUAUGUGGCUGAAGUUUCAAGAGGAUGGGAUGAACCAAAUGCUAGAGAGGUGGGAAGAAUGAAGUCUCAACCUAAUGCUAAGGGUGAGAUGUAUGUUUUGAAUGAAGACAUUGACAUGAAAGCAAAGGUUGCAGCUAUGGCAAGGAGAUUGGAAGAGCUAGAAAUGAAGAACAUACAAAAAGUGCAAGCCAUUUCUGAGACAUCAAUGAAAGCUAUGCCUUGUUCCAUUUGUCAAUCUUAUAAGCACCUAGUGGAGGAGUGUCCUACAAUUCCAGCAGUGAGAGAGAUGUUUGGUGAUCAAGCAAAUGUUAUUGAUCAAUUCAAGCCUAAUAACAAUGCUUCAUAUGGCAACACCUACAAUUCAAAUUGGAGGAACCAUUCAAAUUUCUCUUGGAAACGAAAGCCACCUCAAUACACACAACCUACUCAAGCACCUUAGCAAUCCUCGAAUCUUGAACAAGCUAUUGUGAACCUUAGCAAGGUUGUGGGAGACUUUGUGGGAGAUCAGAAGUCCAUCAAUGCUCAACUGAAUCGGAGAAUUGACAGUGUGGAGAGUACAUUGAACAAAAGGAUGGAUGAGAUGUAAAAUGAUCUGUCUCAAAAGAUAGACAAUGUCCAAUACGUAAUCUCAAGGCUUACCAACCUCAACACAGUGUAAGAGAAAGGAAAGUUUCCUUCUCAACCUCAUCAAAAUCCUAAGGGUAUCCAUGAAGUAGAGGCUCAAGAGGGAGAAUCUUCAAAGGUGAGGGAAGUCAAAGUAGUUAUCACCUUGAAGAGUGGUAAAGAGGUUGAUCAACCCACAUCCAAGCCAAAGCAUAAUGAAGAGAGUGUAGCAGAAAAAGAAAAGAGAGGAAAAUAAAGGAAUUAGAAUAGAGAAAAAUACAAAGAAAGAUGACCAUGAGUCUAGUGUGGAUGAAGAGCCCGAGAGGAUGGUGAUCAAGGAAGAUAUGAUGAAGAAACACAUGCCUCCACCUUUCCCCUAAGCUUUGCAUGACAAAAAAAGAACCAAUAAUACAUCAGAAAAUUUUGAAGUAUUGAGGCAAGUGAAGGUCAAUAUCCCUUUGCUAGACAUGAUCAAACAAGUGUCGACAUAUGAAAAAUUCUUGAAGGACUUGUGCACUGUAAAGAGAGGGUUGAAUGUGAACAAGAAAGCUUUAUUGACCGAGCAAGUGAGUUCCAUCAUACAGUGCAAGUCCUAGUGAAGUACAAAGAUCCGGGUUGCCGUACCAUCUCAGUGAGUAUUGGAAGGACUUGUGUGGAGAAAGCUUUGUUGGACUUGGGAGCAAGUGUGAAUUUGCUAUCCUACUCUGUCUAUAAGCAGUUGGGAUUUGGAGAGUUGAAGCCAAUAUCCAUCACUCUAUCUCUAGCGGAUAGAUCAAUGAAGAUUCCAAGAGGGAUGAUCGAAGAUGUCCUGGUUCAAGUUAACAAAUUCUACUAUCCAGUAGAUUUUGUUGUUCUUGAUAUGGAUCCGGUUGUCAAAUGAACUAAUUAUGUUCCUAUCAUACUUGGAAGACCCUUCCUAGCUACAUCAAAUGCAAUCAUCAAUUGUAGGAAUGGAGUCAUGCAACUCACAUUUGUCAACAUGACAUUAGAGCUCAACAUCUUCCAUUUGUACAAGAAGCAUAUCCAUCAGGAGGAAAAAGAAGGUCUAGAGGAAGUGUGAAUGAUUGACACUUUAGUGGAAGAGCAUUGUGAUCGAGAAUGCAAAAAGAUUUAGUUGAGAAUUUUGGGGAUCUUGAUGAAAGGUUACUUGAACCCUCAGAUUUGCUUGCUACCCUACUCCAUUGGAAGAGAAGAGAAGAAAUUCUACCCUUAUUCAAUGAGGAGGAGACGCAAAGAGCUGCAAAGGAGAAACCCCCAAAACUUAUUCUUAAGCCACUACCCACAGAGUUGAAGUAUGUAUACUUGGAAGAAGACAAGAAGUGCCCUAUUGUUAUAUCUUCAACUCUUACCAUUCAUCAGGAGGAUUGUCUACUUGAAGUCCUUAGAAGAUGUAAGAAGACAAUAAGGUGGCUAAUUUCUUAUUUGAAAGGGAUCAGCCCUUUAGUCUGCACCCAUCAUAUUUACAUGGAGGAUGAAGCUAAGCUAAUUCAUCAACCUCAGAGAAGGUUGAACCCUCACAUGCAAGAGGUGGUUCGAGCUGAAGUUCUGAAGCUACUUCAGACCAGUAUUAUUUACCCCAUAUCAAAUAGCCCAUGGGUGAGUCCUACUCAAGUUGCGCCAAAGAAGUCUGGGAUCAUGGUGGUGCAAAAUGAUAAGGGAGAAGAUGUCUCUACACGCCUCACUACAGGUUGGAGGGUGUGUAUCAAUUACAGGAGGUUGAAUGCAGUGAUAAGAAAGGACCAUUUCUCAUUGCCCUUUAUUGAUCAGGUGCUUGAGAGGGUCUCUGGGCUUUUUUUUUUAUUGUUUCUUGGAUGGCUACUCCGGGUACUUUCAGAUAGAAAUUGAUGUUGAAAACCAAGAUAAGACCAUUUUCACAUGCCCAUUUGGAACCUAUGCAUAAAGGAGAAUGCCUUUCGGCUUAUGCAAUGCACCCGCAACUUUCCAAAGAUGCAUGUUAAGCAUUUUCAGUGAUAUGGUGGAGCGUAUUAUGGAAGUCUUUAUGGAUGAUAUCACCAUUUAUGGAAGUGCAUUUGAUGAAUGCUUGGUCAACUUAGAAGCUGUUCUGAACCGAUACAUUGAGAAAGACUUAGUGCUUAACUGGGAGAAGUGCCAUUUCAUGGUACACCAAGGGAUUGUCCUUGGGCACAUUAUCUCCAAGCAAGGCAUUGAAGUUGACAAAGCAAAGGUUGAACUCAUUGUUAAGUUGCCAUCCUCAACAAAUGUCAAAGGAGUAAGGCAAUUCUUUGGCCAUGUCGGGUUCUAUAGGAGGUUUAUCAAGGAUUUCUCUAAGCUUGCAAGGCCUCUUUGUGAAAUAUUGGUGAAUGAUGUUAAAUUCAUAUGGGAUGAUGGAUUUGAAAGGAGUUUUGAAGAAUUGAAGCUAUUUUUGACAACCGUACCAAUAGUGAGGGCUCCCAACUGGCAACUGCCCUUUGAAGUAAUGUGUGAUGUCAAUGAUUUUGCUAUAGGAUUUUUUCUUGGGCAAAGAGAAAAUGGAAAACCUUAUGUGAUCUACUAUGCGAGGAAGGCAUUGAAUGAGGCACAAAGAAACUACACAACCACCGAGAAAGAAUUGUUAGCUGUAGUUUUUGCCUUGGAUAAGUUUCGCGCUUACUUGGUGGGGUCCUUCAUCAUGGUUUUUACUGAUCACUUUGCUUUGAAGUAUCUGUUGACUAAGCAAGAUGCUAAAGCAAGGCUGAUUAGAUGGAUUCUCUUACUUCAAGAGUUCAAUCUCCAUAUCAAAGAUAAGAAAGGAGUGGAGAAUGUGGUAGCAGACCACAUUUCAAGGCUAGCUAUCGCACAUAAUUCCCAUGCUUUGCCCAUUAAUGACGAUUUUCUAGAGGGGUCUCUCAUGUUGGUGGAAGUUGUCCCUUGGUACGCUCACAUUGCUAACUACCUGGUCACGGGAAAAGUUCCAAGUGAGUGGAAAGCACAAGAUAAGAAGCACUUCUUUGCAAAAAUUCAUGCCUACUAUUGGGAAGAGCCAUUUCUAUUCAAGUAUUGUAUGGAUCAGAUAAUAAGGAAGUGCGUUCCUGAAGAAGAGCAACAGGGGAUCCUUAGUCAUUACCAUGAAAAUGCAUGUGGAGGCCACUUUGCUUAUCAAAAGACAGCCAUGAGGGUGUUGCAAUCGGGUUUCUGUUGGCCAUCACUUUUCAAAGAUGCCCACACCAUGUGCAAGAGUUGUGAUCGAUGCCAGAGGCUUGGGAAGUUGACACGCAGGAACAUGAUGCCUUUGAACCCCACUUUAAUAGUUGAUAUUUUUUAUGUUUGGGGCACUAACUUCAUGGGACCUUUCCCUAUGUCUUUUGGCUACUCUUACAUCUUGGUAGGAGUAGAUUAUGUUUCUAAGUGGGUUGAGGCAGUCCCAUGCAAACACAAUGACCAUAGAGUGGUUCUCAAGUUUCUUAAAGAGAAUAUCUUCUCAAGAUUUGGGGUGCCCAAAGCCAUAAUUAGUGAUGGGGGUACUCAUUUUUGCAACAAGCCUUUUGAAACUCUCCUAGCCAAGUAUGGGGUGAAGCAUAAGGUAGCUACACCUUACCACCCUCAAACUCAUGGACAAGUUGAGUUAGCAAACAGGGAGAUUAAAAACAUAUUGAUGAAGGUGGUGAACACAAACAGAAAAGAUUGGUCAGUCAAGCUUCUUAAUUCACUAUGGGCAUAUAGAACAACUUACAAGACCAUUCUCGGGAUGUCUCCUUAUCGCCUAGUUUAUGGCAAAGCAUGCCAUCUCCCUGUGGAAUUGGAAUACAAAGCUUGGUGGGCAAUCAAGAAGCUCAACAUGGAUUUGAGCAGAGCUGGGUUGAAGAGGUUCUUAGACCUUAAUGAGAUGGAGAAAUUGAGAAAUGAUGCCUACAUCAAUUCAAAAAUUGCAAAAGAAAAAUUGAAGAGGUGGCAUGAUCAGUUGAUUUCCCGCAAGGAUUUUCAAAAUGGACAAAGAGUCUUACUUUAUGACUCUAAACUCCACAUCUUUCCGGGCAAGCUGAAAUCAAGGUGGAUAGGUCAUUUUACCAUUCACCAAGUGCAUUCAAAUGGAGUAGUGGAACUACUCAACUCCAACAAUAUCGAGAACUUCAAAGUGAAUGGCCACCGUCUCAAGCCCUUUGUGGAGUCUUUUUCUCACAACAAGGAGAAAUUCAUCCUCCUUGAUCCACAUCAAGCUUAACAAGACCAAUUUUCUUGAUGGACUUAGUCUUUCUAAAGACUAUCGAGUCCAUAACUUUUUGUUUUAUUUUUUAUUUGAGAUUUUUUCGGUAUUGUUACUUGUUUUGUUUUUUAUUUUUCGUUUUAAUUUUAUUUGGUUUGAUUUAACUUAGGUUUUUGAUGAUCAAUUACAGGGGGGAUUUCAAAUAGAGGAAAAACCAAGAUAAUUCGCACACCCUACGAAAAUUUCGCAAGGCAUGCGAAAUUUAUGGCUUAUUUUGCAUGGGGUGAAAAUUUUCGUACAUCUUACGAACCAAUUUCGAACACUUUGCGAAAAUAAACCAACCCUGCGAAAUCAUUUCGAUUACUCUACGAAAUUUUCGUAGAGCAUGCGAAAAAUUUAGCACACCAAACACCAUUUCGCAUACUAUGCAAAAACCUAAGGGGUCUGCGAAACCAUUUCGCACCUCCAAAUCCAUUUCGCACAUUGUGCGAAAACCAAGAGGCGCUGUGCGAAAAUGAAAAGUCGCCCUGUCAUCCCUUUUUAAACCCCUCGAGCCCUAAAAUCUCCAUUUCGCAAGCACCCCUGUCCUUGCGAAUCCCUCAUUUUCCUCUACUACCUUGCAACCUCGUCCCUUUCCAUUUGAUAUUGUGCCCCGCGCACAUCUCAUUUCAGAGACUCGCACUCCGCGCCCCCUCAAAGCAUGGACUCGAGACCCACCUUCCAUUUCCGACGUGGCACGGACCCAAGGAGCCCUUUCUGCCCCUUCACUAAGACACACACCAAGGCAGAAAGCCUCCUUUGCUCAAGUGCCUAGUGAUUCUCCAUCUUAGGCCUCAGAGGCCUCGGAGGCCCCGUGGAUUCCACCUUCCGAGGGUAGAGCAGCCAUUGGUCCUUCCUCUUCUACUCCUUAGCGUAGAUACGAGACGAGGAGACCACCUACUACACAAGGGGCGACUACUUCGAGCCUUGAGAAUUCAGUACGAUGCCUUCCUGCCAAGAGGGUCAAGACUUCAGGUCCAAGUGAGUCAUCCAGAGCUUCAUAGCCUAAGCCUCCUGUAGAUUCCAAGGUUCCUACUGACAUAUCACCGGAGUCUAUUAUCAGAAGCCCGAUGCUCAUAGCACCGCCCAUUGAGGGCAACUCAGAUUAUAGAGCGAGAUCUUUCCACUUGGAGCUAUAUUUUGAUCAGGAGGCCAUACGACAGCAGCCUGAGCUCCGAGACUCUUAUGGCUUACUGCAGAGGUACCAUCUUGAGGAACUUAUGACUCCUCGUGAGUUUUUUUAUCCCAGAGUAGCACUAAACUUUUACCAGUCCAUGACUACUCGUGGCGUCCCGAGUCCUACCACGAUUCACUUCACCAUUGAUAGACGUCAUGGUAUCCUCAAGGCCAGACAUAUUACAGAGGCUCUACAAAUUCCUUUCGAGCUAGAGGAUCCAUCUGUUUUUCGCUAAUGGUCCCCAGUAUCUCAGAGGGACAUGGUCCGUAUUUUAUCUAGGGGAACAUCUACAGAUUCGAUCUUUCUACGGAAGGAGCUUCGACCUGGGAUGCUCCUCUUAGAUGUGGUGCUAUGCUCCAACCUCUUUCCCUUACAACAUUCGGUACAUAGGUGAUGAGCUAUUUUGGACGCUUUAUUCCGUAUAUCAGAGGGCUUCUACUUUGGCCCGCACCACUUGAUCAUGGUCUCCCUCAUCCACUUUGAGGAGAAGGUUCAUAGGAAGAAGCUUCAGAGGGUGGACACCAUUCCAUUACUAUUCCUGAGGUUACUUUGCCAGGUCUUGGAGUACAUGGGCUUUCCUACUGAGCCUCGGCUCGAGCUUUGCCGCCUUUGUCGAGAGUGAUCCACUCUCGACAAAUGGAAUUAGUUGGCGGGCUAUUCUGCACCUCCAGGAGCCCCUCCCAUGGUAGCACCUCCAAUGUCCCCACAGGCAAAGUAGGGCGAGCUCCCGGCAAAGACUGUACCACCAAUGCCCACACUUGAGGCUAUUUCUGCUGCUCUGCCUAUGACUCCUACUGUUCCACCAGUUGGUCCUUUUACAUCCGAGCCUUCCAUCACCAUCUCGGCUUCGGAGUUUCGCGCCCUUGUGCAUACCUUUCAGACACUCACCACCACACAUACUCCUCUCUUCUAGCAAAUGGUUGAGAUGUGUGCCCAUCAGGACCGGAAGACUACUAUACUCUGCCAAAUUCAGCAGCACCUAAGACUUUUGCCUCAACCUCAACCUAACCAUCCCAUAUCAUCAGAGCCUCUAGCUCCAACUGAGGAUACUAUUCCACCUGAGAACACUACCACAGUAGAGGUCCGGUUUCCACCACCUUAAGAGGCCACCACAGCUACAUCAGAGGAUGUGUCAUCUCCACUUGAGGCUCCCACUACUUGAUCAUAGGACAUAUCUUUAUCUUAUUGUAUUUACAUAUUAUAUUACUAGAGAUUUGUCCUUGUUUUGAUACUUUAUAUUCUGGGAUUGGAUGUAUUGCCUGAUGAUAUCUCAAUUGUACUUUCUCAUAUUAAUAUAUAGACAUCAAUUUUUUUUAGUAUACUUAGCAUUUUUCUAUUUCCUCUACUCAUUACUCUUUUGUUUUUUUUUACUCAUGUGGUUUCUCUUAUACAACUCAGACUCCAUUUCACUCAGGAGGUACCACUUCCUCCCUUUAUUUUCAAUUGCUCUUGAAAUAUUGAGUGCAAUGUUGAUCUUGGUUGGGGGGAGAGUUGAGGAAGGAAGUUUUGUUAAUAAUGCUAGGUUAAUUUGUUAAUUUAGUUACUUUCUGCUUAAUUUUAAAAGUUUUCACUCUACUUUCCAUGGUUAUUAAGGAAAAAUUCUCAAAAUGAAAUGGGAGAAAUCGAAUUCUUGCAUUUUUACUUGAAUCUUAGAAUUUGUAUCAUGCUUAUUAAAGUUGAUGAAUUAUUGAAACUCCUAUUGAAUUCAACCUUAUUUUUUCCACUUUAAUCUUACCACACACGGUGCACAUUAGGUUCCAGUUAUAAGAUAAAAAACUAUCUCACCCCCUAAACUUAGAAAAAUUUACACUUGGUACCUUUGACAUCGUUUUAAUAGUGUUGGGACACCUUAUAAAAGGCCAAUGAGCCUUUAAAAAAAAAAAAAAAAAAAAAAAGAGAAAGAACAAAGUAUUGCACUUGCCUUGAAACCUGAGCAAGAUCCGAGGGGUAUACAGUGAAAGUCUUUAAAACCUGGUGCCCUAAGCCUUGAUUGGUUGGGAGUCACCGACCUCAAUGCUCGUUAUAAGGGUGAAUAGGUGGAGUUUAACAUAUUGUAGGUGCUUGGGUAUUGAAUUUCAAUCUCAAAAGUCCGGGAAAAAAUCUAAGGAGUUAGUGGUCAAAAGAUCCUUAAAGCUUGAUGCCCUAAACCUUGAUUGGUUGAGAGUCAUUGAUGGAUCCCCGCUACAUGGACAUUUUAGAAAACAAUACCUUUAGCAUUGCACGCCUACAAUGAAAAAAAAAUGUGAAAUAAAAGAGGUGCGUUCUUAGCCUAUUGGAGGUUGGUCAGUUUGCUAAAGUUUGAGAAAUCUAGGUUGGGGGGAGAGAAUAGUCCGACAUACUAUAAUAAAAAACUAAUAACCUUAACACUUAGAUUUUUGUGGAAGAGUAAGGAUUGGACCUUUAGGGGUGGAAAUUCUUUUGAUGCUUAAAUUUGCAUAAUGCCUACUCUUUAUAAAUUAUGAUUAGGCAAGAGAUUUGAUGACUCUUGUUCAAAGUUGGGUUUUUCCUCUUUGAUGUUCCAUGAGAGAGUAUAAUCCUCAUCAUGCCACUUGAAAUCUUUUUGGAGUGAUUAACAUGAUUUUGUAAAUUAUUUUACUGUCUAUUUUUCUUUAUCUCUCUUUUAUUGCUAAUGGACUAGCAAUAUGUCAGUUGGGGGGAGUGAUUACUACUCAAAAAGUACUCUUUUAUAGCUUGAAACUAACUGUUUUAAACACUUUUGAGUAGGUGUUAAUACAUUUUAACUCAAUUGGCACAUUAAGGAACCUAACAAGGGUUACUAAUAAGUUUUUGGCAAGUUUUGGUGUUUUUGGUAGCUAUUUGAUCAUUGAAACAAGCCAAGAAUGAGGGAGAAUUUUGUGAAGUCCAUAGCAAUGCAAGUUAAAGCUCAAAUACAUGAAGAAUCCAAGCUUUGAAGCACUUCAUAGCCCUUUGCGAAGCCAAUCAGAGAUGCAAGGAAGAAAACCAGAGGAAAAAAUCCAACAACCAGCAUUUUCGCAUGGCUGUGCGAAAUUUUGCACACCAUGCGAAACCACAAGAAGUAGCCAAAGAAUUUUGCACACCAUGCGAAAUUUCGCAUGGUAUACGAAAUCUUCCUAUGCACCAACUCCGUUAUAUUUUUAUCUUCAGAUAUUUUGUGUAAUUUCCUAGUUUCUCCUUGUAACCAACCUAGAUAUUUUCUUUUAUAUCUUUUUUUUAUAUUUUUUAGGUAACAUCAUAUAUAGGGGGAGAGACAUAAGGAGGAUAUGGAUGUUUUUCAUAAAACACUUUUAAUUUUCUGGUAGUAAGAAAUAUACAAAGUUUUUUGCUCUGCCUUACCUUCUCAUUUUGUUUUCACCUAUCUUUCUAGCCAAACAACCUCUGAGAAUGAUUUCUCAGGGGAUGAGUAGUUAGGUUUUACGUUUCUUGGAGUGAGAGAAGCUAGGUGAAAGACCCAAAUGCUAAGGUGGGAGUUGUCCUUGCUUUAAAUGAAAGUAGUUGUUAAAUAUUAAUGGUUUUUAUUUUAAGGUUUAGCUUUAAAUCCCUUAAAAACACCUUGAAUGGCCAAUACUUGGUAAGCUUUUCGGAUUCUAUGGAUGCUUAUUGCUAGAUCCAUGGAUGUCAUUAGUUAUCAUUUAUGAGCCAUUGGAAGGUGGUUCAAGAUGAGAGUCUUUAGUGUUUGAAGCCAUUAAUGGGAAACAAUUACCAUUUUUUCAUGAAUCCUUUGGAUAAAAUCUUAAUUGCUAAAUAUAAAACUGGUUCGGGAGAUAACCAUCCUUUAUGUUAUUAUGCCCAAUGCAAGGAGAAGAUUUCGAAUCUUCUCAUUUGUCUAAGGAACCCGAUCCUAGUGACCUAAAGCUCCUAGAGACCUUUUCUUUGUAGUUAACUUCAUUUAUUGUUUUUGCUUAACUUAAAAUCAAUCUUUGCAACCACAAUUCCAUUUUCUUUAAAAGCUAAUUUUUAUAAGGAAAAGCACCAUUUUAUUUCCUUCACUAAGUCAACUGUAUGAUGAAAACCCAUCCCUGUGGACGAUCUUAGAGCCACUAUACUAUGUUAUCUAUGCUAUCCUAGUGUGAGGUGAUUUAGGUUUUAUAAAUUUUGUUGAUAACACCCGUCUGAGCCAGAAUCAAAUGGAACCACUGAACCAGGGACAAAUCAACAGCCUAUAUGGGAGGGACACAAGUUUAAUUGAUUUGCAUUUCAGCGUUAUAGAUAAGUAUGUUUUGGAAGAUUUGUUCUGGAAAUACUGCACCAAGUACGAUUCUUUUUCUCUUGAGUGAGUCCAUUUGCAUGCCAAUUAACGAGUUGAAAAGUAGGAGCACCUACCUCGUGCUCAUGGAACCGAAUGUCAGUGAAGUGGGGCUCCUUUUAGCCUCUUGUGUUUCUGUUCCAACCAAGGCGGCGUAGGGAAAAACAACAAUAUGUCUGUGCUAAAUAUCAACGCAUGAUAGAUGUUUUUUUUUUUUUUUUUGGUAUGUCAAGGCUAACGAAUGAAAUGCAUUAGCUUGUUUUGUGACUAUAACUGCAAAUGUCCAAAUUGGAGUAUCUCCAUUUCUCACUUCGGAUGGUUAACUUUAUAAACAAGAUAUAGGAAACAUGUGAACAUCUUGAGGAACAAUUCAAAUUAUUCAUUAGAAGUCCUGGGUUAAGUUCCAAGAUUUAAAUCAGACCCUUCUAGCAGCUUCAAGGGUACUUAGCAACCUAUAACAUAUUAAUGAAGAUUUAGGAUUUAGACUCCGGAAUACAAAUAAAUAUGUAUCUCAUGCUUUGACUAGCUUCCCUACAUAUGCAUAAAAUGGAGAUGACCCAAAAAAAAUAGCAGAAUCUAGCUUCCCUACAUAUGCACAAAAUGGAGAUGACCCAAAAAAUAGCAUAAUCGCCUUAGUUUCUGUGGUUAAGGUGAUUCUCCGCUUAAUAUCCACAUUGACUCAUUAUGCAAAAUCAACUGAGCUAAUUUUAUUUAUUUAUUUAAUGUCAAAUAGGAACUCCUAAUUAACUGAUUACUGUCGAAAAGUGCUAUUUUGUAGACCUAAUUAUAAGGGUUUUAAGCACCUUUGAGUAGUAAUCAUAUUCAUUUAACCUAAUUAAUUCAUUAAGCUCCUUAGUAAUUAGUUCUAACCAUUUUUAGUGGCAAGUUUACAUGUUUUUCAUCAGCUUAUGAACCAAUUCAAGCAUGCCAAUUGAUGGAGGAGCUACUUGGGCGAGUUAAGCAAGGAUUUUGGACGUUUACAGGCUUGAAUUUCAAGUGGAAACACGAGCACAAGCAAUGGGAACACCAUUUCGCAAGGGGAGGCAAUUCACCUUGCCAAAUGACCAAUUUCGCAAGGGGAUUUUCCUCAUGGUGCAAAAUUUGGUCAUUUCGCACCAUGAAGAAACCACCUUGCAAAAUUUCGCAAGGUGGAUUUAGGCACCUUGCGAAAUGCCAAAUUUCACAAGGUGGCUUUUCACCUUGCGAAAUUUGGACCUUUCAUCUUCCCCCCUUGCGAAAUGCCUUUGAAAUCCCCUGUUUUGAGACGCUGUUGAUGAUAUUCCACUGCCGGUUCUCCAAGAUAUUUUGCUUGACUUUUAGCUUUAUAAAUACCUAUUUUACCCUUGUAAUCAACCAAUGAAAAGGUUGCUUUUGUAAUAGCUCUUGUAAUUUAGCUUUUUAUUGUCUUUAAAUAGAGGUGAAGAGCCUCAGACACGAUCAUCUUGUAACCUGUAACUUUAUAAGUUAUAAGAGCACUUUUGUUCAUACGCUUCUUUUCUCUUUUCUUUCUCAUUUUCUUAGUAGCCAAACAUCCUUGGAGGAUGAAAUCCCCAAGGAUGAGAGGCUAAAACCUUUUAGUUUCUUGAAGUAAUGGAUGCCAUGUGAAGCUCCCGUGUCAGGAUGGAGAUUUCCAAGCCAUAAAUGUAAGUAGCUGAGCGUCAUAAAUGUUUUCAUUCAAAGUAAAGCUUUUAAUCCCUCUGACUUGCUUUGAAUGGCCAAUACUUGAUAACCUUUUGGUCUCAAUGGAUUCUUAUUGUUAGAUCCACUGACGUUCAUUAGUUAUCUCCUACGAGCCAUUGUAUUGCAAGUCGAGGAGAUGACCUAUACCAAUAAAAGAGCAUUUAUGAGGUUCAACUACCCUUUUUGUAAGUUUUCAAGGACUAAAACUCAGUUGUUAAACUCAUACCGGUUCGAGAAGUAAGCAUCACCUUAGUUGCUUCCCCAACUCGAGGUGAAAAGUCCCAAAAUCUCCAUUUUUACACAGUGAGUUAAGCAUGGCUAUCCAAAGCUUUAAGAAACUUCUUUUUCCAUCUUUUAACCUAUUUUCAUGUUAGUUUAGUUUACAACACCUUCAUCUUUUUAUGUUUUCAUCUUAACCUAAUUUUUAUUAAGAAAAGUUCACUCCAUCCUCCGAACUUCACCAGUUAAAGUAAAAACCCUUCCCAGUGUUCGAUCCUAGAGCCACUAUGCUAUAGUAGCUUUGCUACUUUAGUGUAAGGACCUUAGGUAUAAAUUUUGUUGAUACCCUUACAUGCCAAGCUACCAAGAGUCGGGUUAUCAUUAACCUAACCAUUGGCCUGUGUAAAUUGAUUUCACAUGCACAAUGUUGUAGUAGAAGUCCAUAUUUUGAAUUUUAUUUUUGUAAAGGUAAGGAAAAUGAAGCAUUGUGUAAUUAUAAAAAUAACUUCAUUGGAAUUCACAAGGUUCACCCAAAAUGGAGCUACAUCUGUAUUCUAUCCUACAGUAGACUAUAUAGAUUGUACAAUAGUAAAUUGCAAAUACAAUUAAUAAGUCUUGUGCUUCCUUACUAAUAAUCCUUUGACAUGAACAUUGCAGCACUAAGGUCCUCUUGGGAAGACACCUUGCACCCAUGAGAGCACUAAGAGGAAGCAAGGCAGAGUCAUGGGUGCAAUGUCAUGACUUGUUGUUGCACCAAGAGAGGCUUGGUGAUGCCAUGGUGUUGCAGUAGCAAGAAUGUUGCCUUGGCAGGGACACGAUCUAGGGAUAGAUGCCAAGAAAGGCUUAGCACUCACAUGAGUUGCACAAAGAUGAAUGUAAUAGAGCAUCAGAGAGACGUCUUGGCAAGUAAAUGAAUGGAUCCAAGAGACAACAACAUGAGGAGUUUCAAAUGGAUAAGGAAUGACUCAAAGACAUUUGAAAGCUACAAGUUGGAUUCUAAUUACGAUUGCAAUUUGAGUUUGAGUAGGAGUUUAGAUUUUGAUUGUAAUUGUAGUAUGAGUUGGACUAGGAUUGCUUAUCCUUAGUCAAUAUAGGAGCGGUUCGUGUCACCCUAUGAAAAGAGUUUGAGUAGGGACUAGGAUUGCUUACUCCUAGUCAAAUAUGGAGUAGGUGGUGCCACACCUAUAAAAAAAAGGGACAACAUGAGAGAGAGAGAGAGAGAGAAAGAGAGAGUGAAUUCACUAAAGAUAUUGUGGGAGUUUUGCUUUGUUACGUCUUGUAUUAUUACUUAGAAUAGGAAUAAAAUACAAGUUGGGGCUAGAGCCCCAUAAUUAAUCUCGUGUGCCUUUGUGGUUAUUCUUUAUUUGUCAUCUCGUGUGGAUUGGAUUAGGUUGACUUAGAGGGCUUCUAAGCACCACCUUUGUGGGUUAUUAUUUAUUUUCCAUCUCUUGUGGAUUAGAUUAGGUUGACUUAGAGGGCUUCUGAGCACCACCUUUGUGGGUUAUUAUUUAUUUUCCAUCUAUUGUGGAUUAGAUUAGGUUGACUUAGAGGGCUUUUAAGCACCACAUUUGUGGGUUAUUCUUUAUUUUCCAUAUCGUGUGGGUUGGAUUAGGUUGACAAGGAGAAAAAUUAUGUGGGAAAUUUGUGUUGGGACACUUACCAUAACCAAGUAAAAUCUACCAAGUCCUUUGUAAUAUCUUCAACAAAUAUUUUAGACUAGUUCUUUCAGUUAGUGUAAAGGAGGAAGAAGUGGUAUUGAUUCUAGAAAUAGGGUGUGUGUAUUUGAACUACAAUCCUUAUGAUCCUUAGGUCUCUAAACCUUCGUGAUGGGCUCCCUGACAUUUCAUAGGUUGUGCUACACAUGCGUUUGAAAUUUAGAGUGCGUUUGACAGUGAUUCCGGGAAGUGUUUUUGGCCUUUCUUACACUUGAAAAUUUUUAUUUUUCAAGUAUUAGAAAUGCUACAAACACUUUUGAAAAUUACUGUCAAACACACUCUUAGGAGCGCACAUAUAUAGUAGAAAACUAGAAAUUGUGGUUUUUUUAGGAUUUACUGUAAUGUCAUUAGGAGGGUAGUAAGUUGAAAUUGAGUAUGAACAAAUAUUUCUUUCUUUGGGAUGUUCUUCUAGUAGGUGCUGAUGAAACUGUUCUUUCUACUGCCAAUGUCACAUAUCAGCCAGAAAUUGAAAAUUUCAGUCAAGGUGUCCUCUGUUUUAGUGGUGAGGAAAGCUAGAAAUUUUAAGGUGAAGUUUUGUUAAAAACCUUAAGUAGCUGGGAUAUCAGGCCUGUUUUGCUUGAAAAAAAAAGUUGCAAGAUAACUCAUAUGCCAAACAGGUUCUGAUAUUGUGAAUCUAUCGGCAGACAUCAGUAAUCUCAUCUUCUGAGAUGGAUGUUGGGGGUGCAUGUGGUGGUGGAGGGGCAAGGUUUCAUUUGGUUUAUUUUGUUGAUGGAUAUUGUCUAGCCACCUGCGCCAAGUUUGAGGGGUGGUGGGUUGUGAUGACCCUACAAUUACUAUUAAUUUCUUCAUCUUUUACCGAUUAAAGUGUCCGAACAGUCGAAGUUACCCUUAUGCAUGUCAACUUGAUCACUUACCUCUUCAAUGGAGUUUAUGCUGGUUCAUUUAGGAACUGAUUUUUAUUGUUAUGUAUUAUAUGCUGAUGUUUAGGUCUCUCCAUCAUCACUAUAUACAAAAAUUCUAGGUUGAUACUAUAGGUUGAGAUUUAUUUUUUAAAUAAAAAAUAAUAAAAAUAAAAAUUAUGGUGAUGUUUAGUUGUUUUAUGGAAAAUUUUAACAAGUAAAAGUUAUUUUUGGGCAAGUUUUCAAACAAAAAGAAAAGUAAAAGUUGUUUUGACAAAAACAUAUAGAAAAAAAAAUCAUAGAAAAUAAAUAAUUUCCCCAUAUUCUAACUUUUUUGAAUUUUUCUCAAUGGGCAAAGGAAUAUCAAAUCAAGUUUGAGUAGGAUUUCUUAAUUUUUAAAAUAACUUACAAUUAAAAAAUUUUGGUGUUUUCAUUUUUGGACAAUUUUUUAUUAAGCAAAUGGACUCUGAGUCAUGCAAGAGAUAUGGUUCAUUAACCGGUCGAACAAUUUUUUUAAAUUAAUUUAAAAGUCAAAUACAUAAUCAAUUUCACAAAAUUUAUAAACAAAAAUAGGUUUAGAGAAGAUCUACACAUAAUUUUACUUUUCUAAUUUUAUUUUAUUUUAUUUUUUGUUGGAAAAUAGUCUUCAAAUCAUGUAAGAUUUAAUAGGUUAAAUUUGUUAACAAUAAAUUUUAAAUUAUAAAAUAUAAUCUGGAACUCAAAAAUCAAUUCAAGUAAUGCUAAAAAAAAAUCAAAUUUGGUAUAGAAUGACUUUGUAAAUUUUUUUACAAAACAAAUGAAUUUUAAAUCAAGUGAGAUUUAAUGCAUUAGAUUUUUAUCAAAUAUAGUAAUUUUAAAAAUAAAUUUGGAACUCAACAAUAGACACAAUAAAUACCAAAAAAUAAUGAACCAAAAUUGGUUUGGAAUAACUCCACAACCUUUUUUUUUUUUUUUUGGUGCACACGAAUUUUCUUACUAGGUAUAUUGCUUUCAAAUUGAGAAAGAUUUACCAUUUAGAUUUUUUUUUAAUGAGUUUAAUGGUAUUUUAAAAUAAUUCAAAAUUUAAAAAAUUGACUAAUUAAUAUUAUAAAUUGAUAAACCAAGACUAUUUCAAAAUGCAUUGGGGGCUAAGGGGGUUGAAAAUAGGGACAAUGGGAUGGGUUUGGGACAUGACACUCAUAUCUCAUUUCCAUUCCAAUUACACAGUUAUCUCCCAUCCUUAUCCCAAACUUGUGUUGGAGCAAGUUGAUUUGUUCCCAUCUUUGUUGACGAAAUGACUAAUAACCUCAUCCCCUCCUUAUCUUAGAUGUACAUUUUGUCAAAUUUGAUCAGGUAUGAUUGAUCCAAGCCCUAACCCUAAUUGGUAAUGAGUGAAUACUACACCUAAUUGCAUUCUUCUUUCAUUGCAAAAUAAUGAGAUUAUAAUAAUCUAGCAAAUAAGAAAAAAUAGUAUGGAAGUUCAAAUUAACACCAUAACUAUCAAUAAUUUUAAGCUUAUAGAUGACUUAAAUGAUUAAAAACUAAUGCAAAAUCCUAAAAAAAAUAAAAAUCAUAUAAAGAAUUCACAAGAGAACAGAAUGAACAAAAACCAAAUAUGAACAUGGGUCAACAUUAGUUAUGGAUUUGGAUUCCUUUCAAGGCCAAUCUUUGAACCAAGACUUCAUCAAAUCAACUACUUCAAAGGCUUUUGUGUUCUUCUUGGGUUGUGCUCUCAAACAAAGACUUCGAGGUGAUGUUCUAGAUGAUUGAAUUACACAUAUUUAGGGUGGAGAGAUUGGAGAAGCUUGAAGAUGCCAACGAUGGGUACAAUUGAGUGGUCAAUAAGAACAAUGUAGCCUAUGACUAGUUUGAUGUCAUGGUACAAGAGUUUUAGGCAUUGAGGUUAAAGCAAGAGCAACAUGGAAUUGAUUUCGGAGUCUUUCAGUUAGUGUAAAGGAGGAAGAAGUGGUGUUGAUUCUAGAAAUAGGGUUUUAAGUGGUGCGUGAUUACUACUCAAAAAGUGCUAUUUGAUAGCCUUUAAUUAAUCCUUUUUAACACUUUUGAGUAGUAGUUUAGGCCUUUUAACUCAAUUGGCAUGUUAAGGAUCCUUUAAAGCAAUUUUGAUCACUUUGUGCAAGUUUUGGUGUUUUUGUUAGUAUUUUGAUCACCAAAGCAAGUCAAGAAUGAGGAGAACUAUGAGGAAUCAUGGGCAAAGCUUAGAAUUCAAUUGCCAAGAGUGAAUCCGGAUUGCAAGGAGAAAAAGCAAAGAGAAUCUGUCAUGAAGCCUAUUCUUGAUGACAGUCGUAGCAGCCACUUUUGGAGCACUUUCUGAAGUCCAAAUGAUGCAAGCUAUAUACCAUUUCAAAGAUCAGGAAGUCAACAAUCCAAUGCUUCAAACGGUGCGCGAUUCGGAGUUGAAACGAAGAAGUUGCAGCCAUUACAAGCCAGUCACUCUAAAGUGUUGCGGAAUCAGCCUUUUGUUGCGAGAAUUUCGCAGCACUUUUGUACAGUAAGGUGUUUCUCCUUCUGACGAUGCACGAACCAUGCCGCGAGAGGGAAGCUAGGAACUUCAAGAUGGAAGCCAACUUUGCAGCCUGGUGAAGAUAGCUUGGUCUUGCGAAAUAAUUUCGCAGCCCUCUUGGGUGUCUGCGAAAUUUCGCAGGCACCACUUUUUUCCUGCGAAAUGGCUCCGGAAGCCUCCCGAAGCUUGCUACCGACAUUGGGAGAUAUUUUCCAUUAGAUUUUUGUUGUCUAAAUUCCAAAAUACUCCUUGUAAACCACCAAUUACAUGAUUCCUUAGUUUUUAAGUUAGUAAAAAGACCAAAUAUCUAUGUAAUAAUUAGUUUUAUAUUAGUUUGCUAUAAAUACCUCUCGGGAGCAUGUUCUCAGAGAGGAGUUCCUUCUGUAACCAUUUUGGUAAGCAAGUAAAGUCUUUUCUUUCUACUGCCUUACCUUCUCACUUUGUAUUUUCAUUUUAUUUCUAAGUUAUGAAUUCUCUGAGGAGCUUUCCCCAGAGAAUGAGUAACUAAACCUCCAAUUCCUUGGAGCUAAGGUUGCCGGGGAAGGUUCCAAGUGCAAGAAUGCAAAGCUCUGUGGUUUUAGCUAGUAAUGAAGAGGAAGUGAAAUCCUUUAGUGAUUUCAAUGUUUUUAGUUAACUUAAAACACCUUGGAGUCACCUGGGCCAACACUUGGUAAGGCAAGUGAUUUCCAACCGUGGAAAUGCACUAGUUUACCCCUUGCGAGCCUCUGGUAGGUGACUUCAAGGUAGGAUUUUCUGGAAUUACCAACACUUGGUAAGCUUUUGGACUCCUAGGAGACAUCCAUUAGUUAUCUCUUGCGAGUUUGUGAAGGGGAAUCCAAGGUUAAAGAUCACCUUGAAUGGUAAGUGCUCGUGAGAGGCAUGAACCAUUGCAAGUUGUAUCAGUGAGAGAAUUAAAGUGAAAUCUAAUUGAAGGAGUCUCUGUACAUCACCGGUUAGAGAAUUGACUAUAAGUUGAAUCUCUAAUGCGAGGAAAUGAACCAUCUGACCGGAGCUAUGUCUUUUGCAUGAGGAACCACCCCAGUGAACCUAAAUCUCCAAGGAAUGCUUUUCUUCCUAAAUUAUUCCAAACUUCUGUUAAGUUAGUUAGUUUAAGUCUAAACCUUUACCAAUCAAACUUUGUGUUUUAUUUCUUAAGCUAACCGUGAAAUGAAACAAAACCAAUUCACUUGGAAUUGGUAUCCUUGAUUGCUUGCAAAUCAUUCCCAGUGAACGAUCCUUAGAGCCACUAUACUAUAGUAGCUUUGUAUUUGCUACCCUAGUGUAUGGUGUUAUAGGUAUAAAUUUUGUUGAUCACUUCCUCAAUCAAGGAACACCAGCUGAACACAAAUCAGCUGAGACACCAAUUGGGCAUGAGUCAAAUGGCGCCGUUGCCGGGGAAUGAGUGUCAAGAUCAUUGUGAUACCAUUUUUGAGCACUUGUGAUUUUCAUCACAAGUUGGUAAAGUUUCUUUCACUUUACUAAUUUUCAUUCUCUCUUUGUUUAUUUACAAUCUAAGUUUAUCUUUUUAAAAUUUAGUCUAGUUUAAUUUUGCUAUUGUAGCCUUGUUUCUCUUGUUGUCCUCUGUUCUUGUUGUCCUCUGUUUUCAUUUUAGUUGCAGCUGAAUACUAGUUGUGUAUGCCAAAGUGGAUACGAGACAUUGGAGGUAGGCUUAUUAAGUGUGAUACACCUCAGAGAGGAGAAUUGGAAGUAAUCUUGAAUAUCAUGGAGGCUGCACCUGAAGAUCAGCAUAGUCACCAAGGUCGUCAAGACAAUCUCAAUGAAUUCAGAUCAAUGAGGGACCGUAUGCAUCCACCUCGUAUGAGUGCACCAUCAUGUAUAGUGCCCCCUACAGAGCAACUAGUGAUCAGACCAUAUCUUGUUCCACUUCUACCAACUUUCCAUGGGAUGGAAAGUGAGAAUCCGUAUGCACACAUCAAGGAAUUUGAAGAUGUUUGUAAUACAUUCCAAGAGGGAGGAGCUUCAAUUGAUUUGAUGAGGCUUAAGUUAUUUCCUUUUAAUUUAAAGGAUAAGGCCAAAAUUUGGCUUAAUUCUUUAAGGCCAAGGAGUAUCCGCUCUUGGACUGAUUUACAAGCUGAAUUCCUCAAGAAAUUUUUUCCUACUCAUAGAACAAAUGGCUUGAAAAGGCAAAUUUCAAACUUCUCAGCUAAAGAGAAUGAGAAAUUCUAUGAGUGUUGGGAAAGAUACAUGGAAGCUAUAAAUGCUUGUCCUCACCAUGGCUUUGAUACUUGGCUACUGGUGAGUUAUUUUUAUGAUGGUAUGUCCUCCUCAAUGAAGCAACUCCUCGAGAAAAUGUGUGGAGAAGAUUUCAUGAGCAAAAAUCCAGAGGAAGCUAUGGAUUUCUUGAGCUAUGUAGCUGAUGUUUCAAGGGGAUGGGAUGAACCAACUAAAGGAGAAGUGGGAAAGAUGAAGUCUCAGUUGAAUGCUUACAAUGCAAAGGCUGGGAUGUAUACUUUAAAAGAGGAUGAUGACAUGAAAGCAAAGUUGGCAGCUAUGACAAGAAGAUUGGAGGAGCUGGAGCUGAAAAGAAUGCAUGAAGUGCAAGCUGUUGCUGAAGCACCAGUGCAAGUGAAGUUGUGUCCCAAUUGUCAAUCGUUUGAACAUUUGGUAGAGGAAUGCCCUGCAAUUUCAGCUGAAAGGGAAAUGUAUAGAGAUCAAGCAAAUGUUGUUGGACAAUUCAGGCCCAAUAACAAUGCUCCUUAUGGAAAUACCUACAAUUCAAGUUGGAGGAAUCAUCCAAAUUUUUCAUGGAAGGCCAGAGCAACUCAAUACCAACAGCCGGAUCCACCAUCUCAACAAUCUUCAAGUAUUGAACAAAUAAUAGCUAAUCUCAGCAAGGUAGUGGGAGAUUUUGUGGGAAAGCAAGAAGCCACCAAUGCUCGAGUGGAUCAAAGAAUGGACAGAGUGGAUCAAAGAAUGGACAGAAUGGAGAGUAUGUUGAACAAAAGAAUGGAUGGAAUGCAAAAUGAUAUGAAUCAAAAAUUUGAUAACAUCCAAUAUUCAAUUUCAAGGCUUACAAAUUUGAAUACACUGCAAGAAAAGGGAAGAUUUCCUUCUCAACCUAACCAAAAUCCCAAAGGUGUCCAUGAAGUGGAAAGCCAUGAGGGAGAAUCAUCACAGGUGAAAGAUGUGAAAGCUUUGAUCACUCUAAGGAGUGGUAAGAAAAUUGAGCAGCCAACACCCAAGCCACAUGUUGAGAAAGAAGAAGAGAUGAAGAAAGGGAAGGAAAUGGAAGAUAAAGGCAGUGAGAUCAGUGAAGAAAAGAAGGACUCUGAUGCAACAAUGAAAGUAAUUCCAGAGAAGGAGCUUCUGAAGGAAGAAAUGCUGAAGAAAUCAACUUUUCCACCUUUUCCUCAAGCAUUACAGGGGAAAAAGGGGGUUAGAAAUGCAGCUGAAAUCCUAGAAGUAUUGAGGCAAGUGAAAGUUAAUAUUCCACUGCUGGAUAUGAUCAAACAAGUUCCAACGUAUGCAAAAUUCCUAAAGGACUUGUGUACUAUCAAAAGAGGGUUGACUGUAAACAAGAAAGCCUUCUUGACUGAGCAAGUAAGUGCAAUCUUACAGUGUAAGUCUCCUUUGAAGUACAAAGACCCUGGAAGUCCUACCAUUUCAGUCAUGAUUGGAGGAAAGGUAGUGGAGAAAGCCUUGCUAGACUUGGGAGCAAGUGUGAAUUUGCUUCCAUAUUCUGUCUACAAGCAACUGGGACUUGGAGAGUUGAAGCCAACAGCAAUCACUUUGUCUCUGGCAGAUAGAUCAGUGAAAAUUCCAAGAGGGGUAAUUGAGGAUGUAUUGGUUCAAGUAGAUAAUUUCUACUAUCCUGUAGAUUUUGUUGUUCUUGAUACAGAUCCUACUGUAAAGGAAGCUAAUUUAGUUCCUAUCAUCCUUGGAAGGCCAUUUCUUGCAACUUCAAAUGCAAUCAUCAACUGUAGAAAUGGGCUUAUGCAACUCACUUUUGGUAACAUGACACUGGAUCUAAAUAUUUUCUAUAUGUCUAAAAAGCAAAUCACUCCAGAAGAAGAAGAGGGUCCAGAAGAGCUAUGUAUUAUUGAUACUUUGGUGGAGGAGCACUGCAAUCAACAUAUGCAAGAUAAGUUGAAUGAAAGUUUUGUGGAUAUUGAGGAAGGUUUUUCUGAAUCUCCUAAUGGGCUUGCUACUCUACAAAGUUGGAGAAAGAUAGAAGGAAUUCUACCUUUGUUCAAUGAAGAAGAGGAGGCAGCUGUUGAAAAAGAAAUUCCAAAACUCAAUCUGAAGCCUUUACCUAUGGAGCUGAAAUAUACAUAUCUUGAAGAAAAUAAUCAAUGUCCUGUCGUAAUAUCUUCAUCUCAAACCAAGUCUCAAGUGAAGGAUGCAAGCUUCAAAUGGGAUCCGGGCAAACUGAAUCAGGAAGGGCAAAAAGUUUUGAUGUAUGACACAAGACUCCAUAUCUUUCCUGGGAAGCUCAAGUCAAGGUGGAUUGGUCCAUUUGUUAUUCACCGAGUAUAUUCCAAUGGAGUGGUGGACUUAUUGAAUUCCAAUGGCAAGGACAGCUUUAGAGUCAAUGGAUAUCGUCUUAAGCCGUUCAUGGAGUCAUUCAAAUCAGAAAAGGAGGCAAUCAACCUCCUUGAACCUCAAAAAGCCUAAGUGAAAUGGGUUUGCUGGACGUGGUUUUACCACAGUCCAAAAAUUUUUGUAAAUUUUGUAAAUUUUCAAGUUGUUUCCAUGCUUUUAAUCUUAGUUUUUGAUUUUAAAUCAUGUUUUUAGGUGUGUUUUAAUCGUUUUAUAUGAUCCCAGGCGGAAGAAAUUUCAAGGGGAUUGAAAAGAAAAAAAUCGGGUCGAAAUUGGAGCCGAAACAGAGCAAAAACAGGGGAAAAACAGAGCUCUGCGAAAUUUCGCAGGGUGAAGGAAACUUCUGCGAAAUUGGCAUUUUGCUGCCAAACCAUUCCGCAGCACUGUAGAAGCCUCUGCGAGUGUAUUUCGCAAUUGCGAAAGUGGAUUUGGCACACGAGUGCCACUUCGCAGCACAGUGACAUCAAUUUCGCAGCUGCGAAACUCACUGCGAAGUUGCUGCGAAAAUGGCAAGUUGCUGCGAAAUUGGCGUUUUGUUGCGAAACGUAAUCUGACCCCUGGGCUUCCGUUUUUCCUAUUUAUACCUGUCAAAAGUGCUGCGAAAAAGGUUUCAAAAAUUAGAGCACCAUUCUCGCAGCCCUUUCAUCUUCUUCGCCAAGCCACGCCGUCCGUUUCUCCGGUCGUCUUCUCCGUUUAGCAGCGCCGGCCAAAGAUCGAUAGCCCAAAAAUGGCACGAACGCGAGGGGCAAAGUCUUCAUCCCCUUCGAACCGCAAAAGGAGUCUGCGAAAGGAGCCAAGUUCAGGCUCUGUUCCAGAACCUGCUCCAAAGCCUUCGCCGUCGAGACCACAACCUUCUCCAGUGAAGCCGGCGCCACCAAAGCCGCCGGCAAGGCGAUAUUUAACCAGGUCAGGUGGUCAGCCAUUGAAGAAGAAAGCCAGAGUUGAGAGCUCUGAACCAAUCGAUUUGACUGAGCAAUCCCCUGAGAAAUCACCAAAUCCUUCACCGGUACAAAUUCCAGUGCCAUCACCGGUUCCCUCGCCAAUUCCCUCACCAGAAGCAACUCCAAUUCCAUCGCCGGUACCAUCUCCGGCACCCCAAGAAAAAGCUCAGGAGCCUCAAGCGCCAAUUCCAGAGCCCCAAAUUGCAGCUGAAGCACCUCUGGAAGAAGUGAUCCGAAGGCCAAUGCUGCCUCAGCCCCCAAUCGAAGGAAACCUGGAUUGCCGAACUCGGGCAUUCCAUUCUGAGCUUUGCUUCGAUUUAACAGCAUUCAGAGUGAGGCCAGAGCUUGCCCAAUCCUUCCAACUGCUGAGGAGAUAUCAUAUGGAGCAUCUGCUAGCUCCAAGGGAUUUUUUCUAUCCCCGGGUAGUCACGGAUUUCUACCAAACCAUGACAACCAAAGAAGUAAGAAAUCCAACUCUGAUUCAUUUCAUAAUUGAUGGAAGGCAUGGUAUUUUGGGAGCAAGACAUAUUGCUGAAGCCCUGCAAAUUCCUUUUGAGCCAACUCAAUUCGACAAUUUUAAAGCUUGGACAAAUCCUACUGAGUUAGAGAUGGUUAGCACACUAACCAGAGGAGCUGCAAAUCGAUCGCAUUUGUUGAGGGGGGAGCUACCUCCAGUUAUGUUUUUGAUUGAUGCCUUUUUGAGGCAUAAUAUCUAUCCCCUGCAGCAUUGGACCCAAAGAAGGGGAAUUCUCCUAGAAGCCUUGUACAAAAUGUCUGAAGGAUUCUUCUUUGGGCCUCAUCAUCUGAUCAUGGCAGCCCUUCUAUACUUUGAGGAGAAGGUUCACAAGAAGAAGCUUCAAAGAGCAGAUUGCAUUCCACUCCUCUUCCCAAGGCUGCUAUGCCAAGUUUUGGAGCAUCUCGGAUACCCCUCUGAGCCUCAGCAGGAAAGAAAGAGAAUAUGCCGUGAGCCUUUUACCCUUGAUAAAUGGAAUAAUAUGACGGCCUACAAAAUUGAUCAGCCUGGGCAGCCUCAGCCAGCAGCAAGGAGAGUCUCCCCAAGACAUAUACCUGAAGGUAUAACACUUGCUACUCCUGCCAUCCCUCGAGCUCCACCAGCUGCACCUGCUCCAUCACAGCCAUCCACAUCAGCUGAGCCGAGGAUGGCCAUCCCUAUAUCCGAAUAUCGAGAGCUGUGCCGUGCAUUGGAGACUCUUACAGCUUCUCAGAGCAAUCUUGCUCAGGAGUUGGCAGCCAUUAAAGCAUGCCAGGAGCAGAUGUUAGCCUCUCAGACUCAACAAGCUGCCAUCCUAAGGCAGCUUCAAGUCCAUUUCGAUCUGCCACAAGCUGUAGAGCCCUCUAUUCCUACUCCACCAGAGCCACACUCUCAGCCUUCAGAGUCUCAUCCUCCAGAACCCGAAGCACCAGCUGAUCCACCUACUGAGGAGGCAGAUCCUUCUGCCUAGCACCAUCACCCCCCUCAUCAGACAUUAUAUAUAUAUUUGCUGUUUAUGUUUUUAUGCAUGUUUGUUUUGUUUUAGUUGAAAAGAAAUCCCAGUAUUUUGGUACUAUAUAUGGGAUUCCUUGUGUUACUUGUCUUUAGUAUUGUAAUCACAUGAACUCAAAGUAAUACAAGUUGACUAUUUCUUGUUAAAAGUUAGCAUUAAAGUUUCCUUAUUUCCUUUUCUCACAUAUUCUAUUCUUUUUGAAACAUGUGGUUUUCCCCAAUCAAUAUUCGAAUUUGAUAUCAGCAUGGAGGUACCACUUCCUCCCUUUUAUUACAGUCACUCAAAUCACAUUGAGGACAAUGCUCAGUUCGGUUGGGGGGUAUGAGGAAGGAAGUAUUCUAAACCUUUUUGGUAUUGCAAUUAUAUUGGUUAAUUAGUUGUAGAUUUUACUUUUUACUAGUGUUACUCUAUUCUCCAUGAAUUUUGAGGAAAAAUUUUCAAAUUAAACCAAGAGAAAUUGAACUGUUGUUUUUCACUUGACUUAGAGUAUGGAUUAUGCUUACUAAAGUGGUUCAAUUGUUGAAACUUCUACUGAAAUUGAAUUGAGUUCUUCCACUUUAAGCUAUCCACACACUGUGCACAUUAGUUUCCGAUUAUAAGAUGAAAAGCUAUUUCCCUCUUGACUUAGUAUAUUUUUGGGACUUGGUAUAUUUGACCUCAUUUGAUAAAAAUUGAAACACCCUGCAAAAGGCCAAUGAGCCUUUGAAAUAAAGAAAGUUGUUUGCUUGCCUUGAAACCCGAGCAAGGUCUGAGGGGUAUAUGGUGAAAAUCUUUAAAGCCUGGUGCCCUAAGCCUUAAUUGGUUGGGAGUCACCGACCUCAAUGCUCGUUACAAGGGUGAAUAGGUAGAGUUAGCAUAUGGUAGAUGCUUGGGUAUUAGAAAUUCAUUCUUAAAAGUCCGGGGAAAAAUCCGAGGAGUUAGUGGUUGAAAGAUCCUUAAAACUUGGUGCCCUAAACCUUAAUUGGUUGGGAGUCAUCGAUGGACCCCCAUUACAUGGACAAGUCAGAAAGAGUACCCCAUAAAGCUACCUUAAAAAAAAAAAAAAAAAAAAAAAAAAAAAAAAAGAUGAAAGUGUGUUCUUUUCUUAUUGAUUUUGGUCAGUUUGCUAAAGUGUUGAAAAGAGAUAGGUUGGGGGGUGAGAUUAGUAGCAUAUUAUUCUCGGAACCUAAGGAACCAAUACACAUAGAUUUUUGUGGAAGAUUGAAGUUUAGUUCUUAGAAAAUGAAAUGAUUUUAAAACUUCAGUUUGCAUAAUGCACUCCCUUGAUUGACAGUGUUUAGCAUAGGUGUUAUGACUCUUGUUGAGAUUUGGGUUUGUAUUUCUUUAAUGAUUCAUGUGAGAAAUAGAUCAUCAUGCCACUUGAGAAUUAUUUUCCUUUUAGCAUGAUGUUGUAAAUUUUAGAUUAGUUUGCUAUUUAUUUUUUAUUUUCUCUCCUAUAUUGCUAAGGGACUAGCAAUAUGUCGGUUGGGGGGAGUGAUUACUACUCAAAAAGUGCUAUUUGAUAGCCUUUAAUUAAUCCUUUUUAACACUUUUGAGUAGUAGUUUAGGCCUUUUAACUCAAUUGGCAUGUUAAGGAUCCUUUAAAGCAAUUUUGAUCACUUUGUGCAAGUUUUGGUGUUUUUGUUAGUAUUUUGAUCACCAAAGCAAGUCAAGAAUGAGGAGAACUAUGAGGAAUCAUGGGCAAAGCUUAGAAUUCAAUUGCCAAGAGUGAAUCCGGAUUGCAAGGAGAAAAAGCAAAGAGAAUCUGUCAUGAAGCCUAUUCUUGAUGACAGUCGUAGCAGCCACUUUUGGAGCACUUUCUGAAGUCCAAAUGAUGCAAGCUAUAUACCAUUUCAAAGCUCAGGAAGUCAACAAUCCAAUGCUUCAAACGGUGCGCGAUUCGGAGUUGAAACGAAGAAGUUGCAGCCAUUACAAGCCAGUCACUCUAAAGUGUUGCGGAAUCAGCCUUUUGUUGCGAGAAUUUCGCAGCACUUUUGUACAGUAAGGUGUUUCUCCUUCUGACGAUGCACGAACCAUGCCGCGAGAGGGAAGCUAGGAACUUCAAGAUGGAAGCCAACUUUGCAGCCUGGUGAAGAUAGCUUGGUCUUGCGAAAUAAUUUCGCAGCCCUCUUGGGUGUCUGCGAAAUUUCGCAGGCACCACUUUUUUCCUGCGAAAUGGCUCCGGAAGCCUCCCGAAGCUUGCUACCGACAUUGGGAGAUAUUUUCCAUUAGAUUUUUGUUGUCUAAAUUCCAAAAUACUCCUUGUAAACCACCAAUUACAUGAUUCCUUAGUUUUUAAGUUAGUAAAAAGACCAAAUAUCUAUGUAAUAAUUAGUUUUAUAUUAGUUUGCUAUAAAUACCUCUCGGGAGCAUGUUCUCAGAGAGGAGUUCCUUCUGUAACCAUUUUGGUAAGCAAGUAAAGUCUUUUCUUUCUACUGCCUUACCUUCUCACUUUGUAUUUUCAUUUUAUUUCUAAGUUAUGAAUUCUCUGAGGAGCUUUCCCCAGAGAAUGAGUAACUAAACCUCCAAUUCCUUGGAGCUAAGGUUGCCGGGGAAGGUUCCAAGUGCAAGAAUGCAAAGCUCUGUGGUUUUAGCUAGUAAUGAAGAGGAAGUGAAAUCCUUUAGUGAUUUCAAUGUUUUUAGUUAACUUAAAACACCUUGGAGUCACCUGGGCCAACACUUGGUAAGGCAAGUGAUUUCCAACCGUGGAAAUGCACUAGUUUACCCCUUGCGAGCCUCUGGUAGGUGACUUCAAGGUAGGAUUUUCUGGAAUUACCAACACUUGGUAAGCUUUUGGACUCCUAGGAGACAUCCAUUAGUUAUCUCUUGCGAGUUUGUGAAGGGGAAUCCAAGGUUAAAGAUCACCUUGAAUGGUAAGUGCUCGUGAGAGGCAUGAACCAUUGCAAGUUGUAUCAGUGAGAGAAUUAAAGUGAAAUCUAAUUGAAGGAGUCUCUGUACAUCACCGGUUAGAGAAUUGACUAUAAGUUGAAUCUCUAAUGCGAGGAAAUGAACCAUCUGACCGGAGCUAUGUCUUUUGCAUGAGGAACCACCCCAGUGAACCUAAAUCUCCAAGGAAUGCUUUUCUUCCUAAAUUAUUCCAAACUUCUGUUAAGUUAGUUAGUUUAAGUCUAAACCUUUACCAAUCAAACUUUGUGUUUUAUUCCUUAAGCUAACCGUGAAAUGAAACAAAACCAAUUCACUUGGAAUUGGUAUCCUUGAUUGCUUGCAAAUCAUUCCCAGUGAACGAUCCUUAGAGCCACUAUACUAUAGUAGCUUUGUAUUUGCUACCCUAGUGUAUGGUGUUAUAGGUAUAAAUUUUGUUGAUCACUUCCUCAAUCAAGGAACACCAGCUGAACACAAAUCAGCUGAGACACCAAUUGGGCAUGAGUCAGUGCGUUAGAGGAUCAAGAAGAAGAAAAAGAAGGAACUGUUGGAAUUAGUAUGAGUGUGAAGAGAAAAGUAUAUAAAUAAGGGGAAGUAAAAGCAAAGUUCAAAAAGCUAUAUUUUUUUAUUGUUGGUGUAUGGUUGCAUGAUUAUCCCUAUAAAUAAUAGGAGUUUUUUGGUAUUCUACUAGUAGUUGAAGCAUAAUUUCAUAAAUUAAUAUUUAGAGCGGGGUGGGGUGAGUUGUGACAAAAUUCAUACCCGUCCCAAACCUUGGUUCAGAUUUUUAAAAUAUUCUCAAACUUAUCAUAUACCCAACUUUUAUAUUUCAUACUUGUCCUAAUAGAGGCACGUUAGGCCGGGUUACUUGAGUAACCUACAUAAUUGUCAUCCCUAGUUGAAAUACACUUUUUGGCAGUGGCCACCAACUGAGCUAGAAGCUUGAUUGAUUGACCUACAAGAUUAGUUCUCAUCAUUUUAAAAAAAGUUCUGGCUUUGGUUGUGAGUGCAAUUGAAUCUAAACUGGCAUUUGCUUAAUGCAUCUACUUCAAUCCUAAACUUCUUACUUCUUAAGCCUCAAUUGUUGUUAGGAUUUUGGAAAACCCAUUUCCUUAAAUUGUAAAUUUAAGAUAAAAUAAAAUAAAAGUGAGACAUUUCUUGAUUGAAUAUUGUUAAAGGUCCCUUGGCAUUAAGACUUGGUUGAAGCCUUGGAAGAUUAGUGGAACUCUCAACAUGUGUUUGAAUCUUGAGGAGAGUGGAUGUAAGCCAAAAUUUUGUCAAACCAUUAUACAAAUUGAGUUUGAAUCCUCAUUUCUUGAUUUCUUAUUUAUUUGCUUUUUCUUAUUAUUACUUGAAUUGUCAUUUGCAUUCAUUAAUGUUAAAAUUGGUUAUAAUUAACCAACACUAAUUCUCUUUCCCCUUCCCUUUCUUGGGUGUAAACCUAGGUUGGAUUAACUAGAUAAAUCUAUUAAGAUGGUAAAAGAAUAAUUAUUCUUAACAUACAUAAGAUCAUCUUCAAUCAAAUGACUCAUUGGCUAAUAUGUUGAAUUUGCUUAUUACUUGCAACUCAAAAUUGUGUUCUAGUUGUGUCAAGUCCCCAGUGUAUGGACAUUAAAUUUGUAGUACGUGAUGAGUAAUUAGAUGGUCCAACUCCAAGAAAGUGAUUGAAAAGUAGUUCAAGAAAGGUGCAAAAGGGAAUUGUUUUGGUAUUUUCGUUUUUAUUCUUGAAGGUGGCAGAGCUAAAAUUUGAGAAAUCAAGCAAAACAUACUGAAAUUACAUUGAAAGAAAGAAGAUGGGAGUUAAUGUCUUGCAGUACAUGAUAAGGACUUCAUGCAUGUAGUGUGACCCAUGUCUUGGACUGAUGCCAACUCACGGUUACACUUAUACCCUUGGUUCUCUCUUUACUACCUUGGCUAACCUAGAUCAGGCUAUGAGAUAGGCUCCUCACCACACCAUUACUUGCCCAUUAAUUAGAGACAUUUUCAAGCAAUGAGGUAACAUGGUGACACCAAGAGGGUCUAUUCCUCGCCCGGAACAAGUCUAGACUUGGUCUCAAAAAAAUGGAGAAAAAUGAGGUGUCGUUAUGUAGAAAUACAACAACCAUGCCUUCCUCAUUACUUAGAUUCAGAAUGUGAAGGUGAAAUUGAGAAACAGAAACUCUUGAAACCAAAAUGAAAAUUGAUACUUUUACGAAGAAUUACAACAACAUUAGAGGAAGACUACAUUCUUCCUCUUUAUUCCUACAUUUCUACACUACUUCUACUCCACUCCAUAUUUCUACAUACAUCUUUAAUCAGUCUUCCCUCCUUUAUAUAGAGCCAUCUUCACACAAAUUUCGCAAGGUAGAAAAGAGGAAUGAAACUUGGAGCAAGGUUCGACUACUGGUUGUAGCUUGUCAAGGCUGGAAGUGAACUUUUCUUGGCUUUCUGGGCAUGGGUAGUAACUUGUGGGUUCCUGUUUGGCAUAAAAAUGGCUAGAACAUGUGGCACUAUCUUGUUGGAUGAUGUGUCAAGCAUGUGGCAGCCAUCUAGUGGCGAUUAUGUCAAUUUUGGGAUGGAGAGUUGGCAUCCAAUUGCAAAGAAAUAUGACGUCUACCAACAUGCAAUGUAAACCUAUGUAGAUCAUAUGAAGAUAGAGAGGAAAAAUAUAGAAAUGGAUAUAUACCUAGAACUAGCUUUUUAUUAAAUGAAACGGAGAGACAACAAUGAAGGAAAAUAAAAUUUUUUGGCUUAUAUCAAAGAGUUCACAUUGUGUUACCCUAGGUUUUCUUAAAACUUACUUUUAUGAUAACAAAAAAGAAAAAACCAUUAUUGUUUAAUCCUUUGUUUUAAACGCAUGUAAGGUGUAAUUAAGUUAGUUCAAUGCAUUAAUUUAAGAAACUUGACCUAUCAAAAGUACAAAAUUAGAUGAAAUCCAUUUCAAUGGUUAAAAUGAUCAAAAUCAAACUUUUUCUAAGUAUUUUUUAAAAGCAUCAAUAGUGAAAGACAAUUUUAUAUUUAGUCGGAGUUUGGACAAAACUGAAAAACACACAAAAUCCAAGCGACCAUCUCUAGCUUGGAUGGUCGCUUGAUCCCACCUAGAGAUGUGCAUGAGUAAAAGGAUUUGAAAAUGGAAAUUGACUAUGUAGUCGAUCAAUUAACUUUGCAACAUCAUAUGCAAUCCUAAUUGCUAGUCAUCUAAUCAAUUAGGUAGUCAAUCAACAGGCCAAAAAUAUGUUUAUAAUGACUAUUUUGUACAAAAACCACCUGUAUAGUUAAAUAUAAUGCAUUUCAUUUAUAAAUCUUCUAAUUCUUGAAUAACGAUCCUAUCAUCCUUUGAAAGUUUUUAUUACACUUUUUUUACUUUUGUUCUAAAACUUACACAUCACCCUUAAUUGUACCAUGAGAACCUAGCUAUUUUUUAUUUUUUUUUUUGUAAUUCAUCAAAGUUAGCUUUUGUAUUCAUUGUUGUAUUAUUUUUAGUAUAACUUAGAAAGCUAGUGUUUUCAAGUGAGUAAAAUUAACUUGUAAAUAUUGUAAAGAUUCAUCGACAUGUAUCUUAAACUAAGUGUACAAGUUAAAACAUUUGCUAGUAGAUUUUCUCAAAAUUUAGAAUAGAGCUUGAGACUAUUGAAAUAGGUGGGGUUGCACCAAACCACAUCACAUCGUUGUUUGCACCUUUUUUCACUCUCUUUUACUUAGUUGCUCUAUAUUUGUUGUCUAGUAAUAUCCUAUAGGCUUGAUGGGUUAGGGAGCAUCCCUUUGUGAAAAAAUUUUAUUCAAUCCUUAGUUGUAUCACGCAUAUAUAAAAUGCCUCAUUGUUUUAAUGGUAUUCAGUCGUGGCAUCACAGAUAUGGGCAUCUAAAUUUUAAAAGUUUGAAACUUUUAUCUAAAGAAAAUAUGGUGCUUUGCCUUUUUGUAAAGCAUGUUGAUGAAAUCCAUGAGAAUUGUGUACUUGGGAAGCAACACCGAGAUGACUUUUUUUUUUUUUUUAUAAUAUUGUUUGUCCAAAUUCCCUACAAAUUAGGCCACCAGAUGUUCAUAAUUCUCCCUUCUUGAAUUUGAAAACUCGGACAAUUGGACAAUGCGACACCUAAGUCCGGUUUCUAAAUGCUAAAGUGAAAGGGUAGGUAUGGACCAUUGAAAUGUGAUCACAACUUUUCUCUGUAGCCAUGUUGUCUCUUUUUUCUUUUGCAUGAUUUUCUUACCUUAACAGAAUCAUAGACUUGUUUAGUCUCUAAAUGGGAUUAAUUUCAUCCAGCUUUAAGCUACUAUAUUAUAUCUAGGUGGAGGACUUUUAAGAGUGCAACCGACAUAGAGCACAUGGAAGUGGGUAUAUGGGACAUGAAAUUUCUUCUUAUAAAGAUUGCAUGAUUUUUAUAUUAGAGUUGUUGAGGCGCUAUGUAUUUAGCUUGUUUUGCAGUUAAAUUAAUUGGAUAAGUAGACAUUGGCGUUUCUAAAUCUACUGUGAAGUGCUUCAUGUACGUGUGAAGUAUUAGAAAUUUCUUUCUUGGCAACUUGUUUUUCUUUGCGGUCUACUGAUAGGUUUGACUAAAAUUAUAUUCCCUGUCAUGCUAAUUAAUUUUCACGUGCAUGCUCAAAAGAAAAGUAUGACCUUAGUGCACCAAAAUCACUUUGAUUAAUUUGUGAUAGGUUUUUGUGCAUCAUGACAUUAGCCUUAUUCAUUUAGAUAAUGUUUAGUUUUUAGAAAGUAUUAAGAAAAGGAAAAUAAAUAUUAAGAAAAAUAUUCUUAUAUUUGAUUGUAUUAUGAAAAAUAUCAUAAAAAAAUCAAAUAUAAUUUAAAUUAAUUAAUAAUUUAUACAUUUUCAAAUUAUUUAAUCUUUAUAUUGAAGAUAUAAUAUAAAUGAAAUGAGUUUUAAGUAUUAUAUAAAAGUGAUUUAUUGAUCUUACAUAUAUAUAUUUCUUUUUUUUUUCCUUCUAUUUUUUCUCUUUAUUUUAUUUUCCUUAUGUUUUCCUCAACAUUUUCCGGAACCAAACAUAGCCUUAGGAAAUCCACAAUUACCUUCAACUGAGUAGAUUCUGUUGUUUUAGCAAUGUUAGGCUGCUAACUUGUGUUGGUACGAACCUAUUAAGCCUAAAGAUGUAAUUAGUUAGGAUAUUCUUUUCCCUCUAGUCUUGUAGCUCCACGUGUACAGUUGGUUAGGACCUCAUUGUAUAUAAUGCUUGCCCUGUUAUUGUAGAAGACAACAAAGAUAAAUAAUAUUAACAUUUUUCCUCUCAUCUCUCUCUGUUUCCCUCUGUUUUCAUCUCCUCUCUCAUCUUGGUAUCAGAGCCUCCAUGGCUUCUUUCAAAGAAACCUCCGAAUCACCUUCUGCUAGCAUUGUUAAUGUGCAAAACCCAUUAUCUCAAUCAAACAACCUUCCUUCACCAGUAGCCACACCCUCUUUUUCUUUCUCGUCUAUGAAUCAACCUCUCACAGUGAAGCUGGAUAAUGGGAACUACCUCAUAUGGAAGAAUUAGCUUCUAAAUGUCAUCAUUGCUAACGGACUCGAUGAUUUCAUUGACGGAUCUCGACCCUGCCCUCCUCGAUUUCUCGAUCUGCAACAACAAACCCUCAAUCCAGAGUACUCAGCUUGGCAGAGAUACAAUCGACUUCUGAUGAGUUGGCUGUACGCAUCCUUGUCCAAAGAUAUAAUGGCUCAGAUUGUUGGGUAUUCAACAGCUAUGGAGAUUUGGAAUGCCCUUAAUCAGAUUUACUCUGCCUCUUCUAUGGCGCGGUUUACUGAGCUUCGCACCAAGCUUCAAACGCUCAAGAAAGAUGGACUCUCAGUUGGUGAAUAUAUUCAAAGGCUCAAAUCCAUUUGCAAUAGUCUUGCAGCAAUAGGAGAACCAGUUUCUGAGAAAGACCAUCUUAUCUAUUUGUUCAAUGGAUUAGAUUGUGAGUAUUAUUCUUUUGUUACCUCCAUUCAAAAUCGAUCUGACCAACCAACUAUUGACAAAAUCCAUAGCCUAUUGCUUAGCUAUGACUUCCGGCUUGAACAACAAAACUCUGUUUCUCUCCAUUCUGCCCAAGUCCAUAUGGCUCAUCUGAACAAGAAACCUUAUAAAUCAACUCCUCAACCUACAUUCAAUCAUAUUCACAUUCAACCUAGAUACUCUUCUCCACCUUUUAAGCCAACCACUAGUCAAUAUCAACCCAACAUUUUGGGCAAACCACAACCACAACCAUGACAGCCUCAACCUCAAUGGAAACCACAUUUUUCAAUCUAAAAUCAAAAGCCUCAGCGCCAAAUUUGUGGUAAAUUUGGACACACUGCUCUUAUUUGCUUCCAUCACACAAAUUUGAACUAUUCACCCCAACCUUCUCCUAAAUCUUUCAAUACUGUUCUCACCACAAAUUCCCAGCUCCCUAAUCCUCCAAAAUUUUCUUACCCUACAAUGGCUCAUCCUGCUGCUACGCAUAACACGGUUCCCGAUACAAAUUGGUACAUGGACUCAGGUGCUACACAUCACUUUACUCUGGACAUCAACGUGCUUGACACUGUGACACCAUUUAGUGGUUCAGAACAGGUGACAGUUGGGAAUGGUAAGCAACUCUGUAUCUCACAUCUUGGUACUGCAAAACUACCAUCUUCGUAUUCUCCUCCUGUUCUACAUCAGGUAUAUCACACUCCAAAAAUUUCAAAUAAUCUUAUUAGUGUUAAAAAAUUGUGUUCUGAUAAUAAAGUUUUUGUUGAAUUUUAUGCCACUCAUUUUCUUGUCAAGGAUCAGGUUUCGAAGAGAGUUCUCCUUUAGGGUCAACUUGAUAAUGGCUUAUACAAAGUUCAGUCGUCAUGCUCUCCUUCUGCUGUUUCCUUUCCUCCUCAAGUUUUCAUAGCCAACAUCAAGUAUCCAAAUCUGUGGCACAAGAGACUAGGCCACCCAGCUUUAUCUGUUGUUAAUCAAAUCUUGGAUUCUUGUAACAUUGCUCGAACACAGAAAAUUUGUUUUAAUUUUUUAAAUUCUUGUCAAUUAGCAAAGAGCCACAGGCUUCCUUUUUCUCUGUCUCCAUCCAUUGCAGAAAAACCUUUUGAGUUAAUUCAUACAGACCUAUGGGGUCUUUCGCUCGUUCGCUCUAUUUCUGGUGCUCUUUAUUUUUUACUUUUCAUUGAUGAUCAUACUCGUUUUACUUGGUUUUAUUUGCUCAAAACAAAAGAUGAAGCAUAUCCUACUUUUCUCAAGUUUCAAGCUCUCAUUGAAAAUCAAUUUAAUACCAAGAUUAAGGCUGUCCAAUCUGAUUGGGGAGGUGAGUUUCGAUCUCUCUCCAUACCGUUUUCAAAUAUGGGCAUUGUCUAUUGUUUAUCGUGUCCAUACACCUCACAACAGAAUGGGCGAGUUGAGCGAAAAAAUCGCCAUGCGAUUGUCCUUUCUUGCUUGCUCUAUGCCCUUAUCUUAUUGGCCUUAUGCCUUUCAAACUGCCACUUACCUUAUUAAUCGUCUCUCUACCCCUGUGCUGCAUCAUCAAUCCUCUUACUUCGCACUCUAUCACAAACUCCCAACUUAUACUCAUCUUAAGGUCUUUGGUUCCUCUUGUUUUCCGUAUUUGCACCCUUAUAAUACCCAUAAACUCCAAUACAGGUCACUAGAGUGUGCUUUUCUUGGUUACAGUUCACACCACAAAGGUUAUCUAUGUCUUGACAUUCAUUCUAGCAGGGUGUAUAUUUCUCGCCAUGUGAUUUUUAAUGAAGAUUCUUUUCCAUUCAAGAAUUUGAAAUCUUCUCUCUCUCAGUCUAUUUCUUCUUCCUCUUCUUUAUAAGUUCCUCUGUUCAUUCUCUUGCCUCCCCUUUCCCCAUCUCCUCUUAUUUCUUCAUCUAUACCUCAUUCUUUUCCCUCUUCUUCUUCUACCUCUAGUACUUGUUCCCCUCUCGUUGCUCCUACCUCUCUUCCUUCCUCUUCACACUCUGUGUCUCCAUCUAUUCCACCUCCUUCUCCACCUUCUCCGAGUGUGGACCUGCUUGCACCUUGUGUGAAUACAAAUUUACAUACUUCUUCUCGCACUCACAAUAUUCAUCCUAUGGUGACUAGAUCUAAGGUUUGUAUCUAUAAACCUAAGUUGUUGUUGAGUGUCUCCAUAGGUUCUCUCACUAAGCCUACUUCCUUUCUUCAAGCUAUUAAAGAUCCUUCAUGGAAGCAAUCCAUGGAAUUCGAGUUUGCUACCCUUCAACACAACAAGACCUGGCAUUUGGUUCCUUCACCUUCCUCAGGCGAAGUAAUCGGUUGUAAAUGGGUCUAUAAGCUAAAGCUUCAGCCUGAUGGCUAAAUUGAGAGAUACAGCCUGCUUAGUAGCUAAGGGUAUCAUCAAAUUGAAGUAUGGACUACUUCGAAACAUUCAGCCUGAUNNNNNNNNNNNNNNNNNNNNNNNNNNNNNNNNNNNNNNNNNNNNNNNNNNNNNNNNNNNNNNNNNNNNNNNNNNNNNNNNNNNNNNNNNNNNNNNNNNNNAGCUUCAGCCUGAUGGCUAAAUUGAGAGAUACAAGGCCUGCUUAGUAGCUAAGGGUUAUCAUCAAAUUGAAGGUAUUGACUACUUCGAAACAUUCAGCCUGAUUGUCAAGCUUUCUACUAUCUGUAUUGUGCUCAGUCUUACUUUUUCCCAGAAUUGGUGUAUUAGACAGCUGGAUGUUCAUAAUGCCUUCUUACAUGGUGACUUAGCUAAAGACGUUUUCAUGGAACAACUGCCUGGAUUUGUUGAUCCUCUCUAUCCUACUCAUGUCUGCAAGUUGGAUAAGUCUCUCUACUGUCUUAAAUAGUCACCUCGGGCUUGGUAUACUAAGCUGAGUACUUCUCGCUACACUUGGGAUUUGUUACUUCUAAGAAUGACUCUUCCUUAUUUAUUUGUCAUUCGUCUCAUGGGUUACUUCUUGUUCUUGUCUAUGUGGAUGAUAUAAUCGUCAUUGGGAGCCACUCUCCUCAGGUUACUCACCUUAUCCAACAGUUGCAUCAUUAGCUUUCUUUAAAGGAUCUUGGUCCUUUACAUUAUUUUCUGGGCUUGGAGGUUCAUCACACCCCUACUGGUAUUCACCUCAGCCAAGCAAAGUAUAUCACUGAUCUCCUUACCCGGGCGGCUAUGUUGGAUGCCAAGCCAUGUCCCACUCCUAUGUCCUCCAACACAUAUCUCUCUUUUCAUGAUGGAGUGGCUCUUGAAAAUGGUUCAGAUUAUCGAAGUUUUGUUGGUGCCCUUUAGUAUUGUACCAUGACACGCCCAGAUAUAGCUUUUGCAAUAAAUAAAGUGUGUCAAUUCAUGCACCAUCCCUCUAAUGUUCACUGGCAGGCUAUAAAACGUAUUCUCCGGUACUUAAAGGGCACAUCUCAUUUUGGUCUCUUCCUACAGCCUUCCUAUGACUUCAACAUCACUUGCUAUACAAAUGCCGACUGGGCUUCCUGUCCUGAUGACAAGUGUAGCACCAGUGGCUACUGCCUCUUUCUUGCCUCUAAUCUGGUUUCUUGGUCAUCUUCCAAACAAAAAGUGGUCUCCCGCUCCAGCGCCGAAUCAGAGUACCGAGGGGUAGCAAAUGGGGCUGCUGAAAUUGCUUGGACUGAAUCUCUUCUUUGUGAACUUUCCAUUACUCCCCCUCCCCUCAUUCUCUGUGACAAUAUCAGUGCCACGUACUUAGCUGCCAAUCCUAUUUUGCAUGCCCGCACCAAACAUGUGGAAAUCGACUAUCACUUUGUCACGGAACGUGUUCUUCAAUGCUCUCUUUUUGUCCAGUUUACACCUUCUGAUGAUCAACUUGCUGAUUGCAUGACCAAGCCUCUCUCCACCCAACGUUUCAUCACUCUACGCUCCAAGCUCACUGUUCUCACUAGACCAAUGAGCUUGAGGGGGGAUGUUAAGCCUAAAGAUGUAAUUAGUUAGGAUAUUCUUUUCCCUCUAGUCUUGUAGCUCCACGUGUACAGUUGGUUAGGACCUCAUUGUAUAUAAUGCCUGCCCUGUUAUUGUAGAAGACAACAGAGAUAAAUAAUAUUAACAUUUUUCCUCUCAUCUCUCUCUCUGUUUCCCUCUGUUUUCAUCUCCUCUCUCAUCUGAACCAAAUGAUCCAUGUUAACCUUGGCUUGGUUUGAUUUGGCUCUAUCUUAGAGAGCUCAAGGAUCACGUCAACUCUGGUUUCUACUAUUCAGGUCCAUUCCCAUAUGAACUGGUUCAAAUUUGAGAAAAUGGUAACAGACCUUUAGUGAUGUUGGUUUGGAGCCAGUUGCCAAACCCGCCCUGAGCUUUACCACUAAUGUCAAGGGAGAAAGCCAUUUGAACAAAAACAAUAGCUUCAAGGGACUGAAUCGUGGAUGAAAUCUGAUCCACAUUUCUUCUCAUUUUGGAAACAAAUGAGAACUUAACUAAGAAGAUUCUACGGCCUCAUAGUGCUUUUCCUGAUCUAAGGUUGGUUCGUUUCCCAAACUGUGAGAUGCACGUGCCAGACUUCAGAACUCUCACGCUCAGGAGUGUAUCCACGUGGUGGACAUAAGAUGGUGGCUUAAGAUCUGGUGUCGGUGGCUUUACUUUACUAGGAGAGUAGUGUGUCUUCAUCUCAUUCACUGCCGGAGGGUGGCGUAAGCAGUGACGCUAAGGUGGGGCACAGUCAAUAUCAUUUGCAUUUGACCAUUAUAGUUUUCUCCCGGCUUUAAAGUAACCUUAUCGUGAUAAAGGAUUACUAGCACUAGUUCAGAUGAUAGUCAUGUUAAAUUCGGACCAUGUUUGUGUCACAUUAUCAGCAACCAUGUGUUUAUGGUUCAUGCUUUCUGCAACUAAAAUUGAUAUAUAACCAGGUGAACUUCAAUCUAAAUUCUGAAAGUACUCAUGUGAUAGAUGGUGCCCGUCUGCAGAGUCCAUCAAUUGAAAAAUGGAGUGAGUGUAUCUAUAAGAGGGAAGGCUUGGAAAAUGUUCAGUUUUCUGGGAAUUCAACAAGGAUCUAAAAUAGAUUGUUUUCUUUGCUGAUUUCAAUGGUUGAAAUUUGAGAAGAUUGUGUCCACAUAACACAACUAUUACUGGUCCUUCUGUUGCAAUUUAUCCUCUAAAGCUCUAGCAUGUCUUCCAAUUCCCACUUCCCUGUUACUCCAGGAAAGCUAUUUCUGUCAUUGUGAAGAAGAAAAGAGAAUGUACAUAUCGAUGCUUUUAAGUGACUGGAGCAUUUAUAUCAGGUGGUCUGCAGCCAUAUAUGCCACUUUGUGAAGAUUGGAACAGUCAAUCACUAGGCUAUAUAUUAGUGUGGCCCAGCCACUUUAAUCAAGGACAAGUCUUCAUACUUAAAGUCAAAUUCUGCCUUUAGUCUCAUUAUAAAUUUCUGUUUAAAUAUUAAGCAAACAUUUGUUUAAUGCGAUUAAGACAGUACUAACUCAAUACCUGUUCUAUUUUUGGAUGCAAAUGCUUGAUGGUUUCAUCAUUGGAUGGGAUAAAGGUGCAUUCAUGAUUAGGAAUACUAGUAGUUAUAUUUUAAUUCUCUUUUUUCUCAAUGAGACUUGUUGGCACAAUUUUGCUGUUGAGAAACCUACCUCUCCAUGGAAAAUAAGUUGUGAUUGAUAGUACUGGAUAUAUUCAAGAAAUCUAAAUAUAGAUAGCACAAAAUAUUAUCGACAUAAAUAGCAUUAACAGCGUACGUAUGUCUCAGUGCUCAUCAGCUAUAAGCAUGGGGCAAACACUUACUAUGAGCAACUUACGUCAAAAUUCCAGAAUAGGACAUAGAAGUGACAGAUAUAGAACAUUGCAUAUGAGUCACAAGAAAGGAAAUUACGGGUGCAUAGCAGCUCUUAUUUUACAUACUACUACUCAUACUGAUCAAAGUCACUCAGUUGGGAUGGGUGGGAGUAGGAGGUUUGUGGGGUGGCUUGUGCGGAGGAGUUGGCAGCUUCUUUCCAGGACCUGGUUGCUUCUCUGCUGGAGUUGAAGGAGGCUUAAUCUUCCGAGGUGGCUUGUAUGAGUCUUCAGCAUUCUCAGCUGGAGGGUGACCAGGGUUGUGACCAUAAUGUGGUGGCUUCUCUCCCUUAGGUGGUUUGCCAACUGGGGUUGGUGGCUUGUAUGAGUCUUCAGCAUUCUCAGCAGGAGGGUGACCAGGGUUGUGACCAUAAUGUGGUGGCUUCUCUCCCUUAGGUGGUUUGCCAACUGGGGUUGGUGGCUUGUGUUCUGGGAGUGGCUUCUCCCCCUUGGGAGGUUUUUCCAAUGGGGUUGGUUUGUGUUCAGGAGGUGGCUUCUCCACUGGAGGCUUGUGUUCAGGAGGUGGCUUCUCCACCGGAGGCUUGUGUUCAGGUGGUGGCUUCUCCACCGGAGGCUUAUGCUCUGGUGGUGGCUUCUCGAAUGGGGGAUGCUUAGGAUAAUCAGCAAGUGAGGGGGCGGUGAGAACCACCAGGCCAAGCAACACCACUAGCAAAUAUGUAGGAGACAUCUUUGGGUUUGGGCUCAGAUGGUGCAAAACUAGGAGAAUUGGCUAGCCUUUUAUAGCGGAUCGUACCCAAUAAUGAAAUGACACGUGUCAUUAUGACCCAUGUGUAAUGGGGUCGAUUUGGGUCCUACAGUGUUGAAAACUUCGACAUCCACUUUUGGCCUUUUGCUUUCUCUACAGCCGCCUUGCUUUUUCCCUCUUUCCUUUUGUUUUCCUCCUGCCCCAUUCUAUCAACUAAACACAAUUAUGUAGUUGUUUAAUUCUUAAAUGAGAUAUUAUCCGUCAAUCGUAUUAUAUUUUAUCAAGAGAGAACGGAGUGCAAUGUGGCUGUAAUUUUAUCGUUUAGUUUUAUCUCUUGGACCACUGCAUUUUUGUUAAGAGGUGCAAUAAUACACGUCUUUAUCUGCCAUUCAAUAUUUACAGUAAAGAGAGGGCACAAAACUCUUCACUUCGCACCAUAAUUAUUUUGUUUUCUGGACACCCCGGGGCCCUUUGGUUGGUUUGGGGGUCAGAAAGUGAACAUCAUAGGGGGUUUUUCCCUUAUGUGCAUUUGUAUCUGAUGGCUUUAACUCGCCUUGUUACUACAAAGAAACUGUCACAGAUAGGAACUUAUUCCAGGCUGAGUAUCUCCUCAUAGACCCUAUAAAAGAAGACAAGUCAUAAUGAACAUCUAACCUUUGUUCAAUUUGAUUCAAUGCCCCCAUUGUGUCCAUCUCACAAAUCUGAAUUAUUAUAUCCAUUGAAUACAUAAAUUAAUGAAGAAAAUAUGAAACCCAAGAUACAUCUCUGCACAACCUCAACCCUGGUUGCUAUGUUUCCCUUCUAUUCACAUGAUUUGAUGCUAAUUGCCAAACUUGCAACAAGCCCUGAGUUUGACACCUAGUAUCGAUGGGCGAAUUUAAAGUCUCCUCCAAACAUAUAUUCCACAGCUUGAAGCUCACAGAAGAUGUUACAGGCAGGGAAAAACCUUCAGAGUUCGCUACCAAAGAUAAUUAUUAAGGAGAUAUCACAAAGAGAAUUCCAAGGGGUCUGAAUCAAAGACAAAUUGGUCGUUCGUGGGGGUUCUUACUUUCUUUUGGGUAUAACUCACUGAGGGCACUGUCUUUGUUAUUUGCAUUUCACAUUUAGAGUUCUGUUCUGGAAACAUAUAAAAGGAGCAUCAUUUUGUUCUUGGGUAACCCAUAGUCGUGAGUGGGUCCAUUUGCAUGCUACUUAGUUGAAAAGUUGGACCAUUUGCUCCGACGCCUACCUCCCGGAUUCCAUGCUCGGAUAAAACAAGAAUAAAAAAAAUAUUUAUAAUUUACAAAUGGGGGAAAGAAAAAAAUGUCAACAACAAACCAGGAAAAAAGAGUAGUAAAAUUCAUGUCACAUGCUAGUGAGAGAAGGGGUUGUUACACUCACUCGAAGUUCUUUCCAAAAUAUCGCAUGGUAUUUUAUUUUAUGUGUCAGCGCAGUUGUGAAUGGAACGUGCAAAAGUCCAAAUUGGCGUUUUUCCUUUUCCCGUGUAGGAUGGCGACCUUUAAUAAAUAUUUAAAACAAAAAACGAAAAAAAGGAGGGAAAAGGGAUCAGAAAAGAUAAAACAAUGUGUACAAGAGCUCAAUUAGUUUGCAAAUUACUGUUUGGAUUUUGAUAGUAUUUUAUUUGUCCAUCUAUAUUUGAUGGAAAAGAGAAUUUAAGAUAUUUCUGAAACAAAAGCAUUAGUGUAAAACUAAAUUAAGGUAUAAUUAAGUUAGUUCAAUGCAUUAAUUUAAGAAACUUGAUCUAUCCAAAGUACAAAAUUAGAUGAAAUCCAUUUCAAUGGUUAAAAUGAUCAAAAUCAAACUUUUUCUAAGUAUUUUUUAAAAGCAUCAAUAUUAAAAGACAAUUUUAUAUUUAGUCGGAGUUUGGACAAAACCAAAAAGCACACAAAAUCCAAGCGACCAUCUCUAGCUUGGAUAGUCACUUGAUCCCACCUAGAGAUGUGCAUGAGUAAAAGGAUUUGAAAAUGGAAAUUGACUAAAUAUUUAGUUGAUCAAUUAAAUUUGCAAUGUCAUAUGCAAUCCUAAUAGCUAGUCAUCUAAUCAAUUAGGUAGUCAAUCAAGUGUUUGUAAUGACUAUUUUGUACAAAAAACCACAUGUAUAGUUAAAUAUAAUGCAUUUCAUUUAUAAAUCUUCUAAUUCUUGAAUAACGAUCCUAUCAUCCUUUGAAAAUUUUUAUUACACCUUUUUUACUUUUGUUCUAAAACUUACAUAUCACCCUUAAUUGUACCAUGAGAACCUAGCUAUUUUUUUUUUUUUUGUAAUUCAUCAAAGUUAGCUUUUGUAUUCAUUGUUGUAUUAUUUUUAGUAUAACUUAGAAAGCUAGUGUUUUCAAGUGAGUAAAAUUAACUUGUAAAUAUUGUAAAGAUUCAUUGAUAUGUAUCUUAAACUAAGUGUACAAAUUAAAACAUUUGCUAGUAGAUUUUCUCAAAAUUUAGAAUAGAGCUUGAGGCUAUUGAAAUAGGUGGGGUUACACCAAACCACAUCACAUCGUUGUUUGCACCUUUUUUCACUCUCUUUUACUUAGUUUCUCUAUAUUUGUUGUCUAGUAAUAUCCUAUAGGCUUGAUGGGUUAGGGAGCAUCCCUUUGUGAAAAAAUUUCAUUCAAUUCUUAGUUGUAUUACGCAUAUAUAAAAUGCCUCAUUGUUUUAAUGGUAUUCAGUCGUGGCAUCACAGAUAUGGGCAUCUAAAUUUUAAAAGUUUGAAACUUUUGUAAAGCAUGUUGAUAAAAUCCAUGAGAGUUGUGUACUUGGGAAGCAACAUCGAGGUGACUUUAUUUUUUUUUCCUUUUAUAAUGCCACACCUAAGUCCGGUUUCUAAAUGCUAAAGUGAAAGGGUAGGUAUGGACCAUUGAAAUGUGAUCACAACUUUUGGCCUUUUCCUUUCUCUGCAGCCAUGUUGUCUCUUUUUUCUUUUGCAUGAUUUUCUUACCAAAACAGAAUCAUAGACUUGUUUAGUCUCUAAGCUACUAUAUUAUAUCUCGGUGGACUUUUAAGAGUGCAACCGACAUAGAGCACAUGCAAGUGGGCAUAUGGGACAUGAAAUUUCUUCUUACAAAGAUUGCAUGAUUUUUAUAUUAGAGUUGUUCACGUGCAAUGUAUUUAGCUUGUUUUGCAGUUAAAUUAAUUGGAUAAGUAAACAUUGGCAUUUCUAAAUCGACUGUGAAGUGCUUCAUGUACGUGUAAAGUAUUAGAAAUUUCUUUCUUGGCAACUUGUUUUUUCCUUGCCAUCUACUGGUAGGUUUGACUAAAAUUAUAUUCCCUGUCAUGCUAAUUAAUUUUCAUGUGCAUGCUCAAAAGAAGAGUAUGACCUUAGUGCACCAAAAUCACUUUGAUUAAUUUGUGAUAGGUUUUUUUGCAUCAUUUAGAUAAUGUUUAGUUCUAAGAAAAAUUUAUAUAAAAAUGGUUUAUUUAUCUUACAUAUAUAUAUAUAUAUAUAUAUUUUUUUUUUUUUCAUUUUUUUUUCUUCUAUUUUAUUUAUUUAUUUUAUUUUCCUUAUGUUUUCCUCACAUUUUCCGGAACUAAACAUAGUCUUACGAAAUCAACAAUUGCCUUCAACUGAGUAGAUUCUGUUGUUUUAGCAAUGUUAGGCUGCUAACUUGUGGUGGUACGAACCAAAUGACCCAUGUUAAUCUUGGCUUGGUUUGAUUUGGCUCUAUCUCAGAGAGCUAAAGGAUCACGUCAACUCUGGUUUCUACUAUUCAGGUCCAUUCCCAGAUGAACUGGUUCAAAUUUGAGAAAAUGGUAACAGACCUUUAGUGAUGUUGGUUUGGAGCCAGUUGCCAAACCCGCCCUGAGCUUUACCACUAAUGUCAAGGGAGAAAGCCAUUUGAACAAAAACAAUAGCUUCAAGAGACUGAAUCGUGGAUGAAAUCUGAUCCACAUUUCUUCUCAUUUUGGGAAAAAAUGAGAACUUAACUACAAAGAUUCUACUGCCUCAUUCAUAGUGCUUUUCCUGAUCCAAGGUUGGUUCGUUUCCCAAAUUGUGAGGUGCACGUGCCACUCUCACGCUCAGGAGUGUAUCCACGUGGUGGACAUCAGAUGGUGGCUUAAUAUCUGGUGUCGGUGGCUUUACUUUACUAGGAGAGUAGUGUGUCUUCAUCUCAUUCACUGCCGGAGGGUGGCGUAAGCAGUGACGCUAAGGUGGGGCACAGUCAAUAUCAUUUGCAUUUGACCAUUAUAGUUUUCUCCCGGCUUGAAAGUAACCUUAUCGUGAUAAAGGAUUACUAGCACUAGUUCAGAUGACCGUCAUGUUAAUUCGGACCAUGUUUGUGUCACAUUAUCAGCAACCAUGUGUUUAUGGUUCAUGCUAUCUGCAACUAAACUUGAUAUAUAACCAGGUGAACUUCAAUCAAAAUUCUGGAAGUACUCUUGUGAUAGAUGGUGCCUGUCUGCAGAGUCCAUCAAUUGAAAAAUGGAGUGAGUGUAUCUAUAAGAGGGAAGGCUUGGCAAAUGUUCAGUUUUCUGGGAAUUCAACAAGGAUCUAAAAUAGAUUGUUUUCUUUGCCGACUUCAAUGGUUGAAAUUUGAGAAGAUUGUGUCCACAUAUCACAACUAUUACUGGUCCUUCUGUUGCAAUUUAUCCUGUAAGGCUCUAACAUGUCUUCCAAUUCCCACUUCCCUGUUACUCCAGGAAAGCUAUUUCUGUCAUUGUGAAGAAGAAAAGAGAAUGUACAUAUCGAUGCUUUUAAGUGACUGGAGCAUUCAUAUCAGGUGGUCUGCAGCCAUAUAUGCCACUUUGUGAAGGUUGGAACAGUCAAUCACUAGGCUAUAUAUUGGUGUGGCCCAGCCACUUCAAUCAAGGACAAGUCUUCAUACUUAAAGUCAAAUUCUGCCUUUAGUCUCAUUAUAAAUUGCUGUUUAAAUAUUAAGCAAACUUUUGUUUAAUGCGAUUAAGACAGUACUAACUCAAUACUUGUUCUAUUUUUGGAUGCAAAUGCUUGAUGGUUUCAUCAUUGGAUGGGAUAAAGGUGCAUUCAUGAUUAUGAAUACUUGUAGUUAUAUUUUCAUUCUCUUUUUUCUCAAUGAGACUUGUUGGCACAAUGUUGCUGUUCAGAAACCUACCUCUCCAUGGAAAAUAAGUUGCGAUUGAUAGUACUGGAUAUGUUCAAGAAAGCUAAAUAUAGAUAGCACAAAAUAUUAUCGAUAUAAAUAGCAUUAACAGCGUACGUAUGUCUCAAUGCUCAUCAGCUAUAAGCAUGGGACAAACACUUACUAUGAGCAACUUACGUCAAAAUUCCAGAAUAGGACAUAGAAGUGACAGAUCUAUAUAUAUAGAACACUGCAUAUGAGUCACAAGAAAGGAAAUUACGGGUGCAUAGCAGCUCUUAUUUUACAUACUACUACUCAUACUGAUCAAAGUCACUCAGUUGGGAUGGGUGGGAGUAGGAGGUUUGUGGGGUGGCUUGUGCGGAGGAGUUGGCAGCUUCUUUCCAGGACCUGGUUGCUUCUCUGCUGGAGUUGAAGGAGGCUUAAUCUUCCGAGGUGGCUUGUAUGAGUCUUCAGCAUUCUCAGCUGGAGGGUGACCAGGGUUGUGACCAUAAUGUGGUGGCUUCUCUCCCUUAGGUGGUUUGCCAACUGGGGUUGGUGGCUUGUAUGAGUCUUCAGCAUUCUCAGCAGGAGGGUGACCAGGGUUGUGACCAUAAUGUGGUGGCUUCUCUCCCUUAGGUGGUUUGCCAACUGGGGUUGGUGGCUUGUGUUCUGGGAGUGGCUUCUCCCCCUUGGGAGGUUUUUCCAAUGGGGUUGGUUUGUGUUCAGGAGGUGGCUUCUCCACUGGAGGCUUGUGUUCAGGAGGUGGCUUCUCCACCGGUGGCUUGUGUUCAGGAGGUGGCUUCUCCACCGGAGGCUUAUGCUCUGGUGGUGGCUUCUCCACCGGAGGCUUAUGCUCUGGUGGUGGCUUCUUGAAUGGGGGAUGCUGAGGGUAAUCAGCAAGUGAGGGGGCGGUGAGAACCACCAGGCCAAGCAACACCACUAGCAAAUAUGUAGGAGACAUCUUUGGGUUUGGGCUCAGAUGGUGCAAAACUAGGAGAAUUGGCUAGCCUUUUAUAGCGGAUCGUACUCAAUAAUGAAAUGACACGUGUCAUUAUGACCCAUGUGUAAUGGGGUCGAUUUGGGUCCUACAGUGUUGAAAACUUCGACAUCCAGUUUUGGCCUUUUGCUUUCUCUACAGCCGCCUUGCUUUUUCCCUCUUUCCUUUUGUUUUCCUCCUGCCCCAUUCUAUCAACUAAACACAAUUAUGUAGUUGUUUAAUUCUUAAAUGAGAUAUUAUCGGUCAAUCGUAUUAUAUUUUAUCAAGAGAGAACGGAGUGCAAUGCAGCUGUAAUUUUAUCGUUUACUUUUAUCUCUUGGACCACUGCAUUUUUGUUAAGAGGUGCAAUAAUACACGUCUUUAUCUGCCAUUCAAUGUUUACAGUAAAGAGAGGGCACAAAACUCUUCACUGCUCUGCAUGUGUCCCAAAAAUGCGAUUGGACAAAUUAUGAUUUGCAUGCUAAAAAGAGGCAAAUGAGGUUAAUUCGCACCAUAAUUAUUUGGUUUUCUGGACACCAUAAAAAGAUGUUAUACAGGCAGGGAAAAACCUUCAGAGUUAGCUACCAAAGAUAAUUAUCAAGCAGAUAUCACCAAGAGAAUUCCAUAGAGUCUGAAUCAAAGACAGAUUGCUCGCUCGUGGGGGUUCUUACUUUCUUUUGGGUAUAACUCACUGAGGUCACUGUCUUUUUUAUUUGCAUUUCACAGUUAGAGUUCUGCUCUGGAAGGUUUGUUCUGGAAACAUAUAAAAGGAGCAUCAUUUUGUUCUUGGGUAACCCAUAGUCGUGAGUGGGUCCAUUUGCAUGCUACUUAGUUGAAAAGUUGGACAAUUUGCUCCGACGCCUACCUCCUGGAUUCCAUGCUCGGUAAAACAAGAAUAAAAAAAAAUAUAUAAUUUACAAAUGGGGGAAAGAAAAAAUGUCGGAAAAAAUAGUAAAAUUCAUGUCACAUGCUAGUGAGAGAAGGGGUUGUUACACUCACUCGAAGUUCUUUUCAAAAUAUCGAAUGGUAUUUUACUUUAUGUGUCAGCGCAGUUGUGAAUGGAACGUGCAAAAGUCCAAAUUGGCGUUUUUAUUUUUCCCAUGUAGGAUGGUGACCUUUAAUAAAUAUUUAAAACAAAAGACGAAAAAAAAAAGGAGGGAAAAGGGAUCACAAAAGAUAAAAUAAUGUUUACAAAAGCUCAAUUAGUUUGCAAAUUACUGUUUGGAUUUUGAUAGUAUUUUAUUUGUCGUUCUAUAUUUGAUGUAAAAGAGAAUUUAAGAUAUUUCCGAAGCAAAAGCAUUAGUUUGCUCUGUGAUGUCCCACAUCGAAUAGGGGAGAAAGUUUCUGGCGCUAUAUAUGUAGAGGCUCCUCUUAACCAAGUAGAUGCGUUUUAAAACCAUGAGGGCCCCCUUAGGUCCAAAGCGGACAAUAUCUACAUGAUUGGGUGUAAGUCAUUACAAAUGGUAUCAGAGCCGAUCCCCGACCCCGGUGUGGGGGUUUGUUUGGCCCUGUAAGGGGUGUUUGUCUGUUUGACCCCACAAUCCCAUGGGACACAACGAGGACGUUGUGUCUGCAUGGGGGGGCGUUUGUGAUGUCCCACAUCGGAUAGGGGAGAAAGUUCCUAGUGCUAUAUAUGUAGAUGUUUCUCUUAACCAAGUAGAUGCAUUUUAAAAUUGUGAGGGCCUCUUUGGGCCCAAAGCGGACAAUAUCUACAUGGUUGAGUGUAAGUCAUUACAUGCUCCAUGUCAAUUUCAGCAUUUCUCAUAUGUUUCACACAUACACAGAAGAGCAUCGUUUUUUAAAGCAUGCAUUUAUGUUGGAUUAAUUUGGAUUUUGUGGGAACUGGGGCAAGGAUCACAUGGAAGAGAGGUUGACUUUUUUCAGUACUUCAAUGGUUGAAAUAUGUGAAGGCUUGAUUGAUACUAAAGCUUGAAAUUGCGACUCUGUCAUUUGUAAAAAAAUAUGACAGCUUCCAUGCUCUCGUUUGGUUGCAUUGUCCGGUCGAGAGGUGCAAAAAGCAUUCUCUCUCUUCUAAUAGUCUUUUCGUUUAAAUCAAGGGAUUUGCCUUCCCGGUCGAGGUCCAAUAGAGGGUAACGGUCACCUACUAAACAUUAAAUGCUCCAACAACUAGUGAACUGAUCGACCCCAGCUCGACUAGUUGAGGUUACUUUUUGGUUUUCUUGUCUCCCGAGGUUAGAAACCUAUAAAUAGAGAGCUUCACUUCAUUUAUGAGUAAGAGAACACCUAAAUUUAUUUGUUUACCUACUUGUUUUUGCCAUAAAAGCUCUCAUUUCUUUUCUUGGUGUAUUAAAUCUCCAUUUGCAUAUCCUUUAGUGCACCUUUGUGAUUCAUUCUAGCCUUGAGUUGUAUUUAAGCCUUUGUUGAGCUAGGUUGAGAGUUUCAUACUUGUUUAUUGAGUGUUAAAGCCUUCAAGUGAGUUAAAACUUGAAGAGAUUGUGUAAGAGCCCAUUGGAGUCGGAAUCCAAGUGUAAAGGUGAUUAAAAGCUUGGUUGAAGCUUCAAGUUAGUGGAACUCUCACUCGGUUAUGAGCUUGAGAAGAGUGGACAUAGACAAGGCAGUGUCGAACCACUAUAAAAUCUGAGUUUGAUUUCUCUAACCUUAUCUCUUUAUAUUUGCUUCUCUUGUGCUUAAAUUUUUUGUGUUUAAAAAGAAUUUUUAAAAACUCAAUUCACCCCCUUCUUGGGAGUUUUUCUCUUUUAAGAUCAGCUUUUAUUUUCUCAAUUGGUAUCAGAACUAUGCCUCUUGUUUAAGACUUAAUCGUCUAAGAGGAAAUGGCUAAUCCAUCAAGUUCAUCUCACAUUGAAAGUUUUGCAACCAAUAGACUUCUUUUUUUUUUUUUGCGGGAACUGAUUAUCCCUAUUGGAAAACUAAAAUGACUUGGUUUUUACAAUCAAUUGAUUUAGAUGUAUGAGAUGCCAUUGAAGAUGACCUAACUUUUCCUUCAAAACUAGUUGAUGGAGUCAUGGUUCCAAAACCUAAGCAAGAAUGGGAUGAGCGUGAUUGAAGAAAUUUUCAAUUAAAUGCUAAAGUCGUUUAUACUUUGCAAUGCUCUAUGGACAGAAAUGAAUAUAAUAGAAUAUGUCAAUGCAAAUCGGUUAAAGAAAUUUGGAGAUUGCUUGAAAUAACUCAUAAAGGAACAAAUCAAGUUAAAGAGUCAAAAAUCAAUUUACUUGUUCAUAGAUAUGAAUUGUUUUUUAUGAAAGAUAAUGAAACUAUUGUUAAGAUGAUCACUAGGUUCACCAACAUUGUUAAUGGUCUUAAAGCCUUGGGAAAGACCUACAAGGAAUCCGAAAACGUGAUGAAGAUCUUGAGGUCACUUCCAUCAAAGUGGCAUACCAAGGUCACCGCAAUUUAAGAAGCAAAAGACUUGAUCAAGCUACCUUUGGAGGAGUUCAUAGGGUCAUUGAUGACAUAUGAAAUCAAUUUGGCAAAGAAGUAACAAAAAGGUGAAGACAAAAAGAAGAAGAACAUAACUCUCAAAGCUACAACUAAGGAAGAAGAAGUUGAAGAAGAAAAACAAAUUGAAGAAGAUGAAGAUUUAGCCCUCAUCACAAGAAAGUUCAACAAAUUCAUGAGGGGUGAAAGGUUUAGAAGAAGAAGGUUCACUUCUAGAAGAGACUUUUCUAAAAAGGAAUCUUCAUCUAAUGGUGACAAAAAGAGAUGGGAAGAGAAAAGAGACUUGGUGUGUUUCAAGUGCAAGAAACCGGGACACAUUAAAUAUGAUUGUCCUCUCUACAAAAGUGAAGUCAAGAGGAAAAAGAAUAAGGCAAUGAUGGCCACUUAGAGUGAAAGUGAAGAUGAAUCAUCCGAAGAAGAAAAUGAGAAAGAAGUGGCAAACAUGUGUUUCAUGGCAAUAGAUGAACUUGAUGAGGUAAAAUCUAACCUUAGUGAUUAAGAUAUACAUGAUGCAUUUGAAGAAUUGUAUGAGGAUUUUUAAAAACUUAGUUUGAAAAAUAUUUCUCUUAAAAAGAAAGUUCAACAACUUGACAAAGAACUUAGAGAAGUAAAAGAAAAAUUUUCAAAUGUUAAAGUUUCUAAAACUCAUCUUGAAAAAGAAAAUGAGAUUCUAAGAAAGAAAAAUGAAUAGUUGAACUCCUCUCUUUCAAUCUUUUCUUCUAGACAAAAAUCUUUUGAAAUGAUUCUAACUAGCUAAAAAUGUGUUUUUGACAAACAAGGGUUAAGAUUUAAAUCUUCAAAAAAUCAAAAGUAUUUUAAAAACUAUUUUGUAAAGGAAUCCACAAGUGCAAGUCCUUCCACUACUUGCAACUUUUGUGGAAGAGAAUGGCACAUUAGUAGUACGCCCUUUAAGAAAUGGUUCUCAAAAGAAUUUAAAUGCAAAAACUAAAAAAGAUUUGGAUUGAGAAAUCCAAGGUCACUAACCCUCAAGGACCCAAAAAGAUAUAGGUACCUAAAUCAACUUGAGUUUUAUGUUGUAAGGUUCAAAGAAUGAUAAGUGGUUCUUAGAUAAUGGUUGCUCAAGACACAUGACCGGAGAUGAAUCCAAGUUUGCUUUUCUUAAAAAGAAAAAUGGAGGAUAUGUUACCUUUGGAGACAAUGCAAAAGAAAGGAUGAUUGGUCAAGGCAACAUUGGUAAUGGCACAUCCUCUCUCAUUGAAAGUGUUUUAUUAGUAGAUGGUUUCAAACAUAACCUUUUAAGCAUUAGUCAAUUUUGCGACAAAGGUUUUUAAGUGAUUUUUUAAGCAUCUCAUUGCAUCAUCAAGGAUAUUCAAAAUGAUAAAACCAUUUUCAUGGGCCAUAGAUGUGAUAAUGUUUAUGCUAUAAAUAUUUCAAAAUAUGAUGGCCAUGAUAGAUGUUUUUCAAGCAUGCAUGAUCAAAGUUGGUUGUGCCAUAGGAGAUUGAGACAUGCUAACAUAGACCUCAUUUCCCAACUCAACAAAGAUGAACUUGUUAGAGGCCUUCCCAAAAUAAUUUUUUAAAAAGAUAAAGUUUGUGAAGCUUGUCAAGUGGGAAAGUAAAUCAAAAACUCUUUUAAAAACAAAAACUUCAUUUCCACAUCUAGGCCACUUGAGUUGUUGCAUAUGGAUUUAUUUGGUCCCUCUAGGACACCAAGUCUUAGAGGAAAUUCUUAUGCAUAUGCUAUUGUGGACGACUUCUCUAGAUACACAUGAGUCUUGUUUUUUAGUCAAAAGAAUAAAGUUUUUUAUGAGUUUUCAAAGUUUUGCAAUAAGAUUCAAAAUGAAAAAGGUUUUUCAAUUACUUAUAUAAGAAGUGAUCAUGGGAGAGAAUUCGAAAAUAUUGAUUUUGAAGAGUAUUGCAAUGAGCAUGGAAUUGACCACAAUUUUUUGGCUCUUAGAACUCCUCAACAAAAUGGGGUAGUUGAAAGGAAAAAUAGAACUCUUCAAAAAAUGACAAGAACCAUACUAAAUGAAAACAACUUACCAAAAUAUUUUUAGGCCAAAACGGUUAACACUUCUUGUUAUGUUUUAAAUAGAGUAUUAUUGAGGCUCAUACUUAAGAAAACUCCCUAUGAGCUUUGGAAAAACAAAAAACCCAACAUUAGUUAUUCCAAAGUCUUUGGAUGCAAUAUUUUAUAAUAAACACCAAAGACAAUCUUGGAAAAUUUGAUGCAAAAUUGGAUGUUGGAAUUUUCCUUGGUUACUCAACUUCAAGUAAAGCUUUUCGAGUUUUAACAAAAGAACCAUGGUUGUAGAGGAGUCCAUCCAUGUUAUUUUUUAUGAAUCUCCAAGAAAGAGAGAGGAUUGAUGAUGAUUUAGGUUUGAAGACCUCUAUAGGAAGAUUGCAAAUCGAAGAUAGAAGACAACAAGAAGAAAAUGGAGAGAAUCCAAAGAAAGAAGGAUCACCAUUGGCACUACCCCCUCAUCAACAAGCGCAAGGUGAAUCAAGUCAAGAGCUUCCUAAAGAAUGGAAGUUUGUCAUCAAUCACCCACAAGAUCAAAUUAUAGGCAAUCCAUCUAGUGGGGUAAGAACUAGAUCCUCUCUUAGAAAUAUUUGCAAUAAUCUAGCUUUUAUCUCUCAAAUUGAGCCUAAAAAUAUAAAUGAUGUUUUAGAUGAUGAAAAUUGGAUAAUUGCAAUGCAAGAAGAGUUAAAUCCAUUUGAAAGAAGUGGAGUAUGGGAAUUAGUACCAAGACCUUCAAAUCAAAGUGUUAUUGGAACUAGAUGGAUCUUUAGAAAUAAAAUGGAUGAAAAUAGCAUAAUUGUUAGAAAUAAAGCAAGAUUGGUAGCCCAAGGUUUUAAUCAAGAAGAAAUGAUAGAUUAUGAAGAAACCUUUGCCCCCGUAGCUAGGUUGGAAGCCAUUAGGAUGCUACUUGCCUUUGCAUGUUUUAAAGACUUUGUUUUAUAUCAAAUGGAUGUGAAAAGUGCUUUUUUAAAUGGUUUUAUAAAUGAAGAAGUAUAUGUUGAACAACCACCCGGUUUUCAAAGUUUCAACUUUCCUAACCAUGUUUUUAAACUUAAAAAGACACUUUAUGGUUUGAAACAAGCACCUAGAUCAUGGUAUGAAAAAUUGAGUAAAUUUCUUUUGAAAAAAAUGUUUUAAAAUGGGAAAAAUUGACACAACUCUUUUUAUAAAAACCAAAGAAAAUGAUAUGCUCUUAGUUCAAAUAUAUAUUGAUGAUAUCAUUUUUGGUGCUACUAAUGUCUCUCUUUAUGAAGAAUUUUCUAAGUGCAUGCAUAGUGAGUUUGAAAUGAGCAUGAUAGGAGAACUCAACUUCUUCCUUGGACUUCAAAUCAAGCAACUAAAGGAAUGAACCUUCAUCAAUCAAGCAAAGUAUAUAAGAGAUCUUCUCAAAAGGUUCAACAUGGAAGAAGCCAAAACAAUGAAGACUCUAAUGAGCUCAUCCAUUAAGCUUGAUAAGGAUGAGAAAGGUAAAUCCAUUGACUCUAUUAUGUAUAGAGGCAUGAUAGGUUCUUUGCUCUAUUUGACCACUAGUAGACCUUACAUUAUGUAUAGUGUGUGUUUGUGUACUAGAUUUCAAUCUUGUCUUAAAAAAUCUCACUUAAGUGUCGUGAAAAGAAUCCUCAAAUAUUUGAAAGGGACAAUGGACAUAGGCUUAUGGUAUCCUAAGAGUGAUAACUUUGAAUUAAUUGGUUUUUUGGAUGCUGAUUUUGUCAGUUGUAGGGUUGAAAAAUAAAACACUAGUGGCACUUUUCAUUUCUUAAGACACUUACUUGUCUCAUGGCAUAAUAAGAAGCAAAAUUUGGUAGCUUUGUCAACAGCAGAAGCUAAAUACAUAGCAACUGGUUUAUGUUGUGCACAAAUCCUUUGGAUGAAAUAAACACUUAGUGAUUUUGAUUUAUCUUUUGAGCAUAUUCCUAUUAAAUGUGAUAAUAGUAGUGCCAUAAGUAUAUCAAAAAAUCUCGUGCAACACUCUAGGACUAAGCAUAUAGAGAUUAGACAUAAUUUUCUUAGAUAUCAUACACAAAAGGAUGAUAUAACACUUGAAUUUGUAAGCAUAAAAGACCAACUUGCCGAUAUCUUUACAAAACCUCUAAGAACAUUUUGUUGAUAUUAGAGGACAAUUAGGAGUGAUUUCUUUAUGAUCUAAUGUGAUGAAUUCUUGAUGAAUAUACUUUUUGAUUGCAUGAAUUUCAUGUCAUAUAUGCAUCAUAUAGAAAUAUACUUAGAUAAUGGUCAAAUUUCGACCAAAAAUCAAAAUUCCCAUGGCAUUAGGCAUAAAAAUUUUGGAAUUUCAACUGAAAAUGGUAGGAGGAGGAUCACAAAAUGAGAAAGUAUGCAAAAAUUGAAAAAUCAAAACGUUGACCAAGCGGUCAAUCGGACUAGACCGAUCGACUAGUUUGUCGAGAUUUAGGAUUUUUAAGAGACUCCAACGCUUCAAUUUUUGCACCGUUCUCCUCUAUUUCUUCACGGUUUCUCUGAUUUUGUCUUUUAGAGACUAAUUUGAGUGCGUUUUGGAUCAAUUGAAGCAUUUUGGAUUGGAUUUUAGGAAGAUUGAAAGUUAAGGUUUCGGAUUUGGGUCGCCUUCUCUUCCUCUCGCGUGUCACAAUCAGCUUUAGCAUUGUUCUCUUUCCAUUUUCACACACCUAGGGUUUCAGUUGUGAGCAUCUCUCUCUCUUUACCAACCACUACUCCCUUGCUUCUUCCAUAUGGCUCCUAGGCGAGAGUCCGCUACUUCUAGGGCACAAGGCAAGCACCCAACUGAGUCGUCUCAGUCAAAGGCACGUCGAAAAGUGAGAUUUGACAUUGCCUUGUUCAGUUCCAUGGAGGACUACCAACUAUACAAGCAACACUUUGCUUAGAGACGAGUAGUUCCCAAGAGAAAUAUUAAUUUUCCUCAACUUCAGCAUUUCGAAUUUAAGGGUCUAUUUACUAGGAUGGUUGGUUGUCUAUUGUCACAAUUUCGGAGCCGGUUUUCCUGACCUUAGUGCGAGUUUUUUACUCGAGGGCGACUUAUGGCAUGGGUGGCAUGAUCAUUUCUACUGUUGGAGGAGUUGAGAUCUGUCUGGACCCAGAGAGCAUCUGCCAUAUUUUCGAUAUUGCUCUGGUUGGACUCAAAGUAUACAAGUCCAAAAUGUGGCCCAUUGUGCCAGGAUUUGAGCUUAGAGAGGUCAUUCAGAGGAUUUGUGAACUUCCAGACGCCCAGGAGAUGGGCAAACCAUUGCCACACAGUUUGACGGUCAUCAACAGGGUGCUACACCAUAUAUUGUGCUCUAUCUUUCUACCACGAAGUGGACAUUGAGAUGAGGUCUCUUAUUAUGAGGCAUUCCUUAUUGACUCCAUUCUAACGGAGAGACGAAUUCAUCUACUAUGUCAUCAUUCACUAAGCCUCCUCACAGUGACAUACCACCUCAUCAGGCACCUCUUGCUCCUGACCAUGCUCCAUUGAUGGAUUUAUUUACUCAUAUUAGCUCUCUAGGCACUCGCAUGAAGGAGUUUGUUGUAGUUAGUGAUACAUGGUUCUACUCCAUAGAGGAUCGCAUGGAUCAGUAUCAGACUGGCUUCACGUCACAGUUUGAGUAUCUCCAAUAGAGGAUUGAGCAUAUUGAGGAUCACUUGAGCAUGAGAAGAUGAUGGCUUUUCUAUGCUCUGUGUUUCCACCUCCACCUCGUCAACCUUGAUUUCUUAGAGACCCAUUGUUUUCAUUUUGUAAUGUUGCCAAAAGGGGGAGAUAUUUAGGAUCUAGGACUCUAUAGGAGACUUACAUGCAUAUCAUUUUCAUAUCAUUGUUUGGAUCGUACAUAUUGGAUAGUGAUACUUUUUACUUAUAUAUGAUAUGCCUAUAUGUUUCAUGUCUUACAUUGUUUCUUAUUGCAAAUUAUCUCUAACAUGUCUUGAUUAUCUUUUUUUUAACUUCAUAAAUUUUGAUUGUUAACCCAUGAUUGGUUUGAGGGGAAGAUUCUUCUUCUCCUAGAUAACCAAGGUUUGUCAUCAUAAAAAAAUUGGAGAUUGUUAGCCCAAGGGUUCUCCUAAUCAUGUUUUGAUGAUAACAAACCAUGCUUAAGUUACUAAUUGGUUUGAAUUAUAAAGAAUUUCAAGUGUUAAUUUGAAAAUUCAUCAAAGAACCUAAUGGAUGCAAGAUCAAGAUUUUUGGAAGACCUUUAAUCAUAAGAAACAUAUGUAAGAUGAAUGCAUGGGUGCACUUAAGAUUUGCAUAUCAUUUCAUGCAUAUUUGGAAAACACGGUUUAUGCUUUAAAGUUACAUUUCCAUCAAAAUUUGAGAUCCAUCAAAUGAACCUUAGGAAAAAUGUUUUAAAAUUGGCAUAUAAUUUUACCUAAAGACCUUGCCUAAGUGUUAGAAGCAAAAGGACAAAAAAAAUAUAGGUUUUCUGGUCAAAAAUGGUGAACCAGUCAAGGCAUUGUCUAAAUCAGCUCAAUCGGCCAAGGUACCGGUCGAUCGGUUUCCCUUUCCCUGUCGAGAUCUAGUCAAGAGGUACAAAAAUCACAAUCUCUGUCUCUUUCUCUCUUUGUCUAUCUUCCAGUAGUCUUUCCUUCCCGGUCGAGGGAUUUGCCUUCCCGAUUGAGGUCCGAUUGAGAGUAAUAGUCACUUGCCAAAUAUUAAAUGCUCCAACAGUUAGUGAACUGGUCGACCCCCACCUUGCCCAGUUGAGGUUACUUUUUGGUUUUCUUGGCUCCCGAUGUUAGAAACCUAUAAAUAGAGAGUUCCACUUCAUUUAUGAGCAAGAGAACACUUGCAUUUAUUUGUUUACCUACUUGUUCUUGCCUUAAAAGCUCUCAUUUCUUUUCUUGGUGCAUUAAAUCUCCAUUUUGAUAUCCUUUAGUGCACCUUUGUGAUUCAUCUUAGCCUUGAGUUGUAUUUGAGCCCUUUUUUUAGCUAGGUUGAGAGUUUCAUACUUGUUAAUUGAGUGUUAAAGCCUUCAAGUGAGUUGAAACUUGUAGAGAUUAUGUGAGAGUCGAUUGGAGCCGAAAUCCAAGUGUAAAGGUGAUUAGAAGCUUGGUUGAAGCUUCAAGUUAGUGGAAUCCUCACUCAAUUAGGAGCUUGAGGAGAGUGGACGUAGCCAAGGAAGUGUCGAACCACUAUAAAAUUUGAGUUUGAUUUCUCUAACAUUGUCUCUUUAUAUUUGUUUAUCUUGUGCUUAAAUUUAUUGUGUUUAAAAAGAAUUUUUAAAUACCCAAUUCACCCCCCUCUUGGGUGUUUUUCUCUUUUAAAAUUAGCCUUUAUUUUCUCACAAACUAUUGUAGUAUAGUGGUUUUUAGGUGUCAUCCAUUAGGAUGAAUUGUUCUCGGUAAUUAAGGCGUGAAUGAGAGGAGAAUUAAUGAUUGUGAUUAAGUAAAAUUGAUUUGAAAAUUCAUGGUGAAAAAUCAAUUUAACAAUGGUUUCUAAUUGAGAAAAACAAUGAAAUGUGAAAUAAAAUAAAAUUAAUAGGAAAUGAAAUUCUCGAAGUUAGAAUUUUCUAAAAAACAAAUUCCAUGGUGAAUGGAUGUUGAGAUCUAAUUUUCAUCAAGUUAGAUUGAAAACCGAAAUUUUCAUAUAAACUGAUUUUUUAUUUAGUUUUAGGUCUAGAUUUAAUUUCCCUUAAAAUUAGGUUAUUUAAUCCAAGAAAUCAAUUCAAAUCAUAUAUUCAAUUCAUCUUAAAUUAUCUUCCAAUUAUUCACACAAUGCAACUAUUCAAUCUCAUCAAAUCUAGCUUUUAAGAAUUUAAUGAAUCUACCUAGUUUGCAUUGUAAUAGUCAUCCAUGACAAUUUGAAGAGAAAAAUAAUUCAAUUAAUCAAUCACUUGGAUCAAAUUACCUUUGCAAUUAAAGUUCAUUUCUCUAAUUCACCACAGAUUUUGUCUCUAGAUCCUCCUUUCUCAAAGAAAAAUGAGAUUUAGCCACACAUGAUUGGAGAUUUGGUCUCAUAAGGCAUGUUUAGCUAGUGAUAAAAUGAGAGAAAAUAAAGAAAAAUAGAGAAUUCGAUUAAGAAAGAAAAUCUAAAAAAUUCUACAAUUAGAAAUGUCCAAAAAGCUUUUUCAUGAGAAAAUCAAGUUUCUAUUUAUAGGCCAAGGUCAAGUGGACACUUGACAUCAUCUAAGAGGUCUUCCGGAAGCUUCUUCAUCAAGAAAUCUGGAGUUUAAUAAUAAAAUGGUCAUUUCACAAGAGCUCAAACAAUUUCGCAUGAUUAUGUGAAAUAAAAAAUGCAACAACAGCAAUUUACAUCUUCUUGGAGCAUUUCGCAUGACUGUGUGAAAUUUUCACAUGAUCAUGUGGAAUCGACUUGACAACUCUCAUUUAGCCUACAACAUAAUUCCACCUUUUGGUCCAUUUUUCAUAGUCAUGCGAAAUGGAAAUAUUUGAUUUUUAAGUUUUCUUUUGUCAUUUCUUUCAUUUCCUUCUCUUGAUUCCACUUCAACUACCUCCGAAUCCUGGUCCAAACCAAUUGCAUUACUUCUUUCAUUAUGCAUUUGGAUCAUCAUCAACAUUAUUUGUUCUCUUCAAUUUGAUUCAUCUCUUUUGUCACCAAUUUAUCAAAAUCAUACCUUGAAAUGACUCCAAAACUUCAUAAAACUUGUUAGUAACUCUUGCAAGGGCAACAACAUAUUAAUUAAGUGUUUUAGGCAUAGUUACUACUCAAAAGAUGCGAAACUCAUGAUAAUUAUUAUAUAAAAUAUGCUCUUUUUGAGUAGUAAUCAACUUUCUUGCAUAAGCAGACCUUUUAGGGUGGAGUACUAAAGACCAAUAUGCUUGUCCUUGUUGUAAUAAAGAAACUUGCUCUUAUUGAUUGCACCAUGGGAGAAAAUUUUGCUACAUGAGUUAUCAUCAAUUUCUUCCCACCAAUCAUAGAUUUAGACGUGACAAGAGGCCUCUUAAUGGCAAGGAGGAACUGACACUCACACUUAUACAAUUAUCGGGCAUUGAUGUGUUGCAACAAUUAGAAUAACUUACACCAAUUAUGUUGGGGAAGUCACAAAAGGCAAACAUGAAAACUAAAAGGAAAAAAGAAAAAUGUUACAUAUCACCACAACUGGAAAGAAAAAAGUAUUUACUUUCAUUUGCCAUAUUGGAAAGCACUUAUUUUACAUCAUAAUAAUUUAGACAUAAUGCAUAUUGAGAAAAAUGUGUGACAAUAUAAUUGAGACAUUGUUCAGUAUUGACGAAGAAACAAGGACAACCUAAAUAGUCAUCUCGAUUUACAAGCUCUAACUAUUAGAAAUGAGAUUCACCCAAUAGAAAGCAGGACCAAAUUUAUUUUGCUUGCAACAUGCUACUCACUCACCCCAAAUGAGAUUAAGGAAUUUUGCAAGUUUUUGAAAUCAAUAAAGGUCCCCAAUGGCUAUUCUUUCAAUAUCUCUCGUUAUGUGCAACUCAAUGAAAGGAAGAUAUAUGAGCUCAAAUUGUAUGAUUGUCAUGUCCUAAUGCAACAACUUCUCUCACUUGUAGUUCGUGGAGUUCUACAUAAGAAUGUUUGUGGAGUUAUCAUAGAAUUGCGUAAUUUUUUCAAGCAAUUGUGCUCAAAGGUGUUAGAAACAAAUCACUUACACCAACUUGAGAACAAUAUUAUUGUCAUACUAUGUAAAAUGGAGCAAAUAUUUCUUCCAUCAUUCUUUGAUAUUAUGGUGCAUUUACUUGUGCAUCUAGUAAGGCAAAGGUUGCAAGACUUGUGCAAUAUUGUUGGAUGUACCUAAUUGAACGAUAUUGUUAUAAUUUCAUAUGAAUCAUUUAAUUUUAUUUUAUAUUAUGUUCAGUUCAUUAACAUGUACAUUGGUCUACAUAUGGAUGAUGAUAGGUACCUAAGCACUUUAAAGUCAUAUGUGCGUAAUAGAACUUUUCUAGAAGGUUCUAUUGUAGAAAGGUACCUUGCAAAAGAAUGUACAACAUUUUAUUCUAGGUACUUGAAUGAUGUGGAAAUAAAGUAUAAUCACAAUGAUAGAAACUUUGUUGGUUUCAACACUAGAGGAGAUGAAAGGGGUUAUCUUUAAACAUAUUGGACAUGCAUUGGGAAAGCCCAUAUUUCAUUAACUUAGUUCAAAAGAGUGGUCACAAGCACAUUUAUAUGUGUUGACAAAUUGCGAAGAUGUCAUACCAUUCAUUGAGUAAAAAAUUUAUUUGAAUUUUAAUUAAAGCUCUAGUUUAUAUCCUUAAUCAAUGUUUUUUAAAUUCACAAGGAGCACAAGCAAACCAUCAAGGCUAGACCACAUAUACGUGUUUGAGACGUAGAUUUAAUUCAUAACAAGGAAUUUAUCAAGUGGUUUGAAAGACAUGUAAGUAUAUUCCUUAUUAUAAGGGAUUUAUUUCACAUUAUGUUUAUAUUGAAUCCAAACCUAUUAUUGAAUUGUAGGUUGAACAAUUACAUAAUGAAGGUCAUAUAUCUGAACACCUUCUCACAUUAUCAUGUGUUCCAAAUUCAUUAGUUACAUGCUUCAAAUGAUAUAUUGUCAAUGGAUUUAGAUCCCACAUUAAAGAACGUGAUAAAAAAGUUUUUAAAAAAAGACUCAGAAUAAUGGAAUUGUUGUAGUUGCAAAAACGUCAAGCUUUACAAGUGCAUGUGAUAUGAGUCCAAUUAUUAGUGAUGCUCUCUACUAUGGUGUUCUAACUAAAGUUGUUGAGUUACAUUAUCUUGGUGAAAAUAAGGUUGUUUUAUUCGAGUUUGAUUGGUGGGAUGUUACAAAUAUUGGAAAAUUGAUAAAAGAUGAUGAGUACAAUUACACAUUUGUUAACUUUGCAUGAAUUCUAACCACGAACGAACGAUUUGUACUUGCAUCUCCAGCAAAGUAAGUGUUCUAUGUGAAGAAUGCGAAUGAAUCAGAUUGGCAUACUAUCAUGGAGAUGCAACCUCAAGACCUCUAUAAGAUGAACGGGAUAGGAUCCAAUGGUGAUUUUGAACCAUUUCAACAAAGUGAACUACAUGAUCACUAAUAUAUCUCAGAUUUAGUUGAUGAAGAUAUAAUCAAGUGGAACAAAAGUGAUGUUUUAGGACUAAUCAUCCUAAAAAAUAUUGUAGUUUCUUAAAAAAAAAAUGAAAAUGAAGAAGAUAAUUGAACCUUUGUCAUACUUUAAAAAGCAACUAUGCAUUGUUCAUUUUGUAUGUUUUGGUUUUCUUCAUUUAAUUUCCUGAUUUUUGUGAUUCAAUGUCAUAUUAUUGAUCUUGAAAUAUUUUUCUAAUUUUUCAUUCUACGAUGGUUUCAACAAGGAUGACAUCAAGUCAAAAAAGGAAAUGUGGUCCCACACACAAUAUUGCAUUACAGGGAUUAAGGUCAGGGAAGAAGGUAAAAGUUGCAUUUAAUGAGUACAAUCAAUUGGUUAAACAGAAAAAUGGAAAACACUUAUCGAGCUACAUAGGGACACUUGUAUCUAACCAACACAAUGUACCUCUCCAAGCUAGUGAUUGGAAAAAUGUUCCAAAUGAUGCAAAAGAGAAAGUAUGGCCUUUGUUUUGGUAUGUUGUAUUUCUCACUAUAUGAUGUCAUUUCACUGUUAUUCUAUUUUGUGACUAACGUUUGAAUCAUAUGUAAGAAAAAUUUGAAGUAGAUAAAGACUGAAAAGAUUACAUGUUGGGUAUAGCCUCAAAUAAAUAUAGAAGCUAUAAAAAUAUGAUGAAUGCAAAAUACUAUGACCCUUGGCAUAAGGAUGCAUGAGGAGAGGUUAAUACAUAAAUCACCAUUUGUCUCUGAUGUUGAUUGGAAGUGGCUUGUCUCUGAUGCAUAAACCAAAUCCCCCACUGAAUGUUUGAUAUUUGAUAGCAGGAAAAACACACCCGCAGCUAUACACCUCCAUCAUUCAGAUAAUUAUAGUGGGGGAGAUGAUUCAUGGUUGCCCUUAUACCCUUUAUUUGCACCAUCUAUUGAGAUUCUUUAUCAUGGCCAGGUUUUACUGCAGCAAUAAGAUAUGGUGGCAACAAUUUUAUCUAUAGGUGCGGUUCCAGACCGCCUCCAUAGGUGCGGUUCCUGACUGCCUCCAUAGGUGCCUCUUCUUGUAAUGUUUGUUCUGGGAAUUACACUUGAAAGCCUUAUCGUGAUAAGGGAUUACAAACACUAGUUCAGAGGACAGCCAUGUUAAACUUCCACUAUGUUUGUGUCACAUUAUCAGCAGCCUAGUGUUUAUUGGUCAUGCUAUCUGCAACUAAUAUAACCCGGUGAACUUCAAUCUAAAUUCUGAAAGUACUCAUGUGACAGAUGGUGCCUUUCAGCAGAUAUCAUCAAUUUAAAAGUAGUGUGUGUGCCUAUAGGUGGGAAGGCCUUGGCAAAUGUUCAGUAUUCCGGUAAUUCAAGAAGGAUAUAUCUAAAAUAGAUUUUCUUCUUGCCCAUUUCAAUAGUUAAAAUUUGAGAAGAUUGUGUCCACAUCACACAAAUAUUAUUGGUCCUUCUGUUGCAAUUUACCUCUGAACAUGUCUUCCAAUUCCCACGGUCCUGUUACUCCAGGAAAACUAUUUCGGUCAUAUUGAAAAAAAAAAUAUUAAAGAAGGUACACAUGCUUUUAAGUGGACUGGGGCAUUCAUAUCAGGUGGUCUGUAUCCACAUAUGCCACUUCGUGAAAGGUGGAACAGCCUAAUCACUAGGCUAUUUAGUGUGGCCCAGCCACGUUAAUCAAGCACAAGUCUUCAUACUUAAAGUCAAAUGGUGUCUUUAGUCUCAUUACACAUCGCUAUUUGAAGAUUAACUCAUCACUAGUGUAAUGCGAUUAAGACAGUCCUAACUCAAUAUUUGUUCUAGUUUUGGAUGCAAAUGCUUGCUGGUUUCAUCAUUGGAUGGGAUAAAGGUGCAAUCAGGACUAUGAAUACGUGCAGUAAUACUUCAUUCUCUUUUUUCUCAAUGAGACUUCUUGGCACAAUUUUGCUGCUCAGCAACCUACCUUUCCAUGGAAAAUCAGUUGUGACUGAUAGUAAUGGAUAUAUUCUAGAAAGCUAAACAUAGAUAGCAUUCAAUAUUAUCGAUAUAACAUUAACAGCGUAUGUCUCAAUGCUCAUCAGCUACAAGCAAUGGACAAACACUUUGAGUAACUCACAGCAGUCAAAAUUCCUAAACAGGACAGACGUGACAGAUCUAUAUAUAGAACACUGCAUAUGAGUCACAGGAAAAGAUAAUACGGGUACAUAGAAGCUCUUAUUUUACAUAUUACUCAUACUGAUCAAAGUCGCUCAGUUGGGAUGGAUGGGAGAAGGAGGUUUGAGGGGUGGCUUGUGCGGGGAAGUUGGCAGCUUCUUUCCGGGAGCUGGUUGCUUCUUUGCUGGAGUUGAAGGAGGCUUAAUCUUCCGAGGUGGCUUGUAUGAGUCUUCAGCAUUCUCAGCAGGAGGGUGACCAGGGUUGUGACCAUAAUGUGGUGGCUUCUCUCCCUUAGGUGGUUUGCCAACUGGGGUUGGUGGCUUGUUUUCUGGGAGUGGCUUCUCUCCCUUGGGUGGUUUGCCAACUGGGGUUGGUGGCUUGUGUUCUGGGAGUGGCUUCUCCCCCUUGGGAGGUUUUUCGAAUGGGGUGGGUUUGUGUCCUGGUGGUGGCUUCUCUCCCUUGGGAGGUUUACCAAUUGGGGUCGGUGGCUUGUGUUCUGGGAGGGGCUUCUCUCCCUGGGGAGGUUUAGUGGGUGGCUUGUGUUCUGGAGGUGGCUUCUCCACCGGAGGCUUAUGCUCUGGUGGUGGCUUCUCGAAGGGGGGAUGCUCAGGGUAAUCACCAAGUGAGGGGGUGGUGAGAACCACCAUGCCAAGCAACAACACUAGCAAGUAUGUAGUAGACAUCUUUGGGUUUGGACUCAGACAGUGCAAAACUACGAGAAAUCGCUAGCCCUUUAUAGCGGCUCGGACCUAAUACUGACAUAAUAUAAAAUAAAUAUUAUAUUUUAUCAAGAGAGAACAGAGUGUAAUUUUAUCAUUAAUACCGAUCGAGGCCAAAGAAAGAAGACCCAUAAUCCAUUUCCCACAAGCAUACACAAUGCAGCUGUAAUUUUAUCAUUUACUUUUAUCCCUUGGACCACUGCAUUUUUGUUGAGAGACACAAUAACACAUUUUUAUCUGUCAUUCAACAUUUACAGUAAAGAGAGGGCACAAAACGCAAUUAGAUAAAUUAUGUUUUGCCUGCUAAAAAGAGGCAAAUAACUUUAUUUGCAACAUAAUUAUUUUGGUUUCUAGUGACCCCGGGGCCUUUCGGUUGGUUUGGGAUCGGAAAAUGAACAUCAUAGGGGGGGUUGUGCCCUUAUGGGCAUAUAUAUCUGAUAGCUUCAACUGGCCUUGUUCCUAGAAAGAAAUUGCCAAAGAUAUAAACUUAUUCCAGGCUGAAAGUAGAUGAGAGUCAUAAUGAACAUCAACCUUUGUUCAGUUUGAUUCAAUGCCCCCAUAGUGUUCAUUUCACAGAUCUGAAUGAUUAUAUCCGUUGAAUACAUAAAUUAAUGAAGACAAAUAUGAAACCCAAGAUACAUCUCUGCAUAACAACCCCAACCCUGGUUGCUAUGUUUCCCUUCUUCUAUUCACAUGAGGAUACUGGUUAUAAUUGUCAAACUUGCAACAAGCCCUUUGACACCUAACGUCAAUGGACGAAUUAAAAGUCUCCUUCAAACGUCUAUUUCACAGCAUGAAGCUUAUAAAGGAUGCUGACAACCUUCAGAGUUAGCGACAAAAGAUAAUUAUCAAGGAGAGAUAGUUCCAUGAGAAUUCCAAGGAGUCUGAAUCAAAGACAAAUUGCUCACUCAAGGGUUCUUAUUUUCUUUUAGGUACAAAUCUCUUGAGUGUUGUUAAAGAAACACGUCACUGUCAUUUUGAUUUGCAUUUAACAUUUCACUUUUGUUCUGGAAGGUUUGUUCCGGAAACAUAUCAAAUGAGCAUCAUUUUCUUCUUCGGUGACACAUGGUCGCGAGUACGUGGGUCCAUUUUCAUGCCACUUAGUUGAAAAGUUGGAAAGAAAAAACAUGCCAACAAGAAGAUAGUGAGAGAAGGGGCACUUCAAGCCUUUAACAUGAACAAACAGUAAAUAAAAGAUGUUUCUCCACUCAUAAAAGUGUGUUAGAUAGCAAUAUAACGAAUCACAUCCAAAAUCUUUACUAGGCUCAAACAUAAAGAAGACUCAUUUUUAAGAAAAGAUAAAAAUGGCAUUGUCUGAUAGUAUCCAAUACACGAGAUGGCACUUAAUUUGUACAAGAUCUGUCAAUGCUGACGCACAUUUUCUGAUUAAAAAAAAACUGAUCAGUCAAAAGCAAUGAAGAGAAGUGAUGACAAUGAAUGAUGCUUCCAAUAUUUUCACCCCUUAUAGUGUUCUUCAUGAUUCAGAUAUAUAAUUGGAAAUAGAACAACCCUAUGCCAUACAUUCGUCUAAGUAUGGUGUCUAAUUUUUUGUGUCAGCGGUUGCGAAUGGAGCGUGCAAAAGUCCAAAUUGGCGUCUCUCCAUUUCCACAUAGGAAGGUGACCUUUAUUGACAAAUACCCAAUAUUUGUAGACAUUCCUUAAAUAUCAUAACUUCUUGUUGAUUUGAAAAUCAUUUUUCAACUACCAUGUUUUAAUAAAUAUUUUUUAAAAUGUAUUUUUAUCAAAGUCCACCAUGAUGGAUAAUAUUCACCAUGCAAUAAUUAAUAAAGUACAAACUAAGCGAAAUGAAAAGCAUUUUCUUUGCUUUGAGUUGAUUUUGGUUGCAUUGAGUUGAUUUUGGUUUCAUGGUUUUUUCAACUCUUAUUUUGAUUGGAAGAUGUCAAGAAAAGAAAACAUAAAGAAAAAUUAAAAGGGAAAAAAGAAGAAAAAUAAAAAAAAAUAGAUUUAAAAGUUAAUAAAUUAUUUUUUAUAUUUAUUUUAAUUCAUUUCACUUAUUUUUCUUUUACUAUAUAAAAUUUAAAUAAUUUAAAUUUUAUAAUUAAUUUAAUUACAUUUCAUUUUCUUCUAUAUUUAAAUAUUGGAAAAAUAUUUUACUUAAUAUUUUUUUCUUUAAUUUCUUUGGCAUUUUGGGAACCAAACUUAGCCUUUAAAAUAAAAAACAAAAAAAAAAUGAAAAUAAGGAGGGAAAAGUGAGAAAAGAUAAAAACAAUAUGUAAAGGAUUUGAAAAGUAUUAGUUUGUAAUUACUAUUUGGAUUUCAAUAGUAUUUUAUUUGUCUUUCUAUAUUUCAUGUAAGAGAGAAUUUAAGAUAUUCCCCAAGGCAAAGCAUUAGUUACCUGCAAUCAGUGGUGAUAAGGCUCCAAGCCAAUUUUGGGCCCCAUAUCUUAAGACAGUACAAUUUCCAUUUCAACAUUUCUGAUUUCUCAGAUGUUUCACAUACCACAGAAGAACAUUGUUUGUGAAAAUAUGCAUUUAUGUUGGAUUUUGUAUGCUGUGGGGACUGGGGCAAGGAUCAUAUGGAAGAGUGGUUGACUUUUUCUGUACUUUAACGGUUGAAAUAGGAUAAGCACGGGCAUUUGUGAGGCUUAAUUGAUUUUGAAGCCUGAAAUUGCGUUUCUGUCAUUUUGUCAAAAAAAUGGCAGAUUCCAUACUCAUAUGUUUGGCCUGUGGCCAUGUACAGAUGCCAUUUAGUGACCAGUUUGUAACUGUCAAUCGUUGCGUUUUGACUCUGCCUCAACAACAUCUGCCAUUGACGGGUUUUCAUACUUGCAAAUCAAAUAGUCUUUCGUCCCAUCAGGAAUUUCGGUUUAAAUAUUAUUAAGCAUACGUUUGGCUGACAAUCAUUAUCCAGUUCAUGAUUUGGUUUCUUACCCUUAAUCAAUGGUUUCUAAGUGAAUAUAUGUAGAAGGAAAUCCGAAGUGUAGACAGUAGUAUCGAUAACUCUCAAUAUUCUCUAUAUAAUAGAAUAAACAGCGUCAUAGUGAUCGUCGCCUACAAGCAAGGUACAAAUACCAAAACGAGUGACUCACAUAGACAUCUCCCAACAAGAUGUAGUAGUGACUGACACAUGGACACAAUUAACUCGUAGAAAAGGAUAAGACCAUUGCACAGCAGCUCUUAUUUUACAUACUACUUAUGCUAACCAAAGUCAAUUAGUUGGGAUGGGUGGGAGAUGGAGGUUUGUGCGGUGGCUUGUGGGGCGGAGUUGAUGGCUUCUUUCCAGGAGCUUCUGGCUUUUUCAUCGGAGCUGAAGGAGGCUCAAUCUUAUGAGGCGGCUUGUAUGAGUCUUCUUUACUCUCGACAGGAGGGUGGCCAGGGUUGUGAUCAUAAUGUGGUGGCUUCUCUCCCUUAGGUGGCUUGCCAACUGGGGUUGGUGGCUUGUGUUCAGGAAGUGGUUUCUCUCCCAUGGGAGGUUUAGCAAUUGGGGUUGGUGGCUUGUGUUCUGGGAGUGGCUUCUCUCCCUUGGGAGGUUUAGUAGGUGACUUGUGUUCUGGAGGUGGCUUCUCCACCGGAGGCUUGUGCUCCGGUGGUGGCUUCUUGGUUGGAGGGGGCUUGGGGUAAUCAGCAAGAGAUGGGGUGGUGAGAACCACCAGUCCAAGGAACAACACUAGCAAGUAUGUGGGAGACAUUUUUGAGUUUGGGCUGAUCAGAUGAUGCAAAACUAAAGCAUUACGUGACCUUUUAUAGCAUGUAGCUCCCAAUACCCACUAAGUAUUGUGGGGUCCAUUUGUGCCCUACGGGGUUGAAAACUUAGACAAUUGGGCAAGGACCCACCUGACUAUGGAGGACUAGUGAGGUGUGAUCAUAGCUUUAGGAUUUUUCUUCCUCUGCAGCCGUCGUGCCGUUGGCAUGAUUUUCUUAAUCUUAAAUAAAGGCAUAGUUAUAGAGUUGUUUAAUCUCUAAAUGGGAUUUUAUAUAUAUCUUCAGAUAGCCAUUAAUAUAUUUGAUGAAGAAAGAAAGACAAGUGCAUACAACAUGUAUACGACUAGCUUUCAUGGAGUUCAUUUAUGAUCAGUUUUCCUGUACAUGUAAACCAGGAUCAUAUAUAUGUUUCUGUUCCACAACUAUUUUGGAAUCUUGUUUAUCAGUUUUUAUCAUUAUAAUGUCACAUAGGCUGCCAACUUGGGCGCUAAAAGAACCAGUUGGGCUAGUUCGUUUCAGAAUUUCAAUGUGGAUUCAGGAAUUGUUUUGUAAGAUAUGCGAAAUAGUAGAGGGAUGAAUAGUGUUUCAUUAAUAAAAGUGUCCUGUAAAUUAGAAGGUGUCAUAGAAACUAUAAUCAAUAAAUAACUUUUUUUCCCCACGGGUGGUGUUUCUUGUGGGGAUCAGUGACUGGUUUAGGUUCACCCAAAAUGAGUUCAGACUAAAAUUGGUUUGAGUCAAUGCCGUGUCUCUUUUUUCCAGAAAUCAACUAUUUUAUGCAUUGAAUAAAUCAUACAAAGAAAAUAUGAACGCCCGCAAAACCUAAACCCUGGUUGCUAACUUUCUAUGUUUCAGUUCUAUUCACGCAAGAAUAUUAGUUUAAGUUUGGGAAAAAUGGCAACUUACCUAGUGAUUACUUGGUUUUGGUUUGCGACUAUUUACGCAACCAACCAUGAGUUUGACUUUAACGUCAUGGGUUGAAGCCUCCUACAGGAAGGGAGAAAGCUCCACAGCUAGCUCCAAAAGAGAAUUAUCACAUUGAUAGCUCCAGAGAUUCCCAAGGGGACUGAAUCAAAGACAAGUUCCUCACUUUUUCUUCUUUUGAGGCCAAAUAUGAACCAAGGAUCACACAACCUCAUUCAACUUCAUAAGUUUGAUUUCAUGCAGUUGAACACUGGGUGAAGGCCAUGACAAGAAUUGAUUCAAAAAUUCUAUCACUCUUUUAAGUAAUGGAAGAUUAUUAUCUCUGAUUGGCAUCACAACAGCACAUGCUCCUAGAUCUUUCUAGACACUCCAUGCAAUGAAAGCACAAUGGAUCUUGUAACGAUAGAAACUAAGCCAUGCUACAGUACUAGAUGAUGAGGUAAAACUAGUAGACACGGGUGGCAGCCUAUAUGGGAGGGACACAAGUCUAAUUGAUUUGCAUUUCAGCAUUAUAGAUAGGUAUGUUUUGGAAGAUUUGUUCUGGAAAUACCGCACCAAGUAGGAUUCUUUUUCUCUUUAGUGGGUCCACUUGCAUGCCAAUUAACGAGUUGAAAAGUAUGAGCACCUACCUCGUGCUCGUGGAACCGAAGGUCAGUGAAGUGGGGCUCCUUUUGGCCUCGUGUAAACUUGAUUCAGAAGUGAAGUUAAUAGUCUUCCAUUCAGAUGGAUACAUGGGAAUUUUUCUCUUUUAUUUAUUUAUUUAUUUUUUUUUUGUGUGUGUAUGUCAAAGGAUAAUGAAUGAAGCGCGUUAGCUUGUUUUCUGACUGGAACCGCAGAUGUCCAAAUUGGAGUUCCUUCAUUUCUUACUUAGGAUUGUUACAUGUAUAAACAAGGUAUAAGAAAUAUGCCAACGUGUCUUGAGGAGUUAUUGAUUAGAAAUAACAAGUCACCCGACUGUAGAGUUCCAAGAUUUGAAUCUUCAGACCCUAUAGCAGCCUCUGGGGUACGUGGCAUCCUAUAGCAUAUUAAUGAAGGCUUUUUCGAUUUAGACUUCACAAUACCAAUUAAUAUGUAUGCACAAAAUGGAGAUGACCCCAAAAAAAACAGAAUCGCCAUAGUUUAUGAGGUUAAGGUGAUUCUCCACUUAAUAUCUACAUUAGCUAAUUAUGUAAAUCAAAUGAACUUCUAUUUUUCCUUUUUUUUUUUGGUUUAUGUCAAAUAGUAGCCCAUAAUUAACCCAACCAUUAGCCUGUUUGAAUUGAUUUCACAUGCACAAUGUUGUAGUAGUUCAUAUUUUGAAUUUUAUUUUUACAAAGGUAGUUAAGGAAAAUGAAGUAUAAUAAUUAUAAAAGCAGACUAUAUACACUACAAUAAUUGUUAGAAUGGUAUCUCAAAUUCUAAUUUAAAAUAUUAUUUUUUGUAAAAGAAAUAUUAUAUAGAAUAUUUCCUAAUUUUAUAAAUGAUUAUAAUUAGAUCUUUAUAAAAUAAGGAAAGUUGGUAAGAAUAUCUUUAUAAAUAUUUUAGGUCAUGAGAGAAAGAAAUGGGAUAAAAAUGUGAUGAAGAGGUGAAAUAAGAGAGUUGAUUAGGAUAUAGAUGUGAAGAAGAAAGGGAUUCAAUAUAUAUAUAUCUUUCAAUUACCACAUUAAAACCCUGUGAACCUUUUAUAUGGUUUACUUUAUUUUUAUAUUCCUCCUUUAAUAUAUUUACAUUAAUGCUUCCAUUGGCACAACAAUAACGAAUUACAAAUACAAGCAACAAGUCCCAUGUUUUAUUACCAAAAGCAGGUAAAAUCCACCUAAUAUAUUACAAUAUAUUCAUCCAAUAUUUUAGACCAAUUCUUCACCAUAAAUAUCAUAAUGUGGCUUUUGUUCUUUCUUAAAUUUAAAUUGAAUUGUCUUAUAUCAAUUUGUUUGUGAUUUUUUCAUUAACUUCACUUUCAUUUGGUUAUCUUUGGUUUUUGAAAAGUAUUAAGGAAUUAAUUAACAAAAUAAUGUUAAGAAAAAUAAUUUUCUCUCUUUUGAUUUUGAUUUUGUAGUAGAAAAAUAUAAUUAAAAUUAUUUAAAAAGUAUGUAAUUUUAAAUUAUUUAAUAUUUAGAUAAAAAAAAUAAGUCUAAUGAGUUUAAAAUAACAUAUAAAAAUAAUUUAUUUAUUUUAAAUUUAUUUUUUAUUUUCCAUUAUGUUCUCUUUCUCUUUUACUUUUUCAUAUUUUUUCUUACGAAGAAUCAAACACAACCUCAUAUUAUAUGUCAAGUGUUUGUCUAUAUUUGAGCAAUGUUAGAUACGGCCAUGGAUUCAUCAAACUAAACUGAUUUUAAUAGAUACUUCACAAAUUGAUUUAUACACUAAAUCAUUGGAUAGCAAUGAUGCAUUGGAAUUAAACGUAGGAUGAAGCUCGAAGAACACUGUUUGUGUAACAACAUAUUUAUGAAAUUAUGCAAAGGAUGAGCUUCGGGGUAGUAGUACAAGGUCAUUAAUGGAGAGCCGUGUUAAACCUUGAUUGUGAUUGGAUUCCGUUAUCAGCAACAGCAACCUUGUUUGUAACCUUGAAAGUCAUUCUGUCCACAUCGAAACUCCAAUUUGACGUUUGUAAUUACCAUUCCUGGAGUGUUCCUUGAUUGAAAUUUAAAUAAUAAUUGCGGCCCACAAGGAAUAUUUUCGAUUCUGUGGGAAUUUGACAAGGUUUGUUAGAGAAGACUGGUGACAUGUUGACUUCAAUGGUUCAAAUAGGAGACGUAUGUGGAUUUGGGGGGUUUAAUUGAAACUGAGUCCCUAUGGCUUUUUAAUAUUUGCAUUGAGCAGUCUCCAUGUGACUUCCUAAUUCCCACCAACCCUCCUGUCCAUGCUGUGAAACUAAAUUGUAAUUUAUCAGCCUUUGUCAAUGGUUUCUAAAUUAAAGAUAUAGACCAUGCAUGUACUUUAAUAAAAGCAAAUCUAAAGUGUAGAUAGCAGCAAUGGUGACACCCAAUAUUCUCCAUAAAAUAGAAUUAGAAUAAGCAGUGUUACAUUGUUCAUGAUCACCUACAAGCAUACAAGAACUUCCAUGAAUAACUCAUAGCAAUUGCCAACAGGGCGUCGUAGAGACUCAUACAUAGAACACUAUCCACCCAGAGGAAAGGACAAGACCAGUGCGCUGCAGCUCUUAUUUUUCACAUGUAUACCACCACUCGUAAUAACCAAAUUCACUCAGUUGGGAUAGGUGGGAGAUGGUGGUUUGUGGGGUGGCUUGUGGGGAGGAGUUGGAGGAGGCUUUAUUUUCUGAGGCGGCUUGUAUGAGUGUGCAGGAGGAUGCCCGGGAGUGUGACCAUAAUGUGGUGGCUUCUCUCCCGUAGGUGGUUUGCCAAAUGGGCUUGGUGGCUUCUCUCCCUUAGGAGGUUUACCAAUUGGGGUUGGUGGCUUGUGUUCUGGGAGUGGUUUCUCUCCCUUGGUAGGUUUGCCAAUUGGGGUUGGCGGCUUAUGUUCUGGGAGUGGCUUCUCUCCCUUGGGAGGUUUGCUAAUUGGGGUUGGCGGCUUAUGUUCUGGGGGCGGCUUCUCUCCCUUGGGAGGUUUGCCAAUUGGAGUUGGCGGCUUAUGUUCUGGGAGUGGCUUUUCUCCCUUGGGAGGCUUGCCAAUUGGGGUUGGCGGCUUAUGUUCUGGGGGUGGCUUCUCUCCUUUAGGAGGUUUGCCAAUUGGAGUCGGCGGCUUAUGUUCUGGAAGUGGCUUUUUUCCCUUGGGAGGUUUGCCAAUUGGGGUUGGCGGCUUAUGUUCUGGGGGUGGCUUCUCUCCCUUGGGAGGUUUGCCAAUUGGAGUCGGCGGCUUAUGUUCUGGGAGUGGCUUCUCUCCCUUGGGAGGUUUUGUUGGUGGCUUGUGUUCUGGAGAUGGCUUCUCCCCUGGAGGCUUGUGCUCCGGAGGUGGCUUCUGAAAUGGCGGGGGCUUGGGGUAAUGAGCAAGAGAUGGAGUACUGGUGAGAACCACCAUUCCAAGCAACAAUACUAGCAAGCAUGUGGGAGACAUCUUUGAGUAGUUGUAGCUAAGAUGGCGCAACACUGUAGGCAUUGGGUGGCCUUUUAUAAAGGGCUGGACCCAACAGCCAUAUGACACGUGUCAUGAUGACAAAUGAAGUUGAGGGGAUCCAGAUGGGUCCUACUGAGUCGAAAACUUGCACUAAUUGAUCUGGUGAGAUGACUAUUUCUGUCCUUUUGCCCUUCUCGGCCACCCUGUGCUGUUUUCCUUUUGCACGAUUUUCGUUGCCAAACAAGCAAAUAAUAUUUCGCCAAGAAAGAGGAGAGUGAAUGUGGAAUGCAUCAAGUCCCAUCAAGGAUGGCAGAGAAGAAAUAGAAGAUUGCCCAACUGUGAUAAACAUAGCAUACACGUAGCACCAGGAACUUCAUUUACUUCCAUCUAAUGGAACAUAACAAUCUUCUAAAGUUUUUGCAUGAUUUUGUUAUAUGUCUCUUAGCCUAAAGUUGGAAAUGCGCAACAAAUUUUGUCACUUCUCUAUUUCCCACUGAUGAUGUUAAUUAGCCUUCAUAGAUAUCAUCCUUUCUACAAAGUGCUUCAUUUGUGUGUUAUUGUAAAGUGUAAGAAAAGUAAUUGAACAUGUUCUUUUUCCUUUCAUAGAUGACUUUUGAUGUGCAUUUUAAAAGCAGCGCUGUGAGUCGGUGACCUUGAUUCACACGGAAACUAAGGCUCCUAUAGGACCCACUUUUAGCUGGUUAGGGGUGAAGAAAAUAUCAACUUUUCAGAGUGAUUUAAGUCAAGGCCAAGCCUCACUGUGUCAUUACUCGUGUGAAUUUUAUAUGCACAUACAUACAUAAAUAAAGUAUGAGACCCAAAUAACACCUUCCCUUUACAAACUUAACCCCAGCCGCUCUCUUUCAAUUCUUUUCACACAAGGGUAUUGACUCUAUAAAGGUCAAGAAAAUCAUAAUUUCCUAGGGUUUACAAGGUAAUUGGCUUAAUGCUAAUGUGAAAACAUAAAAGAUAAUAGUAUAUUGUAAGCUAACGAAUAUUCUAUAGUUAUAAUUAUUUGUGAUGUGCAUAAAUAAAUCUUCAUAUAUAUAAUGGAACAAUGAAUAAAGAACCAAUGAAAAAAUACUAUAUAUCAUUGCUUGGCAUUUAAACCGUAUAUGCUGCUCUUUCUAGCUACUCCAUCCACUGAAAGACAACAAGGUAAUCCAUGUUAUAAUGAUAGAAGAUACUGUCUCUAGGCUUUUUGUGAUGAAAAAUAUAAGAUAUGGGUAGGGUUGACCCUUGUAUGUUUGUCCUAUAAACACUUCAAAGUAACAUAUUUUUCUUCUUUAGCAACUCAUAAUGAUGGGGUUCAUUUGCAUGUCACUGAGUUGAAAAGUUGGACAAUUGCCCAUGUCGCCUUCCUCCUAGAUUCCGUAGUUCACGGGAAGGUAACUCAAGUUUGACAUAUUUUGAAUUCUUUUCACUCGGACGUCUUCAUAACCUGACAAAACAAAAAUGAAAAACAGAGGAUUGGUAUAUUAUUCAUGGUAAGCCUCAAAUUAUAGUAGUAUGAGAAAGGAGAAAAAGAUUUUGGGAACUCCAAUCUGGAUAAUUCUCGUUUCUUCUCUUGAAUAAAAAUUUCACUUACCUAACUUCGUUUGGAGAAAUGGCAUAUUUUAAUUUUGUACGUCAUUGCUAAUAAAUGGAGCAAUUUAGCAUGUUUUGUGACUGAAACUGCAAAUGUCCAAUUGGCAUUUCUUCAUUUCCCACUUAGGAUCUGAUCUUGUAGACCAUAUAACGAUAUGUAUCUGUGCAAGCAUUGAAAACUAAUGUGAACUAUGAGGAGUUACAAGCCACUGGACUGUAGAGCGAGUGCCAAGAUUUAAAUCUUCAGGCUCUAUCUGGGUAAGGGGAGGAUAGCGACCUAACCUUUUACCAAAGGCUUAGAAUUUAGACUUUUGGAAAAAAAUUUCUCAUGUUUUGGCUGGAUUUCUUGUGCUUGGCGCAAAAAGGAGAUGGCCUCAAGAAAUAGCAGACUCACUUUUGUUUUCAGCCCUUAAUAAUUCUCCACUGCUUUCCAUAACUACAUGGGUUAUACAUGCAGUCUGCUGCAAUAUUCCAGUUAUAUUUAUUAUUUCAAAGAGGGUGAAUGACUUCACAUGCAAUAUGUUGCAGUAACAACCCAAAUUUUGGCACACCAUCUUAAGAAUAGAAAAGUAUAAUAAAAGAAAUCAAUCAGAGAAUCACUUUGCAUGCAGUUCAUAGAGUUCGCCCAAAAUGGAGCCACAUGUACGGACAACCCCACAAUAGACAAUCUUCUCUAUACAGUAAUAAAAUACAGAAAUGGUUAAUGAAGCUCUGUAUUUCCUUAUCAUAUAUGACCGGUUGAAAACUCAGCAAGUCUUCCUCAAUCACAGACAGUUGGAGUUGCUUCAUCAAAAUCAUGCCUUCAUUACUGGCUUCAUUUUGGUUUCAAUGUCUGUUCUACCCUUAAAUUGGGUCUCUGCUUACUACCGGGAUAUCCUUUAGCGUCCUGCAAUUCUACUAGAUUAAAGAGAAUGACUUAAUUCUGCAUUCUGCCGUCCCUAGUCCAAGUGGUACUAGAAUUGAUGUUUCCUUUAGUGUCCUUUCUUCAUACUUUCAGGUUCUUCCCUUGUUUCAAUAAUGCUGUUUUCCUUCAUGUUUAACCUCUGUUGAACCACUUAAAACAACACAAUUUGCACACCAAUGUUUCUUUACAGAAAAGACUGUUUGCAAAAAUGCACAUGUUAUAAGGUUAAUGGAAGAAUUAAUUUGGGGAUAAGGGACUAGGAUUGGGCCAAUGAAGUUUGGUGUUAAAUUUUGAUUAUGAUUGCUUUUCAUUAUCAGGUACCUUAUAUUUGCUGAUGCUAUCUGGAACUAAAUUCAAAUCAGACAUUAUCCGAUUACUAACAGGACAUAUCAUGUCCCUCUGCAGAGUUUCUAAACUAACAUGUAUCGAAAUGUGGCCCCAAAAGGAAGGCUAGGAAGAUGGAGGAUUUUGUAGGAAUCGACCAGAAUCAGAUGGAAGAGAGAUAGUCCUGUUGACUUUAAUGGUUGUGAUAGGAACAUGCAUCAUUAUAUGAGAAGUUGCAUGAAUUUAUGUAUCCUGUUAUCGUUCCUUGACGAUUUCCCAAUGCAAUUUCACUGUCCACAAGACUAACCUCUCCAUGCAGUCAAAUGAAUUGUAAUUUCUCUAUUGGUACCAGUAGUACAUUUCAUACCAAACAUAUAGUAAAUAUAAAAUAUAAAUAGAUCAAGGAAAUCUGAAUUGUAGAUAGCACUGCAAGUAACACUCAAUAUUCUCUAUAUAUAAUAAAAUAAACAGUGUCACAAUACUCAUCACCCAGUGGCAAGGGAGAAAAACCUACAAUGAGUACUCAAAUCACCAUUCUCAAACAGAAACAUAGCAGUGACUGAUACAUAGAACCUAUAUGCUCACAGGGAAAGAAUAAGAUGACCAGUGCACAGCGGGCAGCAGCUCUUAUUUUACGUACAACUCAAAUCCCAAACUAACCAAAGUCGCUCAGUUGGGAUGGGUGGGAGAUGGUGGUUUGUGGGAUGGCUUCUGGGUAGGAGCUGGUGGCUUCUGUCCCUUUGGUGGUUUGCCUAAUGAGCUUGGUGGCUUGUGCUCCGGGAGUUGUUUCUCUCCCUCGAGUAGGUUUCGAGUCUUGUCAGAUGGCUUGUGUUCUGGUGGUGGCUUCUCUCCCUGGGGUGGUUUGCCGAAUGGGCUUGGUGGCUUGUGUUCGGGGAGUGGCUUCUCUCCCUGGAGAAGGUUACGAGUUUUGUCAUAUGGCUUUUGUUCUGGUGGUGGCUUCUCUCCCUGGGGUGGUUUGCCGAAUGGGCUUGGUGGCUUGUGUUCGGGGAGUGGCUUCUCUCCCUGGAGAAGGUUACGAGUUUUGUCAGAUGGCUUGUGUUCUGGUGGUGGCUUCUCUCCCUGGGGUGGUUUGCCGAAUGGGCUUGGUGGCUUGUGUUCGGGGAGUGGCUUCUCUCCCUGGAGAAGGUUACGAGUUUUGUCAGAUGGCUUUUGUUCUGGUGGCGGCUUCUCUCCCUGGGGUGGUUUGCCAAAUGGGCUUGGUGGCUUGUGUUCGGGAACUGGCUUCUCUCCCUUGGGAGGUUCAGUUGGUGGCUGCUGUUCCGUAGGUGGUUUCUUCACCGGCGGCUUGUGCUCCGGAAGCGGCUUCUCUACCUGGAGAAGCUUACGAGUUUUGUCCGAUGGCUUGUGUUGUGGUGGUGGCUUCUCUCCCUGGGGUGGUUUGCCAAAUGGAGUUGGUGGCUUGUGUUCGGGGAGUGGCUUCUCUCCAUUGGGAGGUUUAGUUGGUGAUUGGUGUUCCGUAGGUGGUUUCUGAAGUGGGGGAUGCUUGGGGUAGUCAGCAAGAGACGAGGUAGUGAGAACCACCAGUCCCAGCAGCAACACUAGCAAGCAUGUGGAAGACAUCUUUGAGUUCAGGCUGAGAUCUGUGCAAGGAUAACAGAAUUAGGUGGCCUUUUAUAGAGGCCUGGACCCAACACCCAUAUGACACGUGUCAUGCACUCAUGGUGACACAUAAUUCUAUGGGACCAUUUGGGUCCUACAGAAGUUGCAAAGUUGGACUACUGAGGUGUGAUCACAACUUUUGUCCUUAUUGCUUUCUCUGCGGCCAUUGCACGAUUUCCUUUAGCAUCAUUUUCUUGGCUAAAUAAGCGUAUUAUAUUUGUGGCAGACCGUCCACGUGUCAUAAACAGAUAUAUUAUAAUAAUGUAGUAUGCUUUUCUCCAAUGGAACAUGACACUCUUCUAAGUCUUGUUUUAAAUAUUGUGCAGGAUUACUUUAUACGUUGCAGUUCCAAGUCAAAAUUGGUGGGCAAACGUUGGCCUUUUUUCAUUUCACCUAAGAUUAAUGCUCACCUGGGAUAGGCACUACAUGACUUAUCUGCUCUUUUACUGUAAAGUUGCUUUGUGUAUGAGAUACACCUCCCCUGCACACCCUCAACAUUCGUUGCUCUGUUUUCCUUGUGUCCAGACGAGGAUAUUAAUUGGAGGCUGACAAAACGACUGCUAGCCCAGGAUUUACAAGGUCCUGGUUUGAGGCUUCGGUGAAAGUAUUUUUGAAAAGACACACAUAGAGAUAGUGCGUUUGGUGCAAUGCAGCACUGUGAGCCAUUCUGACGCGUUCUUAAUUUCAAAACUAAUGAAUGCUUCAAAAUUUUAAGAAGUGACAUUUCCAAAUAUUUGAGUUCGUUUAAUUGAACAUUGGAUAACUAGUGAUCAUAGAUUAUUAUCUGUGCUUGGCACUAUAAGAGGGUAUAUGCUUCUUUUUCUGGCCCCUCCUUCAAGGGAGGAGGGACAAUGUGAUCUGUAACGUUAGAAGCUAUUCCAUGUCAUCUUUGGGCUCAGUUCAAAACUAAAAGAUAAUGGGGGGGGGGGGGGGGGGCAUAUCAUUUUAUAUUUCUUCUAGAAGGUUUGUUCUGGAAAUAUUUCACAGGAGCAUAUCUUUUUCUUCUAUUACGUCAUCCGCAGCCUCCAAUAGGUCGGUUAACAAGCCACCGAGUUGAAAAGUUGGAAAAAUGGGAACACAGCCCGCCUCUUGUAUUCAGUAGUUAAAUAAAAGGUCACUAGAAGUGAGAUCCCUUUUGGCGUCUUGAUUUUCAAUCCAGCACCUCUGUGACCUGACAAACCAAAAAAACUAAAAAAUAAAAAACAGUACGUGGGUUGGUGUUAAGCAUCAAGACAUGUUAAUGAAAGAAGGUAGAGAAUAGGAUAUUGAAAUCCCAAUCCUGAUAACAUGAUUUUCUUUGCUAACAACCAUAUUAUAUUUUAUCAAGAAAGAGUAAUGCAUGUGGCGUCCAUCAAGACCCAUUAGAGUUCCGCUAAAGCUAUAGUUCUGUCAACGUUAUCAUUUACGUUUCCUCUAGAUAAUGGCAUUUUCCUCUAAAGCUCUUGCACCAUUAGGCUUCAAGUCAAAAUUUCACAUGUGAACUUUGGAAAUUUUCUCCAUUUGCCCCUAAGGAUACAGUUAGAAUUGACUUAAAAUCCUGAUUGAUAUGUACUAUUAACCAAAGAAUAUUGUAUAUAAUAAUUGAAAUAUUGUUGAUUCAUCGUGGAAAUACAUUUUGUAAGGAAAGUUGUUGAGAAUUUAGUAUGCUAUAUGGAGAAAAAAGUCAUGACUUAAGGUUGUGUAUGUAUAUUCUAUAUCAAAUAUUAGGUAGGAAUGUGGGAAAGAGCAGAGUGUAAUGAUAAGAAACAAAGAAAUAUAAGAUAUUCUUGAAAGUGGAAAAUAUAAAAUGGCUAACGAGUCAAAUUUAUGAUGCGUAAGGGGGAUCAUGUCACAUAAGAAAACCAUGGCAUACUAAAGACGUACGUGUGGUAUGGAGUAAUAAUUUUGUUAAAAUAAGUUUCUUGUUGGAGUACAUUAGGUGACUAUUCAUAACGUAUCAAAUUAAAGAGUCAAGUGCAUCAAUGAAGGCAUAUGUAGAAAAUUUGUUUGUGACAUGUACCAUAAAGAUAAGAUUGACUUGAUAGAAUUUAGUCUAAGUAGGAGUUGUUAAAGGUGUCUUAAAUUUCUAAUUGAUGUAUAUUUUUUUCUAAAAAAAUAUUAUAUAGAUAUUUUAAUAAAUGAUUAAUUCUUUGUAAAAAUACUUACAUAAUAAAAAACAUCAUUAAAAAUAUCUUUAUAAAUAUUUUAAGUUACAAGAAGGAAAAAAACCACUGUGAGAUAAUGAUGAACAUGCAACACUGUACCAAGUAAAUAAAAAUGUGAUAAAAAAAAAAGAGAAACACUCGAUAAAGGAAGGCUCGUAUAUAAAGAGUAAUAUUUUUAAUCAUAUGAUAGAAUGAUUUUCUCUCAUUCAUGAAUAUAGGCAAGAUUGGGGAACCAUUAUAAAAUUUUGUACACCUCGUGUAAAUUGAUGUUUGUCUUCAUAUUUUACACCAACAAAUGACAUUGAAGUUGUCAUUGAUAAAAGGGAAAAGGCAUGCCUCCACACCAUGUGCUUGAUUCGAAUGGUUCAAGUUUGAAGAAUUUUCUCCGGAAGAUCUAAAACAUUUUCGCCUUUAAAUUUCAUUUGAUUAUUAAUAUCCGAAAAAAUAGUUAAAUACUCUUUCUAUUUUUGAGUUGUUGAAUUUUUUGAAAGUUUUUAUAUUUGUUAUCAAGAAUUUCUAUUUUAUUAAGGGUGAAUAUUUAUAAAUAAGAUAUUAUAUAAUAUUUGGAUAAGAGAGAAUGGUGGAAUAUAAUAAAGUUUUAAUCCUUCCCAAUUUUGAACCUUUUUUUUUUUUUUUGAUAUAAUCGCCUUUCUCUUGCAAUCCUAUUAUCAGGUACCUUAUAUUUGCUGAUGCUAUCUGGAACUAAAUUCCAAUCAGGCAUUGUCCAAUUACUAAUAGGACAGAUCAUAUCUCUCUGUUUCUAAACUAACAUGUAUCGUAAUGUGACCUCAUAAGGAAGGCUAGGAAGAUGGAGGAUUUUGUGGGAAGCGACCAGAAUCAGAUGGAAGAGAGAUAGCCCUGUUGACCUAAUGGCUGUAAUAGGAGAAGCGUGUGGUUUUAUGGGACUUAACUGAUACUAAACCUGUAUGAUGCUUGGAGUGGUGUUUCUUUCAUUUUGUUAAGAAAAUAUGGCAGCAUACAUGCUUUCAACUGAGUGCAUCAGAGCAUCCAUAACAGAUGGUCUGCAACCCUAGGUGCAUGCCACUUUCUGACUGAUAAUGAAAUUGUCAGGUACCUGGCCUUGACUAAGCUCAACAGCAUCACAUAAAGAGAAGCUUUCAUACUUAGAUUACUGUUUAAAGUUUUUGCUUAUUUGAUUUCUUAAUGCCAUUAUGACAUUAUUGAUUCAAUUCUGCUUCCGAUUUUCGAAGUUCUGGGCAUCUACUGAUUGCAUCAUUAUAUGAGAAGUUGCAUGAGUUUAUGUAUCCUGUUAUUGUUCCUUUGCGAUUUCACUGCUCACGGGACUAACCUCUCCAUUCAGUCGAAAUGAAUUGUAAUUUCUUUACUGGUAGCAGUAGUACUUUUCAUAGCAAAGAUAAUAGAAAAUAUGAAAUAUAAAUAGAAGGAAAUCUGGAUUGUAGAUAGCACCAUAAGUAACACUCAAUAUUCACUACAUAAUAAAUAGACAGUGUUACAUAGGUAGAGAAACCUACAAUGAGUACUCAUCACCAUUCUCAAACAGAAACAUAGCAGCGACUUAUACAUAGAACCUAUAGGCUCGCAGGGAAAGAGUAACAUGAUAAGUUCACAGCGGGUAGCAGCUCUUAUUUUACGUAUUACUCAAAAUCUCAAACUAACCAAAGUCACUCAGUUGGGAUGGGUAGGAGAUGGUGGUUUGUGGGGUGGCUUCUGGGUAGGAGCUGGUGGCUUCUUUGUUGGAGUUGAAGGAGGCAUAUUCUUCUGAGGUGGCUUGUAUGACUCUUCGGCACUCUCUGCAGGAGGGUGCCCAGGGUUGUGACCAGAAGGAGGUGGCUUCUGUCCCUUUGGUGGUUUGCCUAAUGGGCUUGGUGGCUUGUGCUCCGGGAGUUGUUUCUCUCCCUCGAGUAGGUUUCGAGUUUUGUCAGAUGGCUUGUGUUCUGGUGGUGGCUUCUCUCCCUGGGGUGGUUUGCCGAAUGGGCUUGGUGGCUUGUGUUCGGGGAGUGGCUUCUCUCCCUGGAGAAGGUUACGAGUUUUGUCAGAUGGCUUUUGUUCUGGUGGCGGCUUCUCUCCCUGGGGUGGUUUGCCAAAUGGGCUUGGUGGCUUGUGUUCGGGAACUGGCUUCUCUCCCUUGGGAGGUUCAUUUGGUGGCUGGUGUUCCGUAGGUGGUUCCUUCACCGGCGGCUUGUGCUCCGGAAGCGGCUUCUCUACCUGGAGAAGCUUACGAGUUUUGUCAGAUGGCUUGUGUUGUGGUGGUGGCUUCUCUCCCGGGGGUGGUUUGCCAAAUGGACUUGGUGGCUUGUGUUCGGGGAGUGGCUUCUCUCCAUGGGGAGGUUUAGUUGGUGGUUGGUGUUGCGUAGGUGGUUUCUGAAGUGGGGGAUGCUUGGGGUAGUCAGCAAUAGACGAGGUAGUGAGAACCACCAGUCCCAACAGCAACACUAGCAAGGAUGUUGAAGACAUCUUUGAGUUCAGGCUGAGAUCUGUGCAAGGAUAAAAGAUUUAGGUGGCCUUUUAUAGAGGGCUGGACCCAACACCCAUAUGACACGUGUCAUGCACUCAUGGUGACACAUAAUUCUAUGGGACCAUUUGGGUCCUACAGAAGUUGCAAAGUUGGACUAUUGAGGUGUGAUCACAACUUUUGUCCUACUUGCUUUCUCUGCGGCCAUUGCACGAUUUCCUUUAGCAUCAUUUUCUUGUCUAAAUAAGCGUAUUAUAUUUGUGGCAGACCGUCCACGUGUCAUAAACAGAUAUAUUAUAAUAAUGUAGUAUGCUUUUCUUCAACGGAACUUGACACUCUUCUAAGUCUUGUUUUAAAUACUGUGCAGGAUUACGUCAUAAGUUGCUUGUUCCAAGUCAAAAUUGGUGGGCAAACGUUGGCCUUUUUUCAUUUUCCCUAAUAUUAAUGCUCACCUGGGAUAGGCACUACAUGAUUUAUCUGCUCUUUUACUGUGAAGUUGCUUUGUGCAUGAGUUACACCUCCCCUGCACACCCUCAACAUUUGUUGCUCUGUUUUUCUUGUGUCCAGACGAGGAUAUUAAUUGGAGGCUGACAAAACGACUGCUAGCCAAGGAUUUACAAGGUCCUGGUUUGAGGCUUUCACGAAAGUAUUUUUGAAAAGAUACACAUAGAGAUUGCGCGUUCGGUGCAAUGCAACAAUGUGAGCCAUUCUGAAGUCUUAAAUUUCAGAUUAAUGAAUGCUACAAAAUUCUAAGAAGGGCCGUUUCCAAAUAUUUGAGUUCAUUCAUCCGAACAUCGGGUAUAUGCUUCUUUCUCUAGCCCCUCCUUGAAGGGAGGAGGGACAAUGUGAUCUGUAUCGUUAGAAGCUAUUCCAUGUCGUCAUCUUUGGGCUCAGUUCAAUACUAAAAGAUAUGGGCGGGGCCCUUAUCAUUUUAUAUUUCUUCUAGAAGGUUUAUUCUGGAAAUCUUUCACAGAAACAUAUCUUUUUCUUCUCUACGUGAUCCGUGGUUUGAAAGUUGGAAAAAUGGGUCCGUUAACAAGCCACCGAGUUGAAAAGUUGGAAAAAUGGCAACACCGCCAACCUCUUGUAUUCGAUAGUUAAAUAAAAGGUCACUGGAAGUGAGAUCCCUUUUGGCCUCUUGAUUUUCAUUCCAGCAUCUCUAUGGCCUGAUAAAUUAAAAAACUAAAAAAAAAGACAGUACGUGGGUUGGUGUUAAGCAUCAAGAGUCAAGACAUGAUAAUGGAGAGAAAGGAUAUUCAAAUUCCAGUUCUGACAACAUGAUUUUCUUUGCUGAACUACCAUAUUAUAUUUGAUCAAGAAAGAGUAGUGCAUGUGGCCAGGAUCAAGACAUACAUUAAUUUCCACAUGAUGAAGACAGUUUCUGAGAGUUUCUUCUAAAGCUCUUGCGCGAGUAGGCUUCAAGUCAAAAUCUCCCAUGUAAACACUGGUUUUUCUUUCAUUGCCACUAAGGAUGCAGUUAAUAUUGACUUAAGAUCCUACGUGAUAUAUUUUUUUAAAAGAGCUAUAUUGUAGAUAAUAUUUGAAAUAAUGUUGAUUCGUUGUGGAAAUAUAUUUGUAAGGAAAGUUGUUGACAAUUUAAUAUAGUAUAAGAAGAAAAAAGUUAUCAACUAGCUAGAGAUGAGUAUGUAAAGUGAGGCUCACGAUUCAACGCGUAAAUAUAAGAUAUUUUAAGGCUCAAUAGUUAUGAUAUCUAUUUUAUUUUUUGUAUCUCAUAUAUUCAAAGAUAUAGUAAAAUGAUUUUACAUAUAUAUAUAUAUAUAUAUAUGAACAUAACUAUUUGUGCCAAUUGAUUUUUAUCUUUAUUUUGUAUAUUAGUAAUUAUAUUAAAGUUUUUACUAAUAUAAUAACUAAUAUAAAAGCUUUUUCUAAAAGAGUCAACAGAGCAAAACACUUAUUAUAAAAAAUAAUUUUGAUUGAAGGUGGAGUCAAUUAUUCUUUAUUUAACAUGUAAUGCAUACGGCGUGUACUUCAUAACUAAAGUAUAUAAGUGUAACAUCUCUUAUAUAUUCUCAUUCAAUCUCGAAAGUGGAAAUUUUAAAAAGAUUAAACGGUUCAAAUUUGUCGUGCAUAAAGGGGAUCAUGUCACAUAAGCAAACCAUGGCAUACCAAAGACAUAGGUAUGGACUAAGAAUUUUUUUCAAAUAAGUUUCUUAUUAGGGUACAUUAAUAGGUGACUUUUUAUGACAUAUCAAAGGAGUCAAGUGCACCAAUAAAAACAUAUAUAGAAAAUUCAUGCAUGACAUGUAUCACUAAGAGAAGAUUGACUUGAUAGAGUUUAAUCCAAAUAGGAGAUUGUUAAAAGGUGUCUCAAAUUCUUGAUUGAUAUAUAUUUUUUUUAUUAAAAAGGUUAUUAUAUAGAUAUUUCAAUAGACUAUUAAUUCUUUGUAAAAAUAGUUAUAUAAUGAGGAUGGUGAUUAAAAAUAUCUCUAUCAAUAUUUUGGAUUAUAAAAAGAAAAAAAAUGAGAUAAUGAUAAACAUAUAAAACUUGUACAAGUAGAUAAAGAUGUGAUGAAAGACACUUGAUGAAUGAAGGCUUUGUAUUUCAAGAUAUAAAUAUAUGGAGCAAAACUCUUAAUUAUAUGAUCAAAUGAUUCUCUCAUAUUCAUGAAUAUAAGCAGGAUUGGGGAACCAUGAUAGAAUCUUAUAUGCCUCUCCAUGUAGAGUGAUCGAUGUUUAUCUUCAUAUUUUACACCAGUGAAUGACAUUGAAACUCUUAUUGAUAAAAGGGAAAAGGCAUGGCCUCCACCCCAAGAAAAACAAGUAACCUCGGUUUAAAUCACUAGUCUACACCCCGAAGAGAGAACUAGCCAAACCUACUAAAAGAGAAACUUAACAAUUUAGAAAGAAACCGUCCAUGAUAAAGGGCCCCUAAAGGUCCAAUUCAGUGAGGUCGUGAACAAAAACACUUUCAUGUCAAAACAGAGAUAGGUACCACCAAAAUGUAAAGGGAAAGAUGUAAACCACGUCGAACUUUGGUAAUCAAUGGUAAAGAUAGCAUGAUAGCUAAAAGCACUAAAGCUGUGCUUGGUAUGCAAAAAUGAAAAGUGGAAAUCAGCGUCUUAUUCUUUUUCACCUUUAUUCACAUAUUAGGAUAACUAAUAUCUAAUGUUUUUUAUGUCUCAAAUUCUAUUCCAUGUUAUGGUAAACUUUCAUCUUGUUUAGAUCACUUUUGUCUGGUUUGGGCUCAAGACGAUAAGCCUAUAGAGACUUCAUAUUGGGUUGAAUCGAUGCCCUUGAUCUGAUCUGUUCGUUAGAAAAAUCUGAAUUAUUAUAAGCAUUUAGAUAAAAAAUAAAUAAAUGUGAAACACAAACUACUCCCUGCACAACCUUGACCCUAGUUACUCAGUUUCACUGCUCACAGGACUAACCUCUCCAUUCAGUCGAAAUGAAUUGUAACAAGAAGAUUUUUGACAGGAGGACGGUAGUUUAAAAUAAUAAUUUCUAAAGUACUUUUGUGAAAAAAAAUAAUUCCAAACGUGGAUUUUAUCAAGUAAAAAGAAAAAAAAAAGUUAUUUUCUUUUAAAAUCUGUUCUUCUAAAGAUGAUAUAUAUACCAAAAAAAAAAAUUGUUUUCUGAAGGUAAAAUUUUUAAAAUUCAUUUUUAAAAAAAUUUACACACUAAAAUUAUCUUUUCAAGAGAAGAUUUUUUUAAUUUUAAAUAAUUAUUAAUUUAUAAUUAAUUUGUUAUUAAUUAUUUAUUAAUUUUUUUAUUUGAAAAAUGCAUUUAUAAAAAACAAAUUUGUUAUUAAUUUAUUAAAUAAUUUUUACAAAAUAAAUAAUUUUUUUUUAUUUUAAUUUUAAAAUUAAUUUUAUUAUAUAAAUUUUAAAAUUAAAAAUAUUAAUAUUUAAUUUAAAAUUUAACUAUAAAAGGAAUAAAAUAUAGAAAAAUAAAUUAAUUUAUUAUUCAAUAAAUUAAUUUUCAAUAAAAUUUUCAGCAUUAAGAGAUAAAUUUUUAAGUAUUAAUCAAUUUAAAAAGAAAUAAUGAUCAUUUGUAUAUUAAGAUAUUUUAUUUAGUAAUUAUGAAUGAUAAACAACUAAAGUAAUUUGAAAAAAUAAUAAAAUAUUUAAAAAAUAAUAAUUUAAUACACGUAAAAUUAGAAAUGAUUAACUAUUUUUUAUUAAGAAAAAAUUGAGGAAAUAUUUUGUUAUUUAAAAUUUUUUAUUUGUUUUCAAUUUUUAAUGUUAUAGGUUUCAAGAAAAUUGAUCAAAUAAAAAUUAAGAAGUCAUUUUUUCAAAAACUAUAUAUCUAAAUAAAAGCCUUGAAAUUCAAAUACACAAUAUCAUAAAUAUAAACACCAAGUCAAUCCUUAAUUAUCAAAUGUUUUUAAUAUUAAAGAAUCAAAAUCACCUACUAUCAUGAUAAUAAGAAAACCAAUAAUAUUGUUCAUAUAAAUACUAAAAAGCUAACAAAUAUCCCAAACAAUUAAUAAAGUAUCAAACAUGAUAAAAAGUCAAUUAUUAUCAUGAAUGCAAAAAAUCAAUAAUUUUGUUUAUAUGAACCAUCAACAAAGAAAAAAAAAAUCAAUAUCUAAAUAUUAAACAUAAUUUAUAUUUUUAUAAAUAUUAUUGUUGAUAAAUAUCUUAACAAUUAUAAUUUUAGUAAAUAAAAUUAAUUAAUUUUAGUUUAAGAAUUAUUUUUUUAUACUUUCGUAUUCUUAUCAAAAAUCCCCAUUUUGCAUGUCUCCUUUGGCAUGACUUUCUUACCUAAACAAGCAUAUAUAUAUAUAUAUAUAUAUAAAAUAUUUGGUUAAGAAAGAGUACUAAAGUUUAUAUGGCACACAUCAAGAUAGAAACAGAAGUGGAAGAUAAUCCAAAUGUAUGAACAGAUAUAUUAUAUCCAUGUAGUGGUAGUGACUUCAUUAUUUACUUUUAUCUAAUGGAGCAUGACACACUUCUUCUGAAUAUUUUGCACGAUUAUGUUAUGUGUCAGCUUGUUCUAAGUCAAAACUAGUGAUAAAAAUCGGUUUUUUUUGCAUUUCCUUCAUGAAGAUGGCACCUGGAUGGGGCACUACAUGAGUGGCAUAGCACGAAGUGAUUUAUCUGCUCCCUUUACUAUAAAGUGCUUUGUGUAUAAGUUACACCUCCCCUGCACUGCCUCAACAUUUGUUGUUCUGUCUUCCGUCUGUCCAAACGAGGACAAACGUAUGUUGUAGGUUGACAAAACCACAGCUAGCCUAGGAUUUGCAAGGAUCUAGUUUGAUUCGUAUGCAAAAGGAUUGGUGAAAAGAUUCACAAAGAUAAUGCUUUUUGCAAUGCAAUCUUGUUCUAAUUCAACAGUGUGGACCAUUUUCAUGUAAUGCUUCAACUAGAUGUCAGUUUCAUGAAUUUUUGUUCAUCUAAUUGAUCACUGGAUAGGCCAUAACCCGAAGAAAUUCAAAAUUCCCUUCAGUACUGUAGCUAAGGAAAGAUCCCUAUCUACCACUGGGAUUUUAAGAGGGUAAAAAUGUAGGUGGGUGCCUAUAUCAUUUGCACUUCACUAUAGGCCUCUUUGGGAAGAUUUCUUCUGAAGACAUUUCAAAGAAACAUAUUUUUCUCUUCUCUCCGUAAACGGCAGCUGCAAGUCAGUCCAUUCACAGGCCACCGAGUUGAAAAGGCUGGAAAAUUGGCCAAAGCACCCGCCUCCUGGAUUCCAUGGGUAAGGAAAAGGUCACUGGAGGUGUGAUCCCUGUUGGCCUCUUGAUUUCCAUUCCGCCAUCUAUAUGACCUGAUAACCCAAAAACACAGAAGGAAAACGUCACCUGGGUUCAUAGUAAGCAUCAAGUCAUGAUAGAGACCAGACAACAUGACCAACAAAGAGUAGCGAAUGGGGCCAACAUCAAGCCCCAUUACGGUUAGAAGAUGGAAGAAGUAGAAGACAAUCCAAUUCUGAUAGAUUCGGGCAAAUGUAGUGCUGUUCAAACUUAAUCAUUUACUAUUUCUUCAUGAAUCACGGCAUUUUUCUUCUGAAAAUUUUCCAAGAUUAGGCCUCUGAAGAAAAAUUUCAUAUGUAAAUUGGUAUAUUAAGGAAAAGGCGUUACAAAGGUGAAAAAAAACCAAUCAAAUCUUAUAUAUGACAUCUCAAAAAUAUGAACUUGCUAUAAAUAUUUAAAAUCAAAAUCUUGCACAUCACCUCGUAGUACGAACUUGCUAUAAAACUUGAAAAUCAAGAAGAAAGGGGCAGUAUUGGACGAGACUACUUAGCACAUAUUAUUAUGAUGUUUUUUCAUUUUCUUAAUGUUGUUUUUAUGUCUUAAAUUCUAUUAUUCUAUGUUACGGUAAACAUUCAUCUUGUUUGUGUGGAAUAGGAUCACUUUUCUCUGGGUUGAGUCGAUGCCCUUAGUUAAUUUGUUCAUUUGAAUAAACUAAAUUAUUAUAAGUAUUUAGAUAAGAAAAACGUGAUACAUAAAUUACGCCUCUCGGCACAACUUCAACACUGGUUACUCUGUUUCAGUUUCCUCACACAAGAUUAUUGGUUCUAGGGUUUAUUUGGUUUUGGUUUGAUUCUAAUUGCUAAACUUUCUCAAGGAAGAUGUUAUAUAGGGAGUGAGAAACCUUCACUCUUGGCUACCUCCAAGAGAAGAGCAAGUGGUCUGAAUCAAAGAUAUACUGCUCACUUUUUCUUCUUCUAAGGACAGCUAUGACCUUGCUUUAAGGUUCGAAUAGCCUAAUGCAACCUCCCAUUUCUCAAGUCAGCUGAUGAUGUAAGUCACCUUGGCUUUCCACAUUCAUACGGUGAGGACGUUUGUGGGUGUAAUUCUCUUAACAGUUUUCAUUUUAUAUGGAAAAAUUCAUAAUUAAGGGUAAUUACUGAUUCCAUUUGACAGUGACCAAGUUUAAAAUAUUAAUUCAUAUAUUAAAUGCACAUUAAAAAAUCAUGGAAUAAAUAUAUUUACUAAUAUAUAGUUCUUUUGCCAUGUUCUGUCACAGAAGCAUCGAACUUUCCCUAGAAAUUUUUGCAUGGUAUUCUACUUAUGAUUUUGAAAACUCUAGGCACCUGAGGCCACUAAUUGCAUGGUUGGAUGAGGAGCUGCAUGAGAUUAUGUAUCGUGUUGUUCCUUAACUACAAAUAUCAGUUUUAAGUAGCAUCUCCAUGUGACAUUUUCCUGAUGCAAUUUCGCUGUCCACCAACAAAUUUCACCAUGCAGCAAGAUGAAUUGUAAUUUCUUUAUUGUUAUCAACAGCUUUAAUUAAUCUUGAUAUAUAUAUAUAACUUAGUAGAAGUAUAUUAAUCUAGAUUGUAGUUGCACUAAGAUAAUAGGCAAUAUUAUAACAGUGCCACAAUGCUCAUCGCCAAAUAGAAAGGUAGAAAAACUACAAUGAGUAACUCACAACAUUCUCAAACAGGACAUAGCGGCGACUGAUACAUAGAACACUAUUGGCACUCAGGAAAUGAUAAGAUCAGUGCCCAGCAGGCAGCACGUCUUAUUUUACAUACUACUUAAAACUAACCAAAGUCAUUCAGUUGGGAUGGGUGGGAGAUGGUGGUUUGUGCGGUGGCUUUUGGGUAGUUGGUGGCUUCUUUCCUGGAACUGAUGGUUUUUUUGUUGGAGUUGAAGGAGGCUUAAUCGUCUGAGGUGGCUUGUAUGAGUCUUCAGCACUCUCUGCGGGAGGGUGCCCAGGGUUGUGACCAUAAUGGGGUGGCUUCUCUCCCUUAGUUGGUUUGCCAAGUGGGCUGGCUGGCUUGUGCUCCGGGAGCGGCUUCUCUCCCUUAGGUGGUUUGCCAAAUGGGCUUGCUGGCUUGUGCUCUGGGAGCGGCUUCUCUCCCUCAAGAAGUUUACGGGUUUUGUCAGAUGGCUUGUGUUCUGGUGGUGGCUUCUCUCCU